CGCGCGCCCGGGGCCAUGCCGACGGCUUUUCCUCUGGCAUAGUCGUAGAAGGCCGCGUCGGCAACAGGAGAGCCGCCGGCGGUGGAGGAGGUGUGGGUGCCAUGCCCGUUGGUGUCGAGCGGCGACUCCGAGUCCUCACCGAGCGGACGGCCGAGUGCAGCCUCCUGACCCUUGUGGAAGAACUUGGCGCCGACGAGUUUGUUGUUGCAGAGCGCGGAGCCGUUGAACGCCGGACCCGAGACGCACCCGCCGCGGAACUUGCCGGGCGGCAACGGCGGCAGCGACGGGUCGGCCGCGAAGGACGCGCGGCCUUCCGGGUACACGCCGGUGUCGAUGACCCCGAUGACGACGUCGGUGGCGCCGUUGGACGCCGGGAGCAGCCCGGAGGACGGCGAGAGGCCGAGGAAGGACGGCGUGAGGGUGGUGUGCAGCUCCUGCAUCACGUCGGGCACGACGGCGAGCACGGAGCCCGAGGACGCGAGGCGCGCGGCCUGGCGGCCCGUGAGGCGCGCCGCGAAGCCCGUGGCGGCGUGAGAGUAGGAGUAGAGCACCCUCGGCGCAGGGCUGGACAUCUCGACGGGGAUGUGGUCGCGCAGGAACGAGCCGUACGCACGGGAGGUCAGUAGGCCUCUGCGCGGCAGACGUGGGGCGUGCGCGGCCCCGACGUGCACGAUGUAGGAAGACUGUACCUCCGCCGUCCCGAUCUCCACCUCAAGCUCCGUUGCCGCCACCGGAGCGGCGACGACGGUGGCGAGCAGGAAGCAUAGGGCCGCGAGUGGUACGAGGCUGAGCUCCAUUGUUGCUGCAAGCGAUGUACGCCGUCAGUGGUUGCGGUGUGGUAGCAGCAGGGAUGGGGCGCAGGAAUAAGUAGGCAGCGCGGCUGCUCCGGCCACCGCGGCAGCACGCGGAGGGGGUGGUAGUUGCCGAUCCAAAUCAUGUGAAUGAUUUUGAUCUCCGCACGAGGUGGUUCGUGCUGAUCAUUGUGCUGCGAGGAGGGCUCGGAAGUAUUUUAUUGCCAGAAGCGGAUAGCGCGACUCGCGUGUUUACUUAAGAUAGUGUUAUUUUCGAUAUUGUGCUGAUCAUUCCUCUUUCAAAAUUGUUGUUGUUGGCUCGUUCUCGGUAGGAACGCACGACGCCUCCAUUUCGUUCUUAGCAACAAAAAUGUGGAGCAUGUGUGCCCUUAAAAUGAUUGCAUAACUAGUUAUACUCGUAUUCUUCGAUAAAUAAUAUUGUAUAUCAAGAAGAUAUCAGUUACAUCCGUAUUAUGCAACAACAUGACAUGGAGGAUGGAGACUGCAAAAUUAAAUCAUACCUCAUCAACUAAACAACAAGUAUUAAAUUAGAGUUAAGUUGUAUAUGUGCUGAUUUGGAAAUUACAGAAAUGUUAUUUGGGGGACGUCGGUGUUUUGACGUCCUUCAACAGACACAUCGAACAUCGUUCGAUCUUUUGGCACGGAUUGCAGAGCAAAUGAUGAUGCCGCGUCGGGGUCUCCUAUUAGUUUGUUAUGACCAACUCCUUGGCGAACGUCAUAUAUUUAUUCUUCAUCAUAAUAAAUACCACCAUGGGGCACAUGAUGGGGAUUGAACCAAUGACCUUCUUAAGUAAUGACAUGGACGUUAAUCACGUUUUUUUCGAGAGUAUGCUAAUAGCGUACCAUAUCUUUAUAGGAGGAAGCUACGCUUAAGUUCAACCCACCAGUCAAGGAAAGUAUCAUGGUUCUCUGGGUGCCCAAGGUUCAAGUUUAGCAUGUCAAAGCAAUGGUGCAAAACCACCCGAGCAUACACACACUCCACAAGAAUAUGCUCGGCAUUAUCUUCAUCUUGAAGGCAUGUUUAGUAAGAAGAGGGAUGAUCUUGCACCGCGUGCUUUGCUCUUUGAUCUGAGGUCCAAAUGCGAUGUUGUAUGGCAAGCCAGGUAAAGAUCUUACAUUUGAGACUAGCCCAGCUCUUCCAGAUGCAAGUGGCAUAUGGGCGCCCACUGAAUCCCUAGACACAGGCGGUAGUAGGUGGACCAAACGGAGAAUGUACCCGAGGAUCUGAAGGUCAAAAGAAGUCGUCGGGGUUGUUCUGGUCCAGGUGUACAUGAUGGCCAAGUUAAGAUGUGAGUUGUACAAGAAAGCUUUCUUGCCACAUCAUGCAACCACCUGGGGCGCGGUUGGUAGCCUGCAUUAAGGCCAGGCUGUGACAAGCCAAGUAGCGAGUUGUUUGAUUGCAUGGCUUGCACGUAAAAAUUGGUUCGCACGAACUUAAAGCGUCCUCAGCCUGGUACGCUAGGAAUGCUCAAAUUAACAAUUUUUCAUAUGCGAGUUGGGCUUGAUACGGGAAACCGAACGACAUGCAGAUGAUGACCGAGAGCGUGUAUACACUGAACCAGGCUCCACUCAAAAACUAAUCAAACGCGGCUCUAUUGUUGUCGAGAGCCUGACUCACAGUGUGCCUAUUCCUCGUGCGAGUGUCCCCCAUGCCAUGAAUCAAGGGAUCAUUUUCCGCCACCGCAAACCCAUGUACCCACCCGUCUUUCUAGAACAAGACCCAUGAUCCAUCCCCGACUUCAGUUUUGACGAGACUGACACCAUUUUUCAAAUAAAACCAUGCUAUUUUUGUCUUCCAAAACAUGGUAAAAAACUGAUUUUUCCUUAUUUCGAAAAAGGUUCAUGAUCUUAGUUUUGAUGCCGAUGACUCCAUUUUUCAAUUAAAACCAUGAUAUUUUUUGUCUUCCAAAACAUGGUAAAAAACUGAUUUUUUUUAAUUUUGAAAAAGGUUCAUGAAUUUAGAAAUUAUUUGUGUAAUUACAAAAGAUUGUGAAAUUUGUAAAAAUAUCAUGAAUUACAAUACUAUUUGUGAAUUUGAAAAAAAUAGAAAAUACAAAAAGUUACAUGCAUCUGAAAAACAAUCGCUAAUUAAUACAUUUAACAUAUUUAAAAUAGUUCAUGCAUUUAGAAAAUGUUCACAAAAUUGAAAAAAUAACUAUUUUGAAAAAUUUGGAAUUGUAAAGAAAUCCUGAAUUUGAAAAGACUAUUCAUGAAAUUUAAAUAGAAAAAGGUAAAAAAAAGAACAACUAAAAUUUUAAAAAAAUUGUAAAAAAACUAACAGUUUUGCUAGAACUCAUCUGGAUGAGUUUUAAUUAUGCCUCAUUCAUCUUUAUAGCCAUUGGAUGAGAUACUUUAAGACACGUGUGUGCUGACAUGGAUUGUAGUACUAUUUUAUACUCCCUCCGUUCGUUGAUGUAUAGAUUUUUGAGAAAAAAUCCGAAAUAUAAGGUGUAUUGUGUUGCACCAUUCGUUUGGAUAUUUGUUUUAGGGAUUUGAUUACAUUUACUUAUAUCGGCCAAGCUCCUCUAUUUUUUGAUGUCAAUUAGUCAGAUGUAAUCUCAUUUAAAACUUGUGAAAAUUUUCCUCCAAGUGCGUUCUCUAACUUUCGUGUCAAAAACUAUACACCCUAUAUUUAAAAACGGAGGGAGUAUCUGUUUUUGUUUUUUAGAUGAAUGAGACCAAAUUAUAUCUCGUGUGGAUGAGUUCUAGACACUCCCAAGAAAUUAAAGAUGAAAAACUGAUCAAAAGCUUCUAAAGAGCUUCACAAAACCAAUGAGAAGAAUGUGGAAUCUUCAUAAAACCACAGGUUCCGACCGCAACACAGCGAUGCAGAUGGGCCGGACCAUCAGCAAAAGCAGCGCAAGGGAGAGACCACCGCACGCACGCUCAUUCACACUGACACAACGGGCCCACCGUCCCUCCUCUCAGCUGCACCGCACGUGGCGCGGGGCGAUCGGCCAUGAACGCCUUCCAUUCUCGGAUCGCUUUAACUCGGCCAAUUAUUACCGCGCAAGAUGCCGACCCUGCCCUCCAUCCCUCCGCCUGAACAGCGGACGACGUUCGACGGUUGGAGGGCAGAAAGGUAAAAUCGCCACCCGGUGCGUUCACAGUGCCGCUUUUUAAGCAGAGCUGCGGCUGCGUCUCCACCAGUCCACCACCUCGCCAGCUCCUGCUCCGGACUCCGACGGGAAGAGAGGGAGAGGGAGAGGAGAGGGGGCGGCGGCGGCAUGGCGUCGAGGGUGCCGACGUGGAGGGAGCGGGAGAAGAACCGGCGGCGCGAGCAGCGGCGUCGCGCGGUCGCCGCCAACAUCUUCCACGGGCUGCGCGCCCACGGCGGCUACGCGCUCCCCAAGCACUGCGACAACAACGAGGUGCUCAAGGCGCUCUGCCACGAGGCCGGCUGGACCGUCGAGCCCGACGGCACCACCUACCGCAAGGUCCGUCCGUCCCUGCAAACUCAUGCAUGCAUUAAUCUUCUCCUUCCUCUCCUCUCUUGAUUUCAACGUUGUUCUGCUUCCGGGUUGGCCGCCAUUCGUGUUCGUGCGCGCAGCCGUGCGUGCGUACAUUGGUUCUUGCCGAAUCGUGGAACGAUUUGACCCCGUCUCGUUUGGUUGAGUUCUUUCUUUUUUCGGUUCAGCGAUUGAUUCCUUCCCGAUUGAGUGGAUUCUUUCUUUUUAGGAUGGAUGGAUUGAGCCGUAUAGACGAUUUCUGCUUCUCUCUGGUUUUGCCAUGGCUGGCAGAGUUCUAUCUACCUGCUAUACUAUUGAAGGCAAAGUUUGCUUUGAUUUCCUUUUCUUGCUGAAACUCUCCCUUGAAUGGUUGCCAUUUUGGGUUUUGGUGGGGGUUGCAUGGCGCGGACGAUCGACUGCGGAAUGAGACGCCGAUGCGCGUGCUCUUGCUCCUUGAGCGCCUAGGUCGUCACCUCAGUUCCCUCUCUAGCCUGCCAAGCUGCUGCCCUUCCGUUCCCUCCGAGAUUCGAGCAUGGAAUUCCUCCCUUUUUCUGUUGCACAUUUGGGACAAGGCAAAGGAGAACCACACGCACAUCAUCGAUCACGUAAGUGAGUGUUUCCAAGGAAAAGCCAUUGGAUUGCAGCAAAUGUGCAUCGGUUCUUUUCUUUCCCCUCAAUUAUCAAGUGAGGAGAUUUGUUAUUACUUGUGGGAAUGAGGGGUCUCUCUCUUCUGUUAUCGUUAUUGAUUUCAGUUUCUUACUACUUGAGAGAAUGAGGGGGUCUUCUGUUCUUGUUCUUGAUUUCAGUUCCUUUUCUCGUGUCUUUUUAGGCAAGUAAGGUCCAGUUCUCCAGGACGUAAUGUGCUAAAGCUCCUCGCUCCUUUCCUUUUUUUUUUUCAGUUAGCAUCUCUGUUACGCAUCGAAUCUAUUUACCGCCCAAACAUUUGCCACCAUCUUUGCUAGCUUCUUCAGUCAUCUACUCUUUCUAGCAGUAGCUCAGAUCAGUUUACGUUGCAUCUUUCCACGCCCAUUUGCCCUGUUUCGUCCAACUAUCCAACUAAAUAAGUUAAUAAGUUCGUCGCGUACUCUCUGUAUUUCUACAGAGUUCAGUUUUUUCUUUUACUUAGCUGCUUAUUCCCGUGCUUGGGCAGAAGCAGUUCAUGCCAGAAAAUGGCAGGUAAAGAGCCAAUAAUGGGGACAAAAGUUAGUGGCGCGGCCAUAUGCAGAAGCAGUUCAAAGACUGUCAAAGAAGGCAUGGCUUUGAUUUCACAAAACCGCUUUGCAAUACAAAAUGACAUUCUAUUCUAGAGACCGGCAUACUCUUUCCUUUUUCUUUUUUCGUGCAAUCAGCUUUGUAAAGCUGUAUUUCUCUGCACGUUUAAGGCUUCCUUUAUUAUGGAAGCAUGCAUGGCACUGCCAGCAUUUGGCAUUGCGACUGCCGUAGUAAGUACUCCCUCCGUCCCAAAAUAACUGUCUUGACUUUGUAUUAGCUCUAAUACAAAGUUGUACUAAGCUUAAGACAGUUAUUUUGGAACGGAGGGAGUACUACAAAAGGGAGUAUUAAAUGAAGAUCUUCCUUGGCACGUGUCAAUAUUGUUCUCCUUCCAUCUGGUAUGAACGGAGUACACACUAUGUAACCUACUCCCUCUGUUCACUUUUAUAAGACGUUUUAGACAUUUAGACACUGUCUAAAUUAGUGCAAAGCAAGCUGUCUGAAACGUCUUAUAAAAACGAACGGAGGGAGUAGUAAUCUAGGCAGUGAAGACAUUUUUUUUUAGAGUGGGGUAUCAUCCUGCUGGCUUUGCUCGCUCGGUGCUAGCAAGCCCACCCGGGUUUGAGUCCGGAGGUGACUCGGGUGCUUAGAGCUUAUCCUUCUAUAAAAUAUACCUUCAAAGGCUAGUCCUCGAUGGUCUUAUUUUAAAGAGUGAGGUGUCACCAUACUGGCUUGGCUUUCGCUCAAUGCGAGCAAGCCCACCUCAACCACCUGGAUUCGAGUCCGGAGAUGACCCGGGUGUUUAGAGCUUAUUCUUCUAUAAAAAUAUACCUUCAAGGAUUAGUCCUGGAUGGUCUUUCUUUUAUGACAUUUAUGUUUUUCAAAAAAAUUGACAUUUGUAAAAUCUUUUUUGACUGAUAGGAGCAGCAUAUGCUCCAAAAUGCCGAAUUCAAUUUUCAUAUAUAUAUAUAUAUAUACCUACAUUUAAUCCCGAGUCGAUUAUCUUCUUCCCGUAAAAAUGCAUUAAUCUUUCGGUAACACAUCGUAAUCCCACAGAAAUGUCAUGCUAACUUGUUAAUUUUUCAGGGUGGCAAGCCUCCGGCAGCAGAAGGCGCCAACCCGAAGGUCCGGUCGGGCUCCCCAAUUAGCCCGUGCUCGUCGCACCCGGUGAGCCCGCGGGCCUCGUACAACCCGAGCGCAGGGUCGUCCACCUUCCCGAGCUCCGGCACGUCCUCACAUACCACGCUCGGCGGCGGCGGCGGCGGCAGCUACUGUGAGGGCGGCUCCCUCAUCCCUUGGCUCAAGAACCUCUCCUCCGGCACCGGGUUGGUGUCCUCUUCCAAGUUCCCCCGAUACUCGCCCCACUCGUACUACUUCAGCGGUGGCUCCAUCAGCGCGCCGGUGACCCCGCCGUCCGGCUCGCCGCGGGGCCUGACCCACCUCAACACGGGAUGGGGCGAGUACCCGAGUGUCCAGGUCCAGCCGCCGUGGGUCGGCGGCUACGAUUACGCCUCUCUGCCCAACUCCACGCCGUCGAGCCCCCGCGGCGGCCACGGGGUCGGGGCCGGCCCAGACCCGGCCUGGCUCUCCGGGUUCCAGAUAUCGUCGGCCGGCCCGUCUUCCCCGACCUACAGCCUCGUGGAUCCUUCCAACCCCUUCGGAGCCUUCAGGGAGAUGGCAGCGGCCACCGCGGGCUCUUCGAGAAUGCACACCCCGGGGCAGAGCGGGACGUGCUCGCCGGUGGCGCUGGCGGUCCACGGCGACGUCCAAAUGGGGGAGGAUGACUUCGCGUUCGGAAGCGGCGGGAGGCCGGUGCUGGUGAAUGCGUGGGAGGGGGAGCGCAUCCAUGAGGUGUGCGCCUCGGAUGAGCAUGAGCAUGAGCAUGAGCUGGAGCUCACCCUGGGGCUCGGGAGCUCCAAGACCCGCGCAGGCGCAGUGAACUGAAUCAUAUCAAUGGGGAGAAGAGAUCGACGGAAGCUACCAUGGGAGUUUCGUCAGAUUUCCUUUUUUGGCAGACUAUUUCCGUCCCGUCUACAGGAUCUGAGCUUCAGUUUUUCUACUAAAAACUAUCGACAGAUUUAGCCUCUCUUUUUUGCGAAUUCUCUUUCUGUUUCGCUUUAGAUUUUUUCUUAAGAUGUAAACCUGGCAAGGGAAGAGGGAACCUGCGAUGUCGUGAAAUUUGAUCAGACAGUUGGAUUAUUAUCAGAAUCAGAGAUAUAUGUCGAUCGAUUAUGUUUGGUAGUUUCGGUAAUGUUUCCUUUGAUUUCCAUCCGUACUUUUUCUUCAUCGUUCUUGCUCUUUUGGUGCAGCUGCUGCCUGAAGAUCGAAGUAUCCUCAUCUCCAGUUUCCUUCUAUGAACAGUAUCCGCAUCUCCAGUUUUAUAGAACAAUAUCCUCUUCGGACAUGGAGUUUUUGCUUCGAGCUCAUAUGCUAUCUCGUGAACAGUAAAAUCGAAAAAAAUAGUAAAAACAUUCAAAAAAUUCUGAUUUUUUUAUGGUUAACUUUGACAAAAGUUUUGUAUGCUUACAAAAUUUCAGCUCGAAAUAAAAUUUGUGAAAGUCGUGGCGAAAAAAAAAAUCGAUGCUAGUUUUGGAUACAUUUUGGACUGUUGUUUUUGAUUUUUCGCUGCAACUUCCAAGAAUGUUAUUUCGUGCUGAAUUUUGAUACGUACGUAAAAUAUUUGCUAAAAUUUAUCAUGAAAAAUUUCAGAAUUUUUUAAAUUAUGUACUAUUUUUAAAAAAAAUUACUGUUUGGGAAGGAGCAUUUGAGCUCGGGAGUAGAAUAGGACUUUCCAUCCUCUUCUUCGUUUCAUAGCUAUCUUGUUUUCUUGACUACUUGUUUGUUGGGAAAUGAAAAAUUAGGAGUGACAUUUUUUAUCGGGUCCUGCAUGCUGGCCAUGUGUGCAGUUGUACACAAUUCGUUGGAGUACUUUACUGAAUUCUUCAACUGUUUUGUACUGUUCUUGUGGGACCACCUAUUGUAUAAGAAGAGAGUGUUUAUCAUUACCUAUAACUCAGCUAUACCGAAACGUCACGAACCUUAAGUGUGCAGAUCUUGCGGGUUCGAGAACUAUGCAGACAUGACCUGAGACAUUCUCCGGUCAAUAACCAAUUGGCUCCUACAUAUUCUACGAAGAUCUCUAUCGGUUGAACCUCUAUGUCAAGGAUUCAGUUAAUCCCGUAUGUUGUUUCCUUUGUCCUUUGAUAUGUUACUUGCCUGAGAUUCGAUCGUCGGUAUCUCUAUACCUAGUUCAAUCUCGUUAUCGGCAAGUCUCUUUACUCGUUCUGUAAUACAAGAUCUCGUGGCUAAUUCCUUAGUCACAUUGCUUGCAAGGCUUAUUGUGAUGUUGUAUUAUCGAGUGGGCCCCGAGAUACCUCUUCGUCAUACGAAGUGACAAAUUCCAGUCUCGAUUCACGCCAACCCAACAGACAUCUUCGGAGAUACCUGUAGAGCACCUUUAUAGUUACCCAGUUACGUUGCAACGUUUGAUACACACAAGGUAUUCCUCCGGUGUCCGGGAGUUGCAUGAUCUCAUGGUCAUAGGAACAAAUACAUUGACAUGCAGAAAAACAGUAGCAAUAAACUGACACGAUCAUAUGCUACGUUUAUAGUUUGAGUCUUGUCCAUCACAUCAUUCUCCUAAUGAUGUGACCCCGUUAUCAAGUGACAACACUUGCCUAUGGCCAGGAAACCUUGACCAUCUUCGAUCAACGAGCUAGUCAACUAGAGGCUCACUAGGGACAGUGUGUUGUCUAUGUAUCCACACAUGUAUUUGAGUUUCCAAUCAAUACAAUUAUAGCAUGGAUAAUAAACAAUUAUCAUGAACAAGCAAAUAUAAUAAUAAACAAUUUAUUAUCGCCUCUAGGGCAUAUCUCCAACAGUCUCCCACUUGCACUAGAGUCAAUAAUCUAGUUCACAUUAGUGUGUGAUUGUAAUGAAUCUAACACCCAUACAGUUCUGGGGUUCGAUCACGUCUUGUUUGUGAGAGAGGUUUUAGUCAACGGAUCUGAACCUUUCAGGUCUGUUUGUGCUUUACAAAUAUGUUACUAGGUGAAAAUGUGAUUGGAACAAUGGAGUUAUAGCUUAGGCACUCUCAUGUUUAUAAUCGUAUGUCAUUGAUGCAAACAUCCCAUUCAAUCAUUUUUCCGAAGCCCACACCUGAGCUCGAUAAGCUAUUUCGUCUAGCCUUGUUGUUACAAGCCUUCGAUGAACUCCAACUGGUGAGAGAUUCUAUUCAUGCCAUCAAUCCAUCAAACCAGAAUCAUGUGAAUGGUCAUAUCAUUGGGGUGCAUGCUAUUUGGCAAGAUGAUAAUAAAAAAUAUUAUUUAAAGGUCUAAGCCCAUUAGAAUGCUUCAUUUUGAACUAAAAACUAAAAUGGUUAUGAAACAUAAGAAUUUUACUUGGCAUUUAAAUCAGAUCAGCUAAACACCACAAAUAUGUUAGCGGAGAAACUGCAACAUUGGCAUCAACCUAACUAUAUCAUUUUCGAUCGCAGACUAAGUAUUUCAUUCAUAGACACAUCCCGACAUUAGUUAUCUCCCUAUCUUGAUCGGAUUUUGUCAAUUUUGCAUGCUAGGGCUAGUUUUCUUGUGACGAUUUUCUUUAACAAUAUUAUCUUGGAUCUUGGAAAGGAACAAGAUUCAACCUACGAGAGCAUCCCCAAGAGAUAGGUCGAUCUCUUGCUUUUACGGUAUAUGAUGCUAGAACAACCUAAGGCUUGUUUGGUUACCUGCAUCGUUUUGGCCCCUUGCAUCAAUGUCCCGGUUGAGCCUGGCAGAGCUAAUGCAAACUUUAAACCAUGCUCUGCAGUUUGUUUAGUUGCCCACAAAACCUCAAGUUGCAUUAGAGCAGAAACACUAGCACGACAUUCAAUUGCAUGUCAACGCUCCAUGCAACUGUUUGGAUACAUGUGUAAUGAUGGUUUAGUCUCACCUCCUGUCCAUGUGAUGGACUAAUCUCACACCACCACGCUUAAACAACUUUUUCUAUGAGGGUUGAGAUAAUAAACUUACAACAUGAGAGUUGUUUGGCACCAUGAGAUUAAGCUAGUGCUCAAAGGAAAUUUCAAGUAGUUGAUCGAGUGCAAAUAAUUUGCCAAAAUUCGAUUAAUCUAGAAUGCACACGUGAACACUUUUGUACAAUUCACUAGGGAGAUAUAUAUCUACUCAUGUACAACCGUCGAAACAGAAAAUUUAGAACAUCAAAGUUGUGUGAAACAGCGAGAUGGAGCUCGUGGUCAACCGUGUGGGAAGGAUUUGCUAAAACUCGUCUAAACUAACAGGUGCACAUGCAUAUGAUUGUAUGGUACAAUAGUAUGUAGAUCUACUCGUCGACGAGCAUCGAAACUGAAAGCUGAUAACAUGAAAGCCGUGUGGAAAAGCGAGAUGAAGUUAGUGGUCAAAGGAAAUUUCAAACGUUUGAUCAUGUGUGAGGGAUCUACCGAAAUUCGUUAAAAAGGCUCCAAACAUGAACACAUAAUUGAGGAUUUACAUUCACUGGAACUAGGAACCGAUCACCUGAAUGAAGUCACAACAUAGAUGUGCAUAUUUUCUUGUAAAGCUUAUCUCAAAUGUGGGUGAAGGAGAACAACCUACAUACCGGGUCCCACCUGUUUUUAUAGGGAGUUAGGUGAACAAGAUUACUAGGGGUGGGGAGAACACAAGAUGUGCAAACUCUACAUACCAGGCCGCCCCAGUUUUUAUGGGGGGUUGCUAAGCUUUUUUUGGACUAGGUUGCUAAUCUUUAUAUUUAUCAAAAGAGAUCUUCGUAGGUAUACACAAUUGGUCAUGACGAGUGUUAAGCCACAUGUUGCGACCCUAAUCAAGUGAAUGAGAUAACCUAGCUAAGUUACGAGCCUCCAUGUUUGACUCUCGACCUUCAAUACUAAACAGACUACUAAUAAAUAUUUAUUCUUACAUAUAAUCUCCUUAAUGAUAAAGCCAAAAGACACCUUUGAAGCCUUCGUUGAUGAUGGGCUAGCUUUCGCUUGUUUGGGUCUGGUCGGUUUGUAACGGUUGAUUCGCGUGUUCCUCCAUUGUGAGGUCCAACAUUGUUUUAAAUUUCGCGCAGGGCAAAAUUCUGAUAGAGGCCAGACAUUUAAAUGAGCUGAAUUUAGCUGCCUAGAGCCUGACUCGCGUAAUGCAGCCCACCAAACACGCUCCUUGUAAUUUUCAUUCUUGGUACAUUGGUGCCGUGAAACAUCCUACCAUGUAAAUAUUAUUGUAAUGGAUAUCCAAUUCUGAGCCCGGGCUCAUCUGCAUCCGGUAAAAAGAAAUCAUAAAAAAUUCAAAAAAAAAAUAAUUCAAUUUUUGUGUGCAAGGUAGAUAAUUUGAUAAGUGAGGUGCGCUCCAAAUUUCAGACCAUUUGAACUCUGAGUAGCUCUCAGCAAAAAUAAAUAAAUUAGGAUGUGAACAAUACAUGAACUAGACACUUUUUAAAAGAUCCCAAAUUUGUCUUUUUACCGAGAGCUACUCGGAUGUCUAAAUAAUUUGAAAUCUGAAGUGGACAUCACGCAUCGAAUUCAUUACUACGACAAUUUUUUUUAAAAGAAACUUUCAAGUAUUUGUUUUAAUUUUUUUUCCAGCAUGAAUACAAAUGAACCCUGGAGCCAAAACGCCUCACUCUUUAUUGUAACAACUUUACUCUAUAAAUAUUACCAUAGUAGUAGGAGCCAGUCCUAAAAAUUGAUUCGUGAGGUAUCCAAUUGAGGAAGAGCUUGAUGAGACGAUAAACCAUUUCACCCAAUUAACUCAAUUGCAAUUACCACCCCCUUGAUGUUAAUCCACUGAAAGGCCAGCUAUCUGUGCGUGGUGAGAUACAUGUGUGAUAUGACGGAUGAGUCGCGUUAGCCUGUUAUGGGUACACAAGGACAGCUGAGCAUAAAGUAAAAUAAUUUGGUUUGAAUUUAAUUUAAAUCUAGCACGAAACUCCGAGGUUAAAAAUAGUUCGGCAACCACCUAGAUUUACAAAAUUUCAUAAAUUCGUCGAAAUUUUCAUUUGAAAUAUUAAAUGCUGCUCGGAUCUUAAUUCUCAUGAGCGAUCGAAGAGAGAGGUGAGUAAUAAUAAGAAAUUAAAAAUGCAUUGCCUCCCCAGGAUGAGUUGGCAUACAUACUCCUAUCUAUUUAUGCACACGAGCACAACUAUAUAAUUAAACACGAGCAGAAACAACAGGACGUACGGCAUCCUCUACAGAGAAACACUCUCUCAGCGCAGCGAGGUUUUAGAUUAGAUGUCGAUGGCGCCGAAGCGGAAGCUUAGCAUGGGGCGGCAGAAGAUCGAGAUCCGGCGGAUCGAGAGCGAGGAGGCGCGGCAGGUGUGCUUCUCCAAGCGCCGGGCGGGGCUGUUCAAGAAGGUGAGCGAGCUGGCCGUGCUCUGCGGCGCCGAGGUGGCCGCCGUCGUCUUCUCCCCGGCCGGCAAGGCCUUCUCCUUCGGCCACCCCUCCGUCGAGGCCAUCCUCGACCGCUUCCUCCCCUCCGCGGCGCAGGUCGGGCCGGCGGCGGGCUGCGCGGGCCUCGGCGCCGCCGGCGACCGCAACCUGGCCGAGCUGAACCGGCAGUACGGCCAGCUGCGCGAGCAGCUGGAGGCGGAGAAGGCGCGGAAGGAGCGCGCGGAGGUGGCCAUGGAGAAGGAGCGCGCCACGGGGAGCCCCGUGGCGGCGUGGCUCGACGCCGACCUGCGCGACCUGGGCGAGGAGGAGCUGAUGGCCUUCGCCGCCGCGCUGGUGGACGUGCAGGCCGCCGUCUCCGCCCGCGCCAACCAGGUGCUCCAGGAGGCGCUGGACGUCGGCCGCGCCAGGAGCGCCAGCCGCAUGCUCAUGGCGGCCCCGCAGCAGCAGCAGCAGCUCGCCGGCGGCGGUGGCUUUGAGUUCGGUAGCUGCAGCGUGAACUCCAGGAAUGAGAUGGAGAUGCAGCAGAUGUUGAUGGCCAUGCCGCCACCGCCGGAGUUCGCCGCUGCCGGAAUGGAGAUGGUGCAACAGGGGCUCGGCCCGAACGCCGGCUUCCCCUACUGAGAAGAAGAUGAGAUUGAGAUCCACACCGAUUCCGAUCCUCUCCCNNNNNNNNNNNNNNNNNNNNNNNNNNNNNNNNNNNNNNNNNNNNNNNNNNNNNNNNNNNNNNNNNNNNNNNNNNNNNNNNNNNNNNNNNNNNNNNNNNNNCUCUCUAAAUGGGAAGGUCCCUAUGUUGUUGAGGAAGUAUAUCGUUCCGGUGCUAUCAAGAUCAACAACACGGAAGGUAAUUGUCCGAGAGUUGUAAAUGGGCAGAGAAUCAAGCAUUACAUCUCAGGUACUCCAAUAAAUGUUGAAAGCAAUAUUAUCAAUACCAUAACUCCGGAAGAAUACCUAAGGAACAUUUAUCAGCCUGUUUCAGACUCCGAAAACGAAGAGGUAUGUGAUUCGGUAAGAAAAUAGAGUCCAAAACUUUUGCAGUAGGAAAUUUUCUCCGUUUUGGAAUAUUUGAAAAAUACAAAAAUUGGAAGUUGUCCGGAAAGUGCGGGAGGAGGCGACAAGCCUGGGCGACGCGGGCCCACCCCCUGGCCACACCGUGAGGGCUUGUGGCCACCUCGUGCGCCUCUCGGACUCCGUUUUCGUGCGGGGUACUCCUUCUGGUAUGAAAAAAAUCAUUAUAUAUACUUCCGUCUGGUCUAACGCCUGCAUCACGUAGAUUUUUUCUGUUUUUUGUUUCGAGCAUGUUUUCUGCCACAGAUCUAGGUCAAGAUGUCUUCUCAGGAUUUAGAGGGGGAAAGCUAUGUGGUAGAUUACCUUGCUGACCCCAAAGUCUAUGGGGACUUGGAUCCUUAUGGCUGGACAACUGAUGAAAAAGAAGAUUAUGAUCCGAAGGGGAAGGAACAAACAAGUUCCGAUGAAAAGGAGGCUCCUCUACCUCAACCUGGACGCACUUAUGUAGAGUUCAAGAAGUCGAGCCUCCCUGACUCAAGGAAGAAGCCUAAGACCUUGUUUAUCCCUUCUCGUUUCUUGCAGGAGAGUAAGCAGGAAUUAUGCCAAAGGGUGUUGAAGCUUGAAGAGGAAAAUGAUGAUCCCAGGGAGCAGAAUUUUAUGCUCAAGUGGAAAUUAAACAAACUCAAGACCUCUUCAACAACUCCACCACCUUCACCACCAAAGGAAGACAACUGAGCAUUGGUAUGGGCAAUCCCGUUGGCUUUUGCCAAGCUUGGGGGAGUUGCCCCGGUAUCGUAUCACCAUCACAUCUUUUGCCUUUACCUUUGUUUUAGUUUUCCUUUUUAGUUUUCUUUUUCUCUAGUAGAUUAAAAGUCUUAGUGUUUUAGUCUUGAGUUUUGCUUUGUGUCACCCUCGAUGUAUUCGAGCUCGUGAGCCAUAUAAUAAAGAGUGUCUUAGUUGAAGGGCUUUGCCUCUUGCCAUGAUCAAAAGAGUGAGAAUAGAACAAAAGCAUGAAAGAUCAUGUAAUGAUCCUAUGGGAAGUGGUGGCUUCACAUAUAAAAAGGAUGAUGAUUGAAACUUGUUGAGGGUAGGCAAACGUAGACCUUGGUCAUGGUUGCAAUUAAUAGGAAGUGAUAAAGAAGGAGAGGUUCACAUAUAAAUAUAUCAUCUCUGACACCAUCUAUGAUUGUGAACACUCACUAAACUAUUGCAUGCCUAGAAGUAGAUGUCGGACAAGGAAGACAACAUAAUGAAUUAUGUUUGCUUGGCUCCGAACAAUUUUAUAUGAUUAGAGAUCCCUUAGCAUGUGACGAUUGUUUCCACCUCAUAUUAGCCAGAACCUCCCGCACCAAGUAGAGAUACUACUUGUGCAUCCAUAAACCUUCAAACCAGUUUUGCCAUGAGUGUCCACCAUACCUACCUAUGGAUUGAAUAAGAUCCCUCAAGUAAGUUGUCAACGGUGAAAGCAAUAAAAAUUGCUCUCUAAUAUGUAUGAUCUAUUAGUGUGUGGAAAAUAAGCUUUAUACGAACCUGUGAUGAGGAAGACAUAAAAGUGACGGACUGCAUAAUAAAGUUCUUUAUCAUAGGAGGCAAUAUAAAGUGACGUUCCUCCGCACUAAGAGGACAUGCAUCCAAACCUCAAAAGCGUAUGACAACCUCUGCUUCCCUCUGCGAAGGGCCUAUCUUGUACCUUUACUUUUUGCCCUUGAAAGAGUCAUGGUGAUCUUCACCAAUUCCCUAUUUCGCCUUUGUCUUGGCCAACGUCAUAUGCUUGGGAAAGAUCUAUAUUCAUAUGUCAACUUGGAGGUAAGUAUCCAUGAUUUAUUAUUGUUGACAUUACCCUUGAGGUGAGCAGUUGGGAGGCAAAACUGUAAGCCCCUAUCUUUCUCUGUGUCCAGCUGAAACUUUGAUCUCAUGAGUACCACGUGAGUUGUAGCAAUUGUAGAGAACGAAAUAAUGAUUGAGUAUGUGGAUUUGCUUUACAAGCUCUUAUUUGACUCUUUCUGAUGUUGUGAUAAAUUGCAAUUGCUUCAAUGACUAAAGGCUAUGGUUGUUACUUCUCGGUAAGGUUCUUGAUCCAUGCUUUACUUUGUGAAGGAAUUGUCACUUUAGCAUGAGAGAUUAUAUGUUGGUAUUGCUGUUCUGAUCUUGAUCAUGAUGCAUGCAUGUUCGUAUCUUGUUUUGUAGACACCUCUCCCCCUAAACAUGUGGACAUAUUUAUUGAGCUAGGCUUUCGCUUGAGGACAAGCGAGGUCUAAGCUUGGGGGAGUUGAUACGUCCAUUUUGCAUCAUGUUUUCAUGUUGAUAUUUAUCGCUUCUUUGGCUGUUAUUUCACUUCACGGUACAAUUCUUAUGCCUUUUCUCUCUUAUUUUGCAAGGUUUACAUGAAGAGGGAGAAUGUCGGCAACUGGAAUUCUGGCCUGAAAGUGGAGCAAAGUUGAGAUACCUAUUCUGCGCAACUCCAAACACCGUAAAAAUCAACGAGGAUUUUUUUCCGGAUUUAUCAAAAAUACUGGGCCGAAGAAGUGCCAGAGGGGGGCGUGCAGGUGGCCACAAGCCUGCACGGCGUGGCCACCCCCCCCCCAUGCCGCGCCAUGAGGGCUUGUGGGCAGCCUACAGGCCCACUUGCCCCCCUCUUCUGCUAUAUGAAGGGUUUCGUCCAGGAAAAAAUCAAGGAGGAGAUUUUUCGUGGUUCCGCGGCCGCCACGAGGCGGAACUUGAGCAGAACCAAUCUAGAGCUCUGGCAGGACGAUCCUGUCGGGGAAACUUCCCUCCCGGAGGGGGAAAUCGUCUCCAUCGUCAUCACCAACACUCCUCUCAUCGGAGGGGACUCGUCACCAUCAACAUCUUCAUCAGCACCAUCUCAUCUCCAAACCCUAGUUCAUCACUUGUAACCAAUCUCCGUCUCGCGACACCGAUUGGUACUUGUAAGGUUGCUAGUAGUGUUGAUUACUCUUUGUAGUUGAUGCUAGUUGGAUUACUUGGUGGAAGAGUUUAUGUUCAGAUCCUUGAUGCUACUCAUUACCUCUCUGGUCAUGAAUAUGAUUAUGCUUUGUGAGUAGUUACUUUUGUUCCUGAGGACAUGGGAUAAGUCAUGCUAACAGUAGUCAUGUGAAUUUGGUAUUCGUUCGGUAAUUUGAUAUGUUGUAUGUUGUUUUUCCUCUAGUGGUGUUAUGUGAACGUCGACUACAUAACACUUCACCAUUAUUUGGGCCUAGAGGAAGGUAUUGGGAAGUAGUAAGUAGAUGAUGGGUUGCUAGAGUGACAGAAGCUUAAACCAUAGUUUAUGUGUUGCUUCGUAAGGGGCUGAUUUGGAUCCACUAGUUUAAUGUUAUGGUUAGACUUUGUCUUAAUUCUUAUUUCGUGGUUGCGGAUGCUUGCGAGAGGGGUUAGUCAUAAGUGGGAUGCUUUUCCAAGUAAGGGCAGUACCCAAGCACUGGUCCACCCACCUAUCAAACUAUCAAAGUAACGAACGCGAAUCAUAUGAACAUGAUGAAACUAGCAUGACAGAAAUUCUCGUGUGUCCUCGGGAGCGUUUUUCCUCCUAUAAGACUUUGUCCAGGCUUGUACCUUGCUACAAAAGGGAUUGGGCCACUUUGCUGCACCGUUGCUACUUUUGUUACUUGUUGCUUGCUACGAAUCAUCUCACCACACAAUCACUUGUUACCGACAAUUUCAGUGCUUGCAGAUAUUUCCUUGCUGAAAACAACUUGUAAGAUCCUUAUGCUCCUCGUUGGGUUUGACACUCUUAUUUAUCGAAAGGACUACGAUUGAUCCCCUAUACUUGUGGGUCAUCAAGAGGUCAAAACUUUAAAUAGCAAUCUCUUUUGGAUUUCAAGGACUUUAACUAUGAUAGUUGGUCUUUGAUUGAUUGUGUUUGCUUGUUACAAUCCAUGUUGAAUUCUUCGCAUGCUUAUAAUCAAAAUAAAGCUUUUACUAAACAUAUUGUGGAUGCUAUGAUGAAAUCUUUUGAAGAAAAAUUUGAGUUGGAAGUUUAUAUACCUAGAAAGCUUUAUGAUGAGUGGGAAAUAACUAUUAAGUUUAAAAUUAAAGAUUAUGAGUGCCAUGCUUUGUGUGAUUUGGGUGCUAGCGUUUCCACGAUUCCAAAAUUUUAGGUGAUGUGCUAGGAUUCUGUAAAUUUGAUGGUUGCUCUUUAAAUUUGCAUCUAGCAGAUUCUACAAUUAAGAAACCUACGGGAAGGAUUAAUGAUAUUCUUAUUGUUGAAAAUAUGAAUUAUGUGCCCGUAGAUUUCAUUGAUCUUGAUAUAGAUUGCAAUCCUACAUGUCCUAUUAUUCUUGGGAGACCUUUCCUUAGAACGAUUGGUGCAAUUAUUGAUAUGAAAGAAGGAAAUAUUAGAUUCCAAUUUCCACUAAGGAAAGGCAUGGAGCACUUUCCUAGAAUGAAUCUACUAUGAGAGCUACUUAUGGAUUGCAUACCAAAGAUGACAAUACCAAGAUCUAUUGCAUUAUGCCUAGCUAGGCGCGUUAAACAAUAGCGCUUGUUGGGAGUCAACCAAAUUUUAUUUUUAUGCUUUUUUUGCUUUUGUUUUUGAGUUAUACACAUAUUAUUACCUCUAUAAUAAUUGUGUUUUCUUGUUUUAAUUAGUGUUUGAGCCAAGUAAGUCCUUUGGGAUGGUCUACUGUAACAUCCCAAAUUUUGGAAUGUUAAUAAAAUUAUAAGAUUGUUUGUUUGCUUGCUUGAGUGAUUGAAACUUGAGUGAAAUUUGAAACUUUUCAAAAACUUUUGAAUGAGAGGGAAUAAAAUGACUUUCCCCUUCUCUGGUAAAUUCAAAUUCAAUCAUUUAAAAACAAAGAGAGAAGAUGACAUGACUUCUUCAACUAUAAAGAAUUUGAACGGAGUUUUGCAAUUGAAUUCUUUCAAAUAUUUGCCCUUGCUUCUCUAUUUUUCAUCCCCGAGAAAUACCCCGAAAAUAAUCCUUGCCAAGCAAGAAAGAGAGGAGGAACAUGACCCUCCAAACCGGGGAUAUUCCUUUGAAAUAUUUGGACCAUAAAACCCAAGGUUUAUUUGAAAAAUAUUUGUAAAAAGAAAAUAAACCAAUUUAGGGAUUUUCUAAAAAAACAUUUUUUGAAUUAUUUAUUUUGGUAGUGGAAAAAUGCCCAUCUUUUUGGAUUUAUUUUUCUGCAAAUUUUAAUAUAUAUUACCCCUAUAUUCUGAGGAAUAUUCCAUUUCCUUUUAAUCAUUUUAAUUUCCGUUUUAAUAAAAAUUGGAAAGUGGUCUCUUAUUAGGAAGGUACCCGGGCCACUUUAGGAAACAAAUCACGCCCAUUACUCCUCCUUCUUCCUCACGUUCAUUUCCUUCUUUAGCCAUGGCAGAAACUUCCAGGAAGCUUCCCCUCCGGGAUUCGCGAGCUUCUUUCCCUUCCGACUCCUCCCACCACCCCUAUAAGAACCCCCUCGGCCUCCUCUUUCCAUUCCCCUAAAAAAAUCUACGUUUCCCUGCCCGUAGCCUCAGCGCCACCAUUGCCAUCUUUUGUGUCAACCGGAGCUCGGCAGGAGCUGAACCACCUCGCCCCCCCCCCUCCAUGAGCUCCCUGCCUCGCCCCAGUGCCUUCCCCUACCCCCGCCGGCGACCUCCCCACCUCGUCGGAGCAGCUACCUCGCCGGAGUUCUUCCUCUCUAUCACCCAUGGUGAGAUUCACGAAAUCCCGUAUUGCAGUUUUUUCAGAAAAUUGCAAUCUUAGAAAAUUCAUAUCUAUUAGUCUAUAACUCCGAAUUAGGUGAUUCUUUUUGCGCUGGAUCAAAAAUUUUAUGUAGUUUAUGUAGAUAUAUAAUUUUUCUAUGUUUGGAUUUAUAAAAUUUUAAUUAGAUCAGAUUUGAUUUAAAGCUUGUUUUGCUUAUAACGGGAGUUUAAAAAUAGCUUUUAAAUUAAUUCUUUUUGCUACUGUUUCCUAUUGAUCAUAUCUUUCAGUAGUUUAAGUUUCAAUUUUUUUAAAUAUUUUUACUUAGGGUUUUAAGCAAAACAGAUUCUGUUUUAGCCUUUUUCGUUUUCUUGCUAUUUCUUUUGUAUUAAUUGUUCUUAAUUUGUUUUUUUUUGUAAUUGUGACAAGUUAUAUUUUGUUUUCUGAUAUUUACCAGUAACGUUUCAACAACAACAAAAUUUUAUUUUAUUUAUUCUUAUUUGUUUGCAUGGAAUCAAUUCUAGUUCUAUACUAACUUGCGAAUUGAUUGCAUUGCUAGUUUGAUUUCCUAUUUUGAAAAUACUUAUAAAAUAACAUUGUUUUGUAUAUUUUAAUUCUGUUAUAUUAGUUAUUUUAUAUUUUGUUUUAUGUUAUUUUUUCUAUUUUAGUGUUUUAUUUUCAGUUAGAACAAAAACUAUAUAGUGUUAGUAGAAGGCUUCCUAGCUUCUUUGAAGUUUCCUUUGGAUUUUUAUCCGCUCUCUCUUAUUGAUUUUUGAUUGCAUCAACUUUUAUUGCUGUUUGUUAAUUCAUUGCUAGAAUGAUUGCUAUUGUGAGUGUUUAUGUGAAUAUUAUGUUUGAUUAUAUAGAUUUCAUCGGAGAGUGACGAAUAGUUCUAUCACGUAUUUCCCAAGAACGAAAAUUCUUCUUCGGCAACAUCACCAGGCAAGUCAUUUGAUCAUGUAUCACCUAUGUUUUAUGCAUCGUAGUUCUACCAUCCUAUGCCCAAUUGCAUGCUGAGUAGGUACUUGGAAAUUAUGGUUACAUAUUGUAGUAUCAUGUGGUAGGCACCCAACAACCCCGUUACUUGGCCCGGGACGACAAAUUUCAUAUUGCUAUGCUUUAGUAGACGGGAUUCUGGUUGAGAGUUUAUCACGAGUGAUGCGAGAAUAAUUUAAUAACCAAGACCGGUUAAGUCAAGACUUUUCAAGACCUCGUGAUGCAAUGCAACUCUAGGUGAAGGACGGUUGAUCGGCUCCGUGGAGAAACCAGUGGAUGACCCGGGAUGCUGGAGACGGCCAUGACAUCUUGCGGAAAGCUUCACAUAGGCUCAAAGAGACGGACGGAUAUUUUCAAGACCCAAGGCUUACCUGCACAGCCACAAGUCAUUAUGGGCUCUGGCUUGGUUGGACAACGCGGCGACUCUGGACAGGUGGUGCUAGCAGAUGUAGAAGAACGGUAGGAUUGGAUGGGCACCGACAGGGAUUCAGAGAGACCCGUUGAAAGACCAUGUUUUGAUCAUCCGGUCUUCAAACACCCUGAAGUGCGAGGACAUACACGGAGGCGAUCAAAUCUUGUCGGGAACGUGUGCAAAACUCUGCAGAGUACUCAAACCUAAUCGAUUAGCCGUGUCCACGAUCAUGGACAACUUGAGCCAAAGGAACUGAAGUUAUCUGAAAUUCUCAACACAAAUAAUAAUAUUGAUGUGGGAAUUAUUGACAACUCGGGUACGAGAACUCGUUGGUGGAACCAUCUCGUUAACAACCAACCUUAUAGUAAUAUUUCGCUUUUAGCCCCUCUUGUUGUAGGAGAAAAUUUGCUUUACGCUAAAAACUUACAACACCACCUGCCAUAUAUGCAUAUAGUAUAGAUGAUUACUUUUCACCCCUCUCUUAUGUGACUUGCCGGCAUAUUCAAUAUGCUGACCUACACGGCUGCAACGUCUUAUGUUGCAGAUAUUUUUCUUCAACGAGUAAGAGUACGAUUCAGGGUUACGAUCUACACUCAACUUGACGUUGGUGUUUAUUGGGACUCCACUCCCUUGACUGCUUCCGCUGAGAUAUUUAAGGUAUAUAUCAGUUUUACGCUAUUUACAUGUGAUUGCACUUUGAUAUAUACAUUAAUGUACUGUGUGUGCCAGCAUACUGAUCCAGGGAUGGCACAGAUACACAGAGGCUUGACUCGUUUUGAGUCGGGUCACUACAUCUACGGUGUUUGCAAGUUGAUUUUGCUGAAAAACAGAAACUUUCGCUCUCAGUCCAGGAAUUUUAUAAAUUCGCUGGAACAUGCUUUUGAUCUAAAUUUUUACAAAAGAUUGAUUUACAAAUUUCCCUGGUUCUCCUAAUUGUUCAUAAUUUUAUGAGUUACAGAAGUAUUCGAAGUAAACAGAUUGCUAUAGACUAUUCUGUUUUUGACAGGUUCUGUUUUCUUUGUGUUGUUUGCUUAUUUUGAUGAAUUUAUGGGUUGUAUCGGGGGGUAUGAACCAUGGAGAAGUUGGAAUACAAUAAAUAUUACAUCAAUAUAAAUAAGGAAUGAGUUCACAACAGUACCUAAAGUGGUGAUUUAUUUUUCUUAUAGUAACGGAUCUCAUGAGUUUUCUGUUGAGUUUUGUGUUGUGAAGUUUUCAAGUUUUGGGUAAAGAUUUGAUGGACUAUAGAAUAAGGAGUGGCAAGAGCCUAAGCUUGGGGAUGCCCAAGGCACCCCAAGCCAUAUUCAAGUAUACCAAAGAUCCUAAGCUUGGGAAUGCCCCGGAAGGCAUCCCCUCUUUCGUCUUCAAUCCCUCGAUAAAUUUACUUGAGGCUAUAUUUUUAUUCACCACAUGAUAUGUGUUUUUCUUGGAGCAUCUUGUAUGAUAUGAGUCUUUACUUCUUAGUUUUCCACAAUCAUCCUUGCUGCACACAUAUUUUGAGAGAGAGACGCUGAAUCGUGAAUUUAUUAGAAUACUCUAUGUGCUUCACUUAUAUCUUUUUAGCUAGGCAAUGUUGCUCUAGUGAUUCACUUAUAUCUUUUAGAUCACAAUGUGUUUCAUUUUAUAGAAAUUAUUAAACUCUCAUACCUCACUUAUAUUAUUUUGAGAGUUCUUUAAACAGCAUGGUAAUUGGUUUAGGUUAUGAAUUUAGUCCUAAUAUUAUGAGAAUCCAAGAGGAAUAUAAUAAAAACUUCCAUAUUAAGUGCAUUGAGUAUGAUGAGAAGUUUGAUUCCUUGCAUAUAGUUUUGAGAUAUGAAGAUGGUAAUAUGAGAGUCAUGCUAGUAAGUAAUUGUGAAUUGGAAGAAAUACUUGCAUUAAAGCUUGUGAUUCUCGUAGCAUGCAUGUAUGGUGAACCGUUGUGUGAUGAAAUCGGAGCAUGAUUUGUUUAAUGAUUGUCAACCUUUGUGUGGAGGUCGGGAUCAUGCGAUGUUUAACUCCUACCAACCCAUCCCCUAGGAGCAUGCGUCUAAUACUUUGCUUCGAUAACUAAUAGGUUUUUGCAAUAAGUAUGUCAGUUCUUUAUGACUAAUGUUUAGUUCAUGGAUUAUACACACUCUCACCCUUCCACCUUUGCUAGCCUCUCUAGUACCGCGCAACUCUCGCCGGUACAUUAAACCCACCUUCCUCAAAACAGCCACCAUAUAUUUUCCUCCAAAUAGCCACCACACCUACCUAUUAUGGCAUGUUCAUAGCCAUUUCGAGAUAUAUUGCCAUGAAACACCACCGUCUCAUUUUUAUGACACGCAACAUCACUUCCAUAUUGCUUAUAGAGUCAUAUUUUGUUCUAGAUAUCAAGUUGAAAUAUUUGAGUUGUAAGUAAAUAAAAGUGUGAUGAUUUGCGUUAUUAGAGCAUUGUCCNNNNNNNNNNNNNNNNNNNNNNNNNNNNNNNNNNNNNNNNNNNNNNNNNNNNNNNNNNNNNNNNNNNNNNNNNNNNNNNNNNNNNNNNNNNNNNNNNNNNAAUGCUACUAUCUUUUUACACACUUGUGCUUCAAAGUACCACCAUGUUCUUCAUAGAGAGUCUCCUAUUUUGUCACUUUCAUAUAACUAGUGGAAUUUCAUCUUUUGCACAACCACUUAGUCUUCUUUUUUGAGAAUUCAUACACUUAUCGCUCUAGUGCAUUUGUUGCAUGGCAAUCCCUACUCACUCACAUUGAUACUAUUGAUGAGCAUCUCCAUAGCCCGUUGAUACUCCUAGUCGAUUUGAGACUAUCUUCUCCUCUUUCUUUUUUUGCAACCUCUAACAUAUUAUAUUUUCACCCAUAGUGUUAUAUCCAUGGCUCAUGCUCAUGUAUCGCGUGAGAGUUGAAAAGGUUUGAGAACAUAAAAAGUGUGAAACAAUUGCUUGCCCUUCAUCGGGGUUGUGCAUGAUUUAGAUACUUUGUGUUGGGAAGAUGGAGCAUAGCGAGACCAUAUUAUUUUGUAGGGAUAACUUUCUAAGACCAUGUUACUUCAAAAGGAAGCAAUUGGCUUGUUAGUAUGCUUGAAGUAUUAUUGUUUUUAUGUCAAUAUUAGACUUUUGUUUUGAAUCUUAUGGAUCUGAAUAUUCAUGCCACAAUAAAUAAUAUUACAUUGAUAAAUAUGUUAGGUAGCAUUCCACAUCAAAACUUCCAUUUUUAUCAUUGACCUACUCGAGGACGAGCACAAAUUAAGCUUCAGGAUGCUUGAUACGUCACCAACGUAUCUAUAAUUUUUAUUGUUUCAUGCUAUUAUAUUAUCUGUUUUGGAUGUUUUAUAUGCAUUAAUAUGAUAUUUUAUAUUAUUUUUGGGACUAACCUAUUAAUCUAGAGCCUAGUGCCAGUUUUUUUAUUUUUUCCAUGUUUUUGAGUAUUGCAGAUAAGGAAUAUUAAACGGAGUCCAAAUGGAACAAAAACUCCGGAAUGAUUUUUCUUGGACAAGAAGAAACCUACCACACUUGGUGUAGGGGGAAGGACACCUGCUGGGAGGCGACAAGCCUGUAGGGCGCGCCCUAGGGGGUGCCCCUGGCUUGUGGGCCCUCUACAGGUCUCCUAACCCUAAUCCUUGGCCUAUAAAUUCCCAAACAUUCUCUCAUUACCAAAGAGAGCCAAAAAAAACUUUUCCGCUGCCGAGAGCCUCUGUUCCUGUGAGAUCCAAUUUGGGAGCCUUUUCCGGUAAUUUGUCGGAGAGGGAAUUGAUCACGAAGGGCAUCUACAUCAACUCCAUUGCCCCUCCGAUGAUGUGUGAGUAGUUCACCAUAGACCUACGGGUCCAUAGCUAGUAGCUAGAUGGCUUAUUAUCUCUCUUUGUUCUUCAAUACCAUGUUCUUCAUGAUCUUCAUGGAGAUCUAUCCGAUGUAAUACUCUUUUGCGGUGUGUUUGUCGAGACUCGAUGAAUUGUGGGUUCAUGUUCAUAUUCUCUAUGCAUAUUAUUUGAGUCUUCUCUGAAUUCUUAUAUGCAUGAUUUUAUAUCUUAGCAAGUCUCUUCGAGUUAUUGGUUUGGUUUGGCAAACUAGAUUGGUAAUUCUUGCAAUGGGAGAAGUGCUUAGUUUUGGGUUCAAUCUUGCGGUGUCCUCACCCAGUAACAAAAGUUGGGGUAGCGAGCACGUAUUGUAUUGUUGCCAUUGAGGAUAAAAAGAUGGGGUUUUCAUCAUAUUGCUUGAGUUUAUCCCUCUACAUCAUGCCAUCUUACUUAAUGUGUUACUCUGUUCUUCAUGAACUUAAUACUCUAGAUGCAGGCAUGAGUCGGUCGAUGUGUGGAGUAAUAGUAGUAGAUGCGGAAUCGUUUCGGUCUACUUGACACGGACAUUAUGCCUAUAUGCAUAAUCAUUGCCUUGUAUAUAUUCAUAAUUAUUUGCUUUUCUAUGAAUUGCUCGACAGUAAUUUGUUCACCCACCGUAUUAUUAUUUUUAUGAGAGAAGCCUCUAGUGAAACCUAUGCCCCCCGGGGUCUAUUUUCCAUAUUAUACUUUGAGAUCUAUACACCAAAAAUAUCUUGCUGCAAUUUAUUUAUUUUUGUUUUAUUUUCAAAUCUAUCAAUCUUUUAUAUCUAUCUCUAUCAGAUCUUAUCCUUGCAAAUAACUCUGAAGGGAUUGACAACCCCUUUUUAGCGUUGGGUGCAAGUGUUUUAUUGUUUGUGUAGGUACUACGAUUGGGGCCUUGCUUGUUCCUCCUACUGGAUUGAUACCUUGGUUUUCAACAAACUGAGGGAAAUACUUAUCUACUUCGCUGCGUCACCCUUUCCUCUUCAAGAGAAAACCAACGCAAGCUCAAGAGGUAGCACAUACUGAUGAGUCGGCCCUUGGGGGCUACACAUGUGAAAUCUAAACAUUCUGUGACGGGAGACUCAGAUGAACAACCGAGGAUUUCUCUAAAGUUCCAACAUUUAUUUGUAAGAAAGUCUUAAGCUAUCAUUAUGUUCUACUCUUAAGACCUGGGGGCUACAUUGCGUGAAGCCUUGUGAGCACAAGAGAAAUUAUAAACUUCCAGCUUGUCGCAGGACUGGCAACCCGACACUUGGGGGAUACACUAUUUGAAGUUAGAUAUCUACAACAUUCAAGACAAACUCCAAGUCCUAGGUUUCUACAGGCAAGACAACCUGACACUUGGGGGUUGCUGGCUGAAGUUUUACAACUAUAAGACAAUUACAAGUCCUAGAUAGCUCCAAGCAAGAUAACUCGGAAGUUGAGGGCUACACAAUCAAGAUGUUAUUUUUAUGCAAAGCACCAAGUCAUCAAGAACUAGUAAACUCGGAGCUUGGGGCUACAUGUAAUAUGGAGAUAAAAAACAAAAGAACACCUUCAAGCUGUCAAUUUUGAGAGGGCCGGGUUUCAUUUUCUUGGUGAAGGUUUGCAUAGUUCAUUUCUUCCAAGUUACUCAUAGAAGGUCUAGAAGCAUUUAAAGUCGACUCGACAUCAUACGUUAUGUUCCCAAAUAUUUUCAUUAACCUGAAGCACUAAAAGUUGGCUCAACAUUGGACGGAUUUUUAUUCCAAAUUAUUAUUAUGCCGAAACACAAGAAACCGGCUCAAUUUCAGAUGGUGAAUUAUUCCCAAUAUUUUCCUACGAGGAACCAAGAUCAUCAAGUUGAUUGUGAAGCCAGCCUGUUGAUAUGACAAACAGACCCGUAUUUUUCAUGUGUCGGUUCAUUGAAUAAACUAGUCACCUGAGCGAGUCGGUCCCUUAUUUUACUAAUUAUUUUUUAUUUCAAGCGCUUACCAUGAAUGCACGCCAAGCCUGCAUUCAAGCUAACCCAGGGGGCUAAUGUCGAGGGAGUUGCCCGCGACUAGACUCGUCUGCAAGGAUAAAUCAUCUGUGGAGUAAAGUCAUUUCUGAAGUUAAGUCGGCCGAUUAAAAUCAUGACCCGACUACUAUCUUGAUCUAGUUACAAUCUUGACGCGACCUGUUACAAGACAAGUUUUCUGGCUCUGAAGAUAAGCCAGCUUUGGGGAUAAGAUGGCCCACGGAUAAGUCCGCCCAGUGAGCUAAAUAGCUCACGAAUAUGAGCCAAUUCACGAAUAUGACGACUCAAGGAUAAGCCAACUCACAAAGCUAAGCAUGAUCAUGGAGAUGAGUCCGCUCAUGGAUAAGCAGGCUCACGGAGAUGAGCCGACUCAUGGAUAACCCGACUACAUGAUAAGCUGGCUCUUAGAGCUAAGCAUGCUCACGAAGAUGAGGUGGCUCAUGGAUAAUCCGGCUCACGGAUAAGCCAACUCAUAGAGCUAAGAAGGCUCACGGAGAUGAGUCCUCUCAUGGAUAAGCCGGCUCAUGGAGAUAAGACCGCCCUAGAGAUAAUCCGGCUCAUGGAGAUGUGUCGACUCUGGAAACAAGACCCAGCUUGAGGGUGAGUCUCGACAUGGAGAGAGAAGUCCUGGUUUUGAGGAGUCCAAAUACAAGGCGGAGAACCCCAACUUGGAAGACAUGGAGGACUUAGAGGACUUAGAGUAGGACUCCAACUACUGGUAUAACCUGGAAUCUCUUGUAACCCCAGGGACUCGUCUAUUAUAUAAAGGGAGACACUGGGUCAUCAAAAGGACAAGUUUUUAGACACACAAGUCUCUAGAAAGAUGUUCUGAGGACUCGCAAGGCAGAUGUUUUGGUAGGUCUCGAGAGAGAUGCUUUGAUAGGUCUCCAGACAUAUGUUUUGAUAGGUCUCGAGAUAGAGGCAGCGAAAUAGCGCCCUUGUAAUCAUGACCACCACAAUCAAUAGCAAUCAAGCAGGAUGUAGGCCUUUCCCUCCAUUUGAGGGGCCAAACUUGGGCAAAACUCGCAUCUCUCGAUUCCGAUCAACCCCAUCCAAGCUUCCACCUAGCAGCAAUGGCCUCACAACUAUGUCCUUUUACAAGGGCAGCUGCCAUUACAAAACCACGACAAUAACCUUAUCAUGUUCUACCUUCCUCCCACUCACUUCUUUCAAGAGAACCUCUUUUUCUGGAAAGGAUCCAUUCCUCGCAACAAAGUCCUUGCCUCUGGAUCUGCUAUAGGAGGUAUACUAUUUUUGUUGCUUUAGGAUAUCUUAUGAAGAUGCACUUUUCCACUUUCGGUUCGAGCUUAUCAUACAUAAGUGUCAUAUCCCCAAACUCCAAGAAACGACAACUUAGGUUUCUCGCCAAACCAUAAUUCAUGCGGUGUCCUCUCAACGGAUUUAGAUGGUGCCCUAUUUAAAGUGAAUGUAGUUGUGUCUAUUGAAUAACCCCAAAAAUAUAGUGGCAAAUUGACAAGAGACAUCAUAGAACGCACCAUAUCCAAUAGAGUACGAUUAUGAUGUUCGGACACACCAUUACACGGUAGUGUUCCAGGUGGUGUGAGUUAUGAAAUAAUUUCCACAUUUUCUUGCAUAGCAAAUUCGUAAAUCAUAUAUUCAGAUCCACGAUCAUAUCGUAUACAUUAUAUCUUCUUGUCACAAUGAUCUUCAACUUCACUCUAAGAUUUCUUGAACUUAUCAAAAUUCCAGACUUCUGUUUCAUCAAGUAAACAUACCCGUAUAUAGUCAAAUCAUCUAUGGAGGUAAGAUAAUAACGAUAUCCACCACCUGCUUCAACACUCAUCAAACUUCAUACAUCAAUAUGUAUUAUUUCCAAUAAGUCACUUGCCCACUCCAUCGUACCGGAAAAUGGGGUCUUAGUCAUCUUGCCCAAGAGGCAUGGUUCGCAUGUCUCAAUUGAUUCAAAAUUAAAUGAGUCCAAAGAUCCAUCAGCAUGGAUUUUCUUCAUGCGCUAUACACCAAUAUGACCUAAGCAGCAGUGCCACAAGUAUGUGGUACUAUCAUCAUUAACUCUGCAUCUUUUGGCAUCAACACUAUGCACAUGUGUAUCACUAUGAUCGAGAUUUAAUAAACCAUUAACAUUGGGUGCCUAAUCAUAAAAAAUGUUAUUCAUGCAAAUAGAACAACCAUUAUUAUGUGGCUUAAAUAAAUAAUCGUCUCGCAAUAAACAAGAUCAAUAUAAUGUUCAUUCUCAACGCAUGCACCAAAUAACUUUUAUUUAGGUUUAAUACUAGUCCCUAAGGUAGAGAGAGUGUGCCGAUGGUGAUCACAUCAACCUUGGAGACACUUCCAACAGGCAUCCUCACCUUGUCCUUAGCUAGUCUCGUUUAUUCCACACCUCCUGUUUCGAGUUACUAAUAUCAGCAAAAGAACUCGUAUCAAAUACCCACGGGAUACUACAAACACUAGUGAGGCAUACAUCAAUAACAUGUAUAUCAAAUAUACUUUUGUUGACAUUGCUAGGCUUCUUAUCAACCAAGUAUCUGGGGUAGUUCCACUUUAGUGACCUUUCCCUCUUAGAACAGAAACACCCAGUCUCGGGUUUGGGUCCAACCUUGGGUUUCUUCACUGGAGCGACAACUGGCUUGCCAAUCUCGAAGUUUCCUUUCUUGCCCUUGUCCUUUGAUACGUCUCCAACGUAUCUGAAAUUUUUGAUGGUUUUAUGCUAUUAUCUUGUCAAACUUUGGAUGUUUUGUAUGCCUUUUAUAUCUUUUUUGGGACUAACUUAUUAACUCAGUGCCAAGUGUCAGUUCCUGUUUUUCCGUGUUUUUGACCCCUUUCAGAGAAGGAUUUUAAACGGAGUCCAAACGGAACGAAACUUCCAAAAAGAUUUUUUCGGAAACAGAAGACGAUCGGGAGACUUGAGAACCAAGGCAUAGGGUCAAUAGGGACCCCACAAGCCCCCUAGCCGUGACCAGGGGCCGCGCCUCCCAGGCUUAUGGGCUCCCUGGACCUCCUCUGCCCUAGGUCUUUCGCCUAUAUAUUCCCUAAAAUCCCAGAAAAAAAUCAGGAGAGCCUCGAAAACACUUUUCCGCCGCCGCAAGCUUCUGUCUCCGCAAGAUCCCAUCCGAGGCACGUUCUGGUGCCCUGCCGGAGGGGGGAUUCGGAUGCGGAGGGCUUCUUCAUCAACACCAUGACCUCUCCGAUGAUGCGUGAGUAGUUCACCAUAGACCUUCGGGUCCAUAGCUAGUAGCUAGAUGGCUUCUUCUCUCUCUUGGAUCUUCAAUACAAAGUUCUCCAUGAUCUUCAUGGAGAUCUAUCCGAUGCAAUCUUCUUUUGCGGUGUGUUUGUCGAGAUCCGAUGAAUUGUGGAUUUAUGAUCAGAUUAUCUAUGAAUCUUAUUUGAGUUUCUUCUGAUCUCUCUUAUGCAUGAUUUCAUAUCCUUGUAAUUCUCUUCGAGUUGUGGGUUUUGUUUGGCCAGCUUGAUCUAUGAUUCUUCCAAUGGGAGAAGUGCUUGGUUUUGGGUUCAUACCGUGCGGUGACCUCACCCAGUGACAGAAGGGGUAGCGAGGCACGCAUCAUGUUGUUGCCAUCAAGGGUAAAAAGAUGGGGUUUUCAUCAUUGGCUUGAGUUUAUCCGUCUACAUCAUGUCAUCUUGCUUAAGGCGUUACUCUGUUCGUCAUGAACUCAAUACACUAGAUGCAUGCUGGAUAGCGGUCGAUGUUGAAAAGACCUCGAUGACGCCUAGAGGGGGGGUGAAUAGGCUAUUUAAAAACUUCUUCGGAUUUGGCUUGAAACUAAUGCGGAAAUAAACUAAGAGGGUACUUGUCAAGCACAAAUCCUAAAUGCACUAGGCACUGCAGCGUGUAUCAACAACACGAUCUACCAAGAUGGACACAAUACAGUUACUAACAAGCAUAAGUAAGUUACACAAACUUACUUGAGCUAUAUCACACGACAAGUAGGUGAACAACACAAGAUACUAGAUCACACUAUAUCACACGAUAUAUCAAAAGCUGCAAGUAUGAACGUGUGGAUAUAGAAGGUAUGCUUGAAUGAUUAAUCUUGUACAAGAAAUAGCCAACACAAUAUAAUGAGCACAAACAAUAUGCAAUGUAUGUAUGCUCAAGUAACACAAGUAAACCACAAGUAAGGAGUUAGGGUUAAGGAUAACCAAGGUCACUGAGACGAAGAUGUAUCCCGAUGUUCACUUCCUUGGAGGGAAGCUAGUCACCGUUAGAGAGGUGGAUGUUACCACGAAGGCACACCAACGCCACGAAGGCUCACCCUAUUCUCCCUUUGAGAUAACACCACGAAGGCGUUUCUCAACCACUAGUGGUAAGCCUUUGAGGUGGCUUCCAAACCCUCACAAACUUUUCCGGGGGAAAUCACACGGAUUGAUUCCUCUCCGAAGAACUCCUACCGCCUAGGAGUCUCCAACCUCCAAGAGUAACAAGAUCACGGGGAAUGCUCAAAACUUGCUCAAAUCUCAAAUAGCUUUGCUUGGGAGGAGGAGAGGGAGACGAUCUAUCUUUUGAUUGGAACAACUCUCAAAGGGGCUCACAAAUGCUCUUGGGAUCUAAGAUUUGGUGUGAGCAAAUGUGUGUGAGGUAGAAAUGUGUUCCUAUGAGGAUAAGGCUGUCUUGGACUGCCCUCUCACGAAGUGGGAGGGGGGUAUUUAUAGUGGGGAGAGAAAAACAGCCGGUGGGGACACUUUAAGUCAUACAGGGUCCGGACGUCCGACAGUUUCCGGAAGUCCGGGCGUCCGCGAGGGGUCGGACGUCCGACAGGGGUCGGUCGUCCGAGGCAUGUAGAUAUCACUGAAAAUACUGUGAAUUGAACAGCGACCGGACAUCCGGAGAAGACUGGAAAUCCGAGUUAUUCGACUCAACUUCUUCUGGUGGGAGGUUCCAGAUUUCCGGAAGGGGACGGACGUCCGGGCCUUGGACGUCCGGGGGGAGCCGGAAAUCCGAGUUAUAGAGCUUAUGUUCUUCUGGUGCAGGGCUCCGAAUUUCCGAAAGGGGACGGACGUCCGGGCCUCGGACGUCCGGAGGGAGCCGGAAAUCCGAGUUAUAGAGCUUAUGUUCUUCUGGUGCAGGGCUCCGGAUUUCCGAAGCUGGUCGGACGUCCGGCGCUCGGAUGUCCGGAGGGAGCCGGAAAUCCGAGUUAUAGAACUCAAGUUUCUCUGGUGCGUAGUUCGGAUUUCCGAAGCUGGUCGAACGUCCGGGCCUCGGACGUCCGGAGGAGGCCGGAUGUCCGAGGCAUUGGUCCUGUUUUCUGAUAACAGCAGAGCCGUGGAGAUGUGGUAAGAGCAGAACAGUGGAUAUCUAGUUUGAGCAAGUUCAUCACAAAACCUGUGAUCCCCUCUUAAUAGUGCAGGAUCCCUAAAGACUCAAGAAUUAUAAAAGGGGUACCGAUGAUCCAUACUUGAGUGUAUACUUUUAUUCGCUGAUCAUCACUCUGCACCACUAACGUCAAAGGAACUGAUACCUUUGAGUUAGCCCUUUCACUUGAGCUUGAUGUUGUUGUUCCUUCAUGGCUCAAGUUGAAAGCAAGACAUGAUGAAGUCUUCAAGCAGCUCUCCCAUACACAAUGUGGAAAGCCUAGCUUAUGUAUUCAUCUUCAUUUGUCCACCAUGUGAACAUCCACAAGAAUCAAGCAUGUAGUGCUCAGGAAUGCUUAUCUUGAUCUUGUCCUUGUUAGCACAUGAGCUUGUCCUUAUCAACACAUGAUCAUUAACAAUAGUUUCAAUGAUAUAUUCGUGCUGAUCCACUUGAACUUGCACACCACAAUCUUGAUGACGAUCGCCACUUGACGUCAUCCUUCAUGAGUUGUAUGAGAUCUUCCUUUUGACGCAAGCCCAUGGAAGCACACCUAACCCCCACAUAGGAGUCUCACAAAGACCAUGGGUUAGUACACAAACACGUAAUGGACAAUGCUUACCAUACCAUGGGAUCACUUGAUCCCUCUCAGUACAUCUUAUACGCUUUGUGUGUUGAUCAUCUUGAUUUACUCUUUGUCUGAGAUCUUGAUCAACCUAGUGUCUCUAUGACCAUUCUUUGGAUAAUACCUUGAAUACCAUCUUGGCCAUCAUAUAAACUCCUUGAACCCAACAGAUGGACUUCAAGAAGUGCCUAUGGACAAAUCCUAUAAAUAUAACUUAAGGCAACCAUUAGUCCAUAGGAAUUCUCAUCAAUUACCAAAACCACAUAUGGAGAUAUAUGCUCUAACAGAUGUGUGGAGUAAUAGUAGUAGAUGCAGAAAGUAUCGGUCUACUUGUCUCGGACGUGAUGCCUAUAUGUAUGAUCAUUGCCUUAGAUAUCGUCAUGACUUUGCGCGGUUCUAUCAAUUGUUCGAGAGUAAUUUGUUCACCCACCGUAAUAUUUGCUAUUUUGAGAGAAGCCUCUAGUGAACACUAUGGCCCCCGGGUCUACUUCACAUCAUUUUUUCAGCCUUACACUUUUACUUCGUUGCACUUUCCGCCUUCAGAUCUCACUUUGCAAUCAAUCUUGAAGGGAUUGACAACCCCUUCAUAGCGUUGGGUGCAAGCUCUUUUGUGUUUGCGCAGGUACUCUGGACUUGACGCGAUUCUCCUACUGGAUUAAUACCUUGGUUCUCAAACUGAGGGAAAUAUGUACUGCUCCUGUGCUGCAUCACCCUUUCCUCUUCAAGGGAAAAACCAACGCAAGCCCAGUCUCCGUCAACGUGUCAAUUCCUGGCGCUCUUGUCUGUUGCCGUAGCAUCCUUCUUGAAAUUAGUGGUUUUACUAACCAUCAACACUUGAUGCUCCUUCUUGAUUUCUACCUUCGCAGUGUAAAACAUCGUAAAUAGCUUAGGAUCAUAUUCUCCACCCCUUGCAUGUUAUAGUUCAUCAUAAAGUUGUAGUAGCUUGGUGGCAGUGAUUUGGAGAACUCUCUCAAUCACUAUCUUAUCAGAAAGAUUAACUCCCACUUUAUUCAAGCGAUUGUAGCACCCAGACAGUAUGAGCACAUGCUUACUGAUUGAGCUAUUCUCCUCCAUAUUGCAUCCAAAGAACUUGUCAGAUGUGUCAUACCUCUCAACACGGGCAUGAGCUUGAAAUUCCAAUUUUAGCUCUUGGAACAUCUCAUAUGCUCUGUGAUGUUCAAAACGUCUUUGGAACCUCAAUUCUAAGAUGCGAAGCAUGACGUACUGAACUAUCAAGUAGUCAUCAAAACAUGCAUGUCAGAUGUUCACAACACCCACAUACGACGCUUGAUGGGGUGGCGCACCGAGCGGUUGAUACGUCCCAAACAUAUCUAUAAUUUAUGCUUGUUCCAUGAUCUUUUGGGUGACAUUGUUAUAUGUUUUGCUACACUUUUAUACCUUUUUACACAUAUUUGGACUAACCUACUAACUCAGUGCACCUAGUUCCAGUUUCUGUGUGAUGAUGUCUUUUUUGCAGGGACUUUUACCCCAAUUUACAGAGUCCCAAAAAUCCCAAGAAAAAUAUAUAAAAAUCAGUGUGACGGAAGCUUCAUGAGCACCAAAGGUGGGCCAGAGGGGAGCCAGGCCCUGCCCAGGCGGCCUCCCUACGCGGGUCACCCCCUGGCCACGCCACCAGACCGCCUGGGUGGGGCCCACCUCCUUUGGUGUCCUCCUUCGGCCUAUAUUUACCUCUUCGAUGGGAAACCCUUCCAUAAGAUCCUGAAUCACGAAUUUCUCCAUCGUUCCGCCGCCGCAGCGCUCCCGAGAUCGGGAGCGCCAGAAGAACUCUUCCCGACACCCUGUCGGAGGGAGGAUUGACCUCCGGGAGCUUCUCCACCGCCAUGGACGCUUCCCGGACGUGCCGUGAGUAGUCCUCCUUGGACCAUGAGUCCAUGAUCAGUAGCUAUGUGAUGUCUUCUCUCCAAUCAUGUGCUUCAAUGUUUAGCCCUUGUGAGCUGCCCUACAUGAUCAAGGCAUCUAUGUAAUUUUCCUGUUGUUGCUAUGCUUCGUUUGCUCGGAUCCGAUGGAUUAUGAGAUUAUGUUCAGAUUGUGAUGAGUUAUAUAUUUGAUUAUUUAUUUAUAUUAUGUUGUUUAGUGAUUCAUGCAUGUUCUCCAUUGCUUUUUAUUGCUUUGGCCGAGUAGUAGAUUGUAACUCCAAGAGGGAGCGUUAUGCAUGAUUGUNNNNNNNNNNNNNNNNNNNNNNNNNNNNNNNNNNNNNNNNNNNNNNNNNNNNNNNNNNNNNNNNNNNNNNNNNNNNNNNNNNNNNNNNNNNNNNNNNNNNACAAUCAUGCAUAACGCCCCCUCUUGGAGUUACAAUCUACUACUCGGCCAAAGCAAUAAAAAGCAACGGAGAACAUGCAUGAAUCACUAAACAACAUAAUAUAAAUAAAUAAUCAAAUAUAUAACUCAUCACAAUUUUAACGUAAUCUCAUAAUCCAUCGGAUCCGAGCAAACCAAGCAUAGCAACAACAGGAAAAAUUACAUAGAUGCCUUGAUCAUGUAGGGCAGCUCACAAGGGCUAAACUUUGAAGCACAUGAUUGGAGAGAAGACAUCACAUAGCUACUGGUCACAGACUCAUGGUCCAAGGAGGACUACUCACGUCACGUCCGGGAAGCAUCCAUGGCGGUGGAGAAGCUCCCGGAGGUCAAUCCUCCCUUCGACAGGGUGCCGGGAAGAGGUCUUCUGGCGCUCCCGAUCUCGGGAGCGCUGCGGCGGCGGAACAAUGGAGAAAUUCGCGAUUCUGGAUCUUAUGGAAGGGUUUCCUAUCGAAGAGGUAAAUAUAGGCCAAAGGAGGGCACUAUAGGAGGUGGGCCCCACCCAGGCGGCCUGGUGGCGCGACCAAGGGGUGACCCGCGCAGGGAGGCCGCCUGGGCAGGGCCUGGCUCCCCUCUGGCCCACCUUUGGUGCUCGUGAAGCUUCCGUCACGCUGAUUUUUAUAUAUUUUUCUCGGGAUUUUCGGGACUCUGUAAAUUGGGGUAAAAGUCCCUGCAAAAAAAGACAUCAUCACACAAAAACUGGCACCGGGUGCACUGAGUUAGUAGGUUAGUCCAAAUAUGUGUAAAAAGGUAUAAAAGUGUAGCAAAACAUAUAACAAUGUCACCCAAAAGAUCAUGGAACAAGCAGAAAUUAUAGAUAUGUUUGGGACGUAUCAACAUCCCCAAGCUUAAUUCCUGCUUGUCCUCGAGUAGGUAAAUGAUAACACAAAUAAUUUCUGUGGUGACAUGCUAACACACAUAUAAGAACUUCAAAGUAAAGCAAGUAAGAUAUGCAAUUCAAGUCAAGACAAUAAGAAUCAAGAGUCUAUAUUUACUAUUGAAAAUAGCAAAGUAAGAACAUAAAGGUGCAAGAGCUCUCGCUGUCAGUGACUCGAAUGUCUCCAAAUGGUGUUUGCAUGCAAGAAAUGGGAGAUGGGUUUAGAGCAUACAAAUAUUUUUUAAUUGAGAACUCAAUCUACUAAUCUUCACACUUUGUCUCCUUCGGAAUCUUAUUUUGACUCAUCCCCAGACUACUAGUCAGGCACAAGUCAAAAUGAUCCUCUCCCUUUCGACUCUGAGCACUCAUGCAAUGGAUGAGCGCAAGCAAGAUAUGUUGGCACUUAGGAUGGCAAAGAGAAUAAUGAUGGGGAAGGAAGACAAAAAUGUGUGAAAGUCUCACAUCAAUGAGGACAACGAUAGGCGAGAGAAAGCCAAAUGAUAGAUAUGAUGUGAGGAGUAGGGAUUGCCAUGCAACGGAUGCACAUAUGAGCUAAGGUAAGCUCUCCAAUGGAACUAGUGGGGGUGCAUCCAACUUGCUUGCUCAUGAAGACCUAGAGCUCAUUUGAGGAGGCUCAUCAUUGGAAUAUACAAGUCCAGUUAUAUAGUGUAAGGGUCCCCACAUAGUUAUGCAUGAAUGAUAAUCUCUAUGGAGUACAAAUAUAACAAUGGAGUACGAGUGUGGAUCUUUCAAAAGGAAUAGUAGUGUUGCCCCCUUCUCUCUUUUUAUUUCUUUUAUUUUUACUUUUUUGUGGCCUCUUUGGCUCUUUCUAUUUAUCUCUCAUUUGUCCUCUUUGGGAUCUUUUCAUUUGUCCUCUUUGGGAUCUUUUAAUUUGUGCUCUUUGGGAUCUUUUACUCACUUUAGGGAAACACUCUAUGUUUUACAAGAAUAAAAAGAAGAUCUUCACACUUUAUAAGAAGUACUCAACAUAAAGACAAAUGAAAACUAUCAUGAUGUAUGCAAAUGUAUGCCUCUGCCAGUGUAGCAAGAUAUGCAAUGAAACUAGUGCGUCAUGUAGCAAUAAUAAGCGCAAGGACCAACUAGCAUACGACUCCUCGAUCAAGCAAAAGCAUGUAUGACAUGAAGAUCAAGUCAUGAGAUAGUGGAUGUUGCAUGGCAAUGUAUCUCGGUAAGGCUAUGAACAUGCCUUAAUAGGUAGGUAUGGUGGCUAUUUUGAGGAAUGAUAUAAUGAGUCUUAUGAUCACAGAGCGUAUCAUGACAAGGGUUUGGAUGCACCAGCGAAGUUUGCACCAACUCUCAAGAUGAGAAAGAGCAAUGCACGGUACCGAAGAGGCUAGCAAAAUAUGGAUGGUGGAAGUGCCAACAAUCGAAUACUCGCAUUAGUCCGAAGAACUCACGCACUUAUUAUCUGUAACUAUCUAUGUAGUUAGGAGAUUCACAAAGAGACAAGUACCCCGAGGAGGAGUGUUUGGGGGUUUGGUUAUCCUUGCGCAUCCUCGACCCAUGGUAACGUGAGGGUACUCUAUAUAUUCCAACCCCUCCAGAGGUUAGCGAUCCAUCUAGUAGCUAGAGUUCUCAACUAAUUUUCUUUUCUAUUUUUAAGAACACAUGGAUUCCCCAAAAUAUGACACCUAUCACUAAUAGUCUCAAGCUCUUGACACCAAUAUUCCAAACAUUACUCAAAUCAAUACCUCAAAACUAUUGCAAGUUACUACUAUACUUAAAUAGCAACCUCAAUUACCUACUCAUGCAAGACACACAACUCAGUGCAACAAGCCAACUCUCUAAACAAGAUAAGCAUGAUAACUCAAGAGAGUUCCAAAAGCAACCAAAAUUAAAGCUCUUAAAAAGAUAAAGCAUGAAAACUAAGAGCUAAGCAUGACAACAACUAUGAAAAGAUAAAGAACACACAAAAAGAAUAAGCAUGAAAACCUAUGUUGUGUUCUAGGGUGGAGUGGAGCGUGUUUCUCUCCAAAACAAAGAAGGAUAGAUUCCAACUUGGUAUGAGCAGCAAACAAAACUAAAACAAACUAAAAAGUAAAGAGCGGGACGCUCCAAGUAUAGCACAUAACAUAUGAAGUGAUAAAAAUAUAGCAUGGAGAAGGACGAACUGAUGAUUGUUGAUGGAGAAGGGGAUGCACGGGGGCAUCCCCAAGCUUAGACACUUGAGUCUCCUUGAAUAUUUCUUGGGGGUGCAUGGGGGCAUCCCCAAGCUUGAGUGCUUGACACUCCUGGAUCUUCUUUCAGCAUCUUCCAUCGCAUACUUGAAAACUCCUUUCAUACGGAACUCAUCAUAAGCUGAUUAGAGUGGUUAGCACCCAUAAUAAAAUAAUUUAUUCCCUACUGUAAAUAAAUAUUUUCAUGAAGAGCUACUGUUUCUCAAGAUUGCCAAAAGGUUUUUGCAAAGAAAAGGCAAGCUUAAGAUUUGCAAAACAAUGAAAACGCAAAACGUGGCAGAAUCUGUGAAAAAACAGAACAUAAGGUAGUAAAUAAUUGUUUCGGGGAACUUCUGCAACUCAAAUAAAAAACUCAGAACAUAAGCCAAAAAGACAAUUGUAUAGAUCAUACGGUCAAAAAGAUUCAGACCGAAAGAUGAUCUGGUGAUUUUUGGCGAAUUUUUUCGUCAAGCAGACAGAAUCUGUUUCUAGACAGCAUGUCACAACUUUUGAACUUUCUUGCAAUCAUAGGCUAAAACUUGGCACAAAGCUUGAAAAUAAAGAUACAAUGAUGUUGCUACAGUAGUAACAAGCAUCAAGACCACUAAAAUUUAAAGUAAAAACAAAUUGGGUUGCCUCCCAACAAGCGCUUUCUUUUAUGCCUUUGAGCUAGGCAUGAUGCAAAAAGAUCAUGUAUUAUCAACUCCAUAAGAAUAACUUGCUCAGAUAACAGACUCAUAAGGUAACUUAAAAUUCUUUCGAGUGAAGUGUUCCAUUCCCUUUUUAAGGGGAAAUUGGAAUCUAAUGGCCCCUUCUUUCAUGUCAAUGAUAGCACCAACGGUGCGGAGAAAAGGACGUCCCAAAAUAAUUGGACAUGAGGGAUCACACCCAAUGUCCAUAAUAAGAAAAUCAACGGGAACAUAAUUAUCAUUGACAACAAUAAGAACAUCAUCAAUUCCCCCUAAAGGUUUCCUUAUGGAAGAAUCAACAAGAGGAACACCAAAAGAACAUUGAUCAUAAGGUUUCAAAUCAAGCAUAUCAUACAUUGUUUUGGGCAUAACAAAGGCACUAGAUCCAACAUCACAUAAAGCAAAGCAAGAGAGAUUAUUCAAUUUAAUCUUGACCACAGGAUCCCAACCAUAUUCUAGUUUUCUAGGAAUAGAAGUCCCUAGCUUGAGCUUCUCCUCCCUAGAUUUAUUAAGAGCAUUGGUAAUAUGCUCGGUGAAGGCAAUAUUGAGUGUACUAGUGUGGGGGUCUUUAGCCAUUCUUUGCAAAAAAGUGAUAACUUCGAAAAGACUACAAUUAUCAAAAUCAAGAUUACUACCAUUAAUUAAAGUGGUGGUGAUGUCAUCUAAGAUCAUUCUUUUGGUAGUCUCUAAGUUCAAAGGACCUUCUUGUCCUAAAGUUGAGGUAUUAACAUCACCAUUAAUAGGACCAUUGGGACUGGGGAUGUGAUGGGUGCUAAUAGUUUUGAGAUCCUCAACAACUUGUAUAGUAGCAAGGGUAGUGUGUGUAGGAAGGCUCUUAAUCCUAUCUUCCUCUUAUUUUUCUCUAGCCCAUCUAUCCUUAAGUUUGGAUAGCAUUCUUAUGUUCUCAUUAAUUUGGACUUGGAUAUCAUUCAUGGGUGUGGUUUUCCUUUCCUCAAGGGGGGAAGUUCUAAUUUUAAGCAUCUCUACAUCAUGAGCUAUGUUGUCUACCUUCAAAGAGGGACUAUCUAAUUUUUCUAAUUUCUCUUCUACACUCUUGUUGAAGUCUUUUUGACAAGUGAUAAAGUAUUUAAGCAUGCUCUCUAAUUCAGAAGUGGAGUUUUUGGUGCUAGGAUAAGUGUUGUUGUUCCCAUAGUUGUUGGAUGGGAACGGUCUAGGAUUGCUACCAAAAUUACUCAUAUAGGCAUUAUUAUUAAAGUUGUUCCUAGAGAUAAAAUUAACAUCAACUUGCUCUCUUUCCUGAGCAACCAAGGAAUUUAAAGGAACAUCAUGAGGAUCAAUAGGAGCGUGCUUAGUAAGUAAAGUCAUGAUCAUGUCAACCUUAUCAUUAAGGGAGGAGAUCUCCUCAACAGAGUUUACCUUCCUACAUGUUGGAGCUCUCUCGGUGUGCCAUUGAGAAUAAUUUGUCAUCAUCUCGUCGAAUAGUUCCAUGUCAGCACCAAGUGUAGUUGACAUAAAGGUUCCUCCCGCGGCCGAGUCUAACAGAUUCCGCGAGGUAAAGUUCAAUCCUACAUCGAAAGUUUGGAUAACCAUCCAAGUAGUCAAAUCAUGUGUAGGGCAAUUCUUAACAAGGGAUUUCAUACGUUCCCAAGCUUGGGCAACAUGUUCAUUAUCCAGGUGCCUAAAAUUCAUAAUGUUAUCUUAACUGGAUAAUCUUAGCAGACGGGUAAUACUUCCCAAUAAAAGCAUCUUUGCACUUAUCCCAAGAAUCUAUGCUAUUCCUAGGCAAAGAUUGAAGCCACACUUUAGCUCCUCCUCUCAAGGAGAAAGGAAAAAAGCUUAAGUUUAACAAUAUCACCAUCUACUUCUUUAUAUUUUGCAUAUCACAAAGCUCAACAAAAUUAUUCAAGUGUAAAGCAGCAGCAUCUCCAGCACCGGAGAAUUGAGGUUUCAUAACAAGGUUCAGUAAAGCAGGUUUAAUCUCAUAAGAGGUUGCCCCAGUGGCGGGAGCAGCAAUAGGAGUGCAGAUAAAGUCAUUGUUGUUGUGACUAGUGAAGUCACACGACUUGGUGUUUUCAGUGGAACCCAUAGCAGCAGCAACAAGCAAGAACAAAGCAACUAUUUUUUUUGUGGUUUUUGGUAUAAGACUCUAAAGAAAAAACUAGAAAGCAAACUAACAAGACUAAAAAGAAAAGGUAAAGGAUAGAGUGCAACUCCCCUAUCUUGAAGACUGGAGUCCCCGGCAACGGUGACAAAAAUUUGCUUGAUGACGAGUUGAUGGAUAUACUUCUCGCCCCUCGUUGGUUACCCCAAGUGGAAGGUGGAGAUGUAGUCAGCAACAUAUUUCCCUUACACGGAGAUUGUAAGGUUUAUCGAACGAGGAGGACUCUGAGGAUCAACAAGUAGGUGUCUGCUGCUCUGGCGCUAGCACAAGAUGUGGACCUGCACACACAACAAAUAACUUUGCUCUCAACGAGUACAGAUAGGUUGUCAAUCUCUCAGGCCUUGUAGUUUGCAANNNNNNNNNNNNNNNNNNNNNNNNNNNNNNNNNNNNNNNNNNNNNNNNNNNNNNNNNNNNNNNNNNNNNNNNNNNNNNNNNNNNNNNNNNNNNNNNNNNNAGUGACAGAAGGGGCAGCAAGGCACGCAUCAUGUUGUUGCCAUCAAGGGUAACAAGAUGGGCUUUCAUCAUAGAUUUGAGAUUGUCCAUCUACAUCAAGUCAUCUUGCUUAAGGCNNNNCUCUGUUCUUAUGAACUCAAUACACUAGAUACAUGCUGGAUAGCGGUCGACAUGUGGAGUAAUAGUAGUAGAUGCAGAAAGUAUCGGUCUACUUGUCUCGGACGUGAUGCCUAUAUGUAUGAUCAUUGCCUUAGAUAUCNNNNNNNNNNNNNNNNNNNNNNNNNNNNNNNNNNNNNNNNNNNNNNNNNNNNNNNNNNNNNNNNNNNNNNNNNNNNNNNNNNNNNNNNNNNNNNNNNNNNNNNNNNNNNNNNNNNNNNNNNNNNNNNNNNNNNNNNNNUUCUAUCAAUUGCUCGACAGUAAUUCGUUCACCCACCGUCUACUUGCUUUCAUGAGAGAAGCCACUAGUGAACACUACGGCCCCCGGGUAUAUUCACAACUAUCGUCUCCACUUUCACUUUUACUUUGCUUUGUUUUCUUUUUGCUUUCAGUUCUCACUUUGCAAACAAUCUAUAAGGGAUUGACAACCCCUUCAUAGCGUUGGGUGCAAGCUCUUUGUGUUUGUGCAGGUGCUUGUGACUUGACACGAUCCUCCCACUGGAUCGAUACCUUGGUUCUCAAACUGAGGGAAAUACUUACCGCCGCUGUGCUACAUCACCCUUUACUCUUCAAGGGAACACCAACGCAAGGCUCCAAGGCCGCGGGGAAAUCCUUUGCAUAUUUGCCAAGGAAGUCCCUAUAGGCGUAGCCCGUAGCAGAAGGAUUCCUCGCGUCGUUGCCAGGGAAGGUCUGUUGACGCAGUAGCAGAAGGAUUACUGGCGCCGUUUCAGGGAGGAGGAUCACUUGCCGAGGAGUAUCAAGACAAGAAUAAUGUCCCGUCAACACACCUAUUUCUGGUGCGGGGAAGAGAGAUCAAGUCAAGAUCUAUCCAAGUAGGUGUCACAAACUCAUCUCUUGCAUUUACCUUUUUUGCCAGUUGCCUCUCGUUUUCCUCUCCCCCACUUCACAUUUGCCGUUUUCAUUUGCCUUUCUCCUUUGCCGUUUUCAUUUGCCUUUUGUCGUUUUCCUUUGCCUGUUUUCUUGCUUGCUUGUGCUCUUGUUGGUUUGUUGAAGUCAUCAUGGCUGAAAACACCAAACUUUGCGACUUUUCGAGUACUAAUAAUAAUAAUUUUAUUAGUACUCCGAUUGCUCCCCCCACUAGUGCGGAAUCGUAUGAAAUCAACGCUGCCUUGCUAAAUCUUGUUAUGAAAGAGCAAUUCUCUGGCCUUCCUAGUGAAGAUNNNNNNNNNNNNNNNNNNNNNNNNNNNNNNNNNNNNNNNNNNNNNNNNNNNNNNNNNNNNNNNNNNNNNNNNNNNNNNNNNNNNNNNNNNNNNNNNNNNNNNNNNNNNNNNNNNNNNNNNNNNNNNNNNNNNNNNNNNNNNNNNNNNNNNNNNNNNNNNNNNNNNNNNNNNNNNNNNNNNNNNNNNUUUUUCCUUUCUCGUUGCGAGAUCGUGCGAAAACUUGGUUUUCUUCUUUGCCUAAAAAUAGUACCGAUUCUUGGGAUAAGUGCAAAGAUGCUUACAUAUCCAAGUAUUUUCCACCGGCUAAGAUUAUCUCUCUACGUAACGAUAUCAUGAAUUUCAAGCAACUUGAUCAUGAACAUGUUGCACAAUCUUGGGAGAGGAUGAAGUUACUGAUUAGAAAUUGUUCCGCUCAUGGCUUGAGUUUGUGGAUGAUUAUACAAAUCUUUUACGCUGGUUUGAAUUUUGCUUCUCGCAAUAUCUUGGACUCCGCCUCAGGUGGAACAUUCAUGGAAAUCACGUUAGGAGACGCUACAAAACUCCUAGACAAUAUCAUGACCAACUACUCUCAGUGGCACACUGAAAGGUCACUGCUAGCAAAAAGGUACACGCUAUAUAAGAAAUUAACUCGCUUAGUGCUAAGAUGGACGAGUUGAUGAAUUUGGUUGCUAGUAGAAAUGCUCCUUUAGAUCCUAAUGACAUGCCACUAUCUUCCUUGAUUGAGAGUAGCAACGUUAGCUUGGACGUUAAUUUUGUUGGUAGGAACAAUUUUGGCAACAACAAUGCUUUUAGAGGAAACUAUGUUCCUAGUCCUUUUCCUAGUAACUCCUCUAACAAUUAUGGCUAUUCCUACAACAACACUUAUGGAAAUCACAACAAAUUACCCUCUGANNNNNNNNNNNNNNNNNNNNNNNNNNNNNNNNNNNNNNNNNNNNNNNNNNNNNNNNNNNNNNNNNNNNNNNNNNNNNNNNNNNNNNNNNNNNNNNNNNNNNNNNNNNNNNNNNNNNNNNNNNNNNNNNNNNNNNNNNNNNNNNNNNNNNNNNNNNNNNNNNNNNNNNNNNNNNNNNNNNNNNNNNNNNNGAAAAACUACUCAAAAUAGACGAUUUGGCUAAGAGCGUUGAUAGGAUGUCUUGUGAUAUUGAUGCUUUGAAAGUUAGAUGUGCUCCUUCCAAGGUCAACUAGGAUGAAACUUUAAAAGCUAUGCGUGUCUCCAUGAAUGAGAGCAAAGAAAGAACCGCCCAAAUUCGCGCUAGGCAUGAAUGGUUUAAAAGGGCGCGUUCUAGUGAUGCAAAUCACGAAGAUCUUAAAGUGCUUGGUGUGACUCCUCUUGAAUCUUUGUUUUCUCGUGUCAAGCCUAUUGAUGAAGGGGCUGGAUAUGAAUCCACUUUGGUUGAAAAACGCACCAAUGAUUCGGAGUCCACCUAUCUUGAUGAUAAAGGUGUGGAGAGUGGAGUAGAAGAAAUCAAAAUAUUGGGUAGUAAUGAAACUCCCACUUUGGAUUUCAAGGAAUUCAAUUAUGAUAGUUGCUCCUUGUUUGAAUGCAUUUCUUUGAUGCAAUCCAUUGCAAACUCCCCACAUGCUUAUAGCCAAAGCAAAGCCUUUACCGCACAUAUCGUAGAUGCUAUGAUGAAAUCUCUUGAAGAGAAGCUCGAAUUAGAAGUCUCCAUACCUAGAAAACUUCAUGAUGAGUGGGAACCUACUAUCAAAAUCAAGAUCAAAAACUAUGAAUGCAAUGCUUUGUAUCAUUUGGGUGCUAGUGUUUCCGCGAUUCCAAAGUCUUUAUGUGAUAAUCUUGGUUUUGAUGAGAUUGAAGAGUGUUCUCUUAAUUUGCAUCUUGCGGAUACUACUGUCAAGAAACCCAUGGGAAGGAUCGAUGAUGUUCUUAUUGUUGCAAAUAAGAACUAUGUACCCAUGGAUUUCAUUGUACUUGACAUAGAUAGCAAUCCUUCAUGUCCCAUUAUUCUUGGUAGACCUUUCCUGAGGACUAUUGGUGCUAUCAUCGAUAUGAAGGAAGGGAAUAUUAGAUUUCAAUUUCCUCUAAAGAAUGGCAUGGAGCAUUUUCCUAGAAAUAAAAUAAGAUUGCCUUAUGAAUCUAUGAUGAGGGCUACUUAUGGUUUGAGCACCAAGGAUGACUAUACGUGAUUCCAUCACCUUUUGCCUAGCUAAGGGCGUUAAACAAUAGCGCUUGUUGGGAGGCAACCCAACGAAUCUAUCAUUUUUCUUUCUGUUUUGUGUUUUCCACACUUUCAUAAUUCUGGUAUGAUUGUGUUUUUUGUGUUUCUUUUGCGUUUGUGCCAAGUAAAACCGUUAUGAUUAGUCUUGGGGAUGAUCGUUUGGUCAUGCAGGAAAAGACAAAAACUUUCUGCUCACGAAAAGAAUUUUAAUUUUUUUCUGUAAGAGCUUUUGAGUUGAUUCUUUUUGCUACUGAUUGCUACGCAAAUUCUUCAGACUGUCGUAAUUUGUCAGAAUUUUUGAAGUACCAGAGGUAUACGAAACAUACAGAUUGCUACAGACUGGUCUGCUGUUAACCGAUUCUGUUUUUGUUGUGUUGGUUGCUUAUUUUGACAAAAAUCUGGAUAUUAUCGGCGGUAUUAGCCAUGGAAGAUUGAAAAUACAGUAACCCAACAUCAACAUAAGUAGAAUUUAAGUUUGCUACAGUACCUAAGGAAGUGGUGGUUUGCUUUCUUAUACUAAUGNNAUCACGAGUUUCUGUUUAAGUUUCGUGUUGUGAAGUUUUCAAGUUUUGGGUGAAGCUCUUAUGGACAAAGAGANNNNNNNNNNNNNNNNNNNNNNNNNNNNNNNNNNNNNNNNNNNNNNNNNNNNNNNNNNNNNNNNNNNNNNNNNNNNNNNNNNNNNNNNNNNNNNNNNNNNUUGAGGGCAAGACUUUACUUCUUGGAUCUUUCAGAUUCCUCGUAGUGAUUAGCAGACGUAAAUCCCAAGUGACUCAGAGAAUAUAGCUAUGCCUCCCCGGCAACGGUGCCAAAAAAGGUCUUGAUAACCCACAAGUAUAGGGGAUCGCAACAGUUUUCGAGGGUAGAGCAUUCAACCCAAAUUUGUUGAUUCGACACAAGGGGAAGCCAAAGAAUAUUCUCAAGUAUUAGCAGUUGAGUUGUCAAUUCAACCACACCUGACAGACUUAGUAUCUGCAGCAAAGUUUCAGUAGCAAAGUAGUGUGAUAGCAACAGUAGCAACGGUAACAGUGACAGCAGUAACGGUAACAGUAGCAGCAGUGACAGCAGUGACAACAGUAGUGGCAAAGUAACGUAGCAAGGACCGGUAGGAAAAACUCAUAGGCAUUGGAUCGAUGAUGGAUAAUUAUGCUGGAUGAAAUUCAUCAUGCAACAGUUAUAACAUGGGGAGAUAUGUAACUAGCUCCAGUUCAUCAAUGUAAUGUAGGCAUGCAUUCCGUAUAUAGUCAUACGUGCUUAUGAAAAGAACUUGCAUGACAUCUAUUGUCCAUCCCUCCCGUGGCAGCGGGGUCCUAAUAGAAACUAAGGGAUAUUAACGUUCUCCUUUUAAUAGAGAACCGGAACAAAGAUUAGCACUUAGUGAAUACAUGAACUCCUCAUACUAUGGUCAUCUCCGGGAGUGGUUCCGGCUAUUGUCACUCCGGGGUUGCCGGGUCAUAACACAUAGUAGGUGACUACAACUUGCAAGAUACGAUCAAGAACACACAUAUAUUGAUGAGAACAUAAUAGGUUCAGAUCUGAAAUCAUGGCACUCGGGCCCUAGUGACAAGCAUUAAGCAUGGAAAAGUAGUAGCAACAUCAAAUCUUAGAACAUAGUGGAUACUAGGGAUCAAUCCCCAUCAAAACUAACUCGAUUACAUGAUAGAUCUCAUCCAACCCAUCACCUUCCAGCAAGCCUACGAUGAGAUUUCUCACGAACGAUGAAGAGCAUCAUCGAAUUGGCGAUGAAGGAUGGUUGAUGAUGAUGAAGGCGUCGAUUCCCCCUCUCUGGAGCCCAGAACGGACUCCGGAUCUGCCCUCCAUAGGAAGAACAGGUGGUGGCAGCGGCUCCGUAUCGUAAAACACGAUGAACUCUCCUCCCUGAUUUUUUUCGGGCGAGACAGACUAAAUAGAGCUGGAAUUGGAGGCGGCGGAGCCCCCGAGGGGCUCACAAGCCUGCCAGGUGCGGUCAGGGGGGGCGCACCUCCUGGGCUUGUGGGCUCCUCGCUCCGUCCCUCCAGGUAAUUCUUGUGCCAGCAUUUUUUAUAUAUUCCACAAAAAAUCCUCGUAAAUUUCCUGGUCAUUCCGAGAACUUUUAUUUCUGCGCAAAAACAACAACAUGGCAAUUCUGCUGAAAACACCGUCAGCCCGGGUUAGUUCCAUUCAAAUCAUGCAAAUUAGAGUCCAAAACAAGGGCAAAAGAGUUUGGAAAAGUAGAUACGAUGGAGACGUAUCAACUCCCCCAAGCUUAAAACCUUGCUUGUCCUCAAGCAAUUCAGUUGACAAACUGAAAGAGACAAAAGAAAAACUUUACGAACUAUGUUUGAUCUUGUUGUUGUAAUUGUGUCUAACUCAUAUCCAGAUUUUCAGCAAGAUCAUAAGCUAACCACAUAAGCAAUGACAUUUUGGUCUCAAGAUGGACUCAUAUCAAUGGCAUAAUCAACUAGCGAGCAAUAAUAAUAAGUUUCAAACGUCAACACUUCAAUCAGAACAAUCAUGAAGCAAUACGAACAGAUGGUAUCUCGCUAGCUCUUUCUCACACCGCAAAACAUAAAUGAGAGCACCUUCAAAGACCAAGGGCUGACUGAGCAUUGUAAUUCAUGGCAAAGAAGAUCCAGUCACAGUCAUACUCAAUAACAAUUAAAAUCAAAGCAUAAAAAUGACAGAGAUGCUCUCUAAUUGGUGCUUUUAUAAGAAGAGGAUGACUCAACAAAAACAUAAAUAGAUAGGCCCUCCGCAGAGGGAAGCAUUGAUUUGCAGAGGUGCUAGAGCUCAAGCUUUUAAAACAGAGAUAAAUAAUUUUGGGUGGCAUGCUUUCAUUGUCAAUGCAAACCAAUAGUUUUCACCAUCUUCCAUGCUACGCACACUAUAGGCGGUUCCCAAACAGAAAAGUAAANNNNNNNNNNNNNNNNNNNNNNNNNNNNNNNNNNNNNNNNNNNNNNNNNNNNNNNNNNNNNNNNNNNNNNNNNNNNNNNNNNNNNNNNNNNNNNNNNNNNAGGAAUAUCACUCUCAUUGAAUCUUCGGAGAGAAUUUACCUCUACUACCUAUGUUGGGUUAUCAAGACCGUGUAUUACUUUUAUAGGUGGUAGAUUCUUGACAUCUUCAGAUUUAAUGCCUUUCUCUUGCAUAGAUUUCUUAGCUUCUUGCAUAUCUUCAGGACUGAGGAAUAGGAUACCUCUUUUCUUCGAAGUUGGCUUCGGAGGUGGUUCGGGAAUAGUCCAAGCAUUCUCAUUGCACAAGAUAUUAUUCAAUAGAAUCUCAGCUUGUUCCACAGUUCGUUCCCUGAAAACACAACCAACACAACUAUCUAGGUGGUCCCUAGAAGCAUCGGUUAGUCCAUUAUAGAGGAUAUCAAGUAUUUCAUUUUUCUCAAGAGGGUGAUCAUGCAAAGCAUUCAGUAGCUGGACAAGCCUCCCCCAAGCUUGUGGGAGGCUCUCUUCUUCAACUUGCACAAAGUUAUAUAUAUCCUGCAAGGCAGCUUGUUUCUGAUGGGCAGGAAAAUAUUUCUCAGAGAAGUAGUAGAUCAUAUCCUGGGGACUACACACACAACCAGGAGCAAGAGAAGUGAACCAAGUCUUAGAAUCACCCUUUAGUGAGAAAGGAAACAACUUAAGGAUAUAGUAGUGGCGGAUCUUUUCCUCACUCGUGAAUAGGGUGGCUAUAUCGUGCAGUUUGGUAAGAUGUGCUACAACCUUUUCAGACUCAUAACCAUGAAAAGGAUUAGAUUCGUCCAAAGUGAUUAACUCAGGAUCGACGGAGAANNCAUAAUCCUUAUCGGUCGCAAAGAUAGGCGAAGUAGCAAACUUAGGAUCGUAUUUCAUUCUAGCGUUUAGAGAUUUUUCUUUCCACUUGCGCAAUAAGUUCUCAAGAUAAUAGCUAUCCUUACAAGCAAGAAAGUACUUAGCUACCGAUCCCUUCAUAACAUAACCCUCGGGUAUAUCAGGCAAUUCAUAUCUAGGAGGGCUAGUUCUAACAGGUGAAAUAGCAGGUGCUACUUCAAUAAUCUCAGCAGUUUGAGAAGUAUCAUCACAUUCAGCAGCAACUCUAGAAAUUUGUGCAUCAAGGAAUGCACCCAGUGGCAAAGCAGUAUCAAGCAAAGCAUCAUCAUAAGCAUCAUGGAUAGCAGAAGUAGCAUCAUCAAGCACAGGCGACAUAUCAUAAUUUCUAGUAGGCGGUGGUGUCGCAAACUUACUCAUAACUGAAGGUGAAUCAAGUGCAGAGCUACAUGGCAGUUCCUUACAUGUCCUCGUAGUUGAGGGCAAGACUUCAGUUUUUGGAUCUCUCGGAUUCCUCAUACUGAUCAACAGACGUAAAUCCCAAGUGACUCAGAGAAUAGAGCUAUGCUUCCCCGACAACGGCGCCAAAAAAUAGUCUUGAUAAACCACAAGUAUAGGGGAUCGCAACAGUUUUUGAGGGUAGAGUAUUCAACCUAAAUUUGUUGAUUUGACACAAGGGGAAGCCAAAGAAUAUUCUCGAGUAUUAGCAGUUGAGUUGUCAAUUCAACCACACCUGAAAGACUUAGUAUCUGCAGCAAAGUUUCAGUACCAAAGUAGUGUGAUAGCAACAGUAGCAACGGUAACAGUAACAGCAGUGACAGCAGUAGCGGUAAUAGUAGCAGCAGUGACAGCAGUAGUGGCAAAGUAACGUAGCAAGGACUAGUAGGAAAAAAUCAUAGGCAUUGGAUCGGUGAUGGAUAAUUAUGCCGGAUGACAUUCAUCAUGCAACAGUUAUAACAUGGGGAGAUAUGUAACUAGCUCUAGUUCGUCAAUGUAAUGUAGGCAUGCACUCCGUAUAUAGUCAUACGUGCUUAUGAAAAGAACUUGCAUGACAUCUAUUGUCCAUCCCUCCCGUGGCAGCGGGGUCCUAAUGGAAACUAAGGGAUAUUAAGGUUCUCCUUUUAAUAGAGAACCGGAACAAAGCAUUAGCUCUUAGUGAAUACAUGAACUCCUCAUACUAUGGUCAUCUCCGGGAGUGGUUCCGGCUAUUGUCACUCCGGGGUUGCCGGGUCAUAACACAUAGUAGGUGACUACAACUUGCAAGAUACGAUCAAGAACACACAUAUAUUGAUGAGAACAUAAUAGGUUCAGAUCUGAAAUCAUNNNNNNNNNNNNNNNNNNNNNNNNNNNNNNNNNNNNNNNNNNNNNNNNNNNNNNNNNNNNNNNNNNNNNNNNNNNNNNNNNNNNNNNNNNNNNNNNNNNNUCAACAUGAAAACAUGAUGCAAAAUGGACGUAUUAGUCGUCAAAAGAAAUCCGUCAAUGAGGUUGAUCAAGUCUCCUUGACAAACUUUUUUCGAAUCGCAUAAAAUCGGAGAAUUUUCGAAUAGUCACUAGGUUACCAGAAUGGGGAUGUGCAUAUCCCCAACAAGAAAAUCAUACUUCAUCUUAACAGUAGGUAUAGGGCAUUCAAAGCUCCCAAUAAGAAUCGAUGAAGUUUUUUCAAUAGCAUUGAUGCAAUGUACUCGAUAUUGUUUCUACGGAAAGUGCACCAUAUGAUCAUUACCAUUGACAUGGAAAGUGACAUUGCCUUUGUUGCAAUCAAUAACAGCACCUGAAGUGUUUAAAAAGGGUCUUCCAAGGAUGACCGCCAUGGCAUCAUCCUCGGGAAUAUCCAGAAUAACAAGUCCGUUAAGAUAGUAACAUUAGCAACCACAACAGGCACAUCCUCGCAAAUGCCGAUAGGGAAAGCAGUUGAUUUGUCGGCCAUUUGCAAGGAGAUUUUAGUGGGUGUCAACUUAUCCAAUUCAAGUCUAUGAUAAAGAGAGAGAGGCAUAACACUAACACUGGCUCCAGGAUCGCAUAAAGCAGUUCUAACAUAGUUUCCUUUAAUGGAGCAAGGUAUAGUGGGCACACCGGGAUCACCUAGUUUCUUAGGAAUUCCACCCUUGAAGGUGUAAUUAGCGAGCAUGGUGGAAAUCUCAACCUCAGGUAUCCUCCUUUUGUUAGUCAUAAUAUCCUUCAUGUACUUAGCAUAAGGAGACAUUUUGAGCAUAUCUGUCAAACGCAUUUGCAGAAAGACAGGUCUAAUCAUUUCAACAAAGCGCUCAAAGUCCUCAUCAUCCUUUUUCUUGGAUGGUUUGGGAGGAAAGGGCAUUGGUUUCUGAACCCAUGGUUCUCUUUCUUUACCAUGCUUCCUAGCAAUGAAAUCGUUCUUAUCGUAUCUCUUGUUCUUAGGUUGUGGGUUAUCAAGAUCAACACUAGGUUCAAUCUCCACAUCCUUAUCAUUACUAGGUUGAGCAUCAUCAUGAACACCACUAUCGAUAUUGCCAUUAGGCUCAUGUUCAUCACCAGAUUGUGUUUCGACAUCAGAAACAGAGACAUCGUUUGGAUUCUCGGGUGUAACAGCAACAGGGUUGCUAGCAUGCAAGUUCAUAUCAUCUUUCUUUUGCUUCCUAGGAUGACUAGGUGCCUCAGUGCUAACUCCUCAAGAAUAUUGUUCAAUUAUCUUAGGAUAGCCCUCAGGAUACAAAGGUUCCUGGGUCAUUCUACCACCUCUAGUGAUAACUCCAACAGACUUGUCAUUCAGCUCAUUGAGCAAAUCAUUUUGAGCCUUAAGUACUUGUUCUACUUGAGUGGUGACCAUAGAGGCAUGUUUACUCAAAAGCUUAAGGUCAUUGACAUUUCUAUCCACACAAGCACUUAAAUGACUAAGCAUACGAGCAUUCUGUUCCAAUUGUCUGCUAACAUAAUCAUUGAAACUCUGUUGUUUGGCAACAAAGUUNNNNNNNNNNNNNNNNNNNNNNNNNNNNNNNNNNNNNNNNNNNNNNNNNNNNNNNNNNNNNNNNNNNNNNNNNNNNNNNNNNNNNNNNNNNNNNNNNNNNGACGUGAGGACGUUCCAGUACAUCAACCGCGUUCUCUAAUGCUUCUGCUGUACGAUCUACAAGGGUACGUAGAUGACUCAUCCCCUCUCGUAGAUGGACAUCACCAUGAUAGGUCUUCGUGCGCGUAGGAAAUUUUUUGUUUCCCAUGCGAUGUUCCCCAACAGUGGCAUCAUGAGCCAGGUUCAUGCGUAGAUGUCUUCUCGAGUAGAACACAAAAGUUUUUGUGGGCGGUGAUGUGCGUUUUGCUGCCCUCCUUAGUNNNNNNNNNNNNNNNNNNNNNNNNNNNNNNNNNNNNNNNNNNNNNNNNNNNNNNNNNNNNNNNNNNNNNNNNNNNNNNNNNNNNNNNNNNNNNNNNNNNNNNNNNNNNNNNNNNNNNNNNNNNNNNNNNNNNNNNNNNNNNNNNNNNNNNNNNNNNNNNNNNNNNNNNNNNNNNNNNNNNNNNNNNNNNNNNNNNNNNNNNNNNNNNNNNNNNNNNNNNNNNNNNNNNNNNNNNNNNNNNNNNNNNNNNNNNNNNNNNNNNNNNNNNNNNNNNNNNNNNNNNNNNNNNNNNNNNNNNNNNNNNNNNNNNNNNNNNNNNNNNNNNNNNNNNNNNNNNNNNNNNNNNNNNNNNNNNNNNNNNNNNNNNNNNNNNNNNNNNNNNNNNNNNNNNNNNNNNNNNNNNNNNNNNNNNNNNNNNNNNNNNNNNNNNNNNNNNNNNNNNNNNNNNNNNNNNNNUGUGAUGUGAUAUGGCCAAUGAUGUGAUGUGAUAUAUUGGAUGUAUGAGAUGAUCAUGUUGUAAUAGAAAUAUCGACUUGCACGUCGAUGGUACGGCAACCGGCAGGAGCCAUAGGGUUGUCUUUAUACUAACGUUUGUGCUUGCAGAUGCGUUUACUAUUUUGCUAGGAUGUAGNNNNNNNNNNNNNNNNNNNNNNNNNNNNNNNNNNNNNNNNNNNNNNNNNNNNNNNNNNNNNNNNNNNNNNNNNNNNNNNNNNNNNNNNNNNNNNNNNNNNNNNNNNNNNNNNNNNNNNNNNNNNNNNNNNNNNNNNNNNNNNNNNNNNNNNNNNNNNNNNNNNNNNNNNNNNNNNNNNNNNNNNNNNNNNNNNNNNNNNNNNNNNNNNNAAGAAGAUCGUGCCGGUGCUUUGGUGAUGGAGAUCAAGAAGCACGUGAUGAUGGCCAUAUCAUGUCACUUAUGAAUUGCAUGUGAUGUUAAUCCUUUUAUGCACCUUAUUUUGCUUAGAACGACGGUAGCAUUAUGAGGUGAUCUCUCACUAAAAUUUCAAGACGAAAUUGUGUUCUCCCCGACUGUGCACCGUUGCUACAGUUCGUCGUUUCGAGACACCACGUGAUGAUCGGGUGUGAUAGACUCAACGUUCACAUACAACGGGUGCAAAACAGUUGCGCACGCGGAACACUCGGGUUAAGCUUGACGAGCCUAGCAUGUGCAGACAUGGCCUCGGAACACAUGAGACCGAAAGGUCGANNNNNNNNNNNNNNNNNNNNNNNNNNNNNNNNNNNNNNNNNNNNNNNNNNNNNNNNNNNNNNNNNNNNNNNNNNNNNNNNNNNNNNNNNNNNNNNNNNNNGGGCACUCUUUGAAGUUCUAUGUGUUAGUUGAAUAGAUGAUUCUGAGAUUGUGUGAUGCAUAUCGUAUAAUCAUGCCCACGGAUACUUGAGGUGACAAUGGAGUAUCUAGGUGACAUUAGGGUCUUGGUUGAUAUGUAUCUUAAGGUGUUAUUCUAGUACGAACUCUAUGAUGGAUCGAACGGAAAGAAUAGCUUCGUGUUAUUUUACUACGGACUCUUGAAUAGAUCGAUAAGAAAGAAUAACUUUGUGGUGGUUUCUUACCCGACAAUAACCUCUUCGUUUGUUCUCCGCUAUUAGUGACUUUGGGGUGACUCUUUGUUGCAUGUUGAGGGCUAGUUAUAUGAUCCAAUUAUGUUAUCAUUGUUGAGAGAACUUCACUAGUGAAAGUAUGAACCCUAGGCCUUGUUUCCACGCAUUGCAAUACCGUUCGUGCUCACUUUUGUUACUAGUUACCUUGCUGUUUUUGUAAUUUCAGAUUACAAAAACCUAUAUCUACCAUCCAUAUUGCACUUGUAUCACCAUCUCUUUGCCGAACUUGUGCACCUAUACAAUUUACCAUUGUAUUGGGUGUGUUGGGGACACAAGAGACUCUUUGUUAUUUGGUUGCAGGGUUGCUUGAGAGAUACCAUCUUCAUCCUACGCCUCCCACGGAUUGAUAAACCUUAGGUCACCCACUUGAGGGAAAAUUGCUACUGUCCUACAAACCUCUGCACUUGGAGGCCCAACAACNNNNNNNNNNNNNNNNNNNNNNNNNNNNNNNNNNNNNNNNNNNNNNNNNNNNNNNNNNNNNNNNNNNNNNNNNNNNNNNNNNNNNNNNNNNNNNNNNNNNGCGUUAUGCAUGAUUGUGGGUUCAUGCCCCCUGAUGUCUAGCUUGAGUGACAGAAACAAGAGACUAGGGGAUGUGUUGUUGCCACCAGGGAGAAAACAACGGUGCUUGUGACCGCGGUUGCAAGUAUUGUUUACCUUACGCAAAGUUUGUUAAUGCAGUUGUCCGUUGCUUUGAAUUUACACUUUGGGUGGGGCUCUCAACUUAAUACCAGCGAGAUGUUCUGGAUCGAUAUCUCAAGGUGGAUGAUUAGUAAGUAGAUGCUGAUGAAUAAACGGUCUACUUGUCCUUGCGUACUGCCCACUACUUUUGAACCUCUAACUUUCUAGUAGCAUGAUUAGCAUUGCGGUGCUUUAUAAUUCUGUCAAUUGCCCAGCUAAAAUUUCUUUACCCAUGCAUAGUUUUUAUCGUCUUUUGGGAGAGAGACAUCACUAGUGAACAUCAUGUGACUCCGGUCCAUAUUACCACCAUUGUUUACACCUCCACCAUUUACUAUUUUUAUUUACUUUUCCGUUGCAAUCACUAUCACUAUUCCCGCUUGUGUUUUGAUCCUUUGCAAACUACAAGGCCNNNNNNNNNNNNNNNNNNNNNNNNNNNNNNNNNNNNNNNNNNNNNNNNNNNNNNNNNNNNNNNNNNNNNNNNNNNNNNNNNNNNNNNNNNNNNNNNNNNNUUUAGAGCACGGCGGUGCGUGAUUUGGUAGUUGGCUUAUGCUAUGAAAGUAGUCCCAAAUGUGCUAGGUACCCAAAGAGGAUGCAAAAACCUCCAUCUUCAUGUGCAUUGAGUAGAAAGAGAAGUUUCGAUUCCUCUCAAUUAGUUUUGAGACGUGGAUUCGGUAAUAUUGAGAGUUAUGUUAGUAGGGUGUUGUGAAUCUAGAAAUACUUGUGUUGAAGUUUGUAAUUCCCGUAGCAUGCACGUAUGGUGAACCUCUAUGUUAGGAAGUCGGAGCAUAAUUGAUUUAUUGAUUGUCAUCCUUUGUGUUGAGGUCGGGAUCACGCGAUAGUUUACACCUACCAACCCUUCCCCUCGGAGUAUGCGUUUAGCACUUUGUUUCGAUUACUAAUAAAAACUUUCAUAAUAAGUAUGUGAGUUCUUCAUGACUAAUGUGAGCCCAUGGUAUAGAUGCACUUUCACCUUCCACCAUUGCUAGCCUCUCUAGUGCCGCGCAAUUCUCGCCGGUGCACAAACCCACCAAAUUCCUUCCUCAAAAUAGCCACCAUACCUACCUACUAUGGCAUUUUCAUAGCCAUUCCGAGAUAUAUUGCCAUGCAACUACCACCGUUCCGUCUCAUGACUUGUGUUGUCACUCUCAUAUUGCCAUUGCAUGAUCAUACUAGAUCGUUGCACAUCUCGGUACACUGCCGGAGGCAUUCCCUAUGGAGUCAUCAUCAUUGUGAUCUUUNNNNNNNNNNAUCCCACUGUUCCGUCUCAUGACUUGUGUCAUCACUCUCAUAUUGCCAUUCCAUGAUCGUAAGAUAGCUAGCGAGAUGUUUCAACAUCGUACGCCAUGCUAGAUUGUUGCACAUCCCGAUACACUGCCGGAGGCAUUCCCUAUGGAGUCAUCAUCAUUGUGAUCUUUGAGCUGUGAGUAAAUAAAAGUGUGAUGAUCAUCAUUAUUAGAGCAUUGUCCCAUGUGAGGAAAAAAAAGAGGCCAAAGAGCCCAAAAACAAAAAAAAAGAGAAAAGAAAAAAGAGGCCUAAGAGCCCAAAUAAAAAAUGAGAGAAAAAGAGAGAAGGGAUAAUGCUACUAUCUUUUUCCACACUUGUGCUUCGUAUUAGCACCAUGUUCUUCAUGAUUGAGAGCUUCUUGCUUUGUCACUACAAUAUGCUAGUGGGAACCUUUUAUAUAACUUGGCUUGUAUAUUCCAAUGAUGGGCUUCCUCAAAAUUGCCCUAGGUCUUCGUGAGCAAGCAAGUUGGAUGCACACCCACUAGUUUUCCUUUUGAGCUUCCACAUACUUUUAGCUCUAGUGCAUCUCUUGUAUGGCAAUCCCUACUUAUUCAGGUUGAUAUCUAUUAAUGGGCCUCUCCAUAGCCUAUUGAUACGUCGAGUCAAUGUGACCAUCUCCUCCUUUUUGUCUCACAACCACCACCACACUCUAUUNNNNNNNNNNNNNNNNNNNNNNNNNNNNNNNNNNNNNNNNNNNNNNNNNNNNNNNNNNNNNNNNNNNNNNNNNNNNNNNNNNNNNNNNNNNNNNNNNNNNUGCUCAUGUAUUGCGUGAUAGUUAUAAAAAUUUUGAGAAAGUAAGAGUGUGAAAGCAAUUACUUGGCCAAUUCUGGGGUUGUGCAUGAUUUACAUUAGUUGUGUGAGGAUGAUGGAGCAUAGCCAGACUAUAUGAUUUUGUAGGGAUAACUUUCUUUGGCCUUGUUAUUUUGAAAGUUCAUGACUACUUUGCUAGUUUGCUUGAAGUAUUACUGUUUUCAUGUCAAUAGCAAACUAUUGUUUUGAAUCUUACGGAUCUGAACAUUCAUGUCAUGUGAAAGAAGUUGCAAAGAACAACUAUGCUAGGUAGCAUUCCACAUCAAAAAUUCAUUAUUUAUCACUUCCCUACUCGAGGACGAGCAGGAGUUAAACUUGGGGAUGCUUGAUACGUCUCCAACGUAUCUAUAAUUUUUUGAUGGUUUCAUGCUAAUAUCUUGUCAAACUUUGGAUGUUUUGCAUGCCUUUUAUAUAGUUUUUGGGACUAACUUAUUAACUCAGUGCCAAGUGCCAAUUCCUAGUUUUUCCAUGUUUUUGACCCCUUUCAGAGGAGAUUUUGAAACGAAGUCCAAACGGAAGAAAAUCCCCGAAAAGAUUUUUUUUGGAACGGAAGAAGAUCGGGGAACUUGGGAGCCAAGGCAAAAGAGCCCCAGGGGCCCCACAAGCCCCCACCCCAUGGCCAGGGGGGCGCACCAUCCAGGCUUGUGGGCCCCCUAGACGCCCAUUGCCCUACCACUUUCGCCCAUAUAUUCCCAUAAAUUCCAGAAAAAAUCAAGAGAUCAUCGUAAUCACUUUUCCGCCGCAGCAAGCUUAUGUCUCCGCAAGAUCCCAUCUGGGACACGUCCUGGUGCCCUGCCGGAGGGGGAUUCAAACACGGAGGGCUUCUCCAUCAACACCAUGACCUCUCCGAUGAUGCGUGAGUAGUUCNNNNNNNNNNNNNNNNNNNNNNNNNNNNNNNNNNNNNNNNNNNNNNNNNNNNNNNNNNNNNNNNNNNNNNNNNNNNNNNNNNNNNNNNNNNNNNNNNNNNUAAGUUGUCGAUGGUGCGCUCAAUUUUCCACUUUGGUAUGUUCUUCAGAGUUUCCUUCCAGAUGUCUGGAGGGGGCUUCAGGGGAAACCGUGCGAACCAUGCUUUGUUUUUGGCUUUCACGGCCUCGUCUAGUUCCUCCGGAGUCAUCAGGCCUGGUAACUUCGGGGGAGUCUUGACUUUCUUGGGUUUCCUUUCUCUCUUCUUGGGAGGAGUCCCGUUUCUUCUGAACUGCAUCUUCCGCUUUGCCGUACCCGUAGUGGGCGCAUCCGUCGGCUCACUGGAGUGCACGGGCGAUGGACUCUCGGCCUCGGGCUCCCAAUCUUUGUUGUGGGGUGGACUUGGAGGUGCGUUGGGGGGUGGACUUGGAGGUCGUGCAUUCUCUGUACGAACGUGAAAAAACUAUUAAAAAUAGGCUUACAUGUGGUGCAACAUUCAGUAAUUGUUGGAGGUGGUGCAUUUGUACCUGGAGGAGUCGGUGGCCUUGGCACCGCGUUAGGAAACACGAUGUGUUUCUUCUUCCACAAGAUGAUACCAAGCUCCAUUUCUCCCAGUGUCUUCUCGCCUUCACCUCCAGGAAUAUCAAGCUAAAUUGACUGGCAUCCCGGCGUAAUUGUUGACAACCCGACAUGAGCAUGGGAUGCUGGAAUCUGACCACCAUGGUAGGUUGCUCCAGGUUGAUUCGGUAAAGCAUAGCCUGACGCCACCAUGAAGGAUAUGUUCCCCAUUGGCAUAUGUAUCUCAUAGUUUGUCUUCUCCGUGACAUCAUCCACGGGGUAGUGAGGCGCCGACGGUUCGAUUGCAGGACCGUCUUCUAGCUGCAGCUGCGUGGAACCCACGCUGCUUCUAUGCUGAGAUGGGACGGCAUCUGCUACAGGAUCGUCUUCUAAUUGCUGCUGAUCAGCGUCAGGUGCAGGAUCUUCUUCCUCCUCUUCAGUGUCAGGUACAGGGUGUCCCCCUUUCUUCAAGAGAAACGCCACCUUUUCUUCUAAUGUCGAUAUCCGUUCCAGCGCCUUCCUCUUGCUUCUACCACAGCUUCUGUAAGUGCCAAGGUCCGCCGGAAACCCUUGGUUCCACGGGGUAGUGGCUCCAAAGCCUCGUGUUCGUCCCCACUUUUCGGGGUUCCCGAGUGCCUUCGUCAACUCGUCGUUCUCUCUAUCGGGAAAAAAGUUCCUUUUCGAACAGCUUCUAUUGCCUUCUCUAGAUCUGAUACGACUUGUGUUAUUUUUUCCGACCAUGGUCCCUCCGCAACAAUCAUCCCAGUCUCAGCGUCCAACGUUGCCCCAUGCGCGAACAACCAGAACUUGGACCUAUCGGGCCAGUCAUGUGUCUGUGGAAUGAUAUUUCUUUUCAGAAGCGCAUCUUCAUAGCGUCGCCACCUAGGCAGGGCAGUCAUGUAGCCACCUGACCCCAAAAUAUGGUGAUAUUUCUUCUUCUUCGCAUUCUCCGUAUUUGUGGCUGAUUGGGAUGUAAAGACACCCGAUUUCUUGGACGCCUUAAAAUCAGGCCAAGCGUCUCUUAUCUUCACUGCGACCCAUCAGCGGGUUGUCUCAGCAUAUCGUCUUCCUUACGGUCUUCUUUGUGCCAUCGCAUCAACUUGGCAUGCUCUUUGUUUCGGAACAAACCUUUCAACCGUGGUAUUAUAGGAGCAUGCCACAUCACCUUGGCAGGAACCCUCUGUUGGGUAACGUAGCAUAAAUUCAAAAUUUUCCUACGCUUAUUCAGAUCUUCCUAUGGAGAGACCAGCAACGAGAGAGGGGUAAGAGCAUCUUCAUACCUUUAAAGAUCGCUAAGCGGAAGCGUUUGCUAGAACGCGGUUGAUGGAGUCGUACUCGCAGCGAUUCCGAUCUAGUGCCGAACUACGGCACCUCCGCGUUCAACAUACGUGCAGCCCGGUGAGGUCUCCCGCACCUUGAUCCAGCAAGGAGGAGGGAGAGGUUGGGGAAGAGCUCUAGCACCACGACGGCGUGGUGUCGAUGGAGAGAUGAGGUCUCCCGGCAGGGCUUCGCCAAGUACCGGAGAGAGGAGGAGGAAGAAGGGCAGGGCUGCGUCGAGGGAGAGGGAGAAGUCUAUCUUCCAAUGGCCAAAAUUGCCCGCUAUAUAUAGGGGAAGGGAGGGGCUGCACCCCCUUGAGGGUUUCCCCCUCCUGGGGGGGGGGGGGGGGNNNNNNNNNNNNNNNNNNNNNNNNNNNNNNNNNNNNNNNNNNNNNNNNNNNNNNNNNNNNNNNNNNNNNNNNNNNNNNNNNNNNNNNNNNNNNNNNNNNNUACGGUACGAGUAAAGAGACUUGCCGGUAAACGAGAUUGAAAUAGGUAUGUGGAUACUAACGAUCGAAUCUCGGGCAAGUAACAUACCGAAGGACAAAGGGAAUGACAUACGGGAUUAUAUGAAUCCUUGGCAAUGAGGUUCAAACGGUAAGAUCUUCGUAGAAUAUGUGGGAUACAAUAUGGGCAUCCAGGUCCCGCUAUUGGAUAUUGACCGAGGAGACACUCGGGUCAUGUCUACAUAGUUCUCGAACCCGCAGGGUCUGCACACUUAAGGUUUGACAUUGUUUUAUGCGUAUUUGAGUUAUAUGGUUGGUUACCGAAUGGGUUUCGGGUGUUCACCGGGGGGCAACCCACCCCGGGGAAGCCCAUAGGCCUUGUGGGUGGCGCACCAGCCCUUGGUGGGCUGGUGGGAUAGCCCAAGAAGGUCCUAUGCGCCAAGGAUAGAAAAUCAAAGAUAAAGAAAAAAAAAAGGAGGUGGGAAAGGAGAGAAGGACUCCACUUUCCAAUCCUAGUUGGACUAGGAUUGGAGGAGGACUCCUCCUCCCUUGGUGGCGCAGCCCUUGGGGCUCCUUGAGCCUCAAGGCAAGCCUCCCCUCCCUCCUCCUAUAUAUAUGGAGCAAUUAGGGCUGAUUUGAGACAACUUUUCCAAGGCAGCCCGACCACAUAACUCCAUGGUUUUACCUCUAGAUCGCGUCUCUGCGGAGCUCGGGCGGAGCCCUGCCGAGAUUAGAUCAUCACCAACCUCUGGAGCGUCGUCACGCUGCUGGAGAACUCAUCUACCUCUCCGUCUCUCUUGCUAGAUCAAGAAGGCCGAGAUCAUCGUCGAGCUGUACGUGUGCUGAACGCGGAGGUGCUGUCCGUUCGCCACUAGAUCGUGGGACGGUUCGCGGGGCGGAUCGAGGGACGUGAGGACGUUCCACUACAUCAACCNNNNNNNNNNUUCACUAACGCUUCUGCUGUGCGAUCUACAAGGGUACGUAGAUCGGAAAUCCCCUCUCGUAGAUGGACAUCACCAUGAUAGGUCUUCAUGCGCGUAGGAAAAUUUUUGUUUCCCAUGCAACGUUCCUUAACAGAUGGUGCGGCGGCCAAGGGGGGGAGGAGGGGUGUGGCGCACCCCUGGUGGGCCUUAGGCCCACCUGGCUUAGGGUUUCCCCCCCUUUUCUCUCCCCUGCGCAUUGGGCUGAGCGGGGAGGCGCACCAGGCCACCUAGGGGCUGGUUCCCUCCCCUACUUGGCCCAUCUUACCUCCCGGGGUCGUUGCCCCCCUUCGGUGGACCCCCGGGGCCACCUCCGGUGGUCCCGGUGGUCCCGGUACGUUACCGGUGAUGCCCGAAACAUUUCCGGUGUCCGAAACCAUCCGUCCUGUAUAUCAAUCUUUACCUCCGGACCAUUCCGGAGCUCCUCGUGACGUCCGGGAUCUCAUCCGGGACUCCGAACAACUUUCGGUAACCUCGUAUAACAAUUCCCUAUAACCCUAGCGUCACCGAACCUUAAGUGUGUAGACCCUACGGGUUCGGCAGACAAGCAGACAUGACCGAGCCACCUUUAUGGCCAAUAACCAUCAGCGGGGUCUGGAUACCCAUGGUGGCUCCCACUUGCUCUACGAUGAUCUCAUCGGAUGAACCACGAUGUCAAUGAUUCAAUCAAUCCCGUAUACAAUUCCCUUGGUCUGUCGGUAUAGAACUUGCCCGAGAUUCGAUCGUCGGUAUACCAAUACCUUGUGCAAUCUCGUUACCGGUAAGUCUCUUUACUCGUUCUGUAGCACGUCAUCGUGUGACUAACUCCUUAGUCACAUUGAGCUCAUGAUGAUGUUCUACCGAGUGGGCCCAGAGAUACCUCUCCGUCACACGGAGUGACAAAUCCCAAUCUCGAUUCGUACCAACCCAACAGACACUUUCGGAGGUACCCGUAGUGCACCUUUAUACUCACCCAGUUACGUUGUGACGUUUGAUACACCCAAAGCACUCCUACAGUAUCCGGGAGUUGCACAAUCUCACAGUCGAAGGAAAAGAUACUUGACAUUAGAAAAGCUUUAGCAUACGAUCUAGUGCUAUGCUUAGGAUUGGGUCUUGUCCAUCACAUCAUUCUCCCAAUGAUGUGAUCCCGUUAUCAAUGACAUCUAAUGCCCAUGAUCAGGAAACCAGGAUCAUCUAUUGACUAACGAGCUAGCCAACUAGAGGCUUGCUAGGGACACUUUGUGAUCUAUUUAUUCACACAUGUAUUACCGUUUCCUCUUAAUACAAUUAUAGAAUGAACUAUAGACGAUUAUCAUGAACAAAGAAAUAUGAUAAUAACCAUUUUAUUAUUGCCUCUAGGGCAUAUUUCCANNNNNNNNNNAAUUUAUUCACACAUGUAUUACUGUUUCCUAUUAAUAUAAUUAUAGCAUGAACAAUAGACGGUUAUCAUGAACAAGGAAAUAUGAUAAUAACCAUUUUAUUAUUGCCUCUAGGGCAUAUUUCCAACAGUCUCCCACUUGCACUAGAGUCAAUAAUCUAGUUACAUUGUGAUGUAUCGAACACCAUAGCAUUAUGGUGUUGAUCAUGUUUUGCUCGUGGAAGAGGUUUUGUCAACGGGUCUGCAAUAUUCAGAUCCGUGUGUACUUUACAAAUAUCUAUCACUCCANNNNNNNNNNAUAUGUGCAUGUGACUCGAGUCUACAUUUUGUAAGUACGUUCGACAAAGCACGACAGAUGAGAUGGUGUAAUAUAUUCGUGACGAUGUGCAAGUUGUUCCUUUAUUGGUGUGUAUGUGCAAUCCAAUUUAGUGCAAAACAAAAAUUAAAAAAUGCCCAAAACAAAUAAAUGGGAAAAUAGGGGGCAGCAAAAUAGCCCCAUCCAAUUUAGUGCAAAACCCUAAACCCAAAAAUUGCUAAAAAAAGAAAAAACAGCGAAGAAAUAGCCCCGGUUCGUAAUAUGAACCGGGACUAAUACGCCUCCCCCUCGCUCCCAGCCCCGCCACGUGGAAGGCCAUUAGCCCCGGUUCGGGGCCGAACCGGGGCUAGCAUUACUCCCCGUUGAUUAGUCCCGGUUCGAGAACCGGGACUAAUGGCCCAACCGAACCGGGGCAAAAUGCCCUUUUUCUACUAGUGUGUGUUUCAUGUUGGUCUUCUUGAUAUGUAUAUCGACAAGUUACGGUCUUCCUCUUGAAGAUUUCCGCUGUUUGAUGCAUGAUGUCAUUGGAUAUCUAGAUCGAAAUCGACCCGGUUGCGUGCUCCCUUAUCUUUGGCCAAAGAGGCUCCAUGAGGGUGUGACACGAAGCCACUGUUCCGAAAAUAAAUGUCGUUGAUCUAGUAUAAAAUUUGUACUAAUUUGAUACUAAAUUUGCGUCAUUUAUUCACGGAUGAAGGGGUACCUGACAAUGGCCUUGUUGAAGACACCGUUUUGGGAUCUCGGUCUUUCUUCAUGAUGAAAACUUAAGAUCUUUGAUCAGGCGACGACAACGCUUCUGCAUUGUUUCUGUGUUGGAGGCGUCGCUUUUCAAGGUCCACUUUUGCGGUCCGAGUGUUGUCUUUGGUGGUUGUUAGAGUGUUGUUGUUGCGAGUGUUUCAGCACUGCGACAAGGUCUUUGUUUUUAUUUUUCUCUCUUUUUAUUUUAUUCUUGGCUGUGUGCAUUAUGGAUGUUUAUCAGUAUUUUGUUGGUGUAGAGCUUGAAUGUAAUUGGUAUCCUCGCGAUAUUAAUAUAUAUAUUUUUUUUUUAAAAAUGUUAUUCUCCCAAGUCGAUAGUGCAAGAUAGUAGAACAAGCAUUGAACUGAAGCUUUACAUCUUCACAUGUUUUCCACAAUUAAAGAAUUGUAGAUACAUAAUUGUGCUGUAAUUUCUCUCAGUUUACAUUCUUCUGAGUUUGAUCAUUUCUCCCAUAUGCAACGCGAGUUGCACAUGCACGUUCAAACAUUUAUCUUGGAGAACCCACUCCAUGCACGUAUUACUUCACCUCCUUUGCUUUGCCAUGCCUCUUGCAGAAAGACUCGACUCUCUCCAGACCAUCCUCGAGAAGGGCUGGAUCAACCGCAAACGUAAUACGAAGCCAAUUUUUCAUUCCUAGUCCGCUCCCUGCAGUGCAUGAGCAUGUGUUAAUUUUCAGUUGCAGGAUACUACUGCUAAUUAGCGUAACUGAACCAGAAGAUACCCCUCCCUCGUCGGUUACAACAAGGCUAUUUUUUAGAAUAUGGAAGAGAGCUUUGUUUCUCCCAAUUAUUAUGUUGACAAUAUAUAGUCAUGAGAUAUUUAAAUGAUGAGAAAAUAAUAAGCUAAUCCUUAGUAGUAGUUCGAAUGGCAUCAAAUAAACCAUCUGAGCUGGGAACAAUUUCAACUUGCCACCUGCAUUGCCAAAAUAAUGGAGAUUUGGGUUUGGUAAUGUGCAAAUAAACGACAAAGUUGACAGUCUAGAUCUUACACCACGGGGGGCAGGCGAUGGGAAAAUAAGGGACGACAAAGGGCAUGUAUCAUUGUACCGGAUGGGUUUAAUACUCGCUCUGUUUCAUAAUAUAAAACGCUCUUAUAUUAUGGGAUGGAGGGAGUACAACAUAAAGAAAAUUAUGAUGGGUGUAGCUCAAUGUGAGAGAAGGUUACAUAUAGUUGAGGAAGUUGCACCAAAAAACAUCUUCAUAGGGGCUAGAGUAACAAAAGAAACAACUCUACAAGAUCUUAAAACAUAAGAUCAACACUAGGGGGGUUGUGACAAACAAAAGGCUUGUGGUCACGAUAGUUAGCUGAUUCACUCAAACUUUGGCAGAUGGGUACCACAUGUCAUUGUCUCGGGACAAAAAAUCAGUAAUAACUUGUCUUGAGUGGGCUCACUAAUUGAUUUAUAUGAGUUUUCACAAAUUUCGUCCAAAUUUGAACUAAAUAUAUAAAAAAUCAUGAAAUGUUGGAACUAGUAAAUCAACUUUUGAGCACUUUUUGCCAACUAUUUAGGAGUUUGGGCCUUUUCGUAAAUUUUUGAGAAAUCCGUAGCGAAAAAAUAAAGUUUAAAAAUUGAAGACAUUAUUGUAAAUCAAUUAUUAUUUUUGGUAUUUGGAAAAUUCUGAGCUCAUUUUGUCCAGCAAUAUAGAAUUUUGAACAGUUUUUCUAAAGUUUGGCAAAAUUCAAGUGAAAGUUCAGAUUGGUAAAUAAGGAUGCUCAAUUCAAACUAAAGCCGAGUCACUGUGGAUUUUUAGGCAGCUGGUGAAUUGUCGUGGUUAUAAUUUUUUUGAUUUUGCUAAAACACAUCUAGAUGUAAGAUAAGUAUUGCACGUCUAAGUCCUAUAUCAUUGAUCUUAGAGCAUCUCUAGGAAACCUGUAAAAACACAAACUGUAAAACUGAGAUACGGGACGAAAAAAGGCAUUUUAAAGGUCCAUUUUAGCUACGGUCGAACAGAAAUUGUAAAACAAACUAUAAAACUGUGAUAAAGAGCUCCUUUCUCCAGCCGCCCCUUCCUCCAGCCAGCUGUGUCGGCCACGCCUGCUGCGUCCAACCCUGUCGGCCGCGUCCCGUCACCCGUUAGUCGUGCCCCGUUGCCCGUUGGCCAUGCCCUAUCGCCCGUCGGAUGCGCCCCGUCCCCGUCGUCCGCGCCCAGCUUCGCCGGCCACGCCUUGUCGCCGGCUGGCCAUGCCACGUCGCCCGCCGGCACUGUCCUGCUCUGUUGACAGCCGCGCCGGCCGAGUCGUGCCCCUUUGCCGGUCAUGCUGGGAGGAUUACGGCAGCCAGACUGAGGUCAUGGGAGGCCACGAUGAGGUCGAUCUCGUCCAAUUCAAACCGUCGGCGAUGGAUUGCAGCGUCCAGCGGCCUUUUCUGGCGUACGGUGAUGAAUUCCGGCAAGUUUAGGGCGAAUUCUGGCAAACUCCGCGACGGCGUGUUUACUCCGACAAGGUUUGACUGGUAUACGGCCCCCUAGAAUCGGCCUUCCAACCUUCAAAAAUAAGGGUUUCGGGUGUGGCUUUUCCGUGCCCCUUAAAAAGUUUACGGGUUGGACCACUUUUAUGGUUUCUGUUCUGCACAUUUUUUACGAUCAAAACUGUAAAACGCAAUUUUUUUACGGGUUUGACCACUUAUACAGAGUCUGCUAGAGAUGCUCUUAUGUGAAGAUUCGUGUGGGUAUUUUUUCCCCUUCUUUUUUCUUUUUUAUGCUUGAUUCAGCCAUUUAUAUGUGCAAUAAUUAUGUCACAUCUAAAUGUGGCCUAGACACAUCUAUUCGUUUUGUUAGUCAAUACCCCUAGAUUCUGAACUAUAUGCGUUAAAAUCCCCUGAAGUUGUAGCCCAUUAUUUUUUUGCUACGUGCUCCAACCGCUAGUGAUGUGGUUUGGAUGCAAUUUGCUGAAUGUAGGCAGAAGAAACGUGGAAAACAUUGAGGAGGAAAUAUAAAAGAGAAAAUGCAAAAGAAACAUAUUAGCUUGCAACAGGCUGCAAAAGACAAGGGAGAUCCCCUAAAAAAAAGACAAGGGAGAUCAAGAGUUGUUGUACGUACGUUCACUUAAUUUCUCUGUGUGAUCAAUCGAUGCAUGCUCAAUUAUGAUCAGAUUCGUACUACUACAGAGCAGCGAAUGCUGGUGGAGGCAAAGACAAUUAGAUAUGGGUUUGUGCUUCUGAUUUGGUUUUCAGUAGUAGGUUGCUUGGUUCGAUGCGGACAUCGAAAGCUAUGUGACCAACAGCAAACCCGACAAUAAUGCUAUACAAGCUAUAUAUAGUUAGCAGUCCAUAAGUGCAAUCCAUGAUUGAUUCUUUCUGAUUGAUAAUGUACGUACCUGGGCAAAUGACCACGGACUCCUCGCGGGCGACCUUGGUGCAGAAGUCGACGUCGUCGGCGACGCCGUCCAAGCAGGAGAGGUCGAGCUUCACCAUGACGAACAUGGACCCCUCCGGCUUGUGAGGGCAGGUGAUGCACUCGAUGCCGUCCACCUUCCGGUAGCAUAUCUCCGCCGCCUCCCUCAUCACGUCCAUGGCGUUCGCGAAGAAGGCCUUGUCCGUGUUGGAGAUGAUCUGCGGCAGAGCUCCCUGCACGAACGUCACGGGGUCUACCGAGAUGGCGCAGUAGGACAUUAUCGACUGGAGGACCUGGAGAAAUUAUCAGGAGGUUCUCUGUCAGUUAGUAGCACCUAGCAGAUGAUUCAUGCCAUCCCGUGACCAGAUUUUGGAGGUUGGUUGGGGUACAGAACGUACGUUCUUGUCCCUGAGGACCCCCUUGGGAUCGGUGGCUGCGAUCCAGCCAAGGCGCCAGCCGGGCACCAUCCACCGCUUGGAGAUGCCGCCCGUGGUCACCACCGGAGCUAUCCCCCCGAACACGCCCAUCGGCACGAACGGCUUGCUCCCGAACGCGCAGUGGUCGUACACCUCGUCGCUGAUCACCAGGAUCCCGAGCUUCCUCGCCGUCUCUGCAAUCUGUGAAAUUGAUUACUCGGAAUUAAUCAGCCCAAGAAGAAGAAGAAGAAGUAGCUAGCUGGUGUUAAUGGACGUGGACAUGUGCGUAGAUGCUGGCUGGAUGGAUACCUUACCUUGGCCAAGUGGUCGUACGAGUAGACGCACCCGCAGGGGUUGUUGGGGUUGACGAUGACCAUGGCCACGGUGUUCUCGUCGGCGAGGGCCUGCACGCCGUCGAGGUCCACCUCCCACUCCUUCUCCGGCAGGAGGUCGAAGCGCCGGAACUCGAGGCCGCACAGCGCGGCGCGCGACUCGUACAUCGGGUACCCCGGCCGCGGCAGCAGCACGUUGGCGCCGGGCGAGGCCAGCACGGCCAUGAUGAUCUCGAUGGCGUGGUUGCAGCCGGCGGUGAGGACCACGUCGCCCGUCGAGAGCUCGUAGGGGAGCUCCCGGGACAGGUACGCGGCGACGGCGCUGCAGCAGGACAUAUCGACGCAUUUUACUUACCGAAACAGAGAAGAAUCAAGAAACGGAGGCUGCAGCAGGCAGCAGACAGCAGGGAGCACGUACCUGCGCGCGUCGGGCACGCCGCCGGCGGGGGAGUAUCUGUUGUGCUUGCCCGACAGGGCGGCGGCGGCGACGGCCUCUUCGGCGGCGGCCGCGGUGCGGAAGCACGCGAACGCGGAGGGGUCGCCGUGGCCGAGCGGCGCGACGGGGCGCGGGUCGGUCUUGUCGACGCAGUCAAACACGCGGGUAACGAGGGAGCGGAGGCUCUGCCGGCCGCCCGCCUCGAGCGCCGGGUUCGCCGCCCCGAAGCGCCACUUGGCCUCGCCGCCGUUCUCCAUGGUACCUGCCUGACGACGACGAGGAGCGAGCUAGGAUAGCGUUGGAGUAGUAGUAUGUGUCGUGUGCGCGUUUGCCCGAUGAGGAAUCCGAGGUCGUCGUCGGCUCGCUUGUCUCUCACGUACGGUGGGGGUGGGGCGACUGUCUCUAAUUGGCAUUGGCGUCGGCAGCUUUCGUUUGUAUGCAACUAAACAGGUCAACCGAUUCACCACCAGGCCAACUUCAUCACAGAUUUAACACGAUUUUGUCUGUUUGGAACGACAAUGGGUUUGUCCAUGUCCGUCUCUGUCUGUUGAAUCGGGCAUGCACCCACCGCGCGGCCGCAUCCCAAAUUAUGUCCGCGCUAGACUUGAUUUAAAAAAAAGAAACUCAACUAAAAAUAAAUAAACUCAGUUUAAGAGCUUAAGGCCCUGUUCGGAAUCUCUCACAGCCCUCCACUCCGUGUAGUUAUGGAGCUCGGUUUCAGCGGCUCCGUCAAAAUACGUUGUAGCCUGCUCCGCUCCGCUGCUGACGGAGGAGCGAAGAGAAACCGAACAGGCACUAAACCAUUAAUAAGAUAAACAUUAACAAAGGCCCAAUUUUCACGUCCACUAAACGCCCAGUUUUUGACAUAAUUAACAUAAAAAAAUAGACCCGUCCGUCGUUGCCGUCGUCAUCGUCGUCUUCACUGGUCGCCGGUGUCGUCGUCACUGACGAGGUACAUGUAGGGCAGUGGCGUUCAGAGGUGGGACGGCGGUCCCUCGUGCGUGCUGGAAGAAACGACUUUAAAUACUGCCCCCUCAUCUCCUCCCCCACAGCGAGCCAAUUUAGCCAGCCAGCCAGCCAACAAGCGCAAUCCCUAGCGUCCGUCGCCCAAUCCCAUUCCCCGAUCCCUCCUCCUCGGCGCUCGCUCGCUCGCCGUCGCCGCGGUCGCCAUGGGGAUGGGGCCGCUGGAGACCGCCGUUGAGGCUGGCCGCGCCGCCGCGCCGGUGGUGACCGCGGGGAGGGGGGGGGACGUACGCGCUGCUGCAGUGCGGGGAGGACUCGGUGUACGUGCGGGACGCGUACGGGGGCUACUUCGAGGUGUUCCGCGCGCUGCUGGCGGAGGACGGGGAGCGGUGGCGAGUGUACCGCGGGGAGCUGCCGUCCGACGAGGACGCGGCGAGGGUCGACGGCUUCACGACGCGCACGGCGACGAGCCGUGGAUCCUCGCCUUGGUCGACCUCGGAGCUCUGGUCGGACAAUAAUUUACUCGGAUUUGUUUUACCAUGUAUGCAUUCACUGUCUGGCGUUGCUUUAAAAUUCGUGCCUUGCAGAUUUUGGGUAAAAAUAUAUAUCGUUUCAAAGUAUUGUGUAAUGGUUUUUGUUUUCUUUCUUGUUUCAUUGUGUAGCCAUGGUGUCGUUGUGAAACAAGUGCACUUUAUUUGUUGGUACACAAUGAGACAUUAUGUAGCACUAUGAAAUAACUCAGACUUUGUCACCGAGUAGAAAACAUGACACGGAUCUCAAAACAAUGGCGGAUGGUGGAUACAUGCAUCGUAGAAUAUCAUUUCUCCUACACUACCAGGAUUGUACGUACAAUACAAAGUAAGAUGAAUUCUAGUAUCCUAGGAGCCCAUCCGAUCUCGUUCUAGUUAUGGGCUGUGAUUAACGUGUUAAGUUGUAAAACGAGUUGAUUUAUCUCUUCCAUGCCCGAUAGUAAAAAAACAGCCGGAUGAUUCCAAUUUUCAUGCAUUGUCCGGGGUAUAUCUAGUCGGCCGUUUCUAACUACUUGGUUGCCUUCCAGAUAUAGCCUCCCGUAUGCAUGCACACAUAUUAAUCGUCUCGUCGAAUGCACAUGCAUACUACUCCUACAAAUAAAUGUAGUAUACCAUUCUAUUCUUCAAAAUACUUACUAUAUACUCCUACUAAAUAAAAAAUACAACUUUUUUGGGGCACAUAGUUUGUACACUAACAUAAAUGAACAUAUGUGUUGUAAGUAUAUAUAUUGUAUAUAUUGAUACCCCUUUCUACUGCUGAAAGUAUACAUAGUACCCCAAAGUAUACUUUUUCAAACUAUAUACUUCUCUGUCCAUACUACAUACUCCCAUAAAAUUUUGUACAAUAUGCUAUAUCAUGCUAUUUUUUUGGGAUAUACUACCAUACUACAUGCUAGUAUUAUUUUCAUCGGCAUGUAUUCCUCAGUCCAUACUACAUACUACCAUACUAUUUAUCGGAAUAUAUUAACAUACUAUUUUUUUGGGAAUAUACUAAAUGUUGGUGGCUAUAGUACUUAUCCAAAAGCAUAUACUAUAAUUCAUUUAAACAUAUGGGAUCAAUGUAGAUAGAAUAUUCUGUGAGGCCGUGCGGUAGUUUUGCCAACCUAGCUAACACGGUACUUAUCCAUCUUGUGAGAUGGGGUAGAUGCAGCCAACAAAUUAGCCAGCCGUUAGCUAAUCCUACGCAUCCAACUAAUUAGGGUGCAUGGCCAUAAUGGAGCUCAUACCCAUUAAUCCAAUUAACUGUGCGUAGAGUGGGAGGGGCAGAUGGCAAAAUGAUAAGUGGAUGAUCUAAUGCUUAACAAUCCGCAGUAGGUAGGUGUAGGAUAAAUGUGAUCUCUCUCAAACAAUUCUGCAAUCAAAUACAAGAAAUCUUUUGUGUUCCCAAUACACCAAUACAUUGACAAAUUGUAUAGGUGCAUUAGUUCGACGAAGAGAUGGUGAUACAAGUGUAGUAUGGAUAGUAGAUAUAUGUUUUUGUAAUCUAAUAAAAACAACAAGGUAGCAAGUAGCAAACAAUGAUCAAAAUGAUAUACUAAUGCUUAGAAACAUGGCCUAGGGUUCAUACUUUCAGUUGUGAAAUCUCUCAACAAUGCUAACAUAAUCGAAUCAUAUAUCGAUCACUUAAUUUGUGACAAAGAUCACUCCAAAGUGCUUAUCAAUAGCGGAGAACACAAGAUGAAAUUGUUGUAUGUAGCAAAUUACCACACAUUUAGCUUUCCGAUCAAUCUAUUGAGCCAUUCCUAUAAGUGUCACAAACAACCCUAGAGAUCGUAGUACAAUAACACCAUAUGACACGUAUCAAUCAACUCUAAUGUCACCUAGAUACUCCAAUGUCACCACAAGAAUCCAUCAGUUAAUUAUUAAAUAUGCAUAAAACAGUUUCAGAUUCAUAGUAUUCAAUUCAACACAAAAAACUUCAAAGAGCUGCCCUAAAGUUUAUAUCGAAGGAAGUAGGAUGAAAACACAUAUCAACUUAUGUGGUUAGAUUACCCCAAUAAUGUCAGCAUGGAAAUCCGUAAAUUGAUUACCAAAACAUACAUCAAGGGAAUCAAUAGAAUACUCAAUUAUUACCAAGGGUAUUCCCAUGCAAGACAUAGAUCAAGUGAUCUCAAAUCCUCAUAUAUUCAAUCCGAUAAUACUAAAAUCUCAAAGGGUGAGACUCAAUUCGACACAACAAAGGGAAGAACACCAUAUGAUUCUACUAUACUAACAAAGCUCAUGGUACAUCAAGUUCGUUCCAUAUAUAUAAAAGGUAAUUCCACAACAAAGGGAAGAACACCAUUUGAUUACAUCUCGAUGUGUGAUAUUGUGAUAGGUAUAAAAGGUAACUGGUAAAUGCAUUAUUAAUUACAAAUUCAAUAACAAUUAAAUUAAGCCACAAUCAUGGCGUGUAUCAUUUAAUAGAUGUAACUAAACACGUCAUGCAUGGUAUUAUAUCUAUAGAAGGAAAAAUAUUACACAUUAGGUAUAUGGAUAUUUAUUUCAUCCCUCUACGAAUUAGGUAUGUAUGAAUUCAUUUAUUUAGUGUAAUCAUUAGAUAUUUAUACGUACAUACCUAGAAUAUUUAGUAUGUAUGCAUUAGAGUUUUGUUUAUGUUUAUAUCCAGAAUAUUUACACUAGUAGAAAACAGGGCACUGAGCCAACCACAUUGGAUCCGGAUUGGAUAUAAACCGGUUCUAAAGGGUCUGUCCGCUGGGCCCCCUUCCUGCAGCAAAUGGCCGCAAGGCCUUUAGGACCGGUUUGUAACACAAACCGGUCCUAAAGGUUUUUGGACCGUUUGCUGCAGGGAGGGGGGCCCAGUGGACAGACCCUUUAGAACCGGUUUGUAUCACAAACCGGUGCUAAAGGUUUUCUCAUUUUUGCAGCAACUGCGGGGCCCCGCUAUCAGACCCUUUAGCACCGGUUUUUAACACAAACCGGUCCUAAAGCCCUCCCCUAUAUUCCACCCCGAGCUCAGCUCCAUUUUUUCCAGCUCGAGCUCAACUCCAUUUUUGCUCGCUCCUUCCUCUUGGGAGCUCUAAUCCAUCCCCAUUUUUCUCCACCAUUUGUCAAGAUUGUUGGCACCCAUCGGUCCUACGGUUAGCAUCAACAUUCCCUCUUCCGGCAUUGCAAGUUUUGCUCGUUUUCUUGCUCAUUCCAUUUUUGUUAUGCUAGCUAGGUGUUUGAUGAAAUGCCUAAGCUAGAGAGAGUUCAUCAUUUGUUAUGUAUACAUAUGCAAUUUGAGCUCAAAUUUAAUUAUGAUUUGUGUUUUUUUAGUGUCGCGCGCCUUGUCCCCUUCCUCACCGCCGUCGAUCGCCCCGUCACCGACACAACCUUGGUGAGCCUAUUGUUUUUAUUUACCAAAACAAAUUUUGAUUUGUAUGAUUUACAUAUUUACUUGUAUAUAAUUUUCUUACUGUGUAAGAUUUUUUUUAUAUGUAUAGCGCCAUGGUUUUGAUAUCCGUCCCCGUUGGCCCUUGUCCAGUCUAUGAUUCGGAUGUGGUAUAUUAUCUUUUAUAACUACAUAUUUUCAUUUCCUGAUUAUAUGACAAUUAAUUACGCCGACCAACUUGACAUAGAUAUUUUUAUCUAGGAGAUAGUGGAACCGGAAAUGCCAAUCGACCCUAUUAUUGAGAAGUUACACUUAGUUGAACAAGAAAAUGUUGGCCUGAAAGAAAGAUUGAAAAAAACUGAAGAAAGGUUGGAAAAAACUGAAAGAGAGAAGAUGACCUUGGAAAAGGUUCUUGCCGGUGUCGUCGAUGGUCACAAGAGCGAGAUGGACGCAAUGCGCCUGAAGAUUAGAAAGAUUAGAAAAUAUGCAAUUAGUAAAGAGGCUUGGUAUCAUUAUGCUGUCGGAUCAAUUGUUACCUUUGUUGCGAUUUUGAUCGCAUUUGUUGUUGUUUUUAAAUGCAUUAAUUAGAGAGAGUUUUUAUGGUUGGUUUCAGUGUGUAUUUUUAUGAGAACUAUAUAUGUAUGGUCACUACGCUACUUUGGUUUUAAUGAGUGAUGAACUUUUUGUAUUAAUUAAUUAAUUUAGUCAUGAUGAUUUAGCAUAAUGGUUUUUGAUAAAUUUAUAUAAUGCAGAUGAACCGGCAAUGGAUGUACAGUGAUCGACGUCGUCCCGAAUUCCUUAAUGACAUGCAUAGUUUUCUCAAUGUGGCUGAGAAAAACAGGCAGAAUGGAUUUAUUUUUUGUCCAUGUAAAAAAUGCCAGAAUAAGAGGAAUUUCCCUAACUCAAGAACCAUACACACCCACCUGUUGCAAGAAGGCUUCAUGCCCGGUUAUUUUUGUUGGACCAAGCACGGAGAAAGAGGGGUUGUAAUGAAAGACAAUGAAGAAGAAGAGGAUAAUGAUAACUAUCCUAUGUUCGGUGAACACGGUGAUACUGAAAUGGGGAAAGACGAGCCUGAACUUGAGGACAUUGUUGAUGAGUCCGAUGAUGAUCUUCGUCAGGUCAUUCGUGAAGAACAGAUAAACUGCGCAAGUGAAAACGAUAGGUUGAAGUUGGAGCGCAUGUUAGAAGAUCACAAAAAAUUGUUGUACCCAAAUUGCGAAGAUGGCCAGAAAAAGUUGGGCACCACCCUGGAAUUGCUGCAAUGGAAGGCAGAGAAUGGAAUAUCUGACAAGGGAUUUGAAAAGCUGCUGAAAAUAAUGAAGAAGAUGCUUCCAAGAGAUAACGUGCUGCCCUGCAGUACGUACGAAGCAAAGAAGGUUGUCUGCCCUCUAGGAUUGGAAGUGCAUAAGAUACAUGCAUGCAUCAAUGACUGCAUCCUCUACCACGGUCAGCACGAGAAUUUAAAUGCCUGCCCGGUAUGCGGUGCAUUUCGGUAUAAGAUCAGGCGAGAUGACCCUGGUGAUGUUGAGGGCGACGAUCGCCCCAGGAAGAGGGUGUUGGAAAUAUGCCCUAGAGGCAAUAAUAAAAUGGUUAUUAUCAUAUNNNNNNNNNNGAUCUAUAGAGAUAGAUCAAGACGCCUCAUAGGUCUUUCGCAAAGGACAUACCUUGAUAAGAUAUUGAAGAAGUUCAAUAUGGAAAACUCAAAGAAAGGGUUCUUGCCAGUUUUGCAAGGUAUGAGAUUGAUUAAGACUCAGUCGCCGACCACGGCAGCAGAUAGAGAGAAGAUGAGUUUUGUCCCCUACGCUUCAGUCGUAGGCUCUCUUAUGUAUGCCAUGCUCUGUACCAGACCUGAUAUAAACCUUGUCAUAAGUUUGGUAGGGAGGUACCAAAGUGAUCCCGGUAUGGAGCACUGGACAGCGGUCAAGAAUAUCCUUAAGUACCUGAAAAGGACUGAGGAAAUGUUUCUCGUUUAUGGAGGUGAUGAAGAGCUCGUCGUAAAGGGUUACGUCGAUGCUAGCUUUGACACAGAUCUAGAUGACUCUAAGUCACAUAACGGAUACGUAUAUGUUUUGAAUGGUGGGGCAGUGAGCUGGUGCAGCAGCAAGCAAGAAGUCGUGGCAGCAUCUACAUGUGAAGCGGAGUAUAGAGCUGCUUCAGAAGCGGCUCAUGAAGGAAUUUGUAUGAAGGAGCUCAUCACCGACCUUGGAGUGGUUCCAAGCGCGUCGGGUCCAAUGAGACUCUUCUGUGAUAACACUGGGGCCAUUGCCAUAGCCAAGGAGCCCAGGUUUCACCGGAAGACGAAACACAUCAAACACCGCUACAACUCCAUCCAUGACCAUGUCCAAAGUGGAGUAAUAGAGAUUUUUAAAGUACACAUGGAUCUGAAUGUCGCAAACCCCUUGACUAAACCUCUUCCACGAGCAAAACAUGAUCAACACCAUAAUGCUAUGGGUAUUCGAUACAUCACAAUGUAACUAGAUUAUUGACUCUAGUGCAAGUGGGAGACUGUUGGAAAUAUGCCCUAGAGGCAAUAAUAAAAUGGUUAUUAUCAUAUUUCCUUGUUCAUGAUAAUCGUCUAUCGUUCAUGCUAUAAUUGUAUUAACAGGAAACAGUAAUACAUGUGUGAAUGAAUAGAUCACAAUGUGUCCCUAGCAAGCCUCUAGUUAGCUAGCUCGUUAGUCAAUAGAUUAUCAUGAUUUCCUGAUCAUGGACAUUGGAUGUCAUUGAUAACGGGAUCACAUCAUUGGGAGAAUGAUGUGGUGGACAAGACCCAAUCCUAAGCCUAGCACUAGAUCGUAUUGUUCGUAUGCUAAUGCUUUUCUAAUGUCAAGUAUCUUUUCCUUCGACCGUGAGAUUGUGCAACUCCCGGAUACCGUAGGAGUGCUUUGGGUGUAUCAAACGUCACAACGUAACUGGGUGAUUAUAAAGGUGCACUAUGGGUACCUCUGAAAGUGUCUGUUGGGUUGGUACGAAUCGAGAUCGGGAUUUGUCACUCCGUGUCACGGAGAGGUAUCUCUGGCCCACUCGUAGAACAUCAUCAUGAGCUCAAUAUGACUAAGGAGUUAUUCAUACAAUGACGUGCUAUGGAACGAGUAAAGAGACUUACCUGUAACGAGAUUGAACAAGGUAUAGGUAUACCGACGAUCGAAUCUCGGGCAAGUUCUAUACCGACAGACAAAGGGAAUUGUAUACGGGAUUGAUUGAAUCCUUGACAUCGUGGUUCAUCCGAUGAGAUCAGCGUGGAGCAAGUGCGAGCCACCUUGGGUAUCCAGACCCCGCUGAUGGUUAUUGCCCGGAGAGGUGUCUCGGUCAUGUCUGCCUGUCUCCCAAACCCGUAGGGUCUACACACUUAAGGUUCGAUGACGCUAGGGUUAUAGGGAAUUGUUAUACGAGUUUAUCGAAAGUUGUUUGGAGUCCCGGAUGAGAUCCCAUACGUCACGAGGAGCUCCGGAAUGGUCUGGAGGUAAAGAUUGAUAUAUAGGACGGAUGGUUUCGGACACCGGAAGUGUUUCGGGCGUCACCGGUAACGUACCGGGACCACCGGAAGGGGGAAACGACCCCGGGAGGCUAGAUGGGCCAAGUGCGGGAGGGAACCAGCUCUUAGGUGGGCUGGUGCGCCCCCCACACUCAGCCCAAGGCGCAGGAGCUGGAGAGGGGGGAAACCCUAGGCGCUGGUGGGCCUAAGGCCCACCUAGGGGUGCGCCACCCCCUCCCCUUGCCCUGGCCACCGCACCUCCCAUCUGUGGGGGCUGCCGGACCACCUAGGGUGGGAACCCAAGGGGUGGCACCCCCUCCCCUCCUCCUAUAUAUAGUAGGGGUUUCGGGGCUGUUUUGGACACAGUUUUCCCUCUCCCUCGGCGUAGCCGUGCUCUUCUUUCUCCUCCUCUCUGCCGGUGCUUGGCGAAGCCCUGCCGGGAGACCUCGUCUCUCCAUCGACACCAUGCCGUCGUGCUAUCGGAGAUCUUCUCCAACCUCUCCCUCCUCCUUGCUGGAUCAAGGUGCGGGAGACGUCACCGGGCUGCACGUGUGUUGAACACGGAGGUGCCGUAGUUCGGCACUAGAUCGGAAUCACACCGCGAUCUGAAUCCCCGCGAGUACGACUCCAUCAACAGCGUUCUAGCAACGCUUCCGCCUAGCGAUCUUCAAGGGUAUGAAUAUGCACUCACCCCUCUCUCGUUGCUGGUCUCUCCAUAGGAAGAUCUAAAUAUGCGUAGGAAAUGUUUUGAAUUUAUGCUACGAUACCCAACAGUGGCAUCCGAGCCAGGUUUUCUAUGCGUAGAUUCUAUGCACGAGUAGAACACAAAAGGUUCUGGGCGAUGAAUUGUCAAUUGCUUGCCGCUACUAGUCUUAUUCUAUUCCGGCGGUAUUGUGGGAUGAAGCGGCCCGGACCGACAUUACACGUACGCUUACGUGAGACUGGUUCCACCGACAGACAUGCACACCGUGCAUAAAGGUGCUAGCGGGUGUCUGUCUCUCCCACUCUAGUCGGAUUGGAUUUGAUGAAAAGGGUCCUUACGAAGGGUAAAUAGCUUUGGCAUAUUAUCAUUGUGGCUGUCACGUAGGUAAGAAGGCGUUCUUGCUAGAAACCCAAAUCAGCCACGUAAAACUUGCAACAACAGUUAGAGGACGUCUAACUUGUUUUUGCAGGGUUUUACAUGUGAUCUGAUAUGGCCAAAGUUGUGAUGUUGCAUGUAUGAUGUAUGAGAUGAUCAUGUUAUUGCAAUAGAUUUCACGACUUGCAUGUCGAUGAGUAUGACAACCGGCAGGAGCCAUAGGAGUUGUCUUAAUUUAUUGUAUGAGAUGCAACGCCAUGUGCUUACUACUUUUACUUCAUUGCUAACGGUUAGCUAUAGUAGUAGUGAUAGUAGUAGUUGGCGUGACGACUUCACGAAGACACGAUGAUGGAGAUCAUGGUGUCACGCCGGUGACGAUGAUGAUCAUGCGANNNNNNNNNNUGUAGAUUCUAUGCACGAGUAGAACACAAAAGUUGUGGGCGAUGAUUUGUCAAUUUGCUUGCCGCUACUAGUCUUAUUCUUUUCCGAUGGUAUUGUGGGAUGAAGCGGCCCGGACCGACUUUACACGUACGCUUACGUGAGACUGGUUUCACCGACAGACAUGCACACCGUGCAUAAAGGUGGCUAGCGGGUGUCUGUCUCUCCUACUCUAGUCGGAUUGGAUUUGAUGAAAAGGGUCCUUAUGAAGGGUAAAUAGCUCUGGCAUAUCAUCAUUGUGGCUUUCACGUAGGUAAGAAGGCGUUCUUGCUAGAAACCCAAAUCAGCCAAGUAAAAUUUCCAACAACAAUUAGAGGACGUCUAACUUGUUUUUGCAGGGUUUGACAUGUGAUGUGAUAUGGCCAAAGUUGUGAUGUUGCAUGUAUGAUGUAUGAGAUGAUCNNNNNNNNNNNNNNNNNNNNNNNNNNNNNNNNNNNNNNNNNNNNNNNNNNNNNNNNNNNNNNNNNNNNNNNNNNNNNNNNNNNNNNNNNNNNNNNNNNNNCAUAGGAGUUGUCUUAAUUUAUUGUAUGAGAUGCAACGCCAUGUGCUUGCUACUUUUACUUCAUUGCUAACGGUUAGCCAUAGUAGUAGUGAUAGUAGUAGUUGGCGUGACGACUUCACGGAGACACGAUGAUGGAGAUCAUGAUGAUGGAGAUCAUGGUGUCACGCCGGUGACGAUGAUGAUCAUGCGAUGCCUGAAGAUGGAGAUCGAAAGGGCAAAGAUGAUAAUGGCCAUAUCAUGUCACUAUAUGAUUGCAUUGUGAUGUUUAUCAUGUUUUACAUCUUACUGCUUAAAACGACGGUAGCAUAAUAAGAUGAUCCCUCCUAAAAUUUCGAGAACGUAUUCCCCUAAGUGUGCACCGUUGCGAAGGUUNNNNNNNNNNAAUAAUAAGAUGAUCCCUCUUAAAAUUUCGAGAACGUAUUCCCCUAAGUGUGCACCGUUGCGAAGGUUCGUUGCUCGAAGCACCACGUGAUGAUCGGGUGUGAUAGAUUCUAACGUUCGCAUACAACGGGCGUAAGCCAGAUUUACACACGCGAAACACCUAGGUUGACUCGACGAGCUUAGCAUGNNNNNNNNNNCAUAAUAAGAUGAUCCCUCUUAAAAUUUCGAGAAAGUAUUCCCCUAAGUGUGCACGGUUGCGAAGGAUCGUUGUCUCGAAGCACCACGUGAUGAUCGGGAGUGAUAGAUUCUAGCGUUCGCAUACAACGGGUGUAAGCAAGAUUUACACACGCGAAACACCUAGGUUGACUCGACGAGCUUAGCAUGUACGGACAUGACCUUGAAUACAAGAGACCGAAAGGUCAGACAUGAGUCGUAUGGUUGAAUACGAUCAGCAUGAAGUUGCUCACCAUGGUGACUAGUCCGUCUCACGUGAUGAUCGGACACGGGUUAGUCAACAUGGAUCAUGUAUCACUUAGAUGACUAGAGGGAUGCCGAUUUAAGUGGGAGUUCAUGCUUAAUUUGAUUAAAUGAACUUAAUUGUCAUGAACUUAGUCUAAAAGUUGUCUUUAUAAAUAUUGUAGAUGGCCAACGUCAACCUCAAUUUCAACACAUUCCUAGAGAAAAACAAGCUCAAAGAUGAUGGUUGCAACUAUGCGGACUGGGUUCGCACCUUGAAGCUCAUCCUUGAAGCAGCUAAAAAGGCUUAUGUCCUUGAUGCGUCGCUAGGUGACCCUCCCGCUCCCGUAGCAGCCCAGGACAUUCUGAACAUCUGGCAAACGCGGAGUCAUGACUACUCUCUGGUUAGGUGUGGCAUGUUAUACAGUUUAGAAACGGGGCUCCAAAGGCGUUUUGAGCAACACGGAGCAUAUAAGAUGUUCCAGGAGCAGAAGCUAGUUUUUCAAGCUCAUGCCCGUGUCGAGAGAUAUGAAGUCUCNNNNNNNNNNGCAUUCCUAGAGAAAAACAAGCUGAAAGAUGAUGGGAGCAACUAUGCGGACUGGGUUCGCAACUUGAAGCUCAUCCUUGAAGCAGCUAAAAAGGCUUAUGUCCUUGAUCCGCCGCUAGGUGACCCUCCCACUCCCACAGCAGCCCAGGACAUUCUGAACGUCUCGCAAACGCGGAGUCAUGACUACUCUCUGGUUAGGUGUGGCAUGUUAUAUAGUUUAGAAACGAGGCUCCAAAGGCGUUUUGGGCAACACGGUGCAUAUGAGAUGUUCCAAGAGCUGAAGCUAGUUUUUCAAGCUCAUGCCCGUGUCGAGAGAUAUGAAGUCUCCGACAAGUUCUUUAGCUGUAAGAUGGAGGAGAUCAGUUCUGUCAGUGAGCACAUACUCAAAAUGUUUGGGUUACACGGUCAUCUGACUUCACUUGGAGUCGAACUUCCGGAUGAUGCUAUAAUUGACAGAAUCCUCCAGUCUCUCCCACCAAGCUACAAAGGUUUUGUGCUAAAUUACAACAUGCAAGGCAUGGAGAAGACCAUUCCCGAGUUGUACUCGAUGCUCAAGUCUACAGAAGUAGAAAUCAAGAAAGAGCAUCAAGUGUUGAUGGUCAACAAGANNNNNNNNNNCAAGGAUAAAAAGAACUUCAAGAAAGACGGCAAAGCCGUUGCCGCGCCUGGUAAGCCAGAUGCCGGGAAGAAGAAAAGGAAUGGACCCAAGCCUGAGACUGAGUGCUUCUAUUGCAAGGGAAAGGGUCACUGGAAGCGGAACUGCCCCAAAUACUUAGCGGACAAGAAGAUCGGCAACGUUAAAGGUAUAUGUGAUAUACAUGUUAUUGAUGUGUACCUNNNNNNNNNNGAAGGGUAAGAAGAACUUCAAGAAAGACGGCAAAGUUGUUGCCGCGCCCGGUAAGCCAGAUGCCAGGAAGAAGUAAAAGAAUGGACCAAAGCCUGAGACUGAGUGCUUCUAUUGCAAGGGAAAAGGUCACUGGAAGCGGAACUGCCCCAAAUACUUAGCGGACAAGAAGGCCGGCAAUGUUAAAGGUAUAUGUGAUAUACAUGCUAUUGAUGUGUACCUUACCAGCGCUCGUAGUAGCUCCUGGGUAUUUGAUACCGGUGUUGUUGCUCACAUUUGCAACUCAAAGCGGGAACUGUGGAAUAAGCGGAGACUGGCCAAGGACGAGGUGACGAUGCGCGUCGGGAAAGGCUCCAAGGUCGAUGUGAUCGCCGUCGGCACGCUACCUCUACAUCUACCGUCGGGAUUAGUCUUAAACCUUAAUAAUUCUUAUUUAGUACCAGCUUUGAGCAUGAAUAUUGUAUCAGGGUCUUGCUUAAUGCAAGACGGCUACUCAUUUAAGUCAGAGAAUAAUGGUUGUUUUAUUUAUAUGAGUGAUAUGUUUUAUGGUCAUGCUCCGCUGGUGAAUGGUUUAUUCUUGAGGAAUCUCGAUCGUGAUGUCACACAUAUUUAUAGUGUGAGUACCAAAAGAUGUAAAGUUGAUAAUGAUAGUCCCACAUACUUGUGGCACUGCCACCUUGGUCAUAUCGGUGUCAAGCGCAUGAAGAAGCUCCAUACUGAUGGACUAUUAGAGUCUCUUGACUUUGAAUCAUUUGGCACAUGCGAAUCGUGCCUCAUGGGCAAGAUUACUAAGACUCCGUUCUCAGGAAUAACGGAGAGAGCAACCGACUUAUUGGAAAUAAUACAUACUGAUGUGUGUGGUCCAAUGAACGUUGAAGCUCGCGGUGGNNNNNNNNNNNNNNNNNNNNNNNNNNNNNNNNNNNNNNNNNNNNNNNNNNNNNNNNNNNNNNNNNNNNNNNNNNNNNNNNNNNNNNNNNNNNNNNNNNNNCGCGGUUGAUGGAGUCGUACUCGCAGCGAUUCCGAUCUAGUGCCGAACAACGGCACCUCCGCGUUCAACACACGUGCAGCCCGGUGACGUCUCCCGCACCUUGAUCCAGCAAGGAGGAGGGAGAGGUUGGGGAAGAAGACCAGCAACACGACGGCGUGGUGUUGGUGGAGAGAGGAGGUCUCCCGGCAAGGCUUUGCCAAGCGCCGGCAGCGAGGAGGAGGGAGAGGAGCAGGGCUGCGAGAGAGAGAGAUUAAACCGUGUCUCAAACAGCCCCGAACCUCAUCUAUAUAUAGGGGGAGAGGGAGGGGGCGCAGCCCUUAGGGUUCCCACCCCUAAGGGGUGCGGCAGCCCUCAGAUGGGGAAGGGGUGGCGGCCAGGGCAAGGGGGAGGGGUGGCGCACCCCUCUGGUGGGCCUAAGGCCCACCUGAGUUAGGGUUCCCCCCCUCUUUUCCUUUCCCCUGCGCCAUGGGCUGAGUGGGGAAGCGCACCAGCCCAACUAGGGGCUGGUUCCCACCCCCACUAGCCCAUCUUACCUCUUGGGGUCGCAGCCCCCCUUCGGUGGUCCCCCGGGACCACCUCCGGUGAUCCCGGUGGUCCCGGUACGUUACCGGUGAUGCCCGAAACACUUCCGGUCUCCGAAACCAUCCGUCCUAUAUAUCAAUCUUUACCUCCGGACCAUUCCGGAGCUCCUCGUGACGUCCUGGAUCUCAUCCGGGACUCCGAACAACUUUCGGUAAUCUCGUAUAACAAUUCCCUAUAACCCUAGCGUCAUCGAACCUUAAGUGUGUAGACCCUACGGGUUCGGGAGACAGGCAGACAUGACCGAGACACCUCUCCUGCCAAUAACCAUCAGCGGGGUCUGGAUACCCUUGGUGGCUCCCACUUGCUCCACCAUGAUCUCAUCGGAUGAACCACGAUGUCAAGGAUUCAAUCAAUCCCGUAUACAAUUCCCUUUGUCUGUCGGUAUAGAACUUGCCCGAGAUUCGAUCGUCCGUAUACCUAUACCUUGUUCAAUCUCGUUACCGGUAUGUCUCUUUACUCGUUCUGUAGCACGUCAUCGUAUGACUAACUCCUUAGUCACAUUGAGCUCAUGACGAUGUUCUACCGAGUGGGCCUAGAGAUACCUCUCCGUCACACGGAGUGACAAAUCCCGAUCUCGAUUCGUACCAACCAAAUAGACACUUUUAGAGGUACCGGUAGUGCACCUUUAUAGUCACCCAGUUACGUUGCGACGUUUGAUACACCCAAAGCACUCCUAUGGUAUCCGGGAGUUGCACAAUCUCACGAUCGAAGGAAAAGACACUUGACAUUAGAAAAGCUUUAGCAUACGAACAAUACGAUCUAGUGCUNNNNNNNNNNNNNNNNNNNNNNNNNNNNNNNNNNNNNNNNNNNNNNNNNNNNNNNNNNNNNNNNNNNNNNNNNNNNNNNNNNNNNNNNNNNNNNNNNNNNUCGCCGACCACGGCAGCAGAUAGAGAGAAGAUGAGUUCUGUCCCCUACGCUUCAGCCGUGGGCUCUCUAAUGUAUGCCAUGCUGUGUACCAGACCUGAUAUAAACCUUGCGAUAAGCUUGGUAGGGAGGUACCAAAGUAAUCCCGGUGCGGAACACUGGACAGCGGUCAAGAAUAUCCUUAAGUACCUGAAAAGGACUAAGGAAAUGUUUCUCUUUUAUGGAGGUGACGAAGAGCUCGUCCUAAAGGGUUACGUCGAUGCUAGCUUCGACACAGAUCCGGAUGACUCUAAGUCACAAACCGGAUACGUAUAUGUGUUGAAUGGUGGGGCAGUGAGCUGGUGCAGCAGCAANNNNNNNNNNAUCAGCCGUGGGCUCUCUAAUGUAUGCCAUGGUGUGUACCAGACCUGAUAUAAACCUUGCCAUAGGCUUGGUAGGGAGGUACCAAAGUGAUCCCGGUAUGGAACACUGGACAUCGGUCAAGAAUAUCCUUAAGGACCUGAAAAGGACUAAGGAAAUGUUUCUCGUUUAUGGAGGUGAUGAAGAGCUCGUCGUAAAGGGUUACGUCGACGCUAGCUUCGACACAGAUCCGGAUGACUCUAAGUCACAGACCGAAUACGUAUAUGUGUUGAAUGGUGGGGCAGUGAGCUGGUGCAGCAGCAANNNNNNNNNNNNNNNNNNNNNNNNNNNNNNNNNNNNNNNNNNNNCUCAUGAUGGAAUUUGGAUGAAGGAGCUCAUCACCGACCUUGGAGUGGUUCCAAGCGCGUCGGGUCCUAUGACACUCUUCUGUGAUAACACUUGAGCCAUUGCCAUAGCCAAAGAGCCCAGGUUUCACCGGAAGACGAAGCACAUCAAGCGCCGCUACAACUCCAUCCAGGACCAUGUCCAAACUGGAGUGAUAGAUAUUUGUAAAGUACACACGGAUCUGAAUAUUGCAGANNNNNNNNNNCACUCUUCUGUGAUAACACUGGGACCAUUGCCAUAGCCAAGGAGCCCAGGUUUCACCGGAAGACGAAGCAGAUCAAACGCCGCUACAACUCCAUCCAGGACCAUGUCCAGAGUGGAGUGAUAGAUAUUUGUAAAGUACACACGGAUCUGAAUAUUGCAGANNNNNNNNNNNNNNNNNNNNNNNNNNNNNNNNNNNNNNNNNNNNNNNNNNNNNNNNNNNNNNNNNNNNNNNNNNNNNNNNNNNNNNNNNNNNNNNNNNNNGAGUUCAAAAUAGACCAGCAAAGAAGGAGUUCUUGGUUGCGUUGUGAGGUGUGAAUUUGAGUAAGACUCAAAACCCGACCACGGCAGAAUAAAGAGAAUAGACGAAGGUCGUCUUCUAUGCCUUAGCCGUAGAAUCUAAAGUAUGCCAUACUGUGUACCGCACCUGAAGUGUGCCUUGACUCAAAGUAUGUUGAGAGGUACAGAGAGUGAUCCAUGAUUGAAUCACUAGCAGCGGUCGAAAUUGAUCCUUAGUAACUAAUGGACUAAGGAAUUUUUCUCGAUUAUGGAGGUGGUUAAAGAGUUCGUCGUAAAGGGUUACGUCGAUGCAAGCUUUGACACUAAUCCGAAUAACUAUGAGUAGUGAAACGGAUUCGUAUAGUAGAGUAGAUAUUUGGAGUAUUUCCGAAUAGCACGUAGUAGCAGCAUCUAUAAGAUGACAUAAAGAUUUGUAAAGAACGCACGGAUCUGAAAGUUUCAGAACCGUUGACUAAAACCUCUCUCACGAGCAAGACGUGAUCAGACCCCAUAACUAUAUGGGUGUUGGAUUCGUUGGAAUCACAUGGUGAUGUGNNNNNNNNNNNNNNNNNNNNNNNNNNNNNNNNNNNNNNNNNNNNNNNNNNNNNNNNNNNNNNNNNNNNNNNNNNNNNNNNNNNNNNNNNNNNNNNNNNNNGCACUGUCGUCUGACUUCACUUGGAGUCGAACUUCCGUAUGAUGCUAUAAUUGACAGAAUCCUCCAGUCUCUCCCACCAAGCUACAAAGGCUUUGUGCUUAACUACAACAUGCAAGGGAUGGAGAAGACCAUUCCCGAGUUGUACUCGAUGCUCAAGUCUGCAGAAGUAGAAAUCAAGAAGGAGCAUCAAGUGUUGAUGGUCAACAAGACCACUAGUUUCAAGAAAGGCAGGGGUAAGAAGAACUUCAAGAAAGACGGCAAAGCUGUUGCCGUGCCCGGUAAACCAGAUGUCGGGAAGAAGAAAAAGAACGGACCCAAGCCUGAGACUGAGUGCUUCUACUGCAAGGGAAAAGGUCACUGGAAGCGCAACUGCCCCAAAUACUUAGCGGACAAGAAGGCCGGCAACGUUAAAGGUAUAUGUGAUAUACAUGUUAUUGAUGUGUACCUUACCAGCGCUCUUAGUAGCUCCUGGGUAUUUGAUACCAGUGCUGUUGCUCACAUUUGCAACUCAAAGCAGGAACUGCGGAAUAAGCGGAGACUGGCCAAGGACGAGGUGAUGAUGCGCGUCGGGAAUGGUUCAAAGGUCGAUGUGAUCGCCGUCGGCACGCUACCUCUACAUCUACCGUUGGGAUUAGUCUUAAACCUUAAUAAUUCUUAUUUAGUACCAGCUUUAAGCAUGAACAUUGUAUCAGGGUCUUGCUUAAUGCGAGACAGCUACUCAUUUACGUCAGAGAAUAAUGGUUGUUCUAUUUAUAUGAGUGACAUGUUUUAUGGUCAUGCUCCGCUGGUGAAUGGUUUAUUCUUGAUGAAUCUCGAUCGUGAUGUUACACAUAUUCAUAGUGUGAGUACCAAAAGAUGCAAAGUUGAUAACGAUAGUCCCACAUACUUGUGGCACUGCCACCUUGGUCAUAUCGGCGUUAAGCGCAUGAAGAAGCUCCAUACUGAUGGACUGCUAGAGUCUCUUGACUUUGAAUCAUUUGACACAUGCGAACCGUGCCUCAUGGGCAAGAUGACUAAGACUCCAUUCUCAGGACUAAUGGAGAGAGCAACCGACUUAUUGGAAAUAAUACAUACUGAUGUGUGUGGNNNNNNNNNNNNNNNNNNNNNNNNNNNNNNNNNNNNNNNNNNNNNNNNNNNNNNNNNNNNNNNNNNNNNNNNNNNNNNNNNNNNNNNNNNNNNNNNNNNNNNNNNNNNNNNNNNNNUUAUCGUUAUGUUCUCACUCUCACCGAUGAUUUGAGUAGGUAUGGGUAUAUUUACUUGAUGAAGCACAAAUCUGAGACGUUUGAAAGGUUCAAGGAAUUUUAGAGUGAGGUUGAGAAUCAACGUGACAGAAAAAUUAAAUGUCUACGAUCUGAUCGUGGAGGAGAAUAUUUGGGUCAUGAAUUUGGCACACACCUAAGGAAGUGUGGAAUCGUUUCACAACUAACGCCGCCUGGCACACCGCAACGCAACGGAGUGUCUGAACGUCGUAAUCGCACCUUAUUAGAUAUGGUACAAUCUAUGAUGUCUCUCACCGACUUACCGCUAUCAUUUUGGGGAUACGCAUUAGAAACUGCAGCANNNNNNNNNNCUAUCGUUAUGUUCUCACUCUCACCGACGAUUUGAGUAGGUAUGGGUAUAUCUACUUGAUGAAGCACAAAUCUGAGACAUUCAAAAAGUUCAAGGAAUUUCAGAGUGAGGUCGAGAAUCAAUGUGACAGAAAAAUUAAGUGUCUACGAUCUGAUCGUGGAGGAGAAUAUUUGAGUCACGAGUUUGGCACACACCUAAGGAAGUGUGGAAUCGUUUCAUAACUGACGCCGCCUGGCACACCGUAACGCAACGGAGUGUCUGAACGUCGUAAUCGCACUUUAUUAGAUAUGGUGCGAUCUAUGAUGUCUCUUACCGACUUACCGCUAUCAUUUUGGGGAUACGCAUUAGAAACUGCAGCANNNNNNNNNNCAACUGACACCGCCUGGCACACCGCAACGCAAGGGAGUGUCUGAACGUCGUAAUCGCACUUUAUUAGAUAUGGUACGAUCUAUGAUGUAUCUUACCGACUUACCGUUAUCAUUUUGGGGAUACGCAUUAGAAACUACAGCAUUCACUUUAAAUAGGGCACCGUCUAAAUCCGUUGAGACGACACCGUAUGAACUAUGGUUUGGCAAGAAACCUAAGUUGUCGUUUCUUAAAGUUUGGGGCUGCGAUGCUUCUGUGAAGAAACUUAAACUAGAAAAGCUCGAACCCAAAGCGGAGAAAUGCGUAUUCAUAGGAUACCCUAAGGAAACUCUUGGGUAUACCUUCUAUCUUAGAUCCGAAGGUAAAACCUUUGUUGCCAAGAACGGAUCCUUUCUAGAGAAAGAAUUUCUCUCGAAAGAAGUAAGUGGGAGGAAGGUAGAACUUGAUGAGGUAAUUACACCCCCUCUCGAACAGGAUAGUAGCGCAGCGCGGGAAGUUGUUCCUGUGGCGCCUACACCAACUGAAGAGGAAGUUAAUGAUGAUGAUCAUGAAGCUUCGAAUCAAGUUACUAUUGAACCGCGAAGGUCCACAAGGGCACGCUCCGCACCAGAGUGGUACGACAACCCUGUGAUGGAAAUCAUGUUGUUAGACAACGUUGAACCUUCGAACUAUGAAGAAGCGAUGGCGGGCCCGGAUUCCAACAANNNNNNNNNNNNNNNNNNNNNNNNNNNNNNNNNNNNNNNNNNNNNNNNNNNNNNNNNNNNNNNNNNNNNNNNNNNNNNNNNNNNNNNNNNNNNNNNNNNNUGCGAAGAGACUUUCUCUCCCGUAGCGAAGCUGAAAUCAGUCCGAAUCAUGUUCGCAAUUUCUGCCUUUUAUGAUUAUGAAAUUUGGCAAAUGGACGUCAAAACAGCGUUCCUUAACGGGAACCUCAAGGAAGAGUUGUAUAUGAUGCAACCAGAAGGUUUUAUCGACCCUAAGGGUGCUAACAAAGUGUGCAAGCUCCAGCUCUCCAUCUAUGGGCUGGUGCAAGAAUCUCGGAGUUGGAACAUUCGCUUUAAUGAGGUGAUUAAAGCGUUUGGGUUCAUACAGGAUUACGGAGAAGCCUGUCUGUACAAGAAAGUGAGUGGGAGCUCUGUAGCUUUCCUCAUACUGUAUGUGGAUGACAUAUUAUUGAUGGGGAAUAAUAUGGAGAUGUUGGAGAGCAUAAAGGCCUAUUUGAACAAAAGUUUUUCAAUGAAGGACCUUGGAGAAGCUGCAUACAUAUUAGGCAUCAAAAUCUAUAGAGAUAGAUCGAGACGCCUCAUAGGUCUUUCGCAAAGUACAUACCUUGACAAGAUAUUGAAGAAGUUCAAUAUGGAAAACUCAAAGAAAGGGUUCUUGNNNNNNNNNNNNNNNNNNNNNNNNNNNNNNNNNNNNNNNNNNNNNNNNNNNNNNNNNNNNNNNNNNNNNNNNNNNNNNNNNNNNNNNNNNNNNNNNNNNNACCGUAAACCCGGUUUACCCGUUUAAACCGAACGGUAGUUCGGGGUCGGCCGGGCCGGGGCCCGGAACGGGGGGGUAGGGAGGGGUCGGUCGGCCGCCUACCCCGUCGGUCGGGUCCUUACGGCCNCCUGGCUUAGGGUUUCCCCCCCUUUUCUCUCCCCUGCGCAUUGGGCUGAGCGGGGAGGCGCACCAGGCCACCUAGGGGCUGGUUCCCUCCCCUACUUGGCCCAUCUUACCUCCCGGGGUCGUUGCCCCCCUUCGGUGGACCCCCGGGGCCACCUCCGGUGGUCCCGGUGGUCCCGGUACGUUACCGGUGAUGCCCGAAACAUUUCCGGUGUCCGAAACCAUCCGUCCUGUAUAUCAAUCUUUACCUCCGGACCAUUCCGGAGCUCCUCGUGACGUCCGGGAUCUCAUCCGGGACUCCGAACAACUUUCGGUAACCUCGUAUAACAAUUCCCUAUAACCCUAGCGUCACCGAACCUUAAGUGUGUAGACCCUACGGGUUCGGCAGACAAGCAGACAUGACCGAGCCACCUUUAUGGCCAAUAACCAUCAGCGGGGUCUGGAUACCCAUGGUGGCUCCCACUUGCUCUACGAUGAUCUCAUCGGAUGAACCACGAUGUCAAUGAUUCAAUCAAUCCCGUAUACAAUUCCCUUGGUCUGUCGGUAUAGAACUUGCCCGAGAUUCGAUCGUCGGUAUACCAAUACCUUGUGCAAUCUCGUUACCGGUAAGUCUCUUUACUCGUUCUGUAGCACGUCAUCGUGUGACUAACUCCUUAGUCACAUUGAGCUCAUGAUGAUGUUCUACCGAGUGGGCCCAGAGAUACCUCUCCGUCACACGGAGUGACAAAUCCCAAUCUCGAUUCGUACCAACCCAACAGACACUUUCGGAGGUACCCGUAGUGCACCUUUAUACUCACCCAGUUACGUUGUGACGUUUGAUACACCCAAAGCACUCCUACAGUAUCCGGGAGUUGCACAAUCUCACAGUCGAAGGAAAAGAUACUUGACAUUAGAAAAGCUUUAGCAUACGAUCUAGUGCUAUGCUUAGGAUUGGGUCUUGUCCAUCACAUCAUUCUCCCAAUGAUGUGAUCCCGUUAUCAAUGACAUCUAAUGCCCAUGAUCAGGAAACCAGGAUCAUCUAUUGACUAACGAGCUAGCCAACUAGAGGCUUGCUAGGGACACUUUGUGAUCUAUUAAUUUAUUCACACAUGUAUUACUGUUUCCUAUUAAUAUAAUUAUAGCAUGAACAAUAGACGGUUAUCAUGAACAAGGAAAUAUGAUAAUAACCAUUUUAUUAUUGCCUCUAGGGCAUAUUUCCGACANNNNNNNNNNNNNNNNNNNNNNNNNNNNNNNNNNNNNNNNNNNNNNNNNNNNNNNNNNNNNNNNNNNNNNNNNNNNNNNNNNNNNNNNNNNNNNNNNNNNACGCAUCGUGUUGUUUGCCUAUCAGGUAAAAGAAUGGGUUUAGUUAUCAUACUUGUCAUGAAUUUAUCCCUCUACAGCAUGUCAUCUUGCUUAAGGCGUUACUCUGUUUGUUAUGAACUUAAUACACUAGAUGCAUGCUGGAUAGCGGUCGAUGUGUGGAGUAAUAGUAGUAGAUGCAGAAAGUAUCGGUCUGCUUGUCUCGGACGUGAUGCCUAUAUGUAUGAUCAUUGCCUUAGAUAUCGUCAUGACUUUGCGCGAUUCUAUCAAUUGCUCGACAAUAAUUCGUUCACCCACCGUAAUACUUGCUAUCAUGAGAGAAGCCUCUAGUGAACACUAUGGCCCCCGGGUCUAUUAUAUAUUCACAUACAAAAAUACCAAAAAUACCUUGCUGCACUUUUAUUUAUUUAUUUAUUUAUAUUUACCUAUUAUCACUAUCAGAUCUCACCUUGCAAGUAAUCGUAAAGGGAUUGACAACACCUUUAUCGCGUUGGGUGCAAGUUUGUUUGUUUUUGCGCAGGUGCCUUGGUGCCUCAUCUUGAUACUCCUACUGGAUAGAUACCUUGGUUCUCAAACUGAGGGAAAUACUUAUCUCUACUUUGCUCCAUCACCCUUUCUCUUCAAGGAAAAACCAACGUAAUCUCAAGAAGUAGCACCAGUCUUUAUCCCGUUGAGAGAGCCUCACAUAGAAAUUAGUAAUAAUCAUACCUUUGGGGAGCCCAUGGUUAUGACAUUUUAACAUUAAAGUUUUCAGUCUCCCCCAAGCUCGAGCUAUGCUCUCUCCAUCAUGAGGAUAGAGAUUAUAAACAUAAUUCCUAUUCUCAUGGACUUCAUAAAGAGGAUAAAACUUGGAGUAAAAGAGAGACUGAAUCUCUUCCAAAUCCCGUAGGUGAGAAUCAUCUAGUAGCCUAUACAAUUCCAAUGAUUUUCCUUUCAGUGACAAGGCAAAUAAUUUCCUCAUGACUAUAUCUCUUGUCAAACCUGAAAUCUUGAACAGCUCACAAAGUUCUGUAAGUUUCAACAAAUAAUCACUAGAACUGGCUGUUCCAUCUCCUGCAUAACAAUCCUUCCUAAUUAUUUCUAUUAUCCCAAGUGGUAUUUUGAAUGGGAUACAUUUAGUAGGUGGAGGAGACUUCUCUACCACGGGUGUGGUAAAGCGGCCUUACCCAAGCAGCGAACUAAGAGUGCAAUUUUCCAUAAGCCUAACUAGUGAAAAUAAAAACAAGAAACGAAAAGAUUUAAUUGCAAGAUCUAAAGAUAUACCUUCAAGCACUCACCUCCCCGGCAACGGCGCUAGAAAUAGCUUGAUGUCUACGCACGCUUCUAUUCUUCUAGACUAUGUUGGGCCUCCAAGCAUAGAGGUUUGUAGGACAACAACAAUUUCCCUCAAGUGGAUGACCUAAGGUUUAUCGAACUCAGGGAAGUAGAGGUUCAAGAUGGUCUCUCUCAAGCAACCCUACAAUUAAGAGAGGAGAAGUCUCUUGUGUCUCCAACACACCUAAUACUAUGGUAAAUUGUAUAGGUGCACUAGUUCGGCGAAGAGAUGGUAAAAUAUGGGUGAUAGGGUUGGCAAAGCAACAUAAUAUAAAUCUGAAAUAAAAAUGGCAACAAGGUAGCAAGUGACAAAAGUGAGCAUAAACAGUGUAACAAUGGUGAGAAAUAGGGCCUAGGCUUCAUACUUUCACUAGUGGAAACUGUUGGAAAUAUGCCCUAGAGGCAAUAAUAAAUUAGUUACUAUUAUAUUUCCUUGUUCAUAAUAAUCGUUUAUUAUCCAUGCUAGAAUUGUAUUGAUUCGAAACUCAAAUACAUGUGUGGAUACAUAGACAACACACUGUCCCUAGAGCCUCUAGUUGACUAGUUCGUUGAUCAAAGAUGGUCAAGGAUUCCUGGCCAUAGGCAAGUGUUGUCACUUGAUAACAGGGUCACAUCAUUGGGAGAAUGAUGUGAUGGACAAGACCCAAACUAUAAAUAUAGCAUAUGAUCGUGUCACUUUAUUGUUACUAUUUUCUGCAUGUCAAUGUAUCUGUUCCUAUGACCAUGAGAUCAUGCAACUCCCGGACACCGUAGGAAUACCUUGUGUGUACUAAACGUCGCAACAUAAUUGGGUGACUAUAAAUGUGCUCUACAGGUAUCUCCAAAGGUGUUUGUUGGGUUGGCAUGGAUGAAGACUGGGAUUUGUCACUCCGUGUGACGAAAAAGUAUCUCGGGGCCCACUCGGUAGUACAACAUCACAACAAGCCUUGCAAGCAAUGUGACUAAGGAGUUACUUACAGGAUCUUGUAUUACGGAACGAGUAAAGAGACUUUCCGGUAACGAGAUUGAACUAGGUAUGGUGAUACCGACGGUCGAAUCUCGUGCAAGUAACAUACCCAUGGACAAAGGGAAUAGUAUACGGGAUUAUAUGAAUCCUUGACAUAGAGGUUCAACCGAUAGAGAUCUUCGUAGAAUAUGUAGGAGCCAAUAUGGACAUCCAGGUCCUGCUGUUGGUAAUUGACUAGAGAAGUGUCUCAGGUCAUGUCUGCAUAGUUCUCGAACCCGCAGGGUCUGCACACUUAAGGUUUGGUGACGUUUCGGUAUAGUUGGGUUAUAUGUGUUGGUGACCGAAGUUUUGUUCAGAGUCCCGGGUGAGGUCCCGAACGUCACGAGGGUUUCUGGAAUGGUCCGGAAAUGAAGAUUGAUAUACAGGAAGUUGGUGUUUGGAUUCCGGAAGGUUUUCGGGCAUUGCCGGCACUGUACCGGGAGUGACGAAUGGGUUCCGGGGGGCCCACUGGGUGGGCCCACCAUGCCCCAAGGGGUCCACAUGGGUUUAUUGGAUGCACAAUAAGGUAUAAUGGGCUGACAAAUUCAUCCAAGGAAAGCCCAUGAAGAAAAGGUGGAAAAUCCAAAAGAGGUGGGAAAAUAAGGAAGGAGUCCUAAUCCAUGUGGGAUUGGAGGAGGACUCCUCCCUUCCCCAGUUCGGCCGACCCAAGGAGGCCUUCGUUGGCGCGCCAAGGCUGCCUUUCGCCUCCUCCUAUAUAUGCUAGAGGUUUAGGUCUUUUUGAGACACAACUUUGCCACGUGUUGCCCUCUCCUCUAGAUCGUAGCUCUUCCUCUACAUCGGUUUUCUACGGAGCUCGGGCCGAGCCGUGUAGGAAUAGAUCAUUACCAUCACCAGCGCACCGUCACACUGCCGGAGAACUCAUCUACUUCCCCGUCUCUCUUGCUGGAUCAAGAAGGCGGAGAAUGUCAUCGAGCUGUAUGUGUGCGGGACGCGGAGGUGCCGUCCGUUCGGCAUUUGAUCGGGACGGAUCGUGGGACGAAUCGCGAGACGGUUCGUGGGACAGAUUCUGGGACGGUUCAUGGGACGGAUCAUGAAGACGUACCACUACAUCAACCGCGUUUAUUAACUCUUCCGCUUAGCGAUCUACAAGGGUAUGUGGAUCCAAUCUCCCUCUCGUAGAUGAACAUCACCAUGAUAGGUCUUCAUGUGUGUAGGAAAUUUUUUGUUUCCCCCGCAACGUUCCCCAACAGUAGCAUCAUGAGCUAGGUUCAUCCGUAGAUGUAAUAUCGAGUAGAACACAAAAGCUUUUGUGGGCAUUGAUGUUCGAUUUGCUUCCCUCCUUAGUCUUUUCUCAAUUCGACUGUAUUGUUGGAUUGAAGCGGCCCGGAUCAACAUUACUCAUACGCUUACGAGAGACCGGUUUCAUCGACUAACAUGCAACUCGUUGCAUAAAGAUGACUGGCGGGUGCCUGUUUCUUCAACUUUAGUUGAAUUGGAUUUGACCGAGGCGGUCCUUGGAGAGAGGUUAAAUAGCAAUUUGCAGAUCACCUUUGUGGUUUUGUGUAAGUAAGAUGCGAUCAUACUAGAUACCCAUAGCAGCCACGUAAAACAUGCAACAACAAAUUAGAGGACGUCUAACUUGUUUUUGUAGGGUAUGCAUGUGAUGUGAUAUGGCCAAAGACAUGAUGUGAUAUAUUGGAUGUAUGAGAUGAUCAUGUUCUAAUAGUUAAAUAUCGACUUGCACGUCGAUGCUACAGCAACCGGCAGGAGCCAUAGGGUUGUCUUCAAACUAACGUUUGUGCUUGCGCAUGCGUUUAAUAUGUUUCUAGGUUGUAGCUUUAGUAGUAAUAGCAUACAUAGCACGACAACCUCGAUGGCGGCAUGAUGAUGGAGAUCAUGGUGUGGCGCUGGUGACGAUGAAGAUCAUGCCGGGGCUUUGGUGAUGGAGAUCAAGAAGCACAAGAUAAUGGCCAUAUCAUGUCACUUAUGAAUUGCAUGUGAUGUUAAUCCUUUUAUGCACCUUAUCUUGCUUAGAACGACGGUAGCAUUAUAAGGUGAUCCCUCACUAAAAUUUCAAGAUAAAAUUGUGUUCUCCCCGAUUGUGCACUAUUGCGACAGUUCGUCGUUUCGAGACACCACAUGAUGAUCGGGUGUGAUAGACUCAACGUUCACAUACAAUGGGUGCAAAACAGUUGCACACGCGGAACACUCGGGUUAAAAUUGACGAGCCUAGCAUGUACAAACAUGGCCUCGGAACACAAGAGACCGAAAGGUCGAGCAUGAAUUAUAUAGUUGAUAUGAUCAACAUGGAGAUGUUUACCACUGAAACUAUACUCAACUCACGUGAUGAUCGGAUUUGGGUUAGUGGAUUUGGAUCAUGCGUCACUUGAAUGACUAGAGGGAUGUCUAUUUGAGUGGGAGUUCUUAAGUAAUAUGAUUAAUUGAACUAAUUAUCAUGAACAUAGUCAAAAGGUCUUUGCGAAUUAUGUUGUAGCUUGCGAUGUAGCUCUACUGUUUUUUACAUGUUCCUAGAGAAAAUUUAGUUGAAAGAUGAUAGUAGCAACUUUGAGGACACAGUCCGUAAAUUGAGGAUCGUCUCAUUGCUGCGCAGAAGGCUUAUGUCCUUCAUGCACCACUCGGUGUGCUGCACCUCGAGCGUCAUCUGUGGAUGUUGCGAACAUCUGACAUACACGUUUUUGAUGACUACGUGAUAGUUCAGUGCGUAAUACUAAACGGCUUAGAAGCUAGGCACCGAAGACGUUUUGAACGUCACGGAGCAUAAGAGAUGUUCUAAGAGAUGAAGUUGGGAUUUCAUGCUCGUGCCCUUGUUGAGAGGUAUGAGACCUCUGACAAGAUUCUUUGUCUACAAAGUAAAGGAGAAAAGCUCAAUCAUUGAGCAUGUGCUCAGAUUGUCUGAGUACAAUAGUCGCUUGAAUCAAGUGGGAGUUAAUCUUCUAGAUGAGAUAGUGAUGGUUCUCCAAAGUCACUGCCACCGAGCUGCUAGAGCUUCGUGAUGAACUAUAACAUAUCAAGGAUAGAUAUGAUGAUCCUUGAGCGAUUCGCAAUGUUUGACACUGCGGAAGUAGAAAUCAAGUAUGAGCGUCAAUUGUUGAUGGUUAGUAAAACUACUAGUUUCAAGAAGGGCAAGGGCUAGAAGGGAUACUUCAUGAAACGGCAAACCAGUUGCUGCUCUAAUGAAGAAACCCAAGGUUGAUCCCAAACCCGAGACUAAGUGCUCCUGUUAUGAGGGAAACGGUCACUGAGGCGGAACUACCCUAGAUACUUGGUAGAUGAGAAGGCUGGCGAAGUCGAUAGAGGUAUAUUUGAUAUACCUGAUAUUGAUGUGUACCUUACUAGUAUUCUUAGUAGCACCAGGGUAUUAGAUACCGGUUCAGUUGCUAAGUGUUAGUAACUUGAAGUUAUAGCUAUGGAUUAAAAGGAUACUAGUAAGGGUGACGAUGAGUAUUGGAAGUAAUUGUAAAGUUGAUGUGAUCAAACAUCGCACGCUCCCUCUACCAUCGGGAUUGCUGUUAAACCUAAAUAAUUGUUAUUUGGUGUUUGCGUUGAGCAUGAACAUGAUUAGAUCGUGUUUAUUGCAAUACGAUUAUUCAUUUAAAGAGAAUAAUGGUUAUUCUAUUUGCUUGAAUAAUUACCUUGAAUGGUUUAUUGAAUCUCGAUUGUAGUGAUACACGUGUUCAUAAUAUUGAUGCCAAAAGAUACAAAUUAGUAAUGAUAGUACCACUUACUUGUGGCACUGCCACUUGAGUCAUGUUGGUGUAAAAUGCAUGAAGAAGCUCCAUGUAGAUGGAUCUUCAUACUCAAUUAUUUUUGAAAUGUUUGAGACAUGCAAACCAUACCUUUUGGUAGAAACAAAUGAAGAAACUCCAUGCAGAUGGAUCGUUUGGACACACUUGAUUUUGAAUCACUUGAGACAUGCAAAUCAUACCACAUUAAACAAGAAAGUAACUUGUUGGAAGUAAUACAUUUUUUAUGUGUGAAGUCCAAUGAGUGCUGAGGCACGUAGUGGAUAUCAUUAUGUUCUUACUUCACUGACGAUUUGAGUAGAUACAGGAGUAUUUACUUGAUGAAUCACAAGUCUGAAAUAUUGAAAAGUUCAAGGCUGUUUCAGAGUGAAGAUCGUCGUGACAAGAGGAUAAACUAUCUACGAUAUGAUCAUAGAGAUGAAUAUCCGAGUUGCGAGUUUUGGUACACAGUUAAGACAAUGUGGAAAUUGUUUCGCAAUUAAUGCCACUUAGAACACCAUAGUGUGAUGGUGUGUCCGAACGUCAUAGCUACGCCCUAUUUGAUAUGGUGCAUACUAUGAUGUCUCUUAUCAAAUUACCACUAUCGUUUAUGGGUUAUGCAUUAGAGACAAACACAUUCACUUUAAAUAGGGCACCGCGUAUUUCCGUUGAGAUGACACGGUAUGAACUAUGGUUUGGAGAAACCUGAGCUGUCGUUUCUUGAAAGUUUGGGGCUACGACGCUUAUGUGAAAAAGUUUCAGUCUCAUAAGCUCGAACCCAAAGCGGAUAAAUGCAUCUUCAUAGGAUAUCCAAAACAGUUGGGUACAUCUCCUAUCUCAGAUCCGAAAGCAAAGUGUUUGUUUCUAGAAACGGAUCCUUUCUCGAGGAAAGGUUUCUCUCGAAAGAAUUGAGUGGGAGGGUGGUGGAACUUGAUGAGGUUAUUGAACCGUCACUUCAACCAGUGUGUAGCACGACGCAGGAAGUUGUUCCUAUGGCGCCUACACCAAUUGAAGUGGAAGCUGAUGAUAGUGAUCAUUAAGCUUCGGAUCAAGUUACUACAAACCUCGUAGGUUGACAAGGUCGCGUACUACUAUAGAGUGGUACUGUAAUCCUGUCUUGGAGGUCAUGUUGUUGAACAACAAUGAACCUACGAGCUAUGGAGAAGCGAUGGUGGGCCCGGAUUCCGACAAAUGGCUGGAGGCCAUGAAAUACGAGAGAGGAUCCAUGUAUGAAAACAAAGUGUAGACUUUUGAAGAACUACUUGAUGGUCGUAAGACCGUUAAGUAUAGAUGGAUCUUUUAAAGGAAGACAGACGAUGAUGGUGAAAGUCGCCGUUAAGAAAAGCUCGACUUGUCGCAAAGAUGUUUCCGACAAGUUCAAAGAGUUGACUAUGAUGAGACUUUCUCACUCGUAGCGAUGCUAAAAGUCUAUUGGAAUCAUGUUAGCAAUUGCUGAAUUAUUUAUGAAAUAUUGCAGAUAGGAUGUCAAAACAUUGUUUCCUCGACGGUUUCCUUGAGGAAAGGUUGUAUGUGAUACAACCAGAAGGUUUUGUCAAUCCUAAGGAUGCUAACAAGUAUGCAAGCUCCAGUGAUCCUCCUAUGGACUGAUGCAAGCAUCUCGGAGUUAGAAUAUACGCUUUGAUGAGAUAAUCAAAGCUUUUGGGUUUAUACAAGGUUUAUGAGAAACUUGUAUAUCCAAAGAAGUGAGUGGGAGUACUAUAGAAUUUCUGAUAAGUAUAUGUGGUUGACAUAUUGUUGAUCGAAAGUAAUGUAGAAUUUCUCUAAAGCAUAAAGGGUUGUUUGAAAGGAGUUUUUCAAAGGAAGACCUCGAUAGAGCUACUUGAACAUUGAGCAUCAAGAUCUAUAGAGAUAGAUCAAAACGCUAAAUAGAACUUUCAAUGAAAUACAUGCCUUGACGGGUUUUCGAAAGAGUUCAAAAUAGAUCAUCAAAGAAGGAGUUCUUGGCUGUGUUGUAAGGUGUGAAUUUGAGUAAGACUCAAAGCCCGAGCAUAGAAGAAGAAAGAGAAAGGGCGAAGGUCGUCACCUAUACCUUAGCCGUAGACUCUGAAGUAUGCCAUGUUGUGUACCGCACCUACUGUGUGCCUUGCCAUGAGUCUUUCGAGGGGUACAAAGAGUGAUCCAGGAUUGAAUCAUUGAACAACAGUCAAAGUUAUCCUUAGUAACUAAAUGGACUAAGUAUUUUUUUCUCGGUUAUGGAGGUGCUUAAAGAGUUCGUCGUAAAGGGUUACGUCGAUACAAGCUUUAACACUAAUCCGAAUAACUCUGAGUAGUAAACCGGAUUCGUAUAGUAGAGCAGUCAUUUGGAAUAUUUCCAAAUAACACGUAGUAACAGCAUCUAUAGGAUGACAUAAAGAUUUGUAAAGCACACACGGAUCUGAAAGGUUCAGAACCAUUGACUAAAACCUCUCUCAUAAGCAAGACAUGAUCGAACCCGGAACUAUAUGGGUGUUAGAUUCAUUACAAUCACAUAGUGAUGUGAACUAGAUUAUUGACUCUAGUGCAAGUGGGAGACUGUUGGAAAUAUGCCCUAGAGGAAAUAAUAAAUUAUUUAUUAUUACAUUUACUUGUUCAUAAUAAUCAUUUAUUAUCCAUGCUAGAAUUGUAUUGAUUGGAAACUCAAAUACAUGUGUGGAUAGAUAGACAACAAACUGUCCCUAGUGAGCCUCUAGUUGACUAGUUCGUUGAUCAAACCUUUGGGGAGGAAGCAUCGAGCCAGUCUUUAUCCUGUCGUGAGAGCCUCGCAUAGAAAUUAGUAAUAAUCAUACCUUUGGAGAGCCCAUGGUUAGGAAUUUUAACAUUAAAGUUUUUAGUCUCCCCCAAGCUUGAGGUAUGCUUUCUCUGUCAUGAGGAUAGAAAUUAUAAACAUAAUUCAUAUUAUCAUGGACUUCAUGAAGAGGAUAAAACUUGGAGUAAAAGCAGGCCCGGUCCUGAGGGGGGGGCGAGCGGGGCGGCCGCCCCGGGCCCCCAAGUCUCAAGGGCGCCCCGUCUUGUAGUAGUUGCGAGCAUGCCUGAUCGGCGACGCGUGCAUAUGACUCAUUGACACAGACAUACUUGGCUAUUUUUGGGAGUAUCGCUAGACAACGCGGAUCACCAAUUGGCUAUUUUAACGAAAGAAUCACUUUUUCCCCAAUUCACUCGAUCAAAUCAACGGCGAGUGAUAACUCGAGGUUGAGGCUUUAUCUCCCCAAUUAACCUUCCAUGAGCGCCGCCUCGAUGACCUUAUUUUCUUUUUCCCAUGGUUCUUUUUUCUGGCUACUGAAGGAAUAAGAGCACAACACAGCUUAGGCAGCAGUGGAUGCUACAUCGCUGCGCCCCACAAGGGAACGAGAGCAGGUAUAGGUCUCACCUAUGCCUUGUGCUAUUAUUUUUUCUUGGAAUACUAUCCUGUGCGAUUUUGCCAAGUCGAAGUGAUGAUUUUGCCAAAUCGAAAUGACGGUUUUGUUAGGUUCACGUUAGUUUUAAUUACUAAUUGCUUCUUAAAUUUUGACAUCGUCACAUCAUCUAAAAAGAUUGCAUCCGGGUAGUCAGUAAAACAGAAAGGAAACAUGUACGUGGUUUGGUAGAAUCACAUAGAUAAUGUAUCGAUAGAUUUCUUAGGAGGAACUUUUUUUUGGAUGAGGUUCAUAUUGAUACCACCACCAGCAAUUUUGCAUGUUGGAUAGAAGAAAGUUUUAAGAUGACAUUUAUAAAUUAAUUGACAAGAAUAUUGUAUUUGGAUUCACUUAUUACUACCUCCGUUCGGGUGUAUAUAUAGGACAUGCACAUGGUUCUAGGUGGAUAAUUUAAAUAGCUAAAUAUAUUAUAUAUGUGAUAAAAAUAUGUUUAAAAACUACAUUCAUGUAUGAAUGUAAUUAUAUAAUUUUGAUAACAUAUAUUACAUAUUAAACAAGUCAAAUUGAUGAUCUAGAACAACGCAUACGUCCUAUACACCGGACGGUGGGAAUACUAACAUUAAUUCAGAUCUAGGGCCCCUUAAUUUUAGUUUCGCCCCGGGCCUCUGAAAUCCUAGGACCGGCCCUGAGUAAAAGAGAGACUGAAUCUCUUACCAAUACCGUGGGUGAGAAUCAUCUAGUAGCAUAUACCAUUCCAAUGCUUUUCCUUUCAAUGACAAGGCAAAUAAUUUCCUCAUGACUCCGUCUCUUGUCAAACCUAAAAUCUUAAACAACUCACAAAGUUCUGUAAGUUUCAACAAAUGAUCACUAGGACUGACUGUUCCAUCUCCUGCAUAACAAUCCUUCCUAAUUAUUUCAAUUAUCCCAAGUGGUAUUUUGAAUGGGAUACAUUUAGUAGGUGGAGGAGACUUCUCUACCACGGGUGUGGUAAAGCGGCCUUCCCCAAGCAGCGAACUAAGAGUGCAGUUUUCCAUAAGCCUAACUAGUGAAAAUAAAAACAAGAAACAAAAAGAUUUAAUUGCAAUAUCUAAAGAUAUACCUUCAAGCACUCACCUCCCCGGCAACGGUGCCAGAAAUAGCUUGAUGUCUACGCACGCUUCUAUUCUUGUAGACUAUGUUGGGCCUCCAAGCACAGAGGUUUGUAGGACAGCAGCAAUUUCCCUCAAGUGGAUGACCUAAGGUUUAUCGAACUCAGGGAAGUAGAGGUUGAAGAUGGUCUCUCUCAAGCAACCCUGCAAUUAAGAAACGAGAAGUCUCUUGUGUCUCCAACACACCUAAUACAAUGGUAAAUUGUAUAGGUGCACUAGUUCGGCGAAGAGAUGGUAAAAUAUGGGUGAUAGGGGGUGCAAAGAAAGGUAAUAUAAAUCUGAAAUAAAAAUGGCAGCAAGGUAGCAAGUGACAAAAGUGAGCAUAAACGGUGUAACAAUGGUGAGAAAUAGGGCCUAUGCUUCAUACUUUCACUAGUGGCAACUCCCAACAACAUUAACAUAGUAUAAUCACAUGAUAUUUCCACUAAAACAUGCAAUGGAGACGUACUUGGUGGUCAUUCCUUUGUGAUCAAAGAGGACGAGAGUUAUGUAGGGCUACAAAAGCACACAUCAGAGUUCGUAGUUCUCAUCUAUGGAUUUCCCAAUGUCACCGCGGCCAUCCAAAGAGAGUACCACAAUCACCACAACAUAUCUCAAGGAUAGUCAAAGACAAGCACCAAGAGACUCUCAAUCUUCAAUCAAUUCACAAAAGAGGAAAUCACUCAUGAAAAUAUUCUUCUAAUUCUUGUCCAAUAGACCGCUGUCACCAUGGUCUCGGGGAUUAUACUCUAUAAGAUCAAGUAAGUACAUCAAUUCAAUACAUAGAAGAAGGGGAAACAUCAUGGGAUCACCCUAGAUUAACAUAGCCUAUGAUAACAAUCAAGAUCACAUCAUGGGAGAGAGAAUUAACCACAUAGCUACUGUAGAAGACCUCAGCCCCGAGGAGCAACUACUCCCGCUUCAUGGAAGGAGGAAGCAAUGUCGAUGGAGAUGAAUCCGGAGGCACUUCCCCGUCCCGGCACGGUGCCGACACAGGAAUUCAGGUCCCCCGAAACUUGUUGGCCAUGAAGGCGGAGAUUGGAAUUGCUUCUAGAGAAAAGGGUUCCAGAAUCAGGGUUUCCUCGACGGGGGCUAUAUAUAGGCCAAAGGAGGGCACCAGGGGUGGUCCCAGUCGCUCAUGCGGCCUCUUGGCGCGGCCUCCCCCUAGGUCGCGUGGGCAGGCCGCCUGGGUGACAGGUGGCCCCCCUCCGGUUCUCCUUCGGGCAUCCGGAAGCUUCCGUCACGCUGAUUUUUAUAUUUUUUUCUCGGGAUUUUUGGGACUCUGUAAAUUUGGAUAAAAGUCCGUGACAAAAAAAAGACAUCAGCAGACAGGAACUGGCACUGGGUGCACUGAGUUAGUAGGUUAGUCCAAAUAUGUGUAAAAAGAUAUAAAAGUGUAGCAAAACAUAUAACAAUAUCACCCAUAAGAUCAUGGAACAAGCAGAAAUUAUAGAUACGUUUGGGACAUAUCAGCGUCAUCUUAUCCUUGAGGUGGUGGUGAGGAAGGUUGAGGUGGAUCAUCAAGAUGUUUCUCUUCCUCUUCUCCAUCAUGUCGAGUACCGCUUGUGGAUGCUUCCAUGUCAUUUUGCGGUUUGGCUUGAUGCGAAGUAGGAGCUUCCACUUGAGUUGAUGAAGUGCUUUCCUUCACCUCCAUGGGACGAAUCUUGCCAAUGGACAAAUCUUUGAUAGCUUCCGAAGGUUCCUUAUCUCCUAUAUCAAUUGGCAAUUGUUCGACUUGCCAACCGUUAUUCUCAUCAAACUUCACAUCUACCAUCUCUUCAAAUUUUCGAGUGAAGUUGUUGUAUACAUGGUAAGCGCGAGAGUUUGAUCCGUAACCAAGAAGGAAACCUUCAUAUUAUUUAGGUGCAAAUUUAGAUCGACGAUGCUUAUCAAUAAUAUAGCACUUAGAGACGAAUACUCAAAAGUAUCCAACUUGGGGUUUUUUACCAGUGAGUAGCUCGUAUGCCGUUUUACCGAGAAGCUUGUGCAGGUAGAGUCGGUUUAUGGCAUGGCAAUAUGUUUCCACGGCUUCUGCCCAAAAGUGUCUUGGAGUCUUGUAUUCAUCAAGCAUCGUUCUCGCCAUCUCCAUGAGCGUCCGGUUCUUCCUCUCAACAACUCCAUUUUGUUGAGGUGUGUACGUUGCCGAGAACUCAUGUAAGAUACCUUCUUCAUCAAGAAAAGUAUCCACAUUAGUGUUCUUGAACUCCAUUCCGUUGUCGCUCCAAACCUUCUUGAUCUUCACUUCAAACUGGUUUUGAGCUUUUCGAGCAAAGUUCUUGAAGAUCAUUUGUACCCGUGACUUAUCAUUGAGAAGGAACACCCACGUAAAUCUGGAAAAAUCAUCAACAAUAACUUGACCAUAAGAAUUUCCACCGAGGCUCUUAUAAGCGUUGGGACCAAAGAGAUCCAUGUGAAGCAGCUCGAGGGGUCUUCUUGUGGUCAUGAUGUUCUUCACGGGAUGACUUCCUCCAACUUGUUUUCCUGCUUGACAAGCACUGCAAAGUCUGUCUUUGUCAAAGAUAACAUCUUUAACAUCAAGAAUAUGAUCACCUUUGAUGAGUUUGUCAAGAUUACGCAUAUCAACAUGUCCAAGCCUUCUAUGCCAUAACCAACCCUUAGAAGAUUUUGAAAUAGGGCAUGUACGGGGUUUGGAUAUCUUACAGAAAUCAACAAUGUAUAGAUCACCUCUACGGAAACCAGUAAAGACGAUGUUAUGAUUGCCCCUACGCAACAUUCAGCAUUCAACUUUCAUAAAUAGCACAUCGAAACCGAAAUCUGCUAGUCUGGAUACGGAAAGUAGAUUGUAGCCAAGAGAUUCUACUAGCAUGACAUUCUGAAUGGAACUAUCAUGAGAUACGGACACCUUACCGAGACCAAGUACCUUACCUUUUGAGUUGUCUCCAAAAGUUACAUACCUUCGAGGUCCACGAUUCGAUGUGAUUUCAUGGAACAUGUCUUUAUCUGCGGUCAUGUGAUCAGUGCAUCCACUCUCGAGAACCCACUCCUUACCACCAGCCAUGUAGUCUUCAAGGUUAGCCAUAAGACUGCGAUUCUUCAUGAUCUUCUCAUACUCGGUGUCUAAGUUCUCAUCAUGAUCAUAGUAGCCACGUUCCGCAUAGUCAUCAUUGGAUGAAGUUUCCUCGUAAGAGAAAAAAGUUUCAUCAGAAAUUUGACCAUUACAAUAUUCAAGUUUAUGCAUUUGAAUGGAUUCAACAAUGAUGUUGUUGAUGGUAAUGACAUUUCCUUUGGCACGCACGAGGUCACGAAGCUCAAAUAGGCAUUUAUCGAAGUUAGGAUCGGUUGGCUUAAUCUUAUGGAAAGCAAUGUAUUUGUGAACAAUGAUAUCAAGAUUUUUGAAGGAAUAAUUUGGAUAUAUUUUAUCUAAGUAUUUCCACAAGGUAUGAGUACACAAAAGUUUUGCAACUAAUUAAGCACAUUUCUUGGUAAACCUCUAAUGAUAAGAUUGAUAAUGUUGAGGUUACCAAGAUGUUAAACCUCUAAUGAUAAGAUUGAUAAUGUUGAGGUUACCAAGCAUGUUAACUUCAUCAUCAUGAGAAGGAUGUAUGGGGUCAAUCGGAGGCGCAUAGGGAUAUUCAAUAUACUUGCACAAAUGGAACUCAUCCAAUAUAUCAAGCAUUUCGUCUUUCCAUUGUCUAAAGUACUCCCCAUCAAGAAUAGGCACUUGAUACGUCCCAAACAUAUCUAUAAUUUCUGCUUGUUCCAUGAUCUUUUGGGUGACAUUGUUAUAUGUUUUGAUACACUUUUAUAUCAUUUUACACAUAUUUGGACUAACCUACCAACUCAGUGCACCCAGUGCCAGUUUCUGUCUGCUCAUGUCAAUUUUGUAGGGGCUUUUACCCAAUUUUCGGAAGCCCGGAAAAAUCCAGAAAAAAUAUAUAAAAAAUCAGCGAAACAGAAGCUUCAGGAUGACCAAAGGAGGGCCAGAGGGGGGUAGGGGCCUCCCAGGCGGCCUGCUGGCGCGGCUAGGCCCUAGGCCGCGCCAGGAGGUCACCUGGGUGGGUCCCACCUCCUCCGGUGCCCUCCUUUGGCCUAUAUUUAGUGUUCCGUGAGGAAACCCUCGCAGACUUUCUGGAAUCGUGAUUUUCUCCAUCGUUCUGCCACUGCAGCGCUUCCAAAAUCGGGAGCGUUAGGAGACCUCUUCCCGGCACCCUGCCGGAGGGAGGAUUGACCUCCGGGAGCUUCUCCACCGCCAUGGUCGCUUCCCGGACGUGCUGUGAGUAGUCCUUCUUGGACCAUUAGUCCAUGACCAGUAGCUAUGUGAUGUCUUCUAUCCAAUCUUGUGCUUCAAUGGUUAGUCCCUAUGAGCUGCCCUACAUGAUCAAGGCAUCUAUGUAAUCCUCUUGCUUUUCCUAUGCUCGGUUUGUUGGGAUCCGAUGGAUUAUGAGAUUAUGUUCAGAUUGUUAUGAGUUAUAUAUUUGAUUAUCAUUUUAUAUUAUGUUCCUUAGUGAUUCAUCCAUGUUCUCCUUUCCUUUUUAUUGCUUUGGCCAAGUAGUAGAUCAUAACUCCAAGAGGGAGCGUUAUCCAUGAUUGUGGGUUCGGGCCCCUCGAUGUCUAGCUUGAGUGACAGAAACAUGAGACUAGGGGAUGUGCUUGUUGCCACCAGGGAGAAAACAAUGGUGCUUGUGACCAUGGUUGCAAGGAUUGUUUACCUUACAGAUAGUUUGUUAAUGUAGUUGUCCGUUGCUUUGAGUUUACACUUUGGGUGGGGCUCGCAACUUAAUAUCAGAGAGAUGUUCUCGAUAGAUAUCUCAAGGUGAAUGAUUAGUAAGUAGAUGCUGAUGAAUAAGCGGUCUAAUUGUCUUGGCGUACUGUCCAUUACUAUUGAACCUCUAACUAUCAAGGAGCAUAAUUAGCAUUGUGGUGCGAUCAUAAUUUUAUCAAUUGCCCAACUGUGACUUGUUUACCCUAACAUAGUUGUUUAUCGUCUUUUGGGAGAGAGACAUCACUAGUGAAUAUUAUGUGACUCCGGUCAAUAUAACCAUCAUUGUUUACACCUCCAUCAUUUACCACUUUCAUUUACUUUUCCGUUGCAAUCACUAUUACCUCCCCACUUGUGUUUUGAUCCUUUGCAAACUACAAGGCCAUAGAGAUUGACAACCUCUCUGUACUCGUUGGGAGAAAAGUUAUUUGUUGUGUGUGCAGGUCCACGUCUUCUGCUAGCGCCAGGGUGGAAGACACCUACUUGUUGAGCCUAGGAGUCCUCCUGAUUCGAUAAACCUCAGUCUCCGUGUGAGGGAAAUUUUCUCCUGACUACAUCUCCACCUUCCACUUGGGGUAACCAACGAGGGGCGAGAAGUAUAUCCAUCAACUCAUCGGUAGCACUCUACAACUAAAAAUCUGGAAACUAGUCACAUUCAUCUUCUUCCAAAGGCGGUUAAACCAAGGUUUUGGAGACAAAGCUCUGAUACUGAUACGUCUGCAACGUAUCUAUAAUUUUUGAUGGUUUCAUGCUAUUAUCUUGUCAAACUUUGGAUGUUUUGUAUGCCUUUUAUAUAUUUUUUGGGACUAACUUAUUAACUCAGUGCCAAGUGCUAGUUCCUAUUUUUUCCAUGUUUUUGACCCCUUUCAGAGGAGGAUUUUGAACGGAGUACAAACGGAACAAAACUGCCAAAAAGAUUUUUUUUUCGAAAUAGAAAAAGAUCGGGAAGCCUGAGAAUCAGGGAAGGGGGCCUGUAAGGACCCCACAAACCCCCUAGCCGCGGCCAGGGGGGCCUGCGCCUCCCUGGCUUGUGGGCUCCCUGGGCCAUCUCUGCCCUAGGACUUUCGCCUAUAAAUUCCCUAAAAUCCCAGAAUAAAUCAGGAGAUCAUCAAAAGUACUUUUCCGCCGCCGCAAGCUUGUGUCUCCGCAAGAUACCAUCUGGGGCACGUUUUGGUGCCCUGCCGAAGGGGGAUUCGAAUACGAAGGGCUUCUUCAUCAACACCAUGACCUCUCCGAUGAUGCGUGAGUAGUUCACCAUAGACCUACGGUCCAUAGCUAGUAGCUAGAUGGCUUCUUCUCUCUCUUGGAUCUUCAAUACAAAGUUCUCCAUGAGCUUCAUGGAGAUCUAUCCGAUGUAAUCUUCUUUUGCGGUGUGUUUGUCGAGAUCCGAUGAAUUGUGGAUUUAUGAUCAGAUUAUCUAUGAAUCUUAUUUGAGUUUCUUCUGAUCUCUCUUAUGCAUGAUUUCAUAUCCUUGUAAUUCUCUUCGAGUUGUGGGUUUUGUUUGGCCAACUAGAUCUAUGAUUCUUGCAAUGGGAGAAGUGCUUGGUUUUGGGUUCAUACCGUGCGGUGACCUCACCCAGUGACAGAAGGGGUAGCGAGGCACGUAUCGUGUUGUUGCCAUCAAGGGUAAAAAUAUGGGGUUUUCAUCAUUGGUUUGAGAUUAUCCCUCUACAUCAUGUCAUCUUGCUUAAGGCGUUACUCUGUUCAUCAUGAACUCAAUACACUAGAUGCAUGCUAGAUAGCGGUCGAUGUGUGGAGUAAUAGUAGUAGAUGCAGAAAGUAUCAGUCUACUUGUCUCGGACGUGAUGCCUAUAUGUAUGAUCAUUGCCUUAGAUAUAGUCAUGACUUUGCGCGGUUCUAUCAAUUGCUCGACAGUAAUUUGUUCACCCACCGUAAUACUUGCUAUUUUGAGAGAAGCCUCUAGUGAACACUAUGGCCCCCGGGUCUACUCCACACCAUAUUUUCAGCCUUACUCUUUUUCUUCGUUGCACUUUCCGCCUUCAGAUCUCACUUGGCAAUCAAUCUUGAAGGGGUUGACAACCCCUUUAUAGCGUUGGGUGCAAGCUCUUUGUGUUUGUGCAGGUACUCUGGACUUGACGAAAUUCUCCUACUGGAUUGAUACCUUGGUUUUCAAACUGAGGGAAAUACUUACUGCUCCUAUGUUGCAUCACCCUUUCCUCUUCAAGGAAAAACCAACGCAAGCUCAAGAGACGACAGAAGGUUUCUGUCGACAUAGCAGAAGGGUUUCUGGCGCCUUUGCCAGGAAAGGACUUUUGUUGCCGUAGCAGAUACCAAUUGAGGGAUCGGUAGAAGAUGUGUCUAGAGGCGGGUGAAUAGACAACUUGUCAAGAUAAAAAUUCUAGCCUAACCUAAUUUCUAGAGGGCAAAAAUCUAGCAGUUGUAACAAGUUUAGGUCACCCUACACAUGCAAUUCUAAGAGUAUAGCAGCAGAAAGUAAAACAUGCAAGUGUAAUGUAGAGGAGUAAGGUAGGGAGAUCAAACGCAUGAAGUUGACACGACAUUUUUUGGUAUGGUUCCGAUAUGUGGCGCUAUCGUAUGACCAUGUUUGUGGAGACUUCAACCCACGGAGGGUAACGGCCGCGACAGUCCACGGAGGGCUCCACCCACGGAGGUUCCACAAAGAAGCGACCUUGUCUAUCCCACCACGUCUUCCAUCCAUGGAGGACUAGACUUACUCACGGUAGAUCUUCACGAAGUAGGCGAUCUCCUUGCCCUUACGAACAUCUUGGUUCAACUCCAGAACACGAAGUAGGAGGCUCCCAAGAGACACCUAACCAAUCUAGGAGGCACCACCCUCCAAAAGGUAAUAGAUGUGGUAGAUCAAUGAACUCCUUGCUCUUGUGCUUCUAAAGUAGUCUCCUCAACACUAAUCACUCUCUCACGGAAUAUGCAUGGGUAGGACAGGUUGAUUUGGUGGAAAGCAGUUUGGGGAGGCUAGAGAUCAAGUUUCAAAUGAUUGGAUUGGAAUAUCUUGGUCUCAACACAUGAGUAGGUGGUUCUCUCUCAGAAAAUGGAACUGGAAAUGAAGUGUGUGUUUUGAGUGCUUCUCCCAAAAAUGAGAGGUGUGUGAAGGGGUAUAUAUAGGGAGCAGCCAAAAUCCAACCGUUACACAUAAAAGAGCAAACUCGGUGACACCAAAGUUGGAAACUCGGUGGUACCGACUAGCACUAAACAUGUGAACUUUUGAAUCUCGAUGAAACCGAUAUAUACAACUCGGUGGCACCGAAAAGGUGACUAAAGGCCAGAAGGCCAAACUCGGUGGCACCGAUACUCAAAAUCGGAAAUUCCGAUUUUGUGUAUCUUAGCAACAGAAUGUUGGUCACCCAAACUCGAGAACACCGAUGCAGUUUCGGUUGCAUCGAUUUGGUGGGAAUGGCUAGGGUUCUGUCUGAGGUUCAAACUCAGUGGGUUCAAUAUGGAAAUGUUGGCGACACCGAAUUUGUGAAAUGGAAUUUGAUAGAGUGGAAAUGUGGGAAAAAUGAGUGAGUGUUUUGGUGGCUAACUUUGAGCAUUUGAGGAAUCAGUUCAUUUUACUACCUCACCCCCUUUCAAUAGUAUUGGCUUUCCUAUGAACUCAAAAGUGAUUUCUCACAAAUAUAAAAUGAAGAGUCUUAUAGCUUGAAGCUUGCGCCAAAAUUAUUCCUUUCUUGCAUCCAGGGGUAUCUCCACAUAAUCCUUUAGCCAAUGCUCUCUAUGGACUAUUCCUGAAAUAUCUAGGUAAAAGUGUUAGUCCAAGAGAUACUGUAUGUUGUCAUGAAUUAUCAAAAACACCAAGAGAGCAUAUGUGCUUUCACAUAGACUUGCGGAGGAAAAAAAAAGUGUUUCGGGAGGCUCUCUAUGGUUUUGGGAUAUUAGACAAUUUCUAAGAUAGAGAACGAGGGUCCGGAGGGCUCGGAGAUUGCCCCAAGCCAUCAAGGUUCGUUCACCCCCUAGGGCCCCCCUCUUGGCUUGGGGAGCCUCGUGUGCCCUCUAGUCUUCCUAUGAAUCUUAGAGGUCCUUAUUUUGUCCAGAAAAAAUCAUCAAAAAGUUUCGGGGUAUUUGGACUUCAUUUGGUACAGUAUUCCUGAAAAGCCAAAAACAUGCAGAAAAUAACAAGUGGCACUUGUCACUGGUUUAAUAGGUUAGUGCUCAAAAUAGUAUAAAAUAGCAAGUAAAUGCUUAAGAAGCAUCCUAAAAUGAUAAUAUAAUACCAUGGAACAAUGAAAAUUAUAGAUACAUUGGAGACGUAUCGGAGUAAGUCUACGUACCCUUGUAAGCGUAUGAGAGUGUGUCAAAAAAUUCUAGAUACACGAUUGAUGUAGUUGUACUUCUUCAUGAUCCAAUCGUGAUCCGACCUGAUCUAACGCCGAACGGACAUCACCUCCAUGUUCAGCACACGUGCGGAUCGAUGACGUCUUUGCCUCCUCGAUCCAACGAGUGAGGGCGGAGUAGUAGAUGGAAUCGUCAGCAGCAUGACGGCCUCACGGCGAUGGUAGUGGUGCUAUCCCGACAAUUCCUCGCCGAGCGUUAUCAGAACCCUGAACGGAGGAAGAAAUGGACUAGGGAGAGGAGGGUUGCACCACGGCCCGGGGUAUGUCUAUCCUUCCUCUCCUCCACUAUAUAUAGGGGGAAGGGGGAGGGGUGUCGACCCUAGCCCCUCCUCCAAGGGAAGGGGAGACGUCCUAGGGGUGGCUUGGCCCCCAAGGCAAGGGGGCGCCCCCUAGGAUUCCCCCUCAACCCUAGGUACAUGGGCCUUGGGGAGAGGGUGCCUCCCAGCCCGCCAAGGGCUAGUGUGCUCCUUUCUUCAGCCAAUGAGGCCUCUAUGGCAGGUGGGACCCUCCCGGUGGACCCCCGGUGACCCCUCGGUACUCCCAAUACACUACCGGAAAAUCACGGAACCUUUCCAGAACCCAAACACCACUUUCCAAUAUAUAAUUAUUCACCUCAGACCAUUCCAGAGUUCCUCGUCAUGUCCAGAUCUCAUCCGGGACUCUAAACAACAUCCGAUCACCAACGUAUAUAUCCUAAUCCUACUCUAGUGUCACCCAACAUUAAGCAUGUGGACCCUACGGGUUCGAGAAUCAUGUAGACAUGAACGAGACACCUCUCCAGUCAAUUACCAAUAGUUGGACCUGGAUGUCCAUAUUGAUUCCUACCUAUUCCAUGAAGAUCUUUAUCAUUCAAACCACGAUGUCAAUGAUUCAGUCAAUCAUGUAUGUAGUUCCCUUUGUCCAUCAGUAUGUUACUUGCUCGAGAUUCGAUCGUCAGUAUCUCAUACCUAGUUCAAUCCCAUAACCAGCAAGUCUCUUUACUUGUUUCAUAAUAAAGAUCUCGUGACUAGCUCCUUAGUCACAUUUCGAGCAAGCUUCUUGUGAUAUUGUAUUACCGGGAGGGCCCGGAGAUACUUCUCCGUCAUAUAAAGUGAUAAAUCCAAGUCCCGAUCCACGCCAUCCCAACACACACCCUCGAAGAUCCCUGUAGAGCACCUUUAUGAUCACCCAGUUAUGAAGUGACAUUUGAUAGUACACAAGGCAUUCCUCCGGUGUCACGGAGUUGCAUGAUAUCAUGGUCAUAGGAAUAGAUACUUGACAGGAAGGAAGCAGCAGCAAUAAACUAAAUGAUACGAUCAGAUGAUAUGCUUACGGUUGUGUCAUGUCCAUCACAUCAUUCUCCUAAUGAUGUGUUCCCGUUAUCAAAUGACAACUCAUGUCUAUGGUUAGGAAACCUUAACCAUCUUUGAUCAACGAGCUAGUCUAGUAGAGUCUCACUAGGGACAACGUGUUUUUUAUGUAUUCACACAUGUAUCUAAGUUUCCGAUCAAUACAAUUCUAGCAUGGAUAAUAAUCGAUUAUUAUGAACAAGUAAAUAUGAUAAUAACCAAUUUAUUAUUGCCUCUAGAGCAUAACACUAUUUUUGAAGAGGUUUCAAUUGAUUAUGACAACAAAUUUGUUAUCUAUGAUGAUUAUUGUGAUGACAUGUAUACUAUAAAGAGUAAUGAUAACCAUGAAACUUUUUACCAUGAUUUUAAUGUUCAUUUUGGUUAUGCCGAUCAAGUAUCUCAUCAUAGUUAUUUUUUGAGUUUGCUCCCACUAUUAUUAACAAGAAGAAAUUUGCUUAUGUGGAGAGUAAUAAAUUUCUUGUGCAUGUGGAUCAUGAAAAGAAUGCUUUAUGUGAUAGUUAUAUUGUUGAAUUUAUUCAUGAUGCCAUUGAAAAUUAUUAUGAGAGGGGAAGAUAUGCUUAUAUAUAUUUCAACAACACCAAGUUCCCGUGUGGGUGUUGGAAUUUUUAAGUUGCACAUAUUUUGCCUUCCGAUGCUAGUUGAUUAUUGCUACAAUAAAUUGUUUUCUUAUAAAGCCCCUAUGCAUAGGAAGUGGGUUAGUCUUAAAUGUGUUAUAUAUAUAUAUCUCAUGAUGCUCCCUUUAUGUUUCAAUUCAUUACUUUUAUGUGAGUAUCAUUAAAAUCAUCAUGCCUAGCUAAAAGACAUUGAAGAAAAAACACUUGUUGUGAGGAAACCCAAUACAUAUAAUUUAUAUUUUUGUGUCGUUACACGAUUAUGUAGUCAUGUUAUGUAUAUGUUAUUUCAAUAAAGUGUCAAGUUUAGCCUUUUUCAUGCCUAGCUUACAAGUUUACUAGACCAUGGAAUGUUUCUAAAACUUUAUGUAGUAGUGCCAUACAAAUUUUUAUUACUUCCUAAGUUUUCAGAAUUUAGCGAGUUAUAGAAGUAUACUUUUGGAAUUAAUUCCUACAAAUUGUUUUAUUUUAGACAAAUUGAUGUCGUAAUUUUGUUAUCUUCUUAUCCUAGAGUUUUUCAUGGCUUAUAGUGGUAGAUAUAAAUUGUGGAAAUGAUAGUAUGUAGUAGCUAAUGUUUUUAAAAUUACUAUGUAAUCUUCAUAAAACAUGAUUUGGUUAUCCAUGCUUAUGUGUACUAACAUAUGUCACGAGUUUUGUUAAGUUUUAUGUGGAUGAAGUUUUUGAGACUUAGGGGAAACCGUGCAAUGAGAGGAAUUAACGAGACACAAGAGCUUAAGCUUGGGGGUGCCCAAGGCUCCCCAAGUUAAUAUUACAAGAAGUCUCAAGAAUCUAGGCUCGGGGAUACCACGUUAUCAUCCCACCUCUCUUCGUCAACACCUACCGGUUAGUCUAGGUUGAUCCAAAGUUCUUAUUUCUUCACAUUAUAUGCAUUAUUCUUGGAGAGUCCUUCUAUUUUUGUUUUGCUUGAUGUUUAAUACAAUCUUUAUAUGUGAUUUUAAAGCGUCUAUACAUAGCUAGCUAUUUACUUAAAUACUCUAUGUUCUUCACUUAUACAUUUUGGAGUAGUUUAUUGCUUACUAGUGUGCUUCACUUAUACCAUUAUAGAAAGAAAUUUAUGAAUGAAGUGAAUGUCAUGUGCUUCAUUUCUUAUAUGUACAUUGAGAAGUAAAUAUGCAUCCUUCAUUUAAUAUGUUUAAAUAUAAAUGAGACUAUGAUAGUACAUAUCUUUAAUCAAGUAAGGCAGUUUUAUCAAGUUGAACCUAUAAUGGUGUUGUGAUAAGUAUCUCCCAAUGAAGGACUAAUGAUUAACUCGACUCUUGUUUACACAUGUUUGAUUAAUUCCAAAUUCAACCUUCAUGGUACUAAAGAUCUAUAGGUUAUCAUCAUGGUUAUAUUUUUCAAUUAUGUUACUAUUAGGUAAUGCAUGAUUGUGGUUUUUGUGCUCGGUAAAGUGGUUGCCCCUAGUCUUAUGUAGCCUCGUCAUGCAUUAAACAGAAAUACUGCUUAUGCUUUGAAAUUCUGAAUAAAAAAAUUAUGCCAUAGCGUGUCCACCAUGGCUACCUAUAAGAUGGAAUUUCACUGUCAUUCCAAGUAAAUUUACAUGUCCCACCUCUAAAUAUUCAAAUAAAAUCUCUUUUUGCGUACACGUACAAGCUCAUAGGAUCAGUAGGCUAGCUCAUAUCUUCCAUGCUAAGUGAGUUACCUCACAAAAAAAGUUACUCAAAUGUUGCCUUGAGGGAGGCUAGUACAUGAUGCCCAACCCCAAUUAAAUAUCUAAAUAAUAUAAACAUAACUUCCAUGGAAAGUGAUUGAUUGAAGGGCAUCCAUGAAUUCGGCUAGCCAUGGCUAUGAUUAGUAUGGUGGAAGGGAAACAAAAUAUUUUUUGUUUGGGAACCGCCUCAAAUGUGUUUAGCAUGAAAUAUACAUAAUAUUCUAACAUUAAUGUUGACUCAAAAAGCAUAGCUCUCAAAAUACAAUUAUAUUUAUUUUUAAUCAAUGGGCUUUGGCACAUAAGCAAAUAUCUGCUCCCCUCUGCGAGAAACAUAUCUUUUAUUACUUAAAGCUUUACUUUUAUGCAAGAGUCAAAAUAUUUCCUCCUAUUCCAACCUCAAUUCUUCUCCACUUGUAAGCAUCAUGUGGUGGGAAAAGAUCCACGCACAUAAAUCCAGUAAAAUAUAUGUGAAGAUGAGUUAUUAUUGAUGAUGCUUAUCCUUGUGAUAAGAAAGUUGGAAGGUGGCUUAUUAAACCCACACCUUAAUCUAUGUCUGAUAAAAACAAUUUGAUCUAAAGAUAUGCUUUGAGUGCCAACAAUCAUGGAAGAUUAUAUGAUAGUUGGGUAUGUGGAGUUUGCUAAUCAAAGCACUUACAUAGACCCUUCUUGAAAAUAAGAUGAAUUAUAAUUUUUUAUGACUAAAAACACAGUUUGUCAAGUUUCAAAAGAGUUUAUGGUUUAUACUUUAACAUGUGAAUAAUUUGCUAAUUGAUCAUUAGAAGAUUUAUGAGAAACAAGUUGUUAUUUAUGAUAUAUCAUUGAUCAAAAUUAUAGGGCAUGUUGGCUCGGCCACGCAUGCACAUGAGGUGGCCGAAGUGGGGAAUGUGGACUCGGACAUGAGCGCGUGCACACGCAUGUUGCAGGAUGGUUGGCACAAAGUGGGGGACGACCCUAACGUGCGGGCCUCACACGUCCGCGGCUCAUGGAAGGGGAGUGCGGGAGUUAGGUGGGUUGGGGUUAGUUAGGUCUAGGUGGGCCGGUUGGGUUAGGUUUAGGCCUUUUCUUUUUUCUGUUUUUGUUUCUAUUUUUAUUUUUUAGAUUUUUUCUAAUUUCAAAACUAUUUUGAAUUUAAAUUUACUAUGAGAGACAAGCUUGCAUGCNNNNNNNNNNNNNNNNNNNNNNNNNNNNNNNNNNNNNNNNNNNNNNNNNNNNNNNNNNNNNNNNNNNNNNNNNNNNNNNNNNNNNNNNNNNNNNNNNNNNUGCAGACAUGGCCUCGGAANACAUGAGACCGAAAGGUCGAGCAUGAAUUGUAUAGUUGAUAUGAUUAGCAUAGAGAUGCUUACCACUGAAACUAUUCUCGACUCACGUGAUGAUCGGACUUGAGAUAGUGGAUUUGGAUCAUGUACCACUCAAAUGACUAGAGAGAUGUACUUUUUGAGUGGGAGUUCUUAAGUAAUAUGAUUAAUUGAACUAAUUGUCAUGAACAUAGUCUAAUGGUAUUUGCGAAUUACGAUGUAGCUUGCGCUAUAGCUCUACUGUUUUUAUAUGUUCCUAGAGAAAAUUUAGUUGAAAGUUGAUAGUAGCAAACUUUGCAGACUGAGUCUGUAAAACCAAGGAUUGUCCUCGUUGCUGCAUAGAAGGCUUAUGUCCUUAAUGCACCACUCGGUGUGCUGCACCUCGAGCGUCGUCUGUGGAUGCUGUGAACAUCCGACAUACACGUUUCUGAUUACUACACAAUAGUUCAGUGCAAGAUACUUAAUGGCUUAGAAGCAAGGCGCCGAAAACGUUGUAAAACGUCACGGAACAUAAGUGAUGUUCUAAAGAGAUGAAAUUAUGAUUUCAUGCUUGUGCCCUUGUUAAGAGGUACGAGACCUCCAACAAGAUUCUUUGUCCACAAAGUAAAAGAGAAAAGCUCAAUCGAUGAGCGUGUGCUCAGAUUGUUUGAGUACGACAAUCACUUGAAUCAAGUGGGAGUUAAUCUUCCAGAUGAGAUGGUGAUGGUUCUCCAAAAGACACUGCCACCAAGCUGUGAGAGCUUCGUGAUGAACUAUAACAUAUUGAGGAUAGAUACAAUGAUCCUUGAGCGAUUCGUGAUGUUUGACACUGCGAAAGUAGAAAUCAAGAAGGAGCGUCAAUAGUUGAUGGUUUGUAAAACCACUAAGUUUCAAGAAAGGCAAGGGCUAGAAGGGAUACUUCGUGAAACGGCAAAACAGUUGCUGCACUAAUGAAGAGACCCAAUAUUAAACCCAAACCCGAGACUAAGUGCUUCCGUAAUGAGGGGAACAAUCACUGAGGCGGAGCAACUCAAGAUACUUGGUAGAUAAGAUGGCUGGCAAAAGUCGAAAGAAGUGUAUUUGAUAUACAUGAUGUUGAUGUGUACUUUACUAGUACUCCUAGUAGCACGAGGGUAUUGGAUACCGGUUCAGUUGCUAAGUGAUUAGUGACGCGAAAUGAAAGCUACGGCAUAAACGGAGACUAGCUAAAGGCGAGGUGACGAUACGUGUUGGAAGUGUUUCCAAGAUUGAUAUGAUCAAACGUCGCACGCUCCCUCUAUCAUCGGGAUUGGUGUUAAACCUAAAUAAUUGUUAUUUCGUGCUUGCGUUAAACAUGAACAUGAUUGGAUCGUGUUUAUUGCAAUACGAUUAUUCAUUUAAAGAGAAUAAUGGUUACUCUAUUUUCUUGAAUAAUCACCUUCAAUGGUUUAUUGAAUCUCGAUCGUAGUGUUACACAUGUUCAUGAUAUUGGUGCCAAAAGAUACAAGUUGAUGAUGAUAGUACCACUUACUUGUGGCACUGCCGCUUAAGUCAUGUUAGUAUAAAUUGCAUGAAGAGGCUCCAUGCUGAUGGAUCUUUUUACUCACCUGAUUUCGAAUCACUAGUGACAUGCAAAUCAUACCACAUGAGCAAGGCCUUGUUUUCAUUGAGAUGAAAUAAGAUAGUAACUUGUUGAAAGUGAUACAUUUUGAUGUAUGCAGUCCAAUGGGUGCUGAGGCACGUAGUGGAUAUCAUUAUGUUCUUACUUCACUGACGAUUUGAGUAGAUACAGGAGUAUUUACUUAAUGAAUCACAAGUCUGAAAUGUUGAAAAGUUCAAUUCCGUUUCAGAGUGAAGUUCGUCGUAACAAGAGGAUAAACUGUCUACGAUAUGAUCAUGGAAAUGAAUAUCUGAGUUAUGAGUUUUGGUACGCAGUUAAGACAAUGUGGAAAUUGUUUCGCAGUUCAUGCCACCUGGAACAUCAUAGUGUGAUGAUGUGUCUGAACGUCAUAGCCACGCACUAUUUGGUAUGGUGCAUACUAUGAUGUCUCUUAUCGAAUUACCACUAUCAUUUAUGGGUUAUGCAUUAGAGACAACCGCACUCACUUUAAAUAGGGCACCGCGUAUUUCCGUUGAGAUGACACAGUAUAGACUGAGGUUUAGAGAAAUCUAAACUGUCGUUUCUUGAAAGUUUGGGGCUUCGACACUUAUGUGAAAAAGUUUCAGUCUGAUAAGCUCGAACCCAAAGCGGAUAAAUGCAUCUUCAUAGGAUAUCCAAAACAGUUGGGUACAUCUCCUAUCUCAGAUCCGAAAGCAAAGUGUUUGUUUCUAGAAACGGAUCCUUUCUCGAGGAAAGGUUUCUCUCGAAAGAAUUGAGUGGGAGGGUAGUAGAACUUGAUGAGGUUAUUGAACCAUCACUUCAACCAGUGUGUAGCAGGGUGCAGGAAGUUGUUCCUGUGGCGCCUACACCAAUUGAAGUGGAAGCAGAUGAUGGUGAUCAUCAAGCAUCGGAUCAAGUUACUACAAGCCUCGUAGGUUGACAAGGUCGCAUACUACUACAGAGUGGUACGGUAACCCUGUCUUGGAGGUCAUGUUGUUGAGCAACAGUGAACCUACGAGUUAUGGAGAAAGCGAUGGUGGGCCCAGAUUCUGACAAAUGGCUGGAAGCCAUGAAAUCCGAGAGAGGAUCCAUGUAUAAAACAAAGUGUAGACUUUGAAAGAACUACUUGAUGGUCAUAAGACUAUUGAGUAAAGAUGGAUCUUUAAAAGAAGACAGACGAUGAUGGUGAUAAGUCACUAUUAAGAAAAGCUCGACUUGUCGCAAAGAUGUUUUCGACAAGAUCAAACAGUUGACUAUGAUGAGACUUUCUCACUCGUAGCGAUGCUAAAGGUCUGUUGGAAUUAUGUUAGUUGUUGAUGCAUUAUUUAUGAAAUAUUGCACGUAGGAUGUCAAAACAUUGUUUUCUCGACGGUUUCCUUGAGCAAACAUUGUAUGUGAUUCAACCAGAAGGUUUUGACGAUCCUAAAGAUACUAACAAGUAUGCAAGCUCCAGUGAUCCUUCAAUGGACUGGUGCAAGCAUCUCGGAGUUGGAAUAUACACUUUGAUGAGAUGAUCAAAGAUUUUGGGUUUGUACAAGGUUUAUGAGAAACUUGUAUUUCCAAAGAAGUGAGUGGGAGCACUAUAGAAUUUCUGAUAGGUAUAUGUGGUUGACAUAUUGUGGAUCAGAAGUAAUGUAGAAUUUAUGUAAAGCAUACAAGGUUGUUUGAAAGAAGUUUUCAAAGGAGUACCUGGAUUACGCUACUUGAACGUUGAGCAUCAAAGAUCUAUGGAGAUAGAUCGAAAGCGCUUAAUAGAAGUUUCAACAAGAUGCAUGCCUUGACAAGUUUUUGAAAGAGUUCAAAAUAGACCAGCAAAGAAGGAGUUCUUGGUUGCGUUGUGAGGUGUGAAUUUGAGUAAGACUCAAAACCCGACCACGGCAGAAUAAAGAGAAUAGACGAAGGUCGUCUUCUAUGCCUUAGCCGUAGAAUCUAAAGUAUGCCAUACUGUGUACCUAUCCCCUAGUGUGCCUUGACUCAAAGUAUGUUGAGAGGUACAGAGAGUGAUCCAUGAUUGAAUCACUAGCAGCGGUCGAAAUUGAUCCUUAGUAACUAAUGGACUAAGGAAUUUUUCUCGAUUAUGGAGGUGGUUAAAGAGUUCGUCGUAAAGGGUUACGUCGAUGCAAGCUUUGACACUAAUCCGAAUAACUAUGAGUAGUGAAACGGAUUCGUAUAGUAGAGUAGAUAUUUGGAGUAUUUCCGAAUAGCACGUAGUAGCAGCAUCUAUAAGAUGACAUAAAGAUUUGUAAAGAACGCACGGAUCUGAAAGUUUCAGAACCGUUGACUAAAACCUCUCUCACGAGCAAGACGUGAUCAGACCCCAUAACUAUAUGGGUGUUGGAUUCGUUGGAAUCACAUGGUGAUGUGAACUAGAUUAUUGACUCUAGUGCAAGUGGGAGACUGUUGGAAAUAUGCCCUAGAGGCAAUAAUAAAUUAGUUAUUAUUAUAUUUCUUAGUUCAUGAUAAUCGUUUAUUAUCCAUGCUAUAAUUGUAUUGAUUGGAAACACAAUACUUGUGUGGAUACAUAGACAAAACACUGUCCCUAGUAAGCCUCUAGUUGACUAGCUCGUUGAUCAAAGAUGGUCAAGGUUUCCUGGCCAUAGGCAAGUGUUGUCACUUGAUAACGGGAUCACAUUAUUAGGAGAAUCAUGUGAUGGACUAGACCCAAACUAAUAGACGUAGCAUGUUGAUCGUGUCAUUUUGUUGCUACUGUUUUCUGCGUGUCAAGUAUUUAUUCCUAUGACCAUGAGAUCAUAUAACUCACUGACACCGGAGGAAUGCUUUGUGUGUAUCAAACGUCGCAACGUAACUGGGUGACUAUAAAGAUGCUCUACAGGUAUCUCCGAAGGUGUUAGUUGAGUUAGUAUGGAUCAAGACUGGGAUUUGUCACUCCGUGUGACGGAGAGGUAUCUCAGGGCCCACUCGGUAAUACAACAUCACACAUAAGCCUUGCAAGCAAUGUAACUUAGUGUAAGUUGCGGGAUCUUGUAUUACGGAACGAGUAAAGAGACUUGCCGGUAAACGAGGUUGAAAUAGGUAUACGGAUACUGACGAUCGAAUCUCGGGCAAGUAACAUACCGAAGGACAAAGGGAAUGACAUACGGGAUUAUACGAAUCCUUGGCACUGAGGUUCAAACGAUAAGAUCUUCGUAGAAUAUGUAGGAUCCAAUAUGGGCAUCCAGGUCCCGCUAUUGGAUAUUGACCGAGGAGUCUCUCGGGUCAUGUCUACAUAGUUCUCGAACCCGCAGGGUCUGCACACUUAAGGUUCGACGAUGUUUUAUGCGUAUUUGAGUUAUAUGGUUGGUUACCGAAUGUUGUUCGGAGUCCCGGAUGGGAUCACGGACGUCACGAGGGUUUCCGGAAUGGUCCGGAGACGAAGAUUGAUAUAUAGGAUGACCUCAUUUGGUUACCGGAAAGUUUCCGGGCAUUACCGGAAAAGUUUCGGGCUCAUCGGUAGUGUACCGGGAGUGCCGGGAGGGGUGCCGGGGACCAUCGGGAGGGGUGUCACGCCCCAAGGGGUCUCAUGGGCUAUGGGAAGAGAUAAACCAGCCCCUAGUGGGCUGGAAUAAGUUCCCACUAAGGCCCAUAAGGUUUGAGAAGGAAAAAACACAAGGUGGAAAGAGUUUCCAAGUGGGAAGGUGGAAUCCUACUCCAAGUAGGAUUGGAGUAGGACUCCUCCACCUCCAAUUUCGGCCAAACCUUUGGGUUUUGAGGCUGCCUCCUCCCCUCCCUCCCACCUAUAUAUACGGAGGUUUUAGGGCUGAUUUGAGACGCUUUUCUCACGGCUGCCCGACCACAUACCUCCAUAGUUUUUCCUCUAGAUCACGUUUCUGCGGAGCUCGGGCGGAGCCCUGCUGAGACAAGAUCAUCACCGACCUCCGGAGCACCGUCACGCUGCCGGAGAACUCUUCUACCUCUCCGUCUCUCUUGCUGGAUCAAGAAGGCCGAGAUCAUCGUCGAGCUGUACGUGUGCUGAACGCGGAGGUGCCGUCCGUUCGGUACUAGAUCGUGGGACUGAUCGCGGGAUUGUUCGCGGGGCGGAUCGAGGGACGUGAGGACGUUCCACUACAUCAACCGCGAUCUCUAAUCGCUUCUGCUGUACGAUCUACAAGGGUACGUAGAUCGCUCAUCCCCUCUUGUAGAUGAACAUCACCAUGAUAGGUCUUCGUGCGCGUAGGAAAUUUUUUGUUUCCCAUGCGACAUUCCCCAACACUUUUUACCCUUGAUGGCAACAACACGAUACGUGCCUUGCUAACCCUUGUGUCACUUGGUGAGAUCACCACACGGUAUGAAUCCAAAACCAAGCACUUCUCUCAUGGCAAGAAUCAUAGAUCUAGUUGGCCAAACAAAACCCACAACUCGAAGAGAAUUACAAGGAUAUGAAAUCAUGCAUAAGAGAGAUCAGAAGAAACUCAAAUAAGAUUCAUAGAUAAUCUGAUCAUAAAUCCACAAUUCAUCGGAUCUCGACAAACACACCGCAAAAGAAGAUUACAUCGGAUAGAUCUCCAUGAAGAUCAUGGAGAACUUUGUAUUGAAGAUCCAAGAGAGAGAAGAAGCCAUCUAGUUACUAACUAUGGACCCGUAGGUCUAUGGUGAACUACUCACGCAUCAUCGGAGAGGUCAUGGUGUUGAUGGAGAAGCCUUCCGUGUCCGAAUCCCCUCUCUGGCAGGGCACCAAGACGUGCCCCAGAUGGGAUCUUGCGGAGACAGAAGCUUGCGGCGACGGAAAAGUGAUUACGAUGCUCCCCUGAUUUUGUGUGGAAUUUUUGGGGAUAUAUAGGCGCAAACCCUAGGGCACACGUGGCCUAGGGAGCCCACAAGCCUGGACAGCGCGGCCCCCCUGGCCACGCCAUGAGGGCUUGUGGGGUCCCUGAGGACCCCCUGCCUUCGUUCUCAAGUCUCCCGAUCUUCUUCCGUUCCGGAAAAAUCUUUUUGGAAGUUUUAUUCCGUUUGGACUCUGUUCAAAAUCCUCCUCUGAAAGGGGUCAAAAACAUGGGAAAACAGGAACUGGCACUUGGCACUGGAUUAAUAAGUUAGUUCUAGAAAAUAAAUAAAAGGCAUGCAAAACAUCCAAAGUUUGACAAGAUAAUAGCAUGAAACCAUAAAAAAUUAUAGAUACGUUUGAGACGUAUCAAGCAUCCCCAAGCUUAACUCCUGCUCGUCCUCGAGUAGGGAAGUGAUAAAGAAUGAAUUUUUGAUGUGGAAUGCUACCUAGCAUAGUUGCCCUUUGCAACUUCUUUCACGUGGCAUGAACGUUCAGAUCCGUAAGAUUCAAAACAAUAGUUUGCUAUUGACAUGAAAACAGUAAUACUUCAAGCAAACUAGCAAAGUAGUCAUGAACUUUCAAAAUAACAAGGCCAAAGAAAGUUAUCCCUACAAAAUCAUAUAGUCUGGCUAUGCUCCAUCAUCCUCACACAACUAAUGUAAAUCAUGCACAACCCCAGAAUUGGCCAAGUAAUUGCUUUCACACUCUUACUUUCUCAAAAUUUUUAUAACUAUCACGCAAUACAUGAGCACGAGCCAUGGAUAUAGCACUAUAGGUGGAAUAGAGUGUGGUGGUGGUUGUGAGACAAAAAGGAGGAGAUGGUCACAUUGACUCGACGUAUCAAUAGGCUAUGGAGAGGCCCAUUAAUAGAUAUCAACCUGAAUAAGUAGGGAUUGCCAUACAAGAGAUGCACUAGAGCUAAAAGUAUGUGGAAGCUCAAAAGGAAAACUAGUGGGUGUGCAUCCAACUUGCUUGCUCACGAAGACCUAGGGCAAUUUUGAGGAAGCCCAUCAUUGGAAUAUACAAGCCAAGUUAUAUAAAAGGUUCCCACUAGCAUAUUGUAGUGACAAAGCAAGAAGCUCUCAAUCAUGAAGAACAUGGUGCUAAUACGAAGCACAAGUGUGGAAAAAGAUAGUAGCAUUAUCCCUUCUCUCUUUUUCUCUCAUUUUUUAUUUGGGCUCUUAGGCCUCUUUUUUCUUUUCUCUUUUUUUUUGUUUUUGGGCUCUUUGGCCUCUUUUUUUUCCUCACAUGGGACAAUGCUCUAAUAAUGAUGAUCAUCACACUUUUAGUUACUCAAAGCUCAAAGAUCACAAUGAUGAUGACUCCAUAGGGAAUGCCUCCGGCAGUGUACCGAGAUGUGCAACGAUCUAGUAUGAUCAUGCAAUGGCAAUAUGAGAGUGACAACACAAGUCAUGAGACGGAACGGUGGUAGUUGCAUGGCAAUAUAUCUCGGAAUGGCUAUGAAAAUGCCAUAGUAGGUAGGUAUGGUGGCUGUUUUGAGGAAGGAAUUUGGUGGGUUUGUGCACCGACGAGAAUUGCGCGACACUAGAGAGGCUAGUAAUGGUGGAAGAUGAAAGUGCAUCUAAUCCAUGGACUCAACAUUAGUCAUAAAGAACUCACAUACUUGUUGUGAAAGUUUUUAUUAGUAAUCGAAACAAAGUGCUAAACGCAUACUCCGAGGGGAAGGAUUGGUAGGUGUAAACCAUCGCGCGAUCCCGACCUCAACACAAAGGAUGACAAUCAAUAGAUCAAUUAUGCUCUGACUUCCUAACAUAGCGGUUCACCAUACGUGCAUGCUACGGGAAUCACUAACUUCAACACAAGUAUUUCUAGAUUCACAACACCCUACUAAUAUAGCUUUAAUAUUCCCGAAUCCAUGUCUCAAAACUAAUUGAGAGGAAUCGAAACUUUUCUUUCUACUCAAUGCACAUGAAGAUGGAAGUUUUUGCAUCCUUUUUGGGUACCUAGCACAUGGGACUACUUUAUAGCAUAAUCCAACUACCAAAUAACGCACCACCGUGCUCUAAAGAUAUAAGUGAAGCACAAGAGCAAAAGUAUCUAGCUCAAAGGAUAUAAGUGAAGCACUAGAGCAAAAGUAUCUAGCUCAAAAGAUAUAAGUGAAGCACUAGAGCAAAAGUAUCUACCUCAGAAGAUAUAAGUGAAGCAUUAUGAGCAUUCUAGCAAAAUCACGAUGAGUGCGUGUCUCUCUCUCUCUCAAAAAGGUGUGCAGCAAGGAUGAUUGUGACACAAAAAAAAUAAAAGACUCCUAUGAUACAAGACGCUCCAAGCAAAACACAUAUCAUGUGGUGAAUAAAAAUAUAGCUCCAAGUAAUGUUACCGAUGGAUUGAAGACGAAAGAGGGGAUGCCUUCCCGGGGCAUCCCCAAGCUUAGGCUUUUUGGUGUCCUUGAAUUUAGCUUGGACGGCCUUGGGCAUCCCCAAGCUUGAGCUCUUUCCACUCCUUGUCUCUUUGUCCAUGAGAACGUCACCCAAAACUUGAAAACUUCACAACACAAAACUUAAACAGAAACUUGUGAUAACAUUAGUACAAGAAAGCAAACUACCACUUCUUUUGGUACUGUAGCAAACUUGAAUUCCAUCCAUAUUGAUGAUGAGCUACUGUAUUCUCACUUUUCCAUGGCUAGUACCCCCCGAUACUAAGCAUAGUUUCAUCAAAACCAAGCAACCAACUCAAUAAAAAUAGAAUCUGUCAAAAACAUACCAGUCUGUAGCAAUAUGUAUACUUCGUAUACCUAUGGUACCUCAAUAAUUUUGAAAACUUACGAUGGUCUAUGUAAAAAGCAUAUCAAUUAGUAGCAAAAAGAAUCAACUCAAAAUAUUUUUCUAAUAAAAAUGAAAAAUCAUCUCGUGAGCUAAAAGUUUCUGUCUUUUUCCAGCAAGAUCAAACAACCAUUACCAAGACCAAUCAUAAAGGUCUUGCUUGGCUCAAACACAAAAAGAAACACAAAAAACACAAUCACAACAGAAUUGUGAAAGUGUGGACGCAACAAAACAGAAAGAAAAAGAUAAAUUCAUUGGGUUGCCUCCCAACAAGCGUUAUUGUUUAACGCCCUUAGCUAUGCAUUGAUAAUUCAAUGAUGCUCACACAAAAGACAAGAAUUUAAGCACAACGAGAGCAUCAUAAAGCAUGUGAAAAUCACAUCUAAGUCUAACAUACUUCCUAUGCAUAGGCAUUUUAUAGGAAAACAGAUUGUCAAGACAACCAAUAGUUACCAUAUGCAAGGAAUAAGAAAGAGACAAUAGCAAUCUCAAUAUAACGAGAGGUGAUUUAGUGAUAUGAAAGUUUCUACCAUCAUAUUUUCCUCUCUCAUUAGAUGUGGGAUCAUAUUCGAAUUCAACAAUGUAACUAUCACAUAGGAUAUUCUUUUCAUGAUCCACAUGCAUGCAAAGUUGACGCUCUUCAAAAAUAGUGGGAUUAUCAUCAACUAAAGUCAUGACUUCUCCAAACCCACUUUCAAUAAUAUUGCAAAUAUCAUAUUCCUCAUGCGGGUUAAACAAAUUUUCAAGAUCAUAAGAAAAAUCAUCACCCCAAUCAUGAUCAUUGCAACCAGUAGUGGACAUAGCAAAACUAGCAUCCCCAAGCUUAGGGUUUUGCAUAUUUUUGGCAUGAUUGUCACUAAUAGAAUUUAUAGUGAAACCAUUGCAAUCAUGCUUUUCAUCCAGGGAGCCCUCGUGAAUCACUUCAUAAAUUUCUUCCUCACAAUUCUCAGAUUCACGCAUCUCAAGCAAAACUCCAUAAAGAUAGUCAAGUGCCCUCAACUCACUAGCCAAUUGUUCAUCAUAAUUUGGUCUUUUGAAAAGACUAGCCAGUGGAUGAGGAUCCAUAUCAAUGGAUUAUUAGCAAGCAAAUAUGCAAGUUAAAAGAAGGCACAUGGUAACACAAGCAAACAGAAAGCGAGCGGAAGAAGGGCAAACGGAAAAAGGCAAAUUGGUGAAGUGGGGGGAGAGGAAAACGAGAGACAAAGGCAAACAAAGUAAAUGCAAGAGAUGAGUUUGCGAUACUUACUUGGAUGAGUUCUUGACUUGAUCUUCCUCCCCGGCAACGGCGCCAGAAAUUGGCACGUUGACGGGAGACUAUUCUUGACUUGAUCCUCCUCCCCGGCAACGGCGCCAGAAAUUCUUCUGCUACGGCAACAAAAGUCCUUCCCUGGCGCGUAGGAAUUCCUCUUGUUACUUCUCUGAUUUGCGUUGGUUUUUCCCUUGAAUAGGAAAGGGUGAUGCAGCACAGGAGCAGUAAGUAUUUCCCUCAGUUUGAGAACCAAGGUAUCGAACCAAAAGGAGGGCCUCGUCAAGUCCAAAGUACCUGCGCAAAAACAAACAACUUGCACCCAACGCUUCAAAGGGGUUGUCAAUCCCUUCAAGAUUGUUUGCAAAAGUGAGAUCUGAAGGCGGAAAGUGCAACGAAGUAAAAAGUGUAAGGCUGAAAAUAUGGUGUGGAGUAGACCCUGGGGGCCAUAGUGUUCACUAGAGGCUUCUCUCAUAAUAGAAAAUAUCGCGGUGGGUGAACAAAUUACUAUCGAGCAAUUGAUAGAACCGUGCAAAGUCAUGACGAUAUCUAAGGCAAUGAUCAAGCAUAUAGGCAUCACGUCCGAUACAAGUAGACCGAUACUUUCUGCAUCUACUACUAUUACUCCACACAUCGAUCGCAAUCCAGCAUGCAUCUAGUGUAUUGAGUUCAUGACGAACAGAGUAACGCUUUAAGAAAGAUGACAUGAUGUAGAGGGAUAAUCUCAAACGAAUGAUGAAAACCCCAUCUUUUUACCCUUGAUGGCAACAAAACGAUACGUGCCUUGCUACCCCUUCUGUCACUGGGUGAGGUCACCACACGGUAUGAACCCAAAACCAAGCACUUCUCCCAUGGCAAGAAUCAUAGAUCUAGUGGGCCAAACAAAACCUACAACUCGAAGAGAAUUACAAGGAUAUGAAAUCAUGCAUAAGAGAGAUCAGAAGAAACUCAAAUAAGAUUCAUAGAUAAUCUGAUCAUAAAUCCACAAUUCAUCGGAUCUCGACAAACACACCGCAAAAGAAGAUUACAUCGGAUAGAUCUCCAUGAAGAUCAUGGAGAACUUUGUAUUGAAGAUCCAAGAGAGAGAAGAAGCCAUCUAGUUACUAGCUAUGGACCCGUAGGUCUAUGGUGAACUACUCACGCAUCAUCAAAGAGGUCAUGGUGUUCAUGGAGAAGCCUGCCGUGUCCAAAUCCCCUCUCUGGCAGGGCACCAGGACGUGCCCCAGAUGGGAUCUUGCGGAGACAGAAGCUUGCGGUGGUGGAAAAGUGAUUACGAGGCUCCCCUGAUUUUUUGUGGAAUUUUUGGGGAUAUAUAGGCGCAAACCCUAGGGCAGACGUGGCCCAGGGAGCCCACAAGCCUGGACGGCGCGGUCCCCCUGGCCGCGCCAUGAGGGCUUGUGGGGUCCCUGAGGACCCCGUGCCUUGGUUCUCAAGGAUCCCGAUCUUCUUCCGUUCCGGAAAAAAUCUUUUCGGAAGUUUUAUUCCAUUUGGACUCCGUUCAAAAUUCUCCUCUGAAAGGGGUCAAAAACAUGGAAAAAACAGGAACUGGCACUUGGCACUGGAUUAAUAAUUAGUCCCAGAAAAUAAAUAAAAGGCAUGCAAAACAUCCAAAGUUUGACAAGAUAAUAGCAUGAAACCAUCAAAAAUUAUAGAUACGUUGGAGACGUAUCAGAGCUUCUACCGCAAAAUGUUCCAUUACCCAUUGUGAAGCUAUGUGCAUUCCUCAAUGCAAUAUCUCAGAAGGUAAUCGAUCGAGAACGUCUGGAAAGGCUACAGAAGGAUGUGGUCCAAUGUCUUGUCAGUUUUGAGUUGGUGUUCCCCCCGUCCUUCUUCAAUAUUAUGACGCAUCUCCUGGUUCACCUAGUCGACGAGAUUUCCAUUCCCGGUCCUUUAUUUCUACACAAUAUGUUCCCCUUCGAGGGAUUCAUGGGAGUCUUAAAAAAAUAUGUUCAUAACCGUGCUGGGCCAGAAGGAAGCAUCUCCUUGGCUAUGGAACAGAGGAGGUCAUUGGGUUCUGUGUAGACUUUCUUCCUGACCUUAAGCCGAUUGGUAUUCCUGAAUCGCGGCAUGAGGGGAGACUGAGUGGAAAAGGCGCACUAGGAAAGAAAGCAGUGAUAUGUAGGGACGGGCAUUCUUUCACUCAAGCACACUACACAGUUCUAAAAAGUUCCACCUUCGUGGCUUCGUAUAUCGAGGAGCACAAGAAUUUUGUACGCUCCGAGUUCCCGGGGAAGGCUAUCUCCUGGAUUGAAGAAAAACACAUGGAUACUUUCGGCAGUUGGUUGCGAGCACGUCUCAUGAAUGACAAUACUGUUGGAGAUCAACUCUACUUGUUGGUCGCGUCACCUUCUUCGACUGUAUUACAUUUCCAAGGGUACGAGAUAAACGGGAAUACUUUUUACAUGACCGCCAAAGAUAAAAAGAGCACCAACCAAAACAGUGGUGUCCGCUAUGAUGCCAUAGACAAUAAUGGGAAAAAGGACACAUACUAUGGUUACAUAGAGGAUGUAUGGGAAGUUGACUACGGACCUACUUUGAAGAUUCCUUUGUUUCGGUGUAGUUGGGUGAACAUGAAUGGAGAAGGGGUACAGGUAGACCAGUUGUACGGAAUGACAAUAGUUGAUCUCAAGAAUCUUGGUUACACAGACGAGCCAUUAGCCAAUGAUGUGGCUCAGGUUUUCUACGUGAAAGACAUGUCCUCUAGACCGAAAAAAAGAAAGAAAAAAAUAAGCAAAUGAAUACAUCAUACGAUGAGCCAAAGCGUCACAUAGUUCUUUCAGGGAAAAGAAACAUCAUGGGGAUCGAGGACAAGACAGACAUGUCAGCAGAUUAUAAUAAGUUUGAUGAAAUUCCGCCCUUCAUAGUGAGAAUUGACCCAAGCAUCCCGUUAAAUAAUGAAGAUGCUCCAUGGUUACGGCAUAAGCGAUCAUAGGGAAGGGAUCGAAAUAUAAAUCUAUGUAAUGUAUUAAACUUUAUGUGAUGUGUACUAAUGUAUUAAACUUUAUAUACUAUGUCAGCAGAUUGUCCGUUUUGUACACGAAGUGCUUCGAGUUUUUGUCGUAACCCUCUCAACUCUUUAUCACAUGCUAUGUGGGUGAAAUGAUGAUACCAUGCCAACUUUCAACAUUUUCAGAGUUCAUUUGUAGUGUUUUUCAAUUUCAGGGUCCACUAGCUAAAAAAAUAAGUAAAUGAACGAAAAAUAUCAAAUGAAGUCAGAAAUUGUUCAAAAUUUGUGAUGUGCCUUUGAAUAGUGCAUUUUGAACACACAAGAAGUAUGGAGUUCAAACAAGUUCAAAAGAAUGAAAUCCCUUUGUUAAAAUCUUAAAUAGAAAACAAAAAUAAAAGAGAAAAAUUAUAAAAGGAAAAAAAAUGCCGCCUAUUGGGCCAUCAUGGCCUGCAUACGACUAGAAACCCUAGAGGACAGGUGGGCCAGGAUGCAGGCCCGCGAGCCCAAUAUAGGACCAACAGGCAACGAGAGAACAGAUAGGCCCGAAGGCCUGCUUUAGAGAGGAGUUCGAUGCAGUUGCUGCGACGGGGCUUAUAAACUAGUGCCAACGCCCCUCGCUCGGCGAGGUGGGACUAAACAUUUCGCGGGGCUUUAGCCCCGGGUCGUUGCUAGAAUGGGAACUAAAGACACCCUUUAGUCCCGGGUCUGGCCACGACCCGAGGCUAAAGACCAUCUCCUUCCCGCCUCUUUGCGUGCUGAAAACUACCUUUAGCCCCGGGUCGUGGGACGAACCGGGACUAAAGGAUGGUCAUUAGUCCCAGUUCUUCCUACGACGCGGGGCUAAAGCCCGUCCUAUAUAAGCGGGACUUCGAUUUUUCCAACCCCCAACAUCGCCAGUUUCGUUUUCUUCCUCCUCUCGCUCUCCUACGCCGCACGCGACGACGAUCUGGACGCCGCCAGGCUGCCCCGACGUCCGCCUCGCUGUUACCAUCGCCGACGCCCGUCGUCCUCCUCGGCGGCAUCAGAUCUACGCGCGGGCCUCUUCUCCCCCGAGGUGAGCCGCCCUCUUCUCCCUCUCCUCCACGGCUGCGACGAGCUCGACCGCGCGCGCGCCAUUGCCGCCAUGGCCGCCCCUCCCCGAGCCCAUCCCCCACCUAGCCACCACCGGAGAUGCCCGAUCCAUCUCCGGCGUAGGAGCCCCGGCCCGCCGCGCCCCGUCCAUCUCCGACGUUUGAGCCGCCGGUGUCGUACGUACACACACACACACUCUGUGAAACACUGUGAAAAAAAUUAUGGUUAAGAAAUAAAAUUAGUUAAUUAGAGAGUAAAACAGAAAAUUAGGAUUAUUGUUUUAGGUAAUUAAGUGUUCAUAUUGUUUUUGUUAAUUAAGUGUGUCCAUAUUAUUUUUGGUAAUUAAGUGUUUCAUAUUGUUUUAGUUAAUUUAGUUGUUUAGUUUUUUUUGCAAAAGUUUGAUGAGAAUUUUGACAUUUGCUCCGUAUGUAGUUUUCUGAUGAAAUCUUUAAAAUGUCUUAUAUUUUGAAACAGAAGGAGUGUACAUAUUUAGAAAUUUUUAUUAAACAGUAGGAAUUUAAAUAGUAGGACAUAUACGAUGCCCGACCAACAUCCUCGUCGUCAAUUCGGUGGCGGCCACCUGCUUGAUAUGCGCCAGCGUGUGCGGGACUGGGCUCCGCCGGGCUGACACUAGGAGGAGUUAGCUUCCGGGCCGCGCAGCUUGGUGAGGAACGAGGCUCCCGUUGUCGACCCGGAGCAUCUUUGGUGGCAGUCGCGGGGGCCACUUUUGGUGCCUAGGUUGCCGGCCCCCGAGGCGGACGUACGUCGCCGUGUCAGGGAGGAGGACGAGCACGUCCGUCGGUACAUGGAGGCGUUGGAUGCCAGGUUCGACAGCACCUGGCAGGUUCUUAUGGGAUCUCACCAGAGCUAUGUGUUGGGUAACGUAGCAUAAAUUCAAAAAAAUUCCUACGCAUAUUCAGAUCUUCCUAUGGAGAGACCAGCAACGAGAGAGGGGUGAGUGCAUCUUCAUACCUUUGAAGAUCGCUAAGCGGAAGCGUUACUAGAACGCGGUUGAUGGAGUCGUACUCGCGGCGAUUUAGAUCGCGGUGUGAUUCCGAUCUAGUGCCGAACUACGGCACCUCCACGUUCAACACACGUGCAGCCCGGUGACGUCUCCCGCACCUUGAUCCAGCAAGGAGGAGGGAGAGGUUGCGGAAGAUCUCGGGCAGCACGACGGUGUGGUGUUGAUGGAGAGACGAGGUCUCCCGGCAGGGCUUCGCCAAGCACCGGCAGAGAGGAGGAGAAUGAAGAGCAAGGCUCCGCCGAGGGAGAGGGAAAACUCUGUCCAAAACAGCCCCGAAACCCCCACUAUAUAUAGGAGGAGGGGAGGGGGGUGCCACCUCUAGGGUUCCCAGCCUAGUUGGUGCGGCGGCCCCCCCAGAUGGGAGGUGCGGCGGCCAGGGCAAGGGGAGGGGGUGGCGCACCCCUAGGUGGGCCUUAGGCCCACCAGCGCCUAGGGUUUCCCCCCUCUCCACCUCCUGCGCCUCGGGCUGAGUGUGGGGGACGCACCAGCCCACCUAGGGGAUGGUUCCCUCCCGCACUUGGCCCAUCUAGCCUCCCGGGGUCGUUGCCCCCUUCCGGUUGACCCCGGGGCCACCUUCGGUGGUCCCGGUGGUGCUGGUACGUUACCGGUGACGCCCAAAACACAUCCGGUGUCCGAAACCAUCCGUCCUAUAUAUCAAUCUUUACCUCCGAAUCAUUCCGGAGCUCCUCGUGACGUCUAUGAUCUCAUCCGGGACUCCGAACAACUUUCGAUAACCUCGUAUAACAAUUCCCUAUAACCCUAGCGUCAUCGAACCUUAAGUGUGUAGACCCUACGGGUUCGGGAGACAGGCAGACAUGACCGAGACACCUCUCCUGCCAAUAACCAUCAGCGGGGUCUGGAUACCCUUGGUGGCUCCCACUUGCUCCACCAUGAUCUCAUCGGAUGAACCACGAUGUCAAGGAUUCAAUCAAUCCCGUAUACAAUUCCCUUUGUCUGUCGGUAUAGAACUUGCCCGAGAUUCGAUCGUCCGUAUACCUAUACCUUGUUCAAUCUCGUUACCGGUAUGUCUCUUUACUCGUUCUGUAGCACGUCAUCGUAUGACUAACUCCUUAGUCACAUUGAGCUCAUGACGAUGUUCUACCGAGUGGGCCUAGAGAUACCUCUCCGUCACACGGAGUGACAAAUCCCGAUCUCGAUUCGUACCAACCAAAUAGACACUUUUAGAGGUACCGGUAGUGCACCUUUAUAGUCACCCAGUUACGUUGCGACGUUUGAUACACCCAAAGCACUCCUAUGGUAUCCGGGAGUUGCACAAUCUCACGAUCGAAGGAAAAGACACUUGACAUUAGAAAAGCUUUAGCAUACGAACAAUACGAUCUAGUGCUACGCUUAGGAUUGGGUCUUGUCCAUCACAUCAUUCUCCCAAUGAUGUGAUCCCGUUAUCAAUGACAUCUAAUGCCCAUGAUCAGGAAACCAUGAUCAUCUAUUGACUAACGAGCUAGCCAACUAAAGGCUUGCUAGGGACACAUUGUGAUCUAUUUAUUCACACAUGUAUUACUGUUUCCUGUUAAUACAAUUAUAGCAUGAACAAUAGACGAUUAUCAUGAACAAGGAAAUAUGAUAAUAACCAUUUUAUUAUUGCCUCUAGGGCAUAUUUCCAACAGUUUCCCACUUGCACUAGAGUCAAUAAUCUAGUUACAUUGUGAUGUAUCGAAUACCCAUAGCAUUAUGGUGUUGAUCAUGUUUUGCUCGUGGAAGAGGUUUAGUCAAGGGGUUUGCGACAUUCAGAUCCAUGUGUACUUUAAAAAUCUCUAUUACUCCACUUUGGACAUGGUCAUGGAUGGAGUUGUAGCGGUGUUUGAUGUGUUUCGUCUUCCGGUGAAACCUGGGCUCCUUGGCUAUGGCAAUGGCCCCAGUGUUAUCACAGAAGAGUCUCAUUGGACCCGACGCGCUUGGAACCACUCCAAGGUCGGUGAUGAGCUCCUUCAUACAAAUUCCUUCAUGAGCCGCUUCUGAAGCAGCUCUAUACUCCGCUUCACAUGUAGAUGCUGCCACGACUUCUUGCUUGCUGCUGCACCAGCUCACUGCCCCACCAUUCAAAACAUAUACGUAUCCGUUAUGUGACUUAGAGUCAUCUAGAUCUGUGUCAAAGCUAGCAUCGACGUAACCCUUUACGACGAGCUCUUCAUCACCUCCAUAAACGAGAAACAUUUCCUCAGUCCUUUUCAGGUACUUAAGGAUAUUCUUGACCGCUGUCCAGUGCUCCAUACCGGGAUCACUUUGGUACCUCCCUACCAAACUUAUGACAAGGUUUAUAUCAGGUCUGGUACAGAGCAUGGCAUACAUAAGAGAGCCUACGACUGAAGCGUAGGGGACAAAACUCAUCUUCUCUCUAUCUGCUGCCGUGGUCGGCGACUCAGUCUUACUCAAUCUCAUACCUUGCAAAACUGGCAAGAACCCUUUCUUUGAGUUUUCCAUAUUGAACUUCUUCAAUAUCUUGUCAAGGUAUGUACUUUGCGAAAGACCUAUGAGGCGUCUCGAUCUAUCUCUAUAGAUUUUGAUGCCUAAUAUGUAUGCAGCUUCUCCAAGGUCCUUCAUUGAAAAACUCUUGUUCAAAUAGGCCUUUAUGCUCUCCAACAUCUCUAUAUUAUUCCCCAUCAAUAAUAUGUCAUCCACAUACAGUAUGAGGAAAGCUACACAGCUCCCAGUCACUUUCUUGUACAGACAGGCUUCUCCGUAAACCUGUAUGAACCUAAACGCUUUAAUCACCUCAUUAAAGCGAAUGUUCCAAUUCCGAGAUGCUUGCACCAGCCCAUAGAUGGAGCGCUGGAGCUUGCAUACUUUGUUAGCACCCUCAGGGUCGACAAAACCUUCUGGUUGCAUCAUAUACAACUCUUCCUUAAGGUUCCCAUUAAGGAACGCUGUUUUGACGUCCAUUUGCCAAAUUUCAUAAUCAUAAAAGGCGGCAAUUGCUAACAUGAUUCAGACUUAUUUCAGCUUCGCUACGGGAGAGAAAGUCUCUUCAUAGUCAAUUCCUUGAAUUUGUUGAAAACCCUGUGCGACAAGUCGAGCUUUAUAAACGGUUACAUUACCGUUUGCAUCAGUCUUUUUCUUGAAGAUCCAUUUAUUUCUAUGGCUCGCCAGUCAUCGGGCAAGUCCACCAAAGUCCAUACUUUGUUCUCAUACAUGGAUCCUAUCUCGGAUUUCAAUAACCUUYWAGCMAWWYGUKGUMMYCCUAAAUUUUUUUCGGGUUUAGGGUUUUAAAAAAACGUUUCCCCCCGGGGGGUUACCUUGGGUUAAACCGGGUAAACCCGUUUCGGACCCCCGUAAAAAACGGGGGGUCCCUAAAACCCGGUAACCCGUAAAACGGGGGGGGGGGGAAACUUUUAAAACGGGGGGGUACGCGUACGUACGUACGUACGUNNNNNNNNNNNNNNNNNNNNNNNNNNNNNNNNNNNNNNNNNNNNNNNNNNNNNNNNNNNNNNNNNNNNNNNNNNNNNNNNNNNNNNNNNNNNNNNNNNNNACCAACACCACGCCGUCGUGUUGCUGGUCUUCUUCCCCAACCUCUCCCUCCUCCUUGCUGGAUCAAGGUGCGGGAGACGUCACCGGGCUGCACGUGUGUUGAACGCGGAGGUGCCGUUGUUCGGCACUAGAUCGGAAUCGCUGCGAGUACGACUCCAUCAACCGCGUUCUAGCAAACGCUUCCGCUUAGCGAUCUUUAAAGGUAUGAAGAUGCUCUUACCCCUCUCUCGUUGCUGGUCUCUCCAUAGGAAGAUCUGAAUAAGCGUAGGAAAAUUUUGAAUUUAUGCUACGUUACCCAACAGUGGCAUCCGAGCCAGGUUUUCUAUGCGUAGAUUCUAUGCACGAGUAGAACACAAAAGUUGUGGGCGAUGGUUUGUCAAUUUGCUUGCCGUUACUAGUCUUAUUCUUUUCCGGCGGUAUUGUGGGAUGAAGCGGCCCGGACCGACCUUACACGUACGCUUACGUGAGACUGGUUCCACCGACAAACAUGCACAUCGUGCAUAAAGGUGGCUAGCGGGUGUCUGUCUCUCCUACUCUAGUCGGAUUGGAUUUGAUGAAAAGGGUCCUUAUGAAGGGUAAAUAGCUUUGGCAUAUCAUCGUUGUGGCUGUCACGUAGGUAAGAAGGCGUUCUUGCUAGAAACCCAAAUCAGCCACGUAAAACUUGCAACAACAAUUAGAGGACGUCUAACUUGUUUUUGCAGGGUUUGACAUGUGAUGUGAUAUGGCCAAAGUUGUGAUGUUGCGUGUAUGAUGUAUGAGAUGAUCAUGUUAUUGUAAUAGGUUUCACGACUUGCAUGUCGAUGAGUAUGACAACCGGCAGGAGCCAUAGGAGUUGUCUUAAUUUAUUGUAUGAGAUGCAACGCCAUGUGCUUGCUACUUUUACUUCAUUGCUAACGGUUAGCCAUAGUAGUAGUGAUAGUAGUAGUUGGCGUGACGACUUCACGGAGACACGAUGAUGGAGAUCAUGAUGAUGGAGAUCAUGGUGUCACGCCGGUGACGAUGAUGAUCAUGCGAUGCCUGAAGAUGGAGAUCGAAUGAGCAAAGAUGAUAAUGGCCAUAUCAUGUCACUAUAUGAUUGCAUUGUGAUGUUUAUCAUGUUUUACAUCUUACUGCUUAAAACGACGGUAGCAUAAUAAGAUGAUCCCUCCUAAAAUUUCGAGAACGUAUUCCCCUAAGUGUGCACCGUUGCGAAGGUUCGUUGUCUCGAAGCACCACGUGAUGAUCGGGUGUGAUAGAUUCUAACGUUCGCAUACAACGGGUGUAAGCCAGAUUUACACACGCAAAACACCUAGGUUGACUCGACGAGCUUAGCAUGUACAGACAUGACCUCGAAUACAAGAGACCGAAAGGUCGAACAUGAGUCGUAUGGUUGAAUACGAUCAGCAUGAGUUGCUCACCAUGGUGACUAGUCCGUCUCACGUGAUGAUCGGACACGGGUUAGUCAACAUGGAUCAUGUAACACUUAGAUGACUAGAGGGAUGUCGAUUUAAGUGGGAGUUCAUACUUAAUUUGAUUAAAUGAACUUAAUUGUCAUGAACUUAGUCUAAAAGUUGUCUUUAUAAAUAUUGUAGAUGUCCAACGUCAACCUCAACUUCAACGCAUUCCUAGAGAAAAACAAGGUGAAAGAUGAUGGUAGCAACUAUGCGGACUGGGUUCGCAACCUGAAGCUCAUCCUUGAAGCAGCUCAAAAGGCUUAUGUCCUUAAUGCGCCGCUAGGUGACCCUCCCGCUCCCGCAGCAGCGCAGGACGUUCUAAACGUCUGGCAAGCGCGAAGUGAUGACUACUCUCUGGUCAGGUGUGGCAUGUUAUACAGUCUAGAAACGGGGCUCCAAAGACGUUUUGAGCAACACGGGGCAUAUGAGAUGUUCCAAGAGCUGAAGCUAGUUUUUCAAGCUCAUGCCCGUGUCGAGAGAUAUGAAGUCUCCGACAAGUUCUUCAGCUGUAAGAUGGAGGAGAACAGUUCUGUCAGUGAGCACAUACUCAAAAUGUCUGGGUUACACGGUCGUCUGACUUCACUUGGAGUCGAACUUCCGGAUGAUGCUAUCAUUGAAAGAAUCCUCCAGUAUCUCCCACCAAGCUACAAAGGCUUUGUGCUUAACUACAACAUGCAAGGGAUGGAGAAAACCAUUCCCGAGUUGUACUCGAUGCUCAAGUCUGCAGAAGUAGAAAUCAAGAAGGAGCAUCAAGUGUUGAUGGUCAACAAGACCACUAGUUUCAAGAAAGGCAGGGGUAAGAAGAACUUCAAGAAAGACGGCAAAGCUGUUGCCGUGCCCGGUAAACCAGAUGUCGGGAAGAAGAAAAAGAACGGACCCAAGCCUGAGACUGAGUGCUUCUACUGCAAGGGAAAAGGUCACUGGAAGCGCAACUGCCCCAAAUACUUAGCGGACAAGAAGGCCGGCAACGUUAAAGGUAUAUGUGAUAUACAUGUUAUUGAUGUGUACCUUACCAGCGCUCUUAGUAGCUCCUGGGUAUUUGAUACCAGUGCUGUUGCUCACAUUUGCAACUCAAAGCAGGAACUGCGGAAUAAGCGGAGACUGGCCAAGGACGAGGUGAUGAUGCGCGUCGGGAAUGGUUCAAAGGUCGAUGUGAUCGCCGUCGGCACGCUACCUCUACAUCUACCGUCGGGAUUAGUUUUAAACCUUAAUAAUUGUUAUUUAGUACCAGCUUUAAGCAUGAACAUUGUAUCAGGGUCUUGCUUAAUGCGAGACAGCUACUCAUUUACGUCAGAGAAUAAUGGUUGUUCUAUUUAUAUGAGUGACAUGUUUUAUGGUCAUGCUCCGCUGGUGAAUGGUUUAUUCUUGAUGAAUCUCGAUCGUGAUGUUACACAUAUUCAUAGUGUGAGUACCAAAAGAUGCAAAGUUGAUAACGAUAGUCCCACAUACUUGUGGCACUGCCACCUUGGUCAUAUCGGCGUUAAGCGCAUGAAGAAGCUCCAUACUGAUGGACUGCUAGAGUCUCUUGACUUUGAAUCAUUUGACACAUGCGAACCGUGCCUCAUGGGCAAGAUGACUAAGACUCCAUUCUCAGGAAUAAUGGAGAGAGCCACCGACUUAUUGGAAAUAAUACAUACUGAUGUGUGUGGUCCAAUGAACGUUGAAGCUCGCGGUGGUUAUCGUUAUGUUCUCACUCUCACCGAUGAUUUGAGUAGGUAUGGGUAUAUUUACUUGAUGAAGCACAAAUCUGAGACGUUUGAAAGGUUCAAGGAAUUUUAGAGUGAGGUUGAGAAUCAACGUGACAGAAAAAUUAAAUGUCUACGAUCUGAUCGUGGAGGAGAAUAUUUGGGUCAUGAAUUUGGCACACACCUAAGGAAGUGUGGAAUCGUUUCACAACUAACGCCGCCUGGCACACCGCAACGCAACGGAGUGUCUGAACGUCGUAAUCGCACCUUAUUAGAUAUGGUACAAUCUAUGAUGUCUCUCACCGACUUACCGCUAUCAUUUUGGGGAUACGCAUUAGAAACUGCAGCAUUCACUUUAAAUAGGGCACCGUCUAAAUCCGUUGAGACGACACCGUAUGAACUGUGGUUUGGCAAGAAACCUAAGUUGUCGUUUCUUAAAGUUUGGGGCUGCGAUGCUUAUGUGAAGAAACUUCAACCAGAAAAGCUCGAACCCAAAGCGGAGAAAUGCGUAUUCAUAGGAUACCCUAAGGAAACUAUUGGGUAUACCUUCUAUCUUAGAUCCGAAGGUAAAACCUUUGUUGCCAAGAACGGAUCCUUUCUAGAGAAAGAGUUUCUCUCGAAAGAAGUAAGUGGGAGGAAGGUAGAACUUGAUGAGGUAAUUACACCCCCUCUCGAACAGGAAAGUAGCGCAGCGCAAGAAGUUGUUCCUGUGAUGCCUAUACCAACUGAAGAGGAAGUUAAUGAUGAUGAUCAUGAAGCUUCGGAUCAAGUUACUACUGAACCACGAAGGUCCACAAGGGUACGCUCCGCACCAGAGUGGUACGGCAACCCUGUGAUGGAAAUCAUGUUGUUAGACAACGGUGAACCUUCGAACUAUGAAGAAGCGAUGGCGGGCCCGGAUUCCAACAAAUGGCUUGAGGCCAUGAAAUCCGAGAUAGGAUCCAUGUAUGAGAACAAAGUAUGGACUUUGGUGGACUUGCCCAAUGACCGGCGAGCCAUAGAAAAUAAAUGGAUCUUCAAGAAGAAGACUGAUGCAAACGGUAAUGUAACCGUUUACAAAGCUCGACUUGUCGCAAAGGGUUUUCGACAAAUUCAAGGAGUUGACUGCGAAGAGACUUUCUCUCCCGUAGCGAAGCUGAAAUCAGUCCGAAUCAUGUUAGCAAUUGCCGCCUUUUAUGAUUAUGAAAUUUGGCAAAUGGACGUCAAAACAGCGUUCCUUAACGGGAAUCUUAAGGAAGAGUUGUAUAUGAUGCAACCAGAAGGUUUUGUCGAUCCUAAAGGUGCUAACAAAGUAUGCAAGCUCCAGCGCUCCAUCUAUGGGCUGGUGCAAGCAUCUCGGAGUUGGAACAUUCGCUUUAAUGAGGUGAUUAAGGCGUUUGGGUUCAUACAGGUUUACGGAGAAGCCUGUCUGUACAAGAAAGUGAGUGGGAGCUCUGUAGCUUUCCUCGUACUAUAUGUGGAUGACAUAUUAUUGAUGGGGAUGAUAUAGAGAUGUUGGAGAGCAUAAAGGCCUAUUUGAACAAGAGUUUUUCAAUGAAGGACCUUGGAGAAGCUGCAUACAUAUUAGGCAUCAAGAUCUAUAGAGAUAGAUCGAGACGCCUCAUAGGUCUUUCGCAAAGUACAUACCUUGACAAGAUAUUGAAGAAAUUCAAUAUGGAAAACUCAAAGAAAGGGUUCUUGCCAGUUUUGCAAGGUAUGAGAUUGAGUAAGACUCAGUCGCCGACCACGGCAGCAGAUAGAGAGAAGAUGAGUUCUGUCCCCUACGCUUCAGCCGUGGGCUCUCUAAUGUAUGCCAUGCUGUGUACCAGACCUGAUAUAAACCUUGCGAUAAGCUUGGUAGGGAGGUACCAAAGUAAUCCCGGUGCGGAACACUGGACAGCGGUCAAGAAUAUCCUUAAGUACCUGAAAAGGACUAAGGAAAUGUUUCUCUUUUAUGGAGGUGACGAAGAGCUCGUCCUAAAGGGUUACGUCGAUGCUAGCUUCGACACAGAUCCGGAUGACUCUAAGUCACAAACCGGAUACGUAUAUGUGUUGAAUGGUGGGGCAGUGAGCUGGUGCAGCAGCAAGCAAGAAGUCGUGGCAGCAUCUACAUGUGAAGCGGAGUACAUAGCUGCUUCAGAAGCGGCUCAUGAUGGAAUUUGGAUGAAGGAGCUCAUCACCGACCUUGGAGUGGUUCCAAGCGCGUCGGGUCCUAUGACACUCUUCUGUGAUAACACUUGAGCCAUUGCCAUAGCCAAAGAGCCCAGGUUUCACCGGAAGACGAAGCACAUCAAGCGCCGCUACAACUCCAUCCAGGACCAUGUCCAAACUGGAGUGAUAGAUAUUUGUAAAGUACACACGGAUCUGAAUAUUGCAGACCCGUUGACUAAACCUCUUCCACGAGCAAAACAUGAUCAGCACCAUAAUGCUAUGGGUGUUCGAUACAUCACAAUGUAACUAGAUUAUUGUCUCUAGUGCAAGUGGGAGACUGUUGGAAAUAUGCCCUAGAGGCAAUAAUAAAAUGGUUAUUAUCAUAUUUCCUUGUUCAUGAUAAUCGUCUAUCGUUCAUGCUAUAAUUGUAUUAACAGGAAACAGUAAUACAUGUGUGAAUGAAUAGAUCACAAUGUGUCCCUAGCAAGCCUCUAGUUAGCUAGCUCGUUAGUCAAUAGAUGAUCAUGAUUUCCUGAUCAUGGACAUUGGAUGUCAUUGAUAACGGGAUCACAUCAUUGGGAGAAUGAUGUGGUGGACAAGACCCAAUCCUAAGCCUAGCACUAGAUCGUAUUGUUCGUAUGCUAAUGCUUUUCUAAUGUCAAGUAUCUUUUCCUUCGACCGUGAGAUUUUGCAACUCCCGGAUACCGUAGGAGUGCUUUGGGUGUAUCAAACAUCACAACGUAACUGGGUGACUAUAAAGGUGCACUACGGGUACCUCCGAAAGUGUCUGUUGGGUUGGCACGAAUCGAGAUCGGGAUUUGUCACUCCGUGUGACGGAGAGGUAUCUCUGGGCCCACUCGGUAGAACAUCAUCAUGAGCUCAAUGUGACUAAGGAGUUAGUCACACGAUGACGUGCUACGGAACGAGUAAAGAGACUUACCAGUAACGAGAUUGAACAAGGUAUAGGUAUACCGACGAUCGAAUCUCGGGCAAGUUCUAUACCGACAGACAAAGGGAAUCGUAUACGGGAUUGAUUGAAUCCUUGACAUCGUGGUUCAUCCGAUGAGAUCAUCGUGGAGCUAGUGGGAGCCACCAUGGGUAUCCAGACCCCGCUGAUGGUUAUUGGCCAGAGAGGUGUCUCGGUCAUGUCUGCCUGUCUCCCGAACCCGUAGGGUCUACACACUUAAGGUUCGAUGACGCUAGGGUUAUAGGGAAUUGUUAUACGAGAUUACCGAAAGUUGUUCGGAGUCCCGGAUGAGAUCCAGGACGUCACGAGGAGCUCCGAAAUGGUCCGGAGGUAAAGAUUGAUAUAUAGGACGGAUGGUUUCGGAGACCGGAAGUGUUUCGGGCAUCACCGGUAACGUACCGGGACCACCGGGAUCACCGGAGGUGGUCCCGGGGGACCACCGAAGGGGGGCUGCGACCCCAAGAGGUAAUAUGGGCUAAGUGGGGGUGGGAACCAGCCCCUAGUUGGGCUGGUGCGCCUCCCCACUCAGCCCAUGGCGCAGGGGAAAGGAAAAGAGGGGGGGGAACCCUAACUCAGGUGGGCCUUAGGCCCACCAGAGGGGUGCGCCACCCCUCCCCCUUGCCCUGGCCGCCACCCCUUCCCCACUCUGAGGGCUGCCGCACCCCUUAGGGGUGGGAACCCUAAGGGCUGCGCCCCCUCCCUCUCCCCCUAUAUAUAGAUGAGGUUCGGGGCUGUUUGAGACACGGUUUAAUCUCUCUCUCUCGCAGCCCUGCUCCUCUCCCUCCUCCUCGCUGCCGGCGCUUGGCAAAGCCUUGCCGGGAGACCUCCUCUCUCCACCAACACCACGCCGUCGUGUUGCUGGUCUUCUUCCCCAACCUCUCCCUCCUCCUUGCUGGAUCAAGGUGCGGGAGACGUCACCGGGCUGCACGUGUGUUGAACGCGGAGGUGCCGUUGUUCGGCACUAGAUCGGAAUCGCUGCGAGUACGACUCCAUCAACCGCGUUCUAGCAAACGCUUCCGCUUAGCGAUCUUCAAAGGUAUGAAGAUGCUCUUACCCCUCUCUCGUUGCUGGUCUCUCCAUAGGAAGAUCUGAAUAAGCGUAGGAAAAUUUUGAAUUUAUGCUACGUUACCCAACAGAGGGUUCCUGCCAAGGUGAUGUGGCAUGCUCCUAUAAUACCACGGUUGAAAGGUUUGUUCCGAAACAAAGAGCAUGCCAAGUUGAUGCGAUGGCACAAAGAAGACCGUAAGGAAGACGAUAUGCUGAGACAACCCGCUGAUGGGUCGCAGUGAAGAUAAGAGACGCUUGGCCUGAUUUUAAGGCGUCCAAGAAAUCGGGUGUCUUUACAUCCCAAUCAGCCACAAAUACGGAGAAUGCGAAGAAGAAGAAAUAUCACCAUAUUUUGGGGUCAGGUGGCUACAUGACUGCCCUGCCUAGGUGGCGACGCUAUGAAGAUGCGCUUCUGAAAAGAAAUAUCAUUCCACAGACACAUGACUGGCCCGAUAGGUCCAAGUUCUGGUUGUUCGCGCAUGGGGCAACGUUGGACGCUGAGACUGGGAUGAUUGUUGCGGAGGGACCAUGGUCGGAAAAAAUAACACAAGUCGUAUCAGAUCUAGAGAAGGCAAUAGAAGCUGUUCGAAAAGGAACUUUUUUCCCGAUAGAGAGAACGACGAGUUGACGAAGGCACUCGGGAACCCCGAAAAGUGGGGACGAACACGAGGCUUUGGAGCCACUACCCCGUGGAACCAAGGGUUUCCGGCGGACCUUGGCACUUACAGAAGCUGUGGUAGAAGCAAGAGGAAGGCGCUGGAACGGAUAUCGACAUUAGAAGAAAAGGUGGCGUUUCUCUUGAAGAAAGGGGGACACCCUGUACCUGACACUGAAGAGGAGGAAGAAGAUCCUGCACCUGACGCUGAUCAGCAGCAAUUAGAAGACGAUCCUGUAGCAGAUGCCGUCCCAUCUCAGCAUAGAAGCAGCGUGGGUUCCACGCAGCUGCAGCUAGAAGACGGUCCUGCAAUCGAACCGUCGGCGCCUCACUACCCCGUGGAUGAUGUCACGGAGAAGACAAACUAUGAGAUACAUAUGCCAAUGGGGAACAUAUCCUUCAUGGUGGCGUCAGGCUAUGCUUUACCGAAUCAACCUGGAGCAACCUACCAUGGUGGUCAGAUUCCAGCAUCCCAUGCUCAUGUCGGGUUGUCAACAAUUACGCCGGGAUGCCAGUCAAUUUAGCUUGAUAUUCCUGGAGGUGAAGGCGAGAAGACACUGGGAGAAAUGGAGCUUGGUAUCAUCUUGUGGAAGAAGAAACACAUCGUGUUUCCUAACGCGGUGCCAAGGCCACCGACUCCUCCAGGUACAAAUGCACCACCUCCAACAAUUACUGAAUGUUGCACCACAUGUAAGCCUAUUUUUAAUAGUUUUUUCACGUUCGUACAGAGAAUGCACGACCUCCAAGUCCACCCCCCAACGCACCUCCAAGUCCACCCCACAACAAAGAUUGGGAGCCCGAGGCCGAGAGUCCAUCGCCCGUGCACUCCAGUGAGCCGACGGAUGCGCCCACUACGGGUACGGCAAAGCGGAAGAUGCAGUUCAGAAGAAACGGGACUCCUCCCAAGAAGAGAGAAAGGAAACCCAAGAAAGUCAAGACUCCCCCGAAGUUACCAGGCCUGAUGACUCCGGAGGAACUAGACGAGGCCGUGAAAGCCAAAAACAAAGCAUGGUUCGCACGGUUUCCCCUGAAGCCCCCUCCAGACAUCUGGAAGGAAACUCUGAAGAACAUACCAAAGUGGAAAAUUGAGCGCACCAUCGACAACUUAUAUUAUCCUGAACCGCCGCCACCGCCGCCCCUUUCAGACUAUGAACGGUACAUUGAAAAGAUGCACACCGCACAGAUGAAGCAGGCGGAGCAGAUGAAGCAGGCGGAGCAGACGAAAUGCGGGAAACAAGUUCCCCAGCUCGGACAACAAGAAGCACAGUCAAUUGCCCCGCUCAAGGUGUUAUCUGACCAGGCUUCAGUGUCCGGUCCACGCAUGGGCGACGUAGGUUACGCUAUUGCUGAUGUGGUAUAUAAAUAUAAGCCCGAGCACCCUCUGGCCGGAAAUCCUAGUGCUCUAACAACCCAACUAUGGAAUUUACAUGUUUGGUGCUUGGAGGCCGCAAGGCAAAAGAAAGACUGUAUCAUGGCGGCAGUUCAGGAUCAACACUACUUCGGAGAGUACGGUGUGGAGGUUGGGUUCGAUGAUUUUUUCCAGAUGUACAAUCAACGUGCCCUCGACAAAGCUAUCGUCAGCUGCUACUGUUUGUAAGUGAUUUAUUUGUGUAAUUUAAUUAUUUAGUUAAGCUCGCGUUCAUUGCCCGUAUAAUUAUCACUCACGAGACAUUCUUUUUGUACGCUACUAUGCAGAAUGAAGAUUCGUGAAUGCAGGCUGGCAGGAAUCUGGGACUUUGGGUUCAUUGACCCGUAUUCGUUUCAUCAAGAGACAAUAGAAAAGUUCAACAAGGAUACACCGGAUGAUUUGCUAAGGUUUUUGAAGCGACAAAGUACUAAAAAAGAAAUACUUUGGCCCUACGGAUUCAAGUGAGUGUUACUGUCUUGUACACAUUCCAUUUUGCUUACCUGAUGUUAAGUGUAAUUGAUGAGUAUGCAUGACUGCGCGUGUACACGUGCGCAGGUCCCACUUCAUAUUGUUCAUCGUUAGAAUCGAUCAAGGACAAGUUGAAGUCUGGAACCCGUUAACCUGGGACGCUGACACAUGGAAGAGCGCGCGUCAGAUGCUUCAAAGGUAUAUAUAUAUCGGCCUCUUUCGUUCAUCGGCCUCUUUUUCGUUCAUUUCCUGAUAUCAAGUAAGUAAUAAUUAACUCUUGUAUUCAUUUUUCUUUGUCGGCCAGGGUUUGGCAAAUGUUCAUCAAGGAAGAACCCGGUACAUGGGCAGACAAGCUCCACUUUCAGAUUAACAAAGUAAGUAGUACUACGUACCCUGGUUUCAAUACCAUUACCAUUCUCUUGAUUAUUAUUAAUUUGACUGAAUUAUGUUCUCGUAUAUAGGGCGUCCCGCAACAACCACCGGGCACUGAUUAUUGUGGAUACUACGUUUGCGAGUACAUUCACAGGAUUAUCAAUGAGAAAUCCCGUACUUCCAGAAAUCUAGAGGUACGUAACCGGAUCUUCACAACUUUAUUUAUGUUGCCAUCAAUUAUGUUUAGUUUUGUUCAUAACUUAAUUGUUUUCAUCUACUUCUUUUAAAGUUGCAACGAAAGCGGGCGAUGCUCAGACCAAUCCAACGUUGCAAGGCAGUUGCAGAGGAAUUGGCAGGAUUUCUCCUCACGCAAGUCAUAGAUGAAGGCGGAGAAUUUUUCCAUCCUAUGAACCAAUAGCCAGCUCCCUUCUUUAUGCAAGUAUACAGCUAUAGGAAACAAACUUCAAAUUAUGUAAUGAUAAUCGGUCGAGUACUUCGUGUUACAUGUAUAUAUGUACUUUUAUUUGGUGCAUCAACAUUUAACUGCAAACACGGAAUCGGAAACACUUAACCGCAAACACGGAAUCGGUGUUUCCGGAUACGUGUUUCCGAUUACGUGUUUUCGAUUCCGUGUUCGUAAAAAACGGAACACGGACACACGGAAUCGGAAACACGGAAUCGGAAAGACGUAAACGGAAAUACGGAACCGGAAACACGUAAACGGAAACCCUGAAAAUACGGAACACGGAAACACCGAAAUACGGAAUCGGAAACCCUGAAAAGAAAAGGAAAAAAAAAGAAAAAAAAAGCAUUAGGACCGGUUGGUGUUACCAACCGGUUCUAAAGGUCCUUACCAACCGGUUCUAAUACCCCUUUCUCCACUAGUGUUAGUACGUAUAAAUUAGAUUAGGUAUGUACGGAUUCGUUUAUUUGGUACACAUUCAUUAGUUUUUUUCAUAUGUAUGUACCUAAAAUAUUUAGUAUGUGACGCAUUAUAUUUUUUGUAUGUAUAUACCUAGAAUAUGUAGUACAUAUCCAUUAUGUAUGUAUGGAUUCACUUAUUUUAGUACGUAUGCAUUAGAUUUUUGUGUAGAUAUAUACAUAGGGUAGGCAAUAUAUUUUUUUGUAUGUGCGUACUCAUCAAAUUCAAUAUCUCGACAUAAAAUUUAUGAUUAUAUACCUUGAUACAAUAAUGACAUAGGAUCGUAUGUGGGUAUAUGUAACAUACAUUUGUAACACUAAAGAGAAUCAUUGGUGGAUAUACGUAUAUAGGAAAAAUUCAUGCGUGGGUAUCAUAUAUUCAUACAAGAAAAAAAAAUAGGAUCAUAUUUUAUGUUAUUUGGUCACGUUAAUCUGUAUAGAAAUAUUUGGUCAUCUUAAUUUGUAUAGAUAGCCGUCAAAAGUGUCACACGGUCUUACUUUUUUCUAAAAUACUAGAUACCUUGAAAAGUAGAACUUUAGAAAAAUAUUUUUAGGUAUAUUUGUUAUCUCUUGUUUGUACUUAUUUGAGAUACUGAAGGUAUAUCUUUAUUUAGUAUAAUACCUCGAGUAUUAUAUGUUCUUAGUACAUAUAAUAACAUGGAUAUAUGUAUAUUUUUUCUUAAGUCAUAUUUAUGGUAUGUGUAUAUUUUUAUUAGAUAUAAUAGCCCACUUACGUGUACAUUUUUUGACUAUACUUACGUGUACAUUUUCAUUAGGUAUCAUACAUGAACAUAAUAUUUGGAAAGGGAUUAUUGCUGGGAAAUCAACAUAAUAUUCUUUUUGGAAAGCAAUCAUUAAGUAUUGAGAGGUGUUAAUGCAUGCAAAUGAAAAAUGGAAAGGUACUAUUUAAUUGAAUGCACGUAAUGCAUCAAUGAAAAUGGCUUGCCAUAAUAGGCCUAGGUGCCCAGGCACCUAGGUGCCCCAAACAUUUUACCUAUAUAUAGAACGACCGCUUGGGGCACUUCUCUUUUAUACUCCCUGGGGUAUGUACCCCCACCUCUAGUAGAUGGGUAUAUGGGCUAGGAGUGAGAGGCCACCCGCUUGGAGCAGUUGGCACCGUAAUACGAAAAAGAAAAGAAAAGAAAAUAGGUAGUGGUUAUGAGCCGGCUGCAUGCUCCUACAUGAAGGGCGUUCAACUCAAUCUACACACGUCCAGGAAAGUUGUUACGGUGGUAUCUCUUGUGUCUUCCUUUUGUGUGGAAAGGUAUCUCAUCUGGCUGCCACGGGAGGUAUGAUGGAUGCGACGGCUAGCGAAAUGGAAGGUAUGUCAAUGGAGAUUGUUCCCGCAACCUGCGACAAGGAGAACUCGGUGAUCGACGGCAACAUGCAUAUUAACUUGUGUUCUGUGUUUCUUGUUCCUCUGUCCGGUUGUCGUCGAGUAUGACAAAUACGUCCGGCGGCGACUUUGGUGAAUACUUAUUUAUGAUACUGGGUAUAGGGAUCUGCCGUUGUGUUUUGAUUGGACUGAAGGAGUUCCAGCGGAGAUGGAUCAUGCGGACGUCCCUGUCGAGAGGCAUGAGUGUUGAUUAAAGUAGUAUAGUAUAUACCUUUUCUUUAUCUGUAUAUUUCAAACGAGAAGUAUGAAAUACUACAUUCCUGAUUCAUGGGUGCUGAAAAAUUGUAUGUAGGAGUAUAUACUUUAUGUAGGGAGUAGGACUAUGUUCCAGCGUUGCUAACUUUUUUCUUGUUCUUUGUACUUGUACGGGCUUUCUUGCUGACAUAUUAGGUUAUGCUUCAUGUAUUCAUGAUUAGUAUGUGCUUCCAUUUUUUAUGCUAAGUAUGUACUUCAUUUAUAUGUGAUUCGUAUAUACUUCUUUUAUCUGUUUUUUGUAGCACAUAUACUUUAUUAUCUGUGAUCCGUAUAUACUUCACUUAUUUGUGAUUAGUAUAUACUUCAUUUAUCUCUGAUUAUUAUGUAUUUCAUUAUUUGGUGCUAAGUAUAUACUUCAUUAAUCUUUGUUUAUUAUAUAUUUCAUUUGUUUAUAAGUAUAUACUACCUGUGAAUGUCGUAUGUAGUCAUUCCUUUGUAACUAGGAAAUGUCGUACGCACUACUUUAUUUUUCUGUAAACUAUUUUGUUAUACCACGACAGGGUUGUUGUAGAUGAUGAAGAAGGAUUACUUGAUUUGCUACCUGAAUACGCCGAUCCUGCGAUACUAGUUCCUAAGGUGGGAAAGAGUUUCAUGACUGAAAGAGAUGCUUUCAAUCUGUACAACAUCUAUGCUGUACGGAUGGGUUUUGGAAUUCGGCUAUCGAAGCUGCGUUACAAUGCAGCAAAGAAGUUGAGUAUGCGGGAAUUUUGUUGUUCGCAUCAGGUAACUGAUAACGAUGUAUUUUUUUGGGACUGGCCAUAUAGGUACGACAAUGUGGUAUAACUAUGUAAUUUUUGUGGUCCUUAUGUAGGGCAAUAAUCCUAAGACAAAAAAACCUUCUAUACGUGUUGGUUGUGGUGCCAUGUUGAGGAUUAAUAGACCAACCGGUGAGGGUUCGUGGACAGUGACUAAGUUUGUAGAGGAUCAUAACCAUGAACUGAAGGAGACAAUUGGCGUGACUAAGAAUUACAAGUCACAUAAUCAAAUUGAUGAGGGGACUAGAAAUGUCAUUGCAGACAUGGUGGAUAGUGGUAUGAGGUCAACCAACAUGUAUGGUUUAUUAUCAGGGUUUAAUGGAGGAGCUUCAAUGGUCCCAUUCACCCGUAGGAUGAUGGAUAGGCUAGCUUAUGCUAUCAAGAGGGGUGAGUGCGGUCAAGAUGUUCAGCUGACCCUUGAUGUUUUCAAAGAGUUGCAUAGCAAUUCCAGCAACUUUUUCUAUAGUGUGCAGGUUGACAAGGCAUGCCGUGUGAAGAAUAUAUUCUGGUCUCAUGCUGUAUCUAGGAGGAAUUAUCAGGCCUUUGGUGACGUUGUGACAUUUGAUACUACAUAUAAGACUAAUAUUUACAACAUGCCGUUUGCUCCAUUUGUAGGAGUCAAUAAUCAUUUUCAGAGCAUAUUGUUUGGGUGUGCAUUACUUAGAGAUGAGACAGUUGAGUCUUUCAGUUGGUUGUUCUCUACUUUCAGGAAGUGCAUGAAUUGUUUGGGUGUGCAUUACUUAGAGAUGAGACAGUUGAGUCUUUCAAUUGGUUGUUCUCUACUUUCAGGAAGUGCAUGAAUGGAAAGGAGACGCAGUGCGUACUUACUGGUAAUUUUGUUAUGUUAUUGUAGAGUAUAUAUAUGUAAGUUACUUUGUUUUACUGAUUACCUAGAGUUUUGUGAAAGAUAAUUGCCAACAGAUGCCAGCAUCUAUUGCAAAAGUUUUUCCAAAGGCUUCCCAUCGUGUUUGCAAGUGGCAUAUACUUAAGAAAGUGAAGGAAAAUUGUGGAAAUAUUUACAGCACUAGAGAAACGUUCAAAGAAGACUUCCACAGGGUUUUAACUCAGAUGUUGACAGUCGAUGAGUUUGAGGGGGCAUGGAAGGAAUUAAUGUCGGAGUAUAAGGUGGAAGAUUGUGUGUACCUAAAGCAGAUGUGGGAUAUCGGGGAAAAGUGGGCGUUCCCGUAUUUUGGACACUUGUUCUAUGCUGGAAUGACCACUACACAGAGGAGUGAAUCUGUGAAUUUUGUUUUGAAAAGGUUUGUUAUGCCGGCUUCUUCGAUGAAUGGUUUUGUACGAAAGUAUGAGAGAUUCUUCAUAGAUAGAUUGCAGAUGGAAGAUUACGAGGAAUUUCAUACUCGACAUGUAAGUAUAUUUAUUGCUUUCUAAUUUUAUGAGUAUACCACUUUGGCACAGUAAUACAUUCUGACAGAACAGAGCAUGCAGGACAAAGUUGUUAUGAAGACUAGAUCGCCAUUGGAAAGACAUGCUUCAAAGGUAUAUACUCGUGGUGUGUUCACAUUAUUCGUGGAGCAGCUAUCCGAAAGUUUGUCCUUCAAGGUCGUCGCCACUGAUGACGAGACUAUUUUAAAAUAGUACGUAUUGGGGGCUUUGCUCGGAACAUCUGGCAACGACACCAUUAUGAAGUGUAUGCAGACGUUGAAAGCAUGACAUUUUCUUGUGUAUGUAAGAUGUUUGAGCACAAGGGUAUACUGUGUUGUCAUGUGCUAAGUGUAAGUUCCUUGGCACUGUAACCAUACAAUUUUGGACAUACUUAGUAUAAAAUCAUAUAAUGGUUUUUCAUUGUUUUUGUAGGUCCUGAUACAUGAUGGCUGCGCCGAGAUCCCAGAGCAAUAUGUUUUGAAGAGAUGGAGGAAGGAUGCUAGAGAGCGUGUUCCUUUAUUCCUGGAGGGUUACAAAGAUGAUGUUGAUGCCGCUGCUUCUCAGAUGUACAGGCAUUUGGUGCUCCAUACGACAUCAGAGGAGGUAACUGGUCUUGGUAACAAAAACAUGAAGGCUUACAAGGUGGCGAUGGAAGACCUAAAUCAGUUGGUGGAAAACCUAAGAAAGGUAUUUUGGAGGAAGAGCAGGCUAAUAUGGAAGCAGCUAAAAUGCAGGCUGAAGGACAUAAUCAGACACAUGAUCCUACAACAGGUGAUGGUGAUACAACCCCGAGUAAAGGAAAUAGUAGUCUGAAUGUUCAUGAAGUCUGUGAAGGCCCAUUUGGAGAAGGGUGAGUAUGGAAGAUAUUUUGCCACCUAUUAAGAAUCGUCCCAGAGGCAGGCCAAAAACUAAAAGAUGGAAAACUGGCGGGGAAGUAGCUAGUACGAAGAAGAGUGGUAAGAAAGUGGGUGGCAGUAGUGAGACCACAUGCGAAGGUGGCAAUGCUUCUCGGAAGAAAGAGUCUGACAUCAUUAAGUAUCGUGGAGAAUGUGGCAACCGAGGACAUAAUAAGUCGACUUGUGGGAAGCCGUCCACAUACAAGAGGAAGUAUGUUUACAAGGAAUAGUUGCUAUUAGUGAUUACUUUUUUGUUUUAGUCGUGACUAAAUAGGUUGUAAGCACUGCGUAUUGCAAAUUCCGGGACAUGUCUUUAUUCUAGUCUUGUUUGGUCUUCAUUGUUAAUGCAGAAGUUUGCGUGAACAGUUUUCAUACAUUAAUGGUAUUGGUGAUGAGUGGUUAUAUAUAUAUAGUAGGCACAGUACGAAAAAAUGAAGGUUGAUUAAUUAUUCUUUGGUCGUAAAUUUUGCAGGUGGUUGAAUGGUACUUGUAGAUAGUAACUGUGGUUUUGAAAAGGGAAUUUUGGUUUAUAUUGCAGGUAUUGGGUAUGAUGGAGUGAAAAGGUAUAUACUAUCUGGUCUACAGUAUGUACUGUUUUGAGCACCUUGUAGUAUGUUUGUUAUGAAGGAUUGGAAGGUAUGUUAAUGUGUAAAAUUGGUGUAUGGUCAAUGGCAUAGAUAAUAAAGGAAGAUAAGACGUUCUCUAUAUAUAGUCGGGACGGUACAAGAAAAAUGAAGGUUGCUGCAACGGUAGUUGGUUUGAGUACAAAUGAAUGCCGAUAAUGGUAAGUACUACUCUAAUCCCUAAGCUGGGUGAGCUGGAGUUUGACCCAAUCUGGAAGAGAAACUUCAUUCGUCUUGAACGUGAGCAAGUCCAGUAAAAAAGUAGCACCUUAGGUCAUCAGAAUCUUGCAUUAUAAAUUGAUGAUGAAGAGGUUGAGCUACUUGUGAUUGUAAAAGUUGUCAUGUAUAAGUAGCGAGUAAAUACCUCGGUUAUUAAAUUUAUUAGACGGAGGCCAUUCCAGUUCCGCAUGAAGUUCACGACAAGAAAACCGCAAUCAUCCCUAGUAGUUCUUGAAUAUUAUAUGAAGUAGCGAUGGUGACUUAAGAAGCAACUGAAAAGAAUAGAACUUACGAGUUUUGUUGUUCAGGUAUGUUCUCUACCACCUCGAUAUCCCAGCUUGAUAUGUCCUCAUCCCAUCCAGGAAAAGCUAACCUCAUGCACUCCGCGAGAUGAUAUGCUAUGGCAUGACAUGUCUUCUUAUGUCUAGCCAUUCUAGAUUCAUUAAAGGGGCCUAAUGCACUGAGGGAGUCGAGUAUGGAUGUUUUCUUGUUCUCCAUGUCGAAUGCAUACAAUGCAUAAUCAUUAACUAGAUGUACUAGUAUGAGUAUCUGGAAAGGAUAAAUGAAAUCGUGAAAUUGUAAGGUAAAAUGAUUAAAUAGUGGUGCCCGGUACAGUAUAUAUACGUUGAUACCUGAUGGCUUUGUGAAACAUCGUAUGGUAUAUGUUUUCCAAUGAAGUGUCCUAGCUGGUGCUCUGGAACCCAGAAUUCGCCUCCCGCCAAGGCGAAUCUCUACAGACAAGUAAAAAUUAAUCAUGGAUUAAAAAUGAUUGAAGAAAUGCUCGUGUUGUAGAUAAAGUCUGACUGCAAAGUCGAGGUUUAUGAAGUGUCUCCAUCCCAAAUAGUUUGUUCCAUCCAACCAUUGCACCUCAUUCAAGAACAUUUUGCGAAUAGCAAAAUUUAAGCAGUCAGUAUCCAUCCAGCCACCACGUGCAAUGGAUUGCUGGAGAGUCCGUAACUUUAUCGAGAUGCUGAAUGGAGUAGAACUUUGAAGCCAUACUUCACUGGUGGUGCGAGAUAAACAUUAUUAGUUAAAAGUCAUAAAAUAGGUCUGUUGAGAUAUUAAAACUUUUUUACUAAUGCUCACUCUAACAAGGCUUUAUUCGAUAUUGUUUGAAUGUAUGAAUAAGUUGAGCGAGCUACCCGUGUAUCAGUACGUGUUACUGAGCAUUGCUUGGUCAGAAAGGGGGACGAAAUUUUCGUAUUCCGCUUUAUUUUUCAGGUGUUUUUAUCUCUUAGAAGGUGGGAUGGUGGAUUUUCUACUAUGUAUCUAUGUUGUUGUUCAUCUCCAUUGGUAUCCUGUGCACUUAGUGCGACAGUCCACUCUUGAGCCAGGCGAGCAGCGGAUGCUGGAGAGAUUGAUGAUUUCUGCUUGCUUGGUGAAGCUGAUUCGAAUAGAAGGAUUAGUUAGGAAACAUAACAUAUUAAGCUGUAUAAAAUAAUGAUAUGGGAAAGACAAUUUACCAGAAGCAUUACGAGUGCUUGGUGGAGUGUUGUAUGCUAGAUUUUUGUAGGUAUUACUUGUUGUGCUACCUGAACCAAUGUUCACUUCUGAUGCCGUUUGUGGUUGAUCCCUCUCUGGCAUGCUAGUAUGUUGGCAUGGUAAAACUGUAUGAUCCCUGAAUGAUGUUGGGGUAAGGCCUGAAAACAAAGGAAUAUAACAGAUUUAACACGAUGCUUGAAGAAGUAAUGGGUGACUUAGGCUAAGUAACCAGUUUAGGUAUGUAGUAGUGAAGCAUAUGAAUGUCGUUGGUAGAGGUAUAUGUAAUAUUUAUGGAUGAGGAAAUUAUGAGAAGUACCUGAUGGGGGGUUCGAAUGAGGUGCACGACGACUGUCGAUACUGCGGGGUGUAUUCUGGUUGUCUGAAAGAACAUUCCGAAGGGUGGCCCUUACUGCUAUUUUUAUUGAAUUGAAAACAGUAGUGCACAUGAUUUUGUUUAGUUUUUCAGAUGCUUGAAUCGCUAAAGGAUUGUCGAUAAAGUUUUCAAAAUCUGAAAUAUCUUGCAAAAUAGAUGAAAACUCUCCUUGAGCACUGGAGAUUCCAUCCUUUGUGGAAGAAGAAGCCUAAAAAUCAAUCAUGUCAACAUAUAAGGCGUGAUGAGUGCUUGGGUGUGACUUUAGUUUAGCCAGAACAACGAAAACAAGUUGUUACCUCUUCUCCAUAUAUCGAUCGUAAUUUAGUUGAUUUGAAACGCGUCUGCAAAAAUUCUGAAAUGUUGGACAUACAUGGUUGGUUAAUGUUUGUACUCGGAGUCGAAUGAUGCUUCUCCUGAGAGCCCUCUUUUGGUGUAGAUGAGUAAAUAGUUGGUGGUUUCCUCAGCUAACAAAAAGUAAAACAAUUAGUAUAAAAAUGAAUGAAAAAUUGACAGCUAAACUUAUUAUAAAUAUAGACGCACCUGCAGCUUCCCAAACUGAGGGAAAGGGACCCAAGGUUGUGUUUGCUUAUCAUGUCACUCAUGAUAAUGCGAUUGACGAGGUCAUCAUCGAAUGCAGAAAUUCUAGGACUAGUUUCACAGUUCACAUCCUCAUUUGGUUGCGCAAUAUGGUCCAGGUAGAGUGUCUACAGUACAAAAAACAUUGGUUUCAUAAACUUACUAAGAAAGUACGUAUGUGGUAUCUCAGAUGAUAAGUAGGUAUGUGCUUAGUGUAAGGUAUAUACUAUCGGCAAGUAAGUAUGGUGUGUAAAAAUGCAAGAUUAUAUGAUGGAAAUUGUGCUUAUCAUGUGAAUACACACCUGGAGGAAUAGUAUACACCCGUUUAUUGAUACUUGAGAAGAAUUAUGUAAACGUUUGGGCAUCAAGCUGGCAGAAUUCAUGAGGUCAUCGACGAUGAAUUGUGCCCAGUUGUAUAACGAAAUAUUGUCAAUAUCAGCAACUGCGCUGAUAUACCUUGUGGAAAUGUAGUUCGCCAGUGAUUGUGGAGCCAGGAACUUCGUCAUGACAUAAAGGACAAAUGCUGCCUUGAACGAUCGUUGGUCAUUUAAGCUCAUGGGAUAUGAAUAUUGUUUAUUAAGAACUGUCUCCAAAAACUUAACUGUAACCUGUGAAAAUAGUGAAACCUCAAAAAUAUCACAAAGAAUCCUCUUAUUCCGUUCUACCUCAUCUUGGCUGCAUGUCUCAAUGCUUUUCCCACCGCAUGGUACACCCAAGACUGAAUUAACGUCCCUCGCAGAGAAUGGGAUCACUUUAUGAACAUCAGCUACGAUGGCACAUGAAUCAAGAUCAAUUUUGCUCAGAAGCCAGGCGCCAUACUGCCUGUUAACUUUAGUUAACUUCAUGUGAAGAAUGCCGUGAAGCCCUGUUUGACGGACAAGAUCCUUUUUCAUGUCAUCAAAACUGUUAAAUAAACCGACGACACACCUUGGUUGGCAUCUUGAAUUUAUCCUCGUGUUUUUUGCAUUGGGUGACUUAUCUGUGAUCCUCUUACGACGGUAUUUAUCAGUCACGCGAGACGCGCUGCGUGACAACGUGCCUUUCCUGGACUUGUAUGGCUGGGAGUUCACACCCUGCGAGCAAAACUGUGCAGAUUCAGUUACAAGUAUUGUACAUACAGAAAAACAAAACAUGGAAGAGAGAUAUUUGCUUUGGUCAUGAAAAGUUCCGUCUUGGAACGAUAAAAUUUGUUGCUCCUGCAGCCACUUUCCCCUGACUAGAUUAUAUAUAUACAACUAGCUUCAUGGACAUGUAUUUGUUUACAUAGCAGAGAAUAUCGAUUAAGCAACAUACCCCGUGUGAGUUACAGUUGAUGCUGAUGGGAGGAGUGGCCGGUCGAGAGCAAUCGACGCCGAAGACCUGCUGGGCAUAAACGGGAGCGUCGUCUUGUUCCAUGCCGCUGCAUGGAGCGAUCCGCUGUCCAGCCGUCGUUAGCGCGGUAUGCACGAGAAGCGAGACGCUGUCCAGCCGUCGUCGUCCACGAGAAAAUAGAUCGAGACGCUGUCCAGCCGUCGUCGUAGCGAGCGAGGUAUCCACGAGAAAAUAGAUGGAGACGCUGUCCAGAGAUUAGUUCAAGGGUGACGUUUGUUAUCCCUAUAAAAAAGGAGUCUGUUGCAACAAAUCAGCUGAUCUUUUUUUUGAACACGUAAUUAUCUCACCUUUUGAUCUGGAAGCUAACGCGGUGGAUGCUCGGGAGAUGAAUCGGACCUGUGAGUAUGUACUCCUAGGAGUACUAACCUAUUUUCUUAUAUAUAUAUAUGGAGAGAGAGAGAUAAAUUGAACACAUAGCUGCUGGUAUAUACCCCUAGCCUCGAGGGUGAACUACUCCCUCCUCAUCAUGGCCUCCGCCGGGAUGAUGAAGAUGGCCACCGGUGAUGGUUUUCCCUCUUCGACAGAGUACUAGAAUCGCUCCAUAUUGGUUUUUCGGCGAUACACAGAGUUGCAUCGGCGAAGCGAAAGUUCUCUCUUUACUUCUCGAGUUUCUCGGAUUUAUAGGAUUUUUCAGCGUUGGAAUCAUGCGCAACGGAUCCACGUGGGCCCCACAAGCCAUCACGAAGCGGCCAAGGCACGACCGCACCCUAKUGGCUUGUGCCUCCGUGGCAGCCCUCCUCUGGUGGUUCUUCGCUCCAACGUUUCUCAUAUGUUCCAGAAAAAAAUCAUAAAACACUUUUGGGCGAUUCCGUGAACUUUCAUUUUCUGCACAAAAAACAACACCACGGUAAUUCUACUGAAAAUAGCGUGAGUCCGGGUUAGUUUUAUAUAAAUAAUAAAGUUCAUAAAUACCAUAUAAAGUUAUUAUAAACAUAGGAAAAUAUGGCAUGAAUACUUCAUAAAUUAUCAAUACGUUGGAGACGUAUCACAUACCGAUGGAUUGAGAUGAAAGAGGGGAUGCCUUCCGGGGAAUCCCCAAGCGUGGCUUAGACGCUGGAGUAUUCCUAGAAUUUUACUUGACAUGCAUUAGGCAUCCCCAAUAUUAGGAUCUUUGUCUCUCCUUAUUCCUUCAUCCAUCGUGAUAACACCCAAAACUUGAAAACUUCAGCACACAAAACUCAACAGAAAACUCGAGAGAUCCGUUAGUAUGAUAGGCGAACCAGAAACAUUAGGUACUAUUAUGAAUUGAUUAAUAUUUUAGUAUUGCAUAAGGUAAUGUAUUCUAAUUUCUCCGUGACUUAUACCCUGGAAAGUUUGCAAGCAAAAAGAGAAUCAAUACUAUGAGCAAAAACAGAAUAUGUCUAAAACAUAACAAUCUGUAGUGAUUAACAAAGACACCAUACUUCUGUAACUCUAUUUUUUUUUAAAAUACAAAACCCUGAGUAAUUUGUAUACCAAUACUGCAUAAAACAUUCAGAUCAAAAAUACAUUCCUGUAAAAUCAGAGAAAUUUUGCACUGGACAUAAAAGUUUGUGUUGUUGCAAACAUCAAUUCUACUUAUCAUUCAAAUCAUCCCAGAGGCUUUACUUGGCACAAACAUUAAUUUAAACCUAAAAAUUAAUACUUACAGUAUAAAUAAUCAUUUUAACUCACACAAACAGAAAGUAAAACAAGAAAAAUAAGAUAACAAGUUGGUUGCCUCCCAACAAGCGUUAUUGUUUUACGCCCUAGCUAGGCAGAAUGUAUAGUUUCAAGUGUUAUCAUCUUUGACACUCAAACCAUAAGUAGUCCUCAUGGUAGAUUCAUAAGGUGGUUUAAUUCGCUGCAUAAUGAAGUGUUCCAUCCUUUCUUUAAUGGGAAUUGGAAUCUUACGUUUGACUCUUUAAUAUCAAUAAUGGCACCUACAGUUCGUAAGAAAGGUCCUCCAAGUAUUAUGGUACAAGAUAAAUUGCAUUCAAUAUCAAGCACAACGAAAUCUACCCGCACAUAAUUCCUAUUCGAAAUAAUAAUCACAUCAUUUACUCUACCCCAAAGGUUUCUUAAUCGUAGAAUCCGCAAGAUGCAAGUUAAGGGAACACUCAUGUAUAUCUGUGAGACUAAGCACAUCACAAAGAGAUUUAGGUAUAUUUGAAACACUAGCACGAAGGUCACACAAAGAAUUACAUUUAUAAUUUUAGUAUUAGGUUCCCAUUCAUCAUGCAAUUUUCUAGGUAUAGAAACUUCCAACUCAAGUUUCUCAUCAUAAGCCUACAUCAUUGCUUCCACUAUAUGUUUAGUAAAAGCUUUGUUUUGUUCAUAGACAUUGGGUGAGAUAAUAAUGGACUGCAGCAGGGAAAUACAUUCCACUAAAGAGCAACUCUCAUAAUUAAAGUCCUUGUAAUCCAAGAUAGGGGGCAUAUCACUAGUUAAAGUUUUGACCUCUCCAACCCCACUUUUUUCAUUUUUCAUCACUAGAAUCAUCACCCUCCGAACAAACGGACUACUUUAUAGAUAAAGUUGAAUCACCUACAGUCCCUUUAUAAUCUAUUUUAAGAUUAGCAAAUAAAGAUUCAAUGGAAGAAGUACCAAUUAUUUUAGUAUCUUCAUCAUGAUUAUGGUAAAAACCGGGUGGAAGAGUCGUUUCUAAGAAUUCUCGCUUAGCUCUCAACCUAGCAGUCCUCUCCUUACUUUAAUUAAUACUAGCAAAAGGGCCCGUGCGUUGCAACGGGAGAAAAGAAUACCACACGCUCUUAAUUUAUAAAAAUGAUCUAUAAUCUAAGAAUUUGUAGUUAUGACACAAACAAAGAUGGUUUUACCCUACAAAUGUGCAGUUCAAGAUUCCACAUGUCUUCUAUUUCAACACAGUUUGCAUGUAUAUUGAACACGUACAAAGAAACAGACAAGUGACCUUCAAUUUCAUCUCUAAUCCUGAUUUUGUUGAGAUGUUCAUCCUCAAUCUGGAUCAAUACCGGUAUGAAAGAAAGAUGAAUAAUGCAUUAUUCAUUAAGAUUGUAUCAUAUACAGUCUUUUUUUAAUUUAACAGGUAAAAUAUCAUCAUAUGUAGAUUCUACAUAUUUUUCUAAUCAAAUUUCAUAUAUAAGAUGUUAAAUUUGGAGUUACGGUUUAGAAGAUAUGAGUAUUUUAAAAAACAUUUAAUAUGUACUAUGGGUUUAAUAUCAGAAACAUCAGGUUUUUUUCUAUAAAAUAGCAUGACGGACUAAGAAUACCUAUUUCUUUUAUUAGUGGAUAUAGUAUUUUUUUAGAUGGAUUUAAUGCACUCAUUGAUAUCAUUGAAAUUUCCUCUAUAAGCAUUGUUGUUGAAAUUAUUUCGCGAGAUAAAGUUCACACCAAUAGCAUCAUCAUUUUGCUCAAUCAAUGUAGGCAAAGGCAUAUCAGUGGGAUCAACAUGAGCAUGUUUGCUAGCAACCUUAUUCAUAAUUGCAUCCAUUUUCUCACUCAAAGUAGUGAUUUCCUCAAGACAAUUUACUUUCUUAACAGUUGGAGCUCUUUCGGUAUGCCACUAAGAAUAAUUUGUGAUGAUCUUUUCCAGAAGUUUUGUGGCAUCUCCCAAUGUCACCUCCACGAAGGUACCACCUACAACAGAUUAUAGAAUAUUUCUAGACACAAAGUUUAGUCCAACAUAGAAAAUUUGUAUAACAAUCCAUAAGUUCAAACCAUGAGUAGGGCAAUUUUUAAUCAUCAAUUUCAUCCUCUCAAAAGCUUGUGCAACAUGUUCUUGAUCAUGUUACUUAAAAUUCAUAAUUUGAUUUCUAAGGGAGAUGAUCUUAGUAGGACGAAAAUACUUGGUAAUGAAAGUAUCUUUACAUUUAUCCCAUGUUCCAAUACUAUUACGUGGUAAAAAUGAAAACCAAUCAUUAGAUUUAUCUCAUAGUGAAAAACUUAAUAAUUUUAAUUUGACCACAUCAUUAUCCAUAUCAUUUUUCAUUUGCAUAUCACAUAAUUCAACAAAAGGUAAAAAUGAAUUGAGAUGCGCAGCCGGAUGCUGCGGCAACAAAAGUCCUUCCCUCGCGCUUAGGAAUUCUUCUUGUUACUUCUCUGGUUUGUGUCGGUUUUUCCCUUGAAGAGGAAAGGGUGAUGCAGCACAGGAGCAGUAAGUAUUUCCCUCAGUUUGAGAACCAACGUAUCGAUCCAGAAGGAGGGCCUCAUCAAGUCCAAAGUACCUGCGCAAACACAAACAAGUUUGCACCCAACGCUUCAAAGGGGUUGUCAAUCCCUUCAGGAUUGUUUGCAAAGUGAGAUCUAAAGGCGGAAAGUGCAAUGAAGUAAAAAGUGUAAAGCUGAAAAUAUGGUGUGGAGUAGACCCUCGGGGCCAUAGUGUUUACUAGAGGCUUCUCUCAAAAUAGCAAAUAUCACGGUGGGUGAACAAAUUACUGUCGAGCAAUUGAUAGAACCGCGCAAAGUCAUGACGAUAUCUAAGGCAAUGAUCAUACAUAUAGGCAUCACGUCCGAGACAAGUAGACCGAUACUUUCUGCAUCUACUACUAUUACUCCACACAUCGACCGCUAUCCAGCAUGCAUCUAGUGUAUUGAGUUCAUGACGAACAGAGUAACGCCUUAAGCAAGAUGACAUGAUGUAGAGGGAUAAUCUCAAACCAAUGAUGAAAACCCCAUCUUUUUACCCUUGAUGGCAACAACACGAUACGUGCCUCGCUACCCCUUCUGUCACUGGGUGAGGUCACCGCACGGUAUGAACCCAAAACCAAGCACUUCUCCCAUUGCAAGAAUCAUAGAUCUAGUUGGCCAAACAAAACCCACAACUCGAAGAGAAUUACAAGGAUAUGAAAUCAUGCAUAAGGGAGAUCAGAAGAAACUCAAAUAAGAUCCAUAGGUAAUCUGAUCAUAAAUCCACAAUUCAUCGGAUCUCGACAAACACACCGCAAAAGAAGAUUACAUCGGAUAGAUCUCCAUGAAGAUCAUGGAGAACUUUGUAUUGAAGAUCCAAGAGAGAGAAUAAGCCAUCUAGUUACUAGCUAUGGACCCGUAGGUCUAUGGUGAACUACUCACGCAUCAUCGGAGAGGUCAUGGUGUUGAUGGAGAAGCCCUCCGUGUUUGAAUCCCCCUCCGGCAGGGCACCAGGACGUGUCCCAGAUGGGAUCUUGCGGAGACAUAAGCUUGCUGCGGCGGAAAAGUGAUUACGAUGAUCUCUUGAUUUUUUCUGGAAUUUAUGGGAAUAUAUGGGCGAAAGUGGUAGGGCAAUGGGCGUCUAGGGGGCCCACAAGCCUGGAUGGUGCGCCCCCCUGGCCAUGGGGUGGGGGCUUGUSGGGCCCCUSGGGCUCUUUUGCCUUGGCUCCCAAGUUCCCCGAUCUUCUUCCGUUCCAAAAAAAAUCUUUUCGGGGAUUUUCUUCCGUUUGGACUUCGUUUCAAAAUCUCCUCUGAAAGGGGUCAAAAACAUGGAAAAACUAGGAAUUGGCACUUGGCACUGAGUUAAUAAGUUAGUCCCAAAAACUAUAUAAAAGGCAUGCAAAACAUCCAAAGUUUGACAAGAUAUUAGCAUGAAACCAUCAAAAAAUUAUAGAUACGUUGGAGACGUAUCAAGCAUCCCCAAGUUUAACUCCUGCUCGUCCUCGAGUAGGGAAGUGAUAAAUAAUGAAUUUUUGAUGUGGAAUGCUACCUAGCAUAGUUGUUCUUUGCAACUUCUUUCACAUGACAUGAAUGUUCAGAUCCGUAAGAUUCAAAACAAUAGUUUGCUAUUGACAUGAAAACAGUAAUACUUCAAGCAAACUAGCAAAGUAAUCAUGAACUUUCAAAAUAACAAGGCCAAAGAAAGUUAUCCCUACAAAAUCAUAUAGUCUAGCUAUGCUCCAUCAUCCUCACACAACUAAUGUAAAUCAUGCACAACCCCGCAAUUGGCCAAGUAAUUGUUUUCGCACUCUUACUUUCUCAAACUUUUUAUAACUAUCACGCAAUACAUGAGCGCGAGCCAUGGAUAUAGCACUAUAGGUGGAAUAGAGUGUGGUGGUGGUUGUGAGACAAAAAGGAGGAGAUGGUCACACUGACUCGGCGUAUCAAUAGGCUAUGGAGAUGCCCAUUAAUAGAUAUCAAUGUGAAUGAGUAUGGAUUGCCAUAUAAGAGAUGCACUAGAUCUAUAAGUAUGUGAAAGCUCAAGAGGAAAACUAGUGGGUGUGCAUCCAAGUUUCUUGCUCACGAAGACCUAGGGAAAUUUUGAGGAAGCCCAUCAUUGGAAUAUACAAGCCAAGUUAUAUAAUAAAUAUUCCCACUAGCAUAUGAUGGUGACAAAGCAAGAAGCUCUCAAUCAUGAAGAACAUGGUGCUAACAUGAAGCACAAGUGUGGAAAAAGAUAGUAGCAUUGUCCCUUCUCUCUUUUUCUCUCCUUUUUUAUUUGGGCUCUUAGGCCUAUUUUUUCUUUUCUCUUCUUUUCUCCUUUUUUGUUUUUGGGCUCUUUGGAUCUUUUUUUAUUUCCUCACAUGGGACAAUGCUCUAAUAAUGAUGAUCAUCACACUUUUAUUUACUCACAGCUCAAAGAUCACAAUGAUGAUGACUCCAUAGGGAAUGCCUCCGGCAGUGUAUCGGGAUGUGCAACAAUCUAGCAUGGCGUACGAUGUUGAAACAUCUCGCUAGCUAUCUUACGAUCAUGGAAUGGCAAUAUGAGAGUGAUGACACAAGUCAUGAGACGGAACAGUGGGAUUUGCAUGGCAAUAUAUCUCGGAAUGGCUAUGAAAAUGCCAUAGUAGGUAGGUAUGGUGGCUAUUUUGAGGAAGGAAUUUGGUGGGUUUGUGCACCGGCGAGAAUUGCGCGGCACUAGAGAGGCUAGCAAUGGUGGAAGGUGAAAGUGCAUCUAUACCAUGGGCUCACAUUAGUCAUGAAGAACUCACAUACUUAUUAUGAAAGUUUUUAUUAGUAAUCGAAACAAAGUGCUAAACGCAUACUCCGAGGGGAAGGGUUGGUAGGUGUAAACUAUCGCGUGAUCCCGACCUCAACACAAAGGAUGACAAUCAAUAAAUCAAUUAUGCUCCGACUUCCUAACAUAGAGGUUCACCAUACGUGCAUGCUACGGGAAUUACAAACUUCAACACAAGUAUUUCUAGAUUCACAACACCCUACUAACAUAACUCUCAAUAUUACCGAAUCCACGUCUCAAAACUAAUUGAGAGGAAUCGAAACUUCUCUUUCUACUCAAUGCACAUGAAGAUGGAGGUUUUUGCAUCCUCUUUGGGUACCUAGCACAUUUGGGACUACUUUCAUAGCAUAAGCCAACUACCAAAUCACGCACCGCCGUGCUCUAAAGAUAUAAGUGAAGCACUAGAGCAAAAGUAUCUAGCUCAAAAGAUAUAAGUGAAGCACUAUGAGCAUUCUAGCAAAAUCACGAUGAGUGCAUGUCUAUCUCUCUCUCUCAAAAAGGUGUGCAGCAAGGAUUAUUGUGACACAACAAAAAGAAAAGACUCCUAAGAUACAAGACAUCAUGUGGUGAAUAAAAAUAUAGCUCCAAGUAAUGUUACCGAUGGAUUGAAGACGAAAGAGGGGAUGCCUUCCCGGGGCAUCCCCAAGCUUAGGCUUUUUGGUGUCCUUGAAUUUGGCUUGGGAUGCCUUGGGCAUCCCCAAUCUUGAGCUCUUUCCACUCCUUAUCUCUUUGUCCAUGAGAACAUCACCCAAAACUUGAAAACUUCACAACACAAAACUUAAACAGAAACUCGUGAUAACAUUAGUACAAGAAAACAAACUACCACUUCUUUUGGUACUGUAGAAAACUUGAAUUCCAUCUAUAUUGAUGAUGGGAUACUGUAUUCUCAAUUUUCCAUGGCUAGUACCCCCCGAUACUAACCAUAGUUUCAUCGAAACAAGCAACCAACCCAACAAAAACAGAAUCUGUCAAAAACAGACCAGUCUGCAGCAAUCUGUAUACUUCGUAUACUUCUGAUACCUCAAACAAUCUGAAACAUUACGACGGCCUGGGUAAAAAGCAUAUCAAUCAUCAGGAAAAAGAAUCAACUCAAAAGCUCUUUUUGAAUAAAAAUGAAAAAUCAUCUCGUGAGCGAAAAGUUUCUGUAUUUUUUCAGCAGGAUGAAACAACCAUUACCAAGACUAGUCAUAAAGGCUUUGCUUGGCUCAAACACAAAAAGAAACACAAAAACACAAUCACAACAGAAUUUCGAUGGUGUGGACGCAACAAAACAGAAAGAAAACGAUAAAUUCAUUGGGUUGCCUCCCAACAAGCGCUAUUGUUUAACGCCCUUAGCUAGGCAUAGAAGCGAUAGAAUCACAUAUCGUCGUCUUUGGUGCUCAAACCAUAAGUGGCCCUCACAAUGGAUUCAUAAGGCAAUCUUAUUUUCUUUCUAGGAAAGUGUUCCAUGCCGUUCCUCAAAGGAAAUUGAAAACUAAUAUUCCCUUCCUUCAUAUCGAUGAUAGCACCAAUAGUCCUUAAGAAAGGUCUACCAAAAAUAAUAGGGCAAGUAGUAUUGCAAUCAUUGUCAAGCACAAUGAAAUCCACGGGUACAUAGUUCCUAUUUGAAACAAUAAGAACAUCAUUGAUCCUUCUCAUGGGUUUUUUGAUAUUAGAAUCAGCAGGAUGCAAAUUAAGAGAACACUCUUCAAUCUCAUUAAAACCCAGAACAUCACAUAAAUACUUUGGAAUCCCAGAAACACUAGCACCCAAAUCACACAAAGCAUUGCACUCAUAGUUUUUUAUUUUGAUUUUGAUGGUAGGUUCCCACUCAUCAUGAAUCUUUCUAGGGAUAGAGACUUCCAAUUCAAGUUUCUCUUCGAGAGAUUUUAUCAUAGCUUCGACGAUAUGAUCGGUAAAGGCUUUGUUUUGGCUAUAAGCGUGUGGAGAGUUCAACAUGGAUCGCAUCAAAGAAAUGCAUUCAAUCAAGGAGCAACUAUCAUAAGUGAAUUCCUUGAAAUCCACGGUAGUAAUUUCAUUACUACUCAAAGUUUUAACGUCUUCUACUCCACUUUUAAUGCUUUUAGCAUCAAGAUAGAUGGACUCCGAAUCAUUGGGGCACUAUUCAACCAAAGUGGAUUCAUAUCCAGCCCCAUAAUCAUUAGGUUUGACAUAAGAAAACAAAGAUUCAAUGGGAGUCACACCAAGCACAUUAAGAUCUUCGUGAUUCUCGUCACGAGAACACGCCUUUUUAAGCCAUUCAUGUCUAGCACGAAUUUUGGCGGUUCUUUCUUGGCUCUCAAUCAUGGAAACACGCAUAGAUUUCAAAGUUUCAUCCAUGUUUAUUUUGGGAGGAGCACAUCUAACUUUCAAAGCAUCAACAUCACAAGAAAUUCUAUCCACGCUCUUAGCCAAAUCGUCAAUUUUGAGUAGUUUUUCCUCUAUGGACGCAUUGAAAAUCUUUUGAGAGUUGAUGAACUCUUUGAUAUUACUCUCUAGAUCAGAGAGUAAUCUAUUGUAAUUUCCAUGCGUAUUGUUGUAGGAGUUGCCAAAAUUAUUAGAGGAGUUACUAGGGAAAGGCCUAGGAACAUAGUUUCCUCUAAAAGCAUUGUUGUUGCCAAAGUUAUUCCUACCAACAAAAUUAACGUCCAAGCUAGCAUUGCUACUCUCAAUCAAAGAAGACAAGGGCAUAUCAUUAGGAUCCAAAGGAGCACUUCUACUAGCAACCAAAUUCAUUAACUCGUCCAUCUUAGCACUCAACGAGUUAAUUUCCUCUAUAGCGUGUACCUUCUUACUAGUAGGUGACCUUUCAGUGUGCCACUGAGAGUAGUUCGUCAUGAUGUUGUCUAAGAGCUUUGUGGCUUCUCCUAACGUGAUUUCCAUGAACGUUACACCUGAGGCGGAGUCCAAGAUAUUUCUAGAAGCGAAAUUCAAGCCAGCGUAAAAGAUUUGAAUAAUCAUCCAAAGGCUCAAGCCAUGAGCGGGACAAUUUCUAAUCAUUAAUUUCAUUCUCUCCCAAGCUUGUGCAACAUGUUCAUGAUCAAGUUGCUUGAAAUUCAUGAUAUCAUUACGGAGAGAGAUGAUCUUAGUCGGCGGAAAAUACUUGGAUAUAUAAGCAUCUUAGCACUUAUCCCAAGAAUCAAUACUAUUUUUGGGCAAAGAAGAAAAGCAAGUUUUUGCGCGAUCUCGCAACGAGAAAGGAAAAAAGCUUCAAUUUAAUCACGUCAUUAUCCACAUCUUUUUUCUUUUGCAUAUCGCAAAGCUCAAUGAAGGUAUUGAGAUGGGAUGCGGCAUCUUCACUAGGAAGGCCAGAGAAUUGCUCUUUCAUAACAAGAUUCAGCAAAGCGGCAUUGAUUUCGUAUGACUCCGCACUAGUGGCGGGAGCAAUCGGAGUACUAAUAAAAUCAUUAUUAUUAGUAUUCGAGAAGUCACAAAGUUUGGUGUUUUCGUUCAUGGUGACUUCAGCAAGCAAGCAAGCACACAAGCAAACAAAGAGCAGGCGAGAAAAAGGGCGAACGAAAAGGCGAACGAAAAAUGCACAUUGGUGAAGUGGGGGAGAGGAAAACGAGAGGCAACUGGCAAACAAAGUAAAUGCAAGAGAUGAGUUUGCGACACCUACUUGGAUGAGUUCUUGACUUGAUCUUCCUCCCCGGCAACGGCGCCAGAAAUUCUUCUGCUGCGGCAACAAAAGUCCUUCCCUGGCGCUUAGGAAUUCUUCUUGUUACUUCUCUGGUUUGCGUCGGUUUUUCCCUUGAAGAGGAAAGGGUGAUGCACCACAGGAGCAGUAAGUAUUUUCCUUAGUUUGAGAACCAAGGUAUCGAUCCAGAAGGAGGGCCUCGUCAAGUCCAAAGUACGUGCGCAAACACAAACAAGCUUGCACCCAAUGCUUCAAAGGGGUUGUCAAUCCCUUCAAGAUUGUUUGCAAAGUGAGAUCUGAAGGCGGAAAGUGCAACGAAGUAAAAAGUGUAAGGCUGAAAAUAUGGUGUGGAGUAGACCCUGGGGGCCAUAGUGUUCACUAGAGGCUUCUCUCAAAAUAGAAAAUAUCACGGUGGGUGAACUAAUUACUGUCGAGCAAUUUAUAGAACCGCGCAAAGUCAUGACGAUAUCUAAGGCAAUGAUCAUACAUAUAGGCAUCACGUCCGAGACAAGUAGACCGAUACUUUCUGCAUCUACUACUAUUACUCCACACAUUGACCGCUAUCCAGCAUGCAUCUAGUUUAUUGAGUUCAUGAAGAACAGAGUAACGCCUUAAGCAAGAUGACAUGAUGUAGAGGGAUAAUCUCAAACCAAUGAUGAAACCCCCAUCUUUUUACCCUUAAUGGCAACAACACGAUACAUGCCUCGCUACCCCUUCUGUCACUGGGUGAGGUCACCGCACGAGGUCACCACACGAUAUGAACCCAAAACCAAGCACUUCUCCCAUUGCAAGAAUCAUAGAUCUAGUUGGCCAAACAAAACCCACAACUCGAAGAGAAUUACAAGGAUAUGAAAUCAUGCAUAAGAGAGAUCAGAAGAAACUCAAAUAAGAUCCAUAGAUAAUCUGAUCAUAAAUCCACAAUUCAUCGGAUCUCGACAAACACACCGCAAAAUAAGAUUACAUCGGAUAGAUCUCCAUGAAGAUCAUGGAGAACUUUGUAUUGAAGAUCCAAGAGAGAGAAGAAGCCAUUUAGUUACUAGCUAUGGACCCGUAGGUCUAUGGUGAACUACUCACGCAUCAUCAGAGAGGUCAUGGUGUUGAUGGAGAAGCCCUCCGUGUCCGAAUCCCAUCUGCGGUAGGGCACCAGGACGUGCCCCAGAUGGGAUCUUGCGGCAACAGAAGCUUGCGGCGGCGGAAAAGUGAUUACGAUGAUCUCCUGAUUUUUUCUGGAAUUUAUGGGAAUAUAUAGGCGAAAGUCCUAGGGAAAAGGGCUUCCAGGGGGCCCACAAGCCUGGAUGGCGCGGCCCCCUGGCCGCGGGGUGGGGGCUUGUGGGGCCCCUGGGGCUCUUCUGCCUUGGCUCCCAACUUCCCCGAUCUUCUUCCAUUUCAAAAAAAAUCUUUUCGGGGAUUUUCUUCCGUUUGGACUCCGUUUCAAAAUCUCCUCUGAAAGGGGUCAAAAACAUGGAAAAAACAGGAACUGGCACUUGGCACUGAGUUAAUAAGUUACUCCCAAAAUAUAUAUAAAAGGCAUGCAAAACAUCCAAAGUUUGACAAGAUAUUAGCAUGAAACCAUCAAAAAUUACAGAUACGUUGGAGUCGUAUCACCGGAUCCUCAUUAGGACUUACGAAAAAAUAACUUCUUUCAUCACAAGAUUUAGCAAUGCAGCAUUAAUAUCAUAAAAUUCCAUACUAGUGGCGGGUGGUAUGGGAGUACUAAUAAAAUCAUUAUUAUUAUUAUUAAAGAAGUCACACAACUUAGUGUUGUCUUGAGACAUGGUGACCAACAAAGCAAAGUAAUAAGCGAAGCAAGUACACUAGCAAGUAUAGCAAGCAAACAAGUAAACUAUCAAAGGAAAAAAAAUUGAUUUUUUGAUUUUUAUAGCAAGGAAAAUAUAACAGAAAUAAAAAGUAGAACAAGUGAAUCAUAAUUUGUGAGAAGGUACUUGAUAGGAAAUUGGUCAUACUCCCCGGCAACGACGCCAGAAAUCCUUCCUGAUACUUGUGAUCUACGUUGGAUUUUUAUCAAAGAGGAGGGGAUGAUGCAGGAUCAUAGAGGUAAGUAUUCCUCUCACUGAGAACCAAGGUUAUCGAACCAAUACGAGGACCGUGCAAUUUCCCAUCUUCAGCGCCUACACAAAGAGGGUUGUCAAUCCCCUUGAACUCGCUACUUGCAAGAGAUAAAUAGUGAUAAAUAGAUAAUUUAAAUAUAUUAAAUAUAAAAAGUAAGUACAAAUAAUAAAAGGCAUCAAGGUAUUUAGAGUUUUUGUACAUAUAUUUAUGAGUAGACUCGGGGGGCCAUAGUUUUCGCUAGAGGCUUCUCGCUCGUAGAAAGCAUACAGUGGGUAAACAAAUUACUAUUGGGCAAUUGAUAGAAUAGUGCAUAGUCAUGCAAUAUUUAUUCGUGGCAAUGAUAAUUACAUAUAGGCAUCAUGUCCUUAAACAAGUAGAAUGACUCCUGCCUACAUCUACUACUAUUUCUCCACCCAUCGACUGUUAUCCAGCAUGCAUCUAGAGUAUUAAGUGAAAACAGAGUAAUGCUUGGAGGAUGAUGACAUGAUGUAGACAAAGUAAAUACAAUUAAUAUGAAUGAACACCAUUUGUUUACCCUAAGUGGCAGCAAUACAAUGCGUGUCAUGUCCCUUUCUAUUACCAGGAUUGAGCACCGCAUGAUUGAACCCACUACAAGGCACCUCUCCGGUUGAGGAUGAGUCAGUCUAGUUGGCUAAACCAAAUUAAUAGAUUGGAGAUAAUUACGAAGCUAUCACAAUCAUCAAUAUAAUAAUUCGGAGAAGACUCAAACAUUAUUCAUGAAUUAUGUAAACAUAAACCCAAAAGUCAUCGUAUCCCAACAAAGUCACCGCACAUAAGUGAUUACAUAAGAUAGAUCACCGCGGGAAUCACGGUGACCCUCUAUACCACAAAGUUCACAAGUAAAAGGAUAAAGGUCACACAAUUCUCUAGCAAUUUCAUUUAAAUCUCUAACCCAAGUGAUUGUUCUUUCAUGCUUAUGUUGCUUACAAUACUUCUCUUCUUCAAUCAUAGGCCUUUCAGAAGGUCUAUCCAUUCCACAAAAUUAACAUGCUUAUAUAAAACUUCAUUUUCAGGAAUUGGAUCAUGCAUGUUGCAAUUAUCAUUAACAAUUUCAUUUUCUUUGCAAAUAUUUUUAAAAGGUUCAUGAUGCUUGAUCCAAUUCUCCUUACGCAUAUUAAGAUGUGAAGCAAUAGAUUUGAGAAAAAUCAACAAGGAGGUGAGAAUCAAGCCCAAACUUAGCACUAAACUUAUUAAAACUUGCAGUUUCAACAAAGGUCUUAAUGCAAUCAUACUCAUAAUUUAUACCUCACUCUUUACCUUUGUUGAUCUCCCAUUCUUCAGUAUUGCGUUGAAUUCUUUCAAGGAGUUCCCAUUUAGCAUCAAUCCUUUUGUUUGUGAAAGAACACAUAGAGGAAGCAUCGAGCCAGUUGAUACGUCUCCAACGUAUCUAUACUUUUUGACUGUUCCAUGUUAUUAUAUUAUCAACUUGGGAUGUCUUAUAUGCAUUUAUAUGACAUUUUAUAUCAUUUCUGGGACUAACCUAUUAACUCAGUGCCCAGUGCCAGUUUCUGUUUUUUCCGUGUUUUUGACCUUUUUCAGAUAAGAAUAUUAAACGGAGUCCAAACGGAAUAAAACCUGCGGGAUGAUUUUUUCCAUAACAGAAGAUACCCAGAAGACUUGAGAACCAAGGCAGGGGGUCUCGUGGGAGGUCACGAGCCCCCUAGGUGCUCCCUAGGGGGGCGCCUAGCAGGCUCGUGGGCCCCCCUUGCCUCCUUUGCCCUACCUCUUUCGCCUAUAAAUUCCCUAAAAUCCUGAAACCAACAGAGAGAGCCACGAAAAUACUUUUCCGCCACCGCAAGCUUCUGUUUCCGCGAGAUCCCAUCUCGGGACCGUUUUGGUGCCCUGCCGGAGGGGGAUUCGGACACAGAGGGCUUCUUCAUCAACACCAUUGCCUCUCCGAUGAUGCGUGAGUAGUUCACCACAGACCUUCGGGUCCAUAGCUAGUAGCUAGAUGGCUUCUUCUCUCUCUUGGAUCUUCAAUACAAAGUUCUCCAUGAUCUUCGUGGAGAUCUAUCUGAUGUAACUUUCUUUUGCGGUGUGUUUGUCGAGAUCCGAUGAAUUGUGGAUUUAUGAUCAGAUUAUCUAUGAAUAUUAUUUGAGUCUCCUGUGAUUUCUUAUAUGCAUGAUUUUGUAUCCUUGUAAUUCUCUUCGAGUUAUGGGUUUCGUUUGGCUAACUUGACCUAUAAUUCUUGCAAUGGUAGAAGUGCUUGGUUUUGGGUUCAUACCGUGCGAUGUCCUCACCUAGUGACAGAAGGGGUAGCAAGGUGAUAACCCACAAGUAUAGGGGAUCGCAACAGUUUUCGAGGGUAGAGUAUUCAACCCAAAUUUAUUGAUUCGACUCAAGGGGAAGCCAAAGAAUAUUCUCAAGUAUUAGCAAUUGAGUUGUCAAUUCAACCACACCUGAAAGAUUUAGUAUCUGCAGCAAAGUAUCAGUAGCAAGGUAGUAUGAUAGCAACACUAGCAACUGUAACCAGUAGCAGCAAAGUAACAGCAGUAGCAACAGAGUAAUAGCAGCAGUAGUGACAGCAGUAGCAGCAAAGUAACGUAGCAAGGACCAGUAGGAAAAGACUCGUAGGCAUUGGAUCGGUGAUGGAUGAUUAUGCCGGAUGCUAUUCAUCAUGCAACAGUUAUAACAUGUAGUUAUACGUGCUUAGGGAAAAGAACUUGCAUGACAUCUAUUGUCCAUCCCUCUCGUGGCAGCGGGGUCCUAAUGGAAACUACGGGAUAUUAAGGUUCUCCUUUUAAUAAAAAACUGGACCAACGCAUUAACACUUGGUGAAUACAUGAACUCCUCAUACUAUGGUCAUCUCCGGGAGUGGUUCCGGCUAUUGUCAAUCCGGGGUUGCCGGGUCAUAACACAUAGUAGGUGACUACAACUUGCAAGAUAGGAUCAAGAACACACAUAUAUUGACGACAACAUAAAAGGUUGAGAUCUGAAAUCAUGGCACUCGGGCCCUAGUGACAAGCAUUAAGCAUGGCAAAGUAGUAGCAACAUCAAUCUCAGAACAUAGUGGAUACUAGGGAUCAAUCCCCGUCAAAACUAACUCGAUUACAUGAUAGAUCUCAUCCAACCCAUCACCGUCCAGCAAGCCUACGAUGUGAUUACUCAUGAACGGUGAAGAGCAUCAUGGAAUUGGCGAUGAAGGAAGGUUGAUGAUGACGAUGGCGACGAUCUCCCCUCUCCGAAGCACAUAAUGGACUCCAGAUCUGCCCUCCAGAUGAAGAAUAGGAGGUGGCGUCGCCUCCGUAUCGUAAAACGCGAUGGACUCUUCUCCUUGAUUUUUUUCUGGACGAAAGAGGAUAAAUAGAGCUGGAUUUGGAGGCGGUGGAGCUUUGUGGGCCCCACAAGCCUGCCAGGCGGGGCUAGGGGGCCCACGCAUGGUGGGCUUGUGGGCUCACGGCUCCACUUCCUCCGUUGAUUCUUGCGCUAGUAUUUUUCAUAAAUACCAGAAAAAUUCUCCGUAAAUUUUCAGGUCAUUCCGAGAACUUUUAUUUCUGCGCAAAAACUACACCAUGGCAAUUCUGCUGAAAACAGCGUUAGUCCGAGUUAGUUCCAUUCUGAUCAUGCAAAUUAGAGUCCAAAAACAAGGGGAAAAAAGAGUUCGGAAAAGUGAUACGAUGGAGACGUAUCACAAGGCACGCAKGGUSUAGGUUGCCAUCAAGGGUAAAAAGAUGGGGUUUAUAUCAUAUUGCAUGAAUUUAUCCCUCUACAGCAUGUCAUCUUGCUUAAGGCGUUACUCUGUUUGUUAUGAACUUAAUACAUAGAUUGCAUGNUGAUGCGUNNNNNNNNNNNNNNNNNNNNNNNNNNNNNNNNNNNNNNNNNNNNNNNNNNNNNNNNNNNNNNNNNNNNNNNNNNNNNNNNNNNNNNNNNNNNNNNNNNNNCUCCUUAGGUUCCAUUAGAACGCNUUUGAGUCCAUUGCCAAAUUUCAUAAUCAUAAAAGGCGGCAAUUWGCUAMCAUGAUUCAGACUUAUUUCAGCUUCGCUACGGGAGAGAAAGUCUCUUCAUAGUCAAUUCCUUGAAUUUGUUGAAAACCCUGUGCGACAAGUCGAGCUUUAUAAACGGUUACAUUACCGUUUGCAUCAGUCUUUUUCUUGAAGAUCCAUUUAUUUUCUAUGGCUCGCCAGUCAUCGGGCAAGUCCACCAAAGUCCAUACUUUGUUCUCAUACAUGGAUCCUAUCUCGGAUUUCAUAACUUCAAGCCAUUUGUUGUAAUCCGGGCCCGCCAUCGCUUCUUCAUAGUUUGAAGGUUCACCGUUGUCUAACAAGAUGAUUUCCAUCACAGGGUUGCCGUACCACUCUGGUGCGGAGCGUGCCCUUGUGGACCUUCACGGUUCAGUAGUAACUUGAUCCGAAGCUUCAUGAUCAUUAUCAUUAACUUCUGCUUCAGUUGGUGCAGGCGCCACAGAAACAACUUCCCGCGCUGUGCUACUUUCCUGUUCGAGAGGGGGUGUAAUUACCUCAUCAAGUUCUACCUUCCUCCCACUUACUGCUUUCGAAAGAAACUCUUUCUCUAGAAAGGAUCCGUUCUUGGCAACAAAGGUUUUACCUUCGGAUCUAAGAUAGAAGGUAUACCCAAUAGUUUCCUUAGGGUAUCCUAUGAAUACGCAUUUCUCCGCUUUGGGUUCAAGCUUUUCUGGUUGAAGUUUCUUCACAUAAGCAUCGCAGCCCCAAACUUUAAGAAACGACAACUUAGGUUUCUUGCCAAACCAUAGUUCAUACGGUGUCGUCUCAACGGAUUUAGACGGUGCCCUAUUUAAAGUGAAUGCUGUAGUUUCUAAUGCGUAUCCCCAAAAUGAUAACGGUAAGUCGGUAAGAUACAUCAUAGAUCGUACCAUAUCUAAUAAAGUGCGAUUACGACGUUCAGACACUCCCUUGCGUUGCGGUGUGCCAGGCGGUGUCAGUUGUGAAACGAUUCCACACUUCCUUAGGUGUGUGCCAAACUCGUGACUCAAAUAUUCUCCUCCACGAUCAGAUCGUAGACACUUAAUUUUUCUGUCACAUUGAUUCUCGACCUCACUCUGAAAUUCCUUGAACUUUUUGAAUGUCUCAGAUUUGUGCUUCAUCAAGUAGAUAUACCCAUACCUACUCAAAUCGUCGGUGAGAGUGAGAACAUAACGAUAGCCACCGCGAGCUUCAACGUUCAUUGGACCACACACAUCAGUAUGUAUUAUUUCCAAUAAGUCGGUUGCUCUCUCCGUUAUUCCUGAGAACGGAGUCUUAGUAAUCUUGCCCAUGAGGCACGAUUCGCAUGUGCCAAAUGAUUCAAAGUCAAGAGACUCUAAUAGUCCAUCAGUAUGGAGCUUCUUCAUGCGCUUGACACCGAUAUGACCAAGGUGGCAGUGCCACAAGUAUGUGGGACUAUCAUUAUCAACUUUACAUCUUUUGGUACUCACACUAUAAAUAUGUGUGACAUCACGAUCGAGAUUCCUCAAGAAUAAACCAUUCACCAGCGGAGCAUGACCAUAAAACAUAUCACUCAUAUAAAUAAAACAACCAUUAUUCUCUGACUUAAAUGAGUAGCCGUCUUGCAUUAAGCAAGACCCUGAUACAAUAUUCAUGCUCAAAGCUGGUACUAAAUAACAAUUAUUAAGGUUUAAAACUAAUCCCGACGGUAGAUGUAGAGGUAGCGUGCCGACGGCGAUCACAUCGACCUUGGAGCCUUUCCCGACGCGCAUCGUCACCUCGUCCUUGGCCAGUCUCCGCUUAUUCCACAGUUCCCGCUUUGAGUUGCAAAUGUGAGCAACAACACCGGUAUCAAAUACCCAGGAGCUACUACGAGCGCUGGUAAGGUACACAUCAAUAACAUGUAUAUCACAUAUACCUUUAACGUUGCCGAUCUUCUUGUCCGCUAAGUAUUUGGGGCAGUUCCGCUUCCAGUGACCCUUUCCCUUGCAAUAGAAGCACUCAGUCUCAGGCUUGGGUCCAUUCCUUUUCUUCUUCCCGGCAUCUGGCUUACCAGGCGCGGCAACGGCUUUGCCGUCUUUCUUGAAGUUCUUUUUAUCCUUGCCCUUCUUGAAACUAGUGGUCUUGUUGACCAUCAACACUUGAUGCUCUUUCUUGAUUUCUACUUCUGUAGACUUGAGCAUCGAGUACAACUCGGGAAUGGUCUUCUCCAUGCCUUGCAUGUUGUAAUUUAGCACAAAACCUUUGUAGCUUGGUGGGAGAGACUGGAGGAUUCUGUCAAUUAUAGCAUCAUCCGGAAGUUCGACUCCAAGUGAAGUCAGAUGACCGUGUAACCCAAACAUUUUGAGUAUGUGCUCACUGACAGAACUGAUCUCCUCCAUCUUACAGCUAAAGAACUUGUCGGAGACUUCAUAUCUCUCGACACGGGCAUGAGCUUGAAAAACUAGCUUCAGCUCUUGGAACAUCUCAUAUGCACCGUGUUGCCCAAAACGCCUUUGGAGCCUCGUUUCUAAACUAUAUAACAUGCCACACCUAACCAGAGAGUAGUCAUGACUCCGCGUUUGCGAGACGUUCAGAAUGUCCUGGGCUGCUGUGGGAGUGGGAGGGUCACCUAGCGGCGGAUCAAGGACAUAAGCCUUUUUAGCUGCUUCAAGGAUGAGCUUCAAGUUGCGAACCCAGUCCGCAUAGUUGCUCCCAUCAUCUUUCAGCUUGUUUUUCUCUAGGAAUGCGUUGAAAUUGAGGUUGACGUUGGCCAUCUACAAUAUUUAUAAAGACAACUUUUAGACUAAGUUCAUGACAAUUAAGUUCAUUUAAUCAAAUUAAGCAUGAACUCCCACUUAAAUCGGCAUCCCUCUAGUCAUCUAAGUGAUACAUGAUCCAUGUUGACUAACCCGUGUCCGAUCAUCACGUGAGACGGACUAGUCACCAUGGUGAGCAACUUCAUGCUGAUCGUAUUCAACCAUACGACUCAUGUCUGACCUUUCGGUCUCUUGUAUUCAAGGUCAUGUCCGUACAUGCUAAGCUCGUCGAGUCAACCUAGGUGUUUCGCGUGUGUAAAUCUUGCUUACACCCGUUGUAUGCGAACGCUAGAAUCUAUCACUCCCGAUCAUCACGUGGUGCUUCGAGACAACGAUCCUUCGCAACCGUGCACACUUAGGGGAAUACUUUCUCGAAAUUUUAAGAGGGAUCAUCUUAUUAUGCUACCGUCGUUCUAAGCAAUAAGAUGAAAAACAUGAUAAACAUCACAAUGCAAUCAUAUAGUGACAUGAUAUGGCCAUUAUCAUCUUUGCCCUUUCGAUCUCCAUCUUCAGGCAUCGCAUGAUCAUCAUCGUCACCGGCGUGACACCAUGAUCUCCAUCAUCGUGUCUUCGUGAAGUCGUCACGCCAACUACUACUAUCACUACUACUAUAGCUAACCGUUAGCAAUGAAGUAAAAGUAGUAAGCACAUGGCGUUGCAUCUCAUACAAUAAAUUAAGACAACUCCUAUGGCUCCUGCCGGUUGUCAUACUCAUCGACAUGCAAGUCGUGAAACCUAUUAUAAUAACAUGAUCAUCUCAUACAUCAUACAUGCAACAUCACAACUUUGGCCAUAUCACAUCACAUGUCAAACCCUGCAAAAACAAGUUAGACGUCCUCUAAUUGUUGUUGGAAAUUUUACUUGGCUGAUUUGGGUUUCUAGCAAGAACGCCUUCUUACCUACGUGAAAGCCACAAUGAUGAUAUGCCAGAGCUAUUUACCCUUCAUAAGGACCCUUUUCAUCAAAUCCAAUCCGACUAGAGUAGGAGAGACAGACACCCGCUAGCCACCUUUAUGCACGGUGUGCAUGUCUGUCGGUGAAACCAGUCUCACGUAAGCGUACGUGUAAAGUCGGUCCGGGCCGCUUCAUCCCACAAUACCAUCGGAAAAGAAUAAGACUAGUAGCGGCAAGCAAAUUGACAAAUCAUCGCCCACAACUUUUGUGUUCUACUCGUGCAUAGAAUCUACACAUAGAAAACCUGGCUCGGAUGCCACUGUUGGGUAACGUAGCAUAAAUUCAAAAUUUUCCUACGCAUAUUCAGAUCUUCCUAUGGAGAGACCAGCAACGAGAGAGGGGUAAGAGCAUCUUUAUACCUUUGAAGAUCGCUAAGCGGAAGCGUUGCUAGAACGCGGUUGAUGGAGUCGUACUCGCAGCGAUUCCGAUCUAGUGCCGAACUACGGCACCUCCGCGUUCAACAUACGUGCAGCCCGGUGAGGUCUCCCGCACCUUGAUCCAGCAAGGAGGAGGGAGAGGUUGGGGAAGAGCUCUAGCACCACGACGGCGUGGUGUCGAUGGAGAGAUGAGGUCUCCCGGCAGGGCUUCGCCAAGUACCGGAGAGAGGAGGAGGAAGAAGGGCAGGGCUGCGUCGAGGGAGAGGGAGAAGUCUAUCUUCCAAUGGCCAAAAUUGCCCGCUAUAUAUAGGGGAAGGGAGGGGCUGCACCCCCUUGAGGGUUUCCCCCUCCGUGGGGGGGGGGGGGCGGGCAGCCCGAGAUGGGGAUGGUGUUGGAAUUAUGCCCUAGAGGCAAUAAUAAAUAUAGUUGUUAUUAUAAUUCAUGUAUCAAGAUAAUCGUUUAUUAUCCAUGCUAUAAUUGUAUUGAAUGAAGACUUAUAUACAUGUGUGGAUACAUAAACAGAACACUAUCCCUAGCAAGCCUCUAGUUGGCUAGCCAGUUGAUCAAAGAUAGUCAUGGUCUUCUGAUUAUAUACAAAGGUGUUGUUGCGUGAUAACUGGAUCACGUCAUUAGAAGAAUCACGUGAUGGACUGGACCCGAACUAAUAGACGUAGCAUGUUGAUCGUGUCAUUUUGUUGCUACUGUUUUCUACGUGUCAAGUAUUUGUUCCUAUGACCAUGAGAUCAUAUAACUCACCGACACCGGAGGAAUGCUUUGUGUGUAUCAAACGUCGGAACGUAACUGGGUGACUAUAAAGAUGCUCUACAGGUAUCUCCGAAGGUGUUCGUUGAGUUAGUAUGGAUCGAGACUGAGAUUUGUCACUCCGUGUGACGGAGAGGUAUCUCGGGGCCCACUCGGUAAUACAACAUCACACACAAGCCUUGCAAGCAAUGUGACUUAAUGUAAGUUGCGGGAUCUUGUAUUACGGUACGAGUAAAGAGACUUGCCGGUAAACGAGAUUGAAAUAGGUAUGUGGAUACUAACGAUCGAAUCUCGGGCAAGUAACAUACCGAAGGACAAAGGGAAUGACAUACGGGAUUAUAUGAAUCCUUGGCAAUGAGGUUCAAACGGUAAGAUCUUCGUAGAAUAUGUGGGAUACAAUAUGGGCAUCCAGGUCCCGCUAUUGGAUAUUGACCGAGGAGACACUCGGGUCAUGUCUACAUAGUUCUCGAACCCGCAGGGUCUGCACACUUAAGGUUUGACAUUGUUUUAUGCGUAUUUGAGUUAUAUGGUUGGUUACCGAAUGGGUUUCGGGUGUUCACCGGGGGGCAACCCACCCCGGGGAAGCCCAUAGGCCUUGUGGGUGGCGCACCAGCCCUUGGUGGGCUGGUGGGAUAGCCCAAGAAGGUCCUAUGCGCCAAGGAUAGAAAAUCAAAGAUAAAGAAAAAAAAAGGAGGUGGGAAAGGAGAGAAGGACUCCACUUUCCAAUCCUAGUUGGACUAGGAUUGGAGGAGGACUCCUCCUCCCUUGGUGGCGCAGCCCUUGGGGCUCCUUGAGCCUCAAGGCAAGCCUCCCCUCCCUCCUCCUAUAUAUAUGGAGCAAUUAGGGCUGAUUUGAGACAACUUUUCCAAGGCAGCCCGACCACAUAACUCCAUGGUUUUACCUCUAGAUCGCGUCUCUGCGGAGCUCGGGCGGAGCCCUGCCGAGAUUAGAUCAUCACCAACCUCUGGAGCGUCGUCACGCUGCUGGAGAACUCAUCUACCUCUCCGUCUCUCUUGCUAGAUCAAGAAGGCCGAGAUCAUCGUCGAGCUGUACGUGUGCUGAACGCGGAGGUGCUGUCCGUUCGCCACUAGAUCGUGGGACGGUUCGCGGGGCGGAUCGAGGGACGUGAGGACGUUCCACUACAUCAACCGCGUUCACUAACGCUUCUGCUGUGCGAUCUACAAGGGUACGUAGAUCGGAAAUCCCCUCUCGUAGAUGGACAUCACCAUGAUAGGUCUUCAUGCGCGUAGGAAAAUUUUUGUUUCCCAUGCAACGUUCCUUAACAGAUGGUGCGGCGGCCCAAGGGGGGGAGGAGGGGUGUGGCCGCACCCCUGGUGGGCCUUAGGSCCACCUGGCUUAGGGGUUUCCCCCCCUUUUCUCUCCCCUGCGCAUUGGGCUGAGCGGGGAGGCGCACCAGGCCACCUAGGGGCUGGUUCCCUCCCCUACUUGGCCCAUCUUACCUCCCGGGGUCGUUGCCCCCCUUCGGUUGGACCCCCGGGGCCACCUCCGGUGGUCCCGGUGGUCCCGGUACGUUACCGGUGAUGCCCGAAACAUUUCCGGUGUCCGAAACCAUCCGNNNNNNNNNNNNNNNNNNNNNNNNNNNNNNNNNNNNNNNNNNNNNNNNNNNNNNNNNNNNNNNNNNNNNNNNNNNNNNNNNNNNNNNNNNNNNNNNNNNNAAAGAUACCCAGAAGACUUGAGAACCAAGGCAGGGGGUCUCGUGGGAGGUCACGAGCCCCCUAGGUGCUCCCUAGGGGGGCGCCUAGCAGGCUCGUGACCUUUCUUCAGUUUUUUCAAUCUUUCUUUCAGGCCAACAUUUUCUUGUUCAACUAAGUGUAACUUCUCAAUAAUAGGGUCGAUUGGCAUUUCCGGUUCCACUAUCUCCUAGAUAAAAAUAUCUAUGUCAAGUUGGUCGGCGUAAUUAAUUGUCAUAUAAUCAGGAAAUGAAAAUAUGUAGUUAUAAAAGAUAAUAUACCACAUCCGAAUCAUAGACUGGACAAGGGCCAACGGGGACGGAUAUCAAAACCAUGGCGCUAUACAUAUAAAAAAAAUCUUACACAGUAAGAAAAUUAUAUACAAGUAAAUAUGUAAAUCAUACAAAUCAAAAUUUGUUUUGGUAAAUAAAAACAAUAGGCUCACCAAGGUUGUGUCGGUGACGGGGCGAUCGACGGCGGUGAGGAAGGGGACAAGGCGCGCGACACUAAAAAAACACAAAUCAUAAUUAAAUUUGAGCUCAAAUUGCAUAUGUAUACAUAACAAAUGAUGAACUCUCUCUAGCUUAGGCAUUUCAUCAAACACCUAGCUAGCAUAACAAAAAUGGAAUGAGCAAGAAAACGAGCAAAACUUGCAAUGCCGGAAGAGGGAAUGUUGAUGCUAACCGUAGGACCGAUGGGUGCCAACAAUCUUGACAAAUGGUGGAGAAAAAUGGGGAUGGAUUAGAGCUCCCAAGAGGAAGGAGCGAGCAAAAAUGGAGUUGAGCUCGAGCUGGAAAAAAUGGAGCUGAGCUCGGGGUGGAAUAUAGGGGAGGGCUUUAGGACCGGUUUGUGUUAAAAACCGGUGCUAAAGGGUCUGAUAGCGGGGCCCCGCAGUUGCUGCAAAAAUGAGAAACCUUGCACCGGUUUGUGAUACAAACCGGUUCUAAAGGGUCUGUCCACGUSGGSCCCCCCUCCCUGCAGCAAANNNNNNNNNNNNNNNNNNNNNNNNNNNNNNNNNNNNNNNNNNNNNNNNNNNNNNNNNNNNNNNNNNNNNNNNNNNNNNNNNNNNNNNNNNNNNNNNNNNNAGUCUCCGCUUAUUCCGCAUUUCCUGCUUUGAGUUGCAAAUGUGAGCAACAACACCGGUAUCAAAUACCCAGGAGCUACUACGAGCGCUGGUAAGGUACACAUCAAUAGCAUGUAUAUCACAUAUACCUUUAACAUUGCCGGCCUUCUUGUCCGCUAAGUAUUUGGGGCAGUUCCGCUUCCAGUGACCUUUUCCCUGKCAAUAGAAGCACUCAGUCUCAGGCUUUGGUCCAUUCUUUUACUUCUUCCUGGCAUCUGGCUUACCGGGCGCGGCAACAACUUUGCCGUCUUUCUUGAAGUUCUUCUUACCCUUCCCCUUCUUGAAACUAGUGGUCUUGUUGACCAUCAACACUUGAUGCUCUUUCUUGAUUUCUACUUCUGCAGACUUGAGCAUCGAGUACAACUCGGGAAUGGUCUUCUCCAUCCCUUGCAUGUUGUAGUUAAGCACAAAGCCUUUGUAGCUUGGUGGGAGAGACUGGAGGAUUCUGUCAAUUAUAGCAUCAUACGGAAGUUCGACUCCAAGUGAAGUCAGACGACAGUGCAACCCAGACAUUUUGAGUAUGUGCUCACUGACAGAACUGUUCUCCUCCAUCUUACAGCUAAAGAACUUGUCGGAGACUUCAUAUCUCUCGACACGGGCAUGAGCUUGAAAAACUAGCUUCUGCUCCUGGAACAUCUUAUAUGCUCCGUGUUGCUCAAAACGCCUUUGGAGCCCCGUUUCUAAACUGUAUAACAUGCCACACCUAACCAGAGAGUAGUCAUGACUCCGCGUUUGCCAGAUGUUCAGAAUGUCCUGGGCUGCUACGGGAGCGGGAGGGUCACCUAGCGACGCAUCAAGGACAUAAGCCUUUUUAGCUGCUUCAAGGAUGAGCUUCAAGGUGCGAACCCAGUCCGCAUAGUUGCAACCAUCAUCUUUGAGCUUGUUUUUCUCUAGGAAUGUGUUGAAAUUGAGGUUGACGUUGGCCAUCUACAAUAUUUAUAAAGACAACUUUUAGACUAUGUUCAUGACAAUUAAGUUCAUUUAAUCAAAUUAAGUAUGAACUCCCACUUAAAUCGACAUCCCCCUAGUCAUCUAAGUGAUACAUGAUCCAUGUUGACUAACCCGUGUCCGAUCAUCACGUGAGACGGACUAGUCACCAUGGUGAGCAACUUCAUGCUGAUCGUAUUCAACCAUACGACUCAUGUUCGACCUUUCGGUCUCUUGUAUUCGAGGUCAUGUCUGUACAUGCUAAGCUCGUCGAGUCAACCUAGGUGUUUCGCGUGUGUAAAUCUGGCUUACGCCCGUUGUAUGCGAACGUUAGAAUCUAUCACACCCGAUCAUCACGUGGUGCUUCGAGCAACGAACCUUCGCAACGGUGCACACUUAGGGGAAUACGUUCUCGAAAUUUUAAGAGGGAUCAUCUUAUUAUUCUACCGUCGUUCUAAGCAAUAAGAUGAAAAACAUGAUAAACAUCACAAUGCAAUCAUAUAGUGACAUGAUAUGGCCAUUAUCAUCUUUGCCCUUUCGAUCUCCAUCUUCAGGCAUCGCAUGAUCAUCAUCGUCACCGGCGUGACACCAUGAUCUCCAUCAUCGUGUCUUCGUGAAGUCGUCACGCCAACUACUACUAUCACUACUACUAUAGCUAACCGUUAGCAAUGAAGUAAAAGUAGUAAGCACAUGGCGUUGCAUCUCAUACAAUAAAUUAAGACAACUCCUAUGGCUCCUGCCGGUUGUCAUACUCAUCGACAUGCAAGUCGUGAAAUCUAUUGCAAUAACAUGAUCAUCUCAUACAUCAUACAUGCAACAUCACAACUUUGGCCAUAUCAGAUCACAUGUAAAACCCUGCAAAAACAAGUUAGACGUCCUCUAACUGUUGUUGCAAGUUUUACGUGGCUGAUUUGGGUUUCUAGCAAGAACGCCUUCUUACCUACGUGACAGCCACAAUGAUAAUAUGCCAAAGCUAUUUACCCUUCGUAAGGACCCUUUUCAUCAAAUCCAAUCCGACUAGAGUGGGAGAGACAGACACCCGCUAGCACCUUUAUGCACGGUGUGCAUGUCUGUCGGUGGAACCAGUCUCACGUAAGCGUACGUGUAAUGUCGGUCCGGGCCGCUUCAUCCCACAAUACCGCCGGAAUAGAAUAAGACUAGUAGCGGCAAGCAAUUGACAAUUCAUCGCCCAGAACCUUUUGUGUUCUACUCGUGCAUAGAAUCUACGCAUAGAAAACCUGGCUCGGAUGCCACUGUUGGGUAUCGUAGCAUAAAUUCAAAACAUUUCCUACGCAUAUUUAGAUCUUCCUAUGGAGAGACCAGCAACGAGAGAGGGGUGAGUGCAUAUUCAUACCCUUGAAGAUCGCUAGGCGGAAGCGUUGCUAGAACGCUGUUGAUGGAGUCGUACUCGCGGGGAUUCAGAUCGCGGUGUGAUUCCGAUCUAGUGCCGAACUACGGCACCUCCGUGUUCAACACACGUGCAGCCCGGUGACGUCUCCCGCACCUUGAUCCAGCAAGGAGGAGGGAGAGGUUGGAGAAGAUCUCCGAUAGCACGACGGCAUGGUGUCGAUGGAGAGACGAGGUCUCCCGGCAGGGCUUCGCCAAGCACCGGCAGAGAGGAGGAGAAAGAAGAGCACGGCUACGCCGAGGGAGAGGGAAAACUGUGUCCAAAACAGCCCCGAAACCCCUACUAUAUAUAGGAGGAGGGGAGGGGGUGCCACCCCUUGGGUUCCCACCCUAGGUGGUCCGGCAGCCCCCACAGAUGGGAGGUGCGGUGGCCAGGGCAAGGGGAGGGGGUGGCGCACCCCUAGGUGGGCCUUAGGCCCACCAGCGCCUAGGGUUUCCCCCCUCUCCAGCUCCUGCGCCUUGGGCUGAGUGUGGGGGGCGCACCAGCCCACCUAAGAGCUGGUUCCCUCCCGCACUUGGCCCAUCUAGCCUCCCGGGGUCGUUUCCCCCUUCCGGUGGUCCCGGUACGUUACCGGUGACGCCCGAAACACUUCCGGUGUCCGAAACCAUCCGUCCUAUAUAUCAAUCUUUACCUCCAGACCAUUCCGGAGCUCCUCGUGACGUAUGGGAUCUCAUCCGGGACUCCAAACAACUUUCGAUAAACUCGUAUAACAAUUCCCUAUAACCCUAGCGUCAUCGAACCUUAAGUGUGUAGACCCUACGGGUUUGGGAGACAGGCAGACAUGACCGAGACACCUCUCCGGGCAAUAACCAUCAGCGGGGUCUGGAUACCCAAGGUGGCUCGCACUUGCUCCACGCUGAUCUCAUCGGAUGAACCACGAUGUCAAGGAUUCAAUCAAUCCCGUAUACAAUUCCCUUUGUCUGUCGGUAUAGAACUUGCCCGAGAUUCGAUCGUCGGUAUACCUAUACCUUGUUCAAUCUCGUUACAGGUAAGUCUCUUUACUCGUUCCAUAGCACGUCAUUGUAUGAAUAACUCCUUAGUCAUAUUGAGCUCAUGAUGAUGUUCUACGAGUGGGCCAGAGAUACCUCUCCGUGACACGGAGUGACAAAUCCCGAUCUCGAUUCGUACCAACCCAACAGACACUUUCAGAGGUACCCAUAGUGCACCUUUAUAAUCACCCAGUUACGUUGUGACGUUUGAUACACCCAAAGCACUCCUACGGUAUCCGGGAGUUGCACAAUCUCACGGUCGAAGGAAAAGAUACUUGACAUUAGAAAAGCUUUAGCAUACGAACAAUACGAUCUAGUGCUAUGCUUAUGAUUGGGUCUUGUCCAUCACAUCAUUCUCCCAAUGACGUGAUCCCGUUAUCAAUGACAUCUAAUGCCCAUGAUCAGGAAACCAUGAUCAUCUGUUGACUAACGAGCUAGCCAACUAGAGGCUUGCUAGGGACACUUUGUGAUCUAUUUAUUCACACAUGUAUUACCGUUUCCUCUUAAUACAAUUAUAGAAUGAACUAUAGACGAUUAUCAUGAACAAAGAAAUAUGAUAAUAACCAUUUUAUUAUUGCCUCUAGGGCAUAUUUCCAACAGUCUCCCACUUGCACUAGAGUCAAUAAUCUAGUUACAUUGUGAUGUAUCGAACACCAUAGCAUUAUGGUGUUGAUCAUGUUUUGCUCGUGGAAGAGGUUUUGUCAACGGGUCUGCAAUAUUCAGAUCCGUGUGUACUUUACAAAUAUCUAUCACUCCACUCUGGACAUGGUCCUGGAUGGAGUUGUAGCGGCGUUUGAUCUGCUUCGUCUUCCGGUGAAACCUGGGCUCCUUGGCUAUGGCAAUGGUCCCAGUGUUAUCACAGAAGAGUGUCAUUGGACCCGACGCGCUUGGAACCACUCCAAGGUCGGUGAUGAGCUCCUUCAUCCAAAUUCCUUUAUGAGCCGCUUCUGAAGCAGCUAUGUACUCCGCUUCACAUGUAGAUGCUGCCAUGACUUCUUGCUUGCUGCUGCACCAGCUCACUGCCCCACCAUUCAACACAUAUACGUAUUCGGUCUGUGACUUAGAGUCAUCCGGAUCUGUGUCGAAGCUAGCGUCGACGUAACCCUUUACGAACGAGCUCUUCAUCACCUCCAUAAACGAGAAACAUUUCCUUAGUCCUUUUCAGGUCCUUAAGGAUAUUCUUGACCGAUGUCCAGUGUUCCAUACCGGGAUCACUUUGGUACCUCCCUACCAAGCCUAUGGCAAGGUUUAUAUCAGGUCUGGUACACACCAUGGCAUACAUUAGAGAGCCCACGGCUGAUGCGUAGGGGACAAAACUCAUCUUCUCUCUAUCUGCUGCCGUGGUCGGCGACUGAGUCUUAAUCAAUCUCAUACCUUGCAAAACUGGCAAGAACCCUUUCUUUGAGUUUUCCAUAUUGAACUUCUUCAAUAUCUUAUCAAGGUAUGUCCUUUGCGAAAGACCUAUGAGGCGUCUUGAUCUAUCUCUAUAGAUCUUGAUGCCUAAUAUGUAUGCAGCUUCUCCAAGGUCCUUCAUUGAAAAACUUUUGUUCAAAUAGGCCUUUAUGCUCUCCAACAUCUCCAUAUUAUUCCCCAUCAAUAAUAUGUCAUCCACAUACAGUAUGAGGAAAGCUACAGAGCUCCCACUCACUUUCUUGUACAGACAGGCUUCUCCGUAAUCCUGUAUGAACCCAAACGCUUUAAUCACCUCAUUAAAGCGAAUGUUCCAACUCCGAGAUUCUUGCACCAGCCCAUAGAUGGAGAGCUGGAGCUUGCACACUUUGUUAGCACCCUUAGGGUCGAUAAAACCUUCUGGUUGCAUCAUAUACAACUCUUCCUUGAGGUUCCCGUUAAGGAACGCUGUUUUGACGUCCAUUUGCCAAAUUUCAUAAUCAUAAAAGGCAGAAAUUGCGAACAUGAUUCGGACUGAUUUCAGCUUCGCUACGGGAGAGAAAGUCUCUUCGUAGUCAACUCCUUGAAUUUGUCGAAAACCCUUUGCGACAAGUCGAGCUUUAUAAACGGUUACAUUACCGUUUGCAUCAGUCUUCUUCUUGAAGAUCCAUUUAGUUUCUAUGGCUCGCCGGUCAUCGGGCAAGUCCACCAAAGUCCAUACUUUGUUCUCAUACAUGGAUCCUAUCUCGGAUUUCAUAGCCUCAAGCCAUUUGUUGGAAUCCGGGCCCGCCAUCGCUUCUUCAUAGUUCGAAGGUUCAACGUUGUCUAACAACAUGAUUUCCAUCACAGGGUUGUCGUACCACUCUGGUGCGGAGCGUGCCCUUGUGGACCUUCGCGGUUCAAUAGUAACUUGAUUCGAAGCUUCAUGAUCAUCAUCAUUAACUUCCUCUUCAGUUGGUGUAGGCGCCACAGGAACAACUUCCCGCGCUGCGCUACUAUCCUGUUCGAGAGGGGGUGUAAUUACCUCAUCAAGUUCUACCUUCCUCCCACUUACUUCUUUCGAGAGAAAUUCUUUCUCUAGAAAGGAUCCGUUCUUGGCAACAAAGGUUUUACCUUCGGAUCUAAGAUAGAAGGUAUACCCAAGAGUUUCCUUAGGGUAUCCUAUGAAUACGCAUUUCUCCGCUUUGGGUUCGAGCUUUUCUAGUUUAAGUUUCUUCACAGAAGCAUCGCAGCCCCAAACUUUAAGAAACGACAACUUAGGUUUCUUGGCAAACCAUAGUUCAUACGGUGUCGUCUCAACGGAUUUAGACGGUGCCCUAUUUAAAGUGAAUGCUGCAGUUUCUAAUGCGUAUCCCCAAAAUGAUAGCGGUAAGUCGGUAAGAGACAUCAUAGAUCGCACCAUAUCUAAUAAAGUGCGAUUACGACGUUCAGACACUCCGUUGCGUUACGGUGUGCCAGGCGGCGUCAGUUAUGAAACGAUUCCACACUUCCUUAGGUGUGUGCCAAACUCGUGACUCAAAUAUUCUCCUCCACGAUCAGAUCGUAGACAUUUAAUUUUUCUAUCACGUUGAUUCUCAACCUCACUCUGAAAUUCCUUGAACUUUUCAAACGUCUCAGAUUUGUGCUUCAUCAAGUAGAUAUACCCAUACCUACUCAAAUCAUCGGUGAGAGUGAGAACAUAACGAUAGCCACCGCGAGCUUCAACGUUCAUCGGACCACACACAUCAGUAUGUAUUAUUUCCAAUAAGUCGGUUGCUCUCUCCAUUAGUCCUGAGAAUGGAGUCUUAGUCAUCUUGCCCAUGAGGCACGGUUCGCAUGUGUCAAAUGAUUCAAAAUCAAGAGACUCUAAUACUCCAUCAGUAUGGAGCUUCUUCAUGCGCUUAACGCCGAUAUGACCAAGGCGGCAGUGCCACAAGUAUGUGGGACUAUCAUUAUCAACUUUACAUCUUCUGGUACUCAUACUAUGAAUAUGCGUAACAUCACGAUCGAUAUUAAUCAAGAAUUAACCAUUCACCAGCGGAGCAUGACCAUAAAACAUAUCACUCAUAUAAAUAGAACAACCAUUAUUCUCUGACUUAAAAGAGUAGCCAUCUCGCAUUAAGCAAGACCCUGAUACAAUGUUCAUGCUUAAAGCUGGUACUAAAUAAGAAUUAUUAAGGUUUAAGACUAAUCCCAACGGUAGAUGUAGAGGUAGCGUGCCGACGGCGAUCACAUCGACCUUUGAACCAUUCCCGACGCGCAUCGUCACCUCGUCCUUGGCCAGUCUCCGCUUAUUCCGCAUUUCCUGCUUUGAGUUGCAAAUGUGAGCAACAACACCGGUAUCAAAUACCCAGGAGCUACUACGAGCGCUGGUAAGGUACACAUCAAUAGCAUGUAUAUCACAUAUACCUUUAACAUUGCCGGCCUUCUUGUCCGCUAAGUAUUUGGGGCAGUUCCGCUUCCAGUGACCUUUUCCCUUGCAAUAGAAGCACUCAGUCUCAGGCUUUGGUCCAUUYCUUUUACUUCUUCCUGGCAUUCUGCGGUCUUACCGGGCGCGGCAACACUUGCCGUUCUUUUCUUGUAAGUUUCCGUUUACCUUUACCCCCUUUUCCCCCUUUCCGUUUACGUAAAACCGUUAAGGGUUUCGGGUUUACCGUUUGGUUUUACGGUAACCCNNNNNNNNNNNNNNNNNNNNNNNNNNNNNNNNNNNNNNNNNNNNNNNNNNNNNNNNNNNNNNNNNNNNNNNNNNNNNNNNNNNNNNNNNNNNNNNNNNNNUUCCUUGUUCAUGAUAAUCGUCUAUCGUUCAUGCUAUAAUUGUAUUAACAGGAAACAGUAAUACAUGUGUGAAUGAAUAGAUCACAAUGUGUCCCUAGCAAGCCUCUAGUUAGCUAGCUCGUUAGUCAAUAGAUUAUCAUGAUUUCCUGAUCAUGGACAUUGGAUGUCAUUGAUAACGGGAUCACAUCAUUGGGAGAAUGAUGUGGUGGACAAGACCCAAUCCUAAGCCUAGCACUAGAUCGUAUUGUUCGUAUGCUAAUGCUUUUCUAAUGUCAAGUAUCUUUUCCUUCGACCGUGAGAUUGUGCAACUCCCGGAUACCGUAGGAGUGCUUUGGGUGUAUCAAACGUCACAACGUAACUGGGUGACUAUAAAGGUGCACUACGGGUACCUCCGAAAGUGUCUGUUGGGUUGGCACGAAUCGAGAUCGGGAUUUGUCACUCCGUGUGACGGAGAGGUAUCUCUGGGCCCACUCGGUAGAACAUCAUCAUGAGCUCAAUGUGACUAAGGAGUUAGUCACACGAUGACGUGCUACGGAACGAGUAAAGAGACUUACCAGUAACGAGAUUGAACAAGGUAUAGGUAUACCGACGAUCGAAUCUCGGGCAAGUUCUAUACCGACAGACAAAGGGAAUCGUAUACGGGAUUGAUUGAAUCCUUGACAUCGUGGUUCAUCCGAUGAGAUCAUCGUGGAGCUAGUGGGAGCCACCAUGGGUAUCCAGACCCUGCUGAUGGUUAUUGGCCAGAGAGGUGUCUCGGUCAUGUCUGCCUGUCUCCCGAACCCGUAGGGUCUACACACUUAAGGUUCGAUGACGCUAGGGUUAUAGGGAAUUGUUAUACGAGAUUACCGAAAGUUGUUCGGAGUCCCGGAUGAGAUCCAGGACGUCACGAGGAGCUCCGGAAUGGUCCGGAGGUAAAGAUUGAUAUAUAGGACGGAUGGUUUCGGAGACCGGAAGUGUUUCAGGCAUCACCGGUAACGUACCGGGACCACCGGGACCACCGGAGGUGGUCCCGGGGGACCACCGAAGGGGGGCUGCGACCCCAAGAGGUAAGAUGGGCUAGUGGGGGUGGGAACCAGCCCCUAGUUGGGCUGGUGCGCUUCCCCACUCAGCCCAUGGCGCAGGGGAAGGAAAAGAGGGGGGAACCCUAACUCAGGUGGGCCUUAGGCCCACCAGAGGGGUGCGCCACCCCUCCCCCUUGCCCUGGCCGCCACCCCUUCCCCAUCUGAGGGCUGCCGCACCCCUUAGGGGUGGGAACCCUAAGGGCUGCGCCCCCUCCCUCUCCCCCUAUAUAUAGAUUGAGGUUUCGGGGCUGUUUGAGACACCGGUUUAAUCUCUCUCUCUCGCAGCCCUGCUCCUCUCCCUCCUCCUCGCUGCCGGCACUUGGCAAAGCCUUGNNNNNNNNNNNNNNNNNNNNNNNNNNNNNNNNNNNNNNNNNNNNNNNNNNNNNNNNNNNNNNNNNNNNNNNNNNNNNNNNNNNNNNNNNNNNNNNNNNNNUGGUUAUUAUCAUAUUUCCUUGUUCAUGAUAAUCGUCUAUCGUUCAUGCUAUAAUUGUAUUAACAGGAAACAGUAAUACAUGUGUGAAUGAAUAGAUCACAAUGUGUCCCUAGCAAGCCUCUAGUUAGCUAGCUCGUUAGUCAAUAGAUUAUCAUGAUUUCCUGAUCAUGGACAUUGGAUGUCAUUGAUAACGGGAUCACAUCAUUGGGAGAAUGAUGUGGUGGACAAGACCCAAUCCUAAGCCUAGCACUAGAUCGUAUUGUUCGUAUGCUAAUGCUUUUCUAAUGUCAAGUAUCUUUUCCUUCGACCGUGAGAUUUUGCAACUCCCGGAUACCGUAGGAGUGCUUUGGGUGUAUCAAACAUCACAACGUAACUGGGUGACUAUAAAGGUGCACUACGGGUACCUCCGAAAGUGUCUGUUGGGUUGGCACGAAUCGAGAUCGGGAUUUGUCACUCCGUGUGACGGAGAGGUAUCUCGUGGGCCCACUCGGGUAGAACAUCAUCAUGAGCCUNUAAUGGUUGGAAACCUAAAGGGGUAAGUUUACGGUUACCACCGAACCGGAAUUCGGAACGUGGUNNNNNNNNNNNNNNNNNNNNNNNNNNNNNNNNNNNNNNNNNNNNNNNNNNNNNNNNNNNNNNNNNNNNNNNNNNNNNNNNNNNNNNNNNNNNNNNNNNNNCCGUAUGAACUGUGGUUUGGCAAGAACCUAAGUUGUCGUUUCUUAAAGUUUGGGCUGCGAUGCUUAUGUGAAGAAACCUUCAACCAGAAAAGCUCGAACCCAAAGCGGAGAAAUGCGUAUUCAUAGGAUACCCUAAGGAAACUAUUGGGUAUACCUUCUAUCUUAGAUCCGAAGGUAAAACCUUUAUUGCCAAGAACGGAUCCUUUCUAGAGAAAGAGUUUCUCUCGAAAGAAGUAAGUGGGAGGAAGGUAGAACUUGAUGAGGUAAUUACACCCCCUCUCGAACAGGAAAGUAGCGCAGCGCAAGAAGUUGUUCCUGUGAUGCCUAUACCAACUGAAGAGGAAGUUAAUGAUGAUGAUCAUGAAGCUUCGGAUCAAGUUACUACUGAACCACGAAGGUCCACAAGGGUACGCUCCGCACCAGAGUGGUACGGCAACCCUGUGAUGGAAAUCAUGUUGUUAGACAACGGUGAACCUUCGAACUAUGAAGAAGCGAUGGCGGGCCCGGAUUCCAACAAAUGGCUUGGACGCAUAGAACUCCGAGAAGUAGGUACUUACCAAGUUGUAGUAGGAAACGGAAACUAAAAGGUUAAGUCGGGUUACGUUUGGGUAGUACGUUCGANNNNNNNNNNNNNNNNNNNNNNNNNNNNNNNNNNNNNNNNNNNNNNNNNNNNNNNNNNNNNNNNNNNNNNNNNNNNNNNNNNNNNNNNNNNNNNNNNNNNAAUUAUAAGGUAAGGGGAAGGGGUACGGGUGGCCGCCCUACCGUACGGUUCCCGUUCCGUCGGGUCGGGNGGGGGCGGCAGCCCGAGAUGGGGAUGGUGUUGGAAUUAUGCCCUAGAGGCAAUAAUAAAUAUAGUUGUUAUUAUAAUUCAUGUAUCAAGAUAAUCGUUUAUUAUCCAUGCUAUAAUUGUAUUGAAUGAAGACUUAUAUACAUGUGUGGAUACAUAAACAGAACACUAUCCCUAGCAAGCCUCUAGUUGGCUAGCCAGUUGAUCAAAGAUAGUCAUGGUCUUCUGAUUAUAUACAAAGGUGUUGUUGCGUGAUAACUGGAUCACGUCAUUAGAAGAAUCACGUGAUGGACUUUAGAGACAAACACAUUCACUUUAAAUAGGGCACCGCGUAUUUCCGUUGAGAUGACACGGUAUGAACUAUGGUUUGGAGAAACCUGAGCUGUCGUUUCUUGAAAGUUUGGGGNUACGACGCUUAUGUGAAAAAGUUUCAGUCUCAUNNNNNNNNNNNNNNNNNNNNNNNNNNNNNNNNNNNNNNNNNNNNNNNNNNNNNNNNNNNNNNNNNNNNNNNNNNNNNNNNNNNNNNNNNNNNNNNNNNNNACGAAGGUCCACAAGGGUACGCUCCGCACCAGAGUGGUACGGCAACCCUGUGAUGGAAAUCAUGUUGUUAGACAACGGUGAACCUUCGAACUAUGAAGAAGCGAUGGCGGGCCCGGAUUCCAACAAAUGGCUUGAGGCCAUGAAAUCCGAGAUAGGAUCCAUGUAUGAGAACAAAGUAUGGACUUUGGUGGACUUGCCCAAUGACCGGCGAGCCAUAGAAAAUAAAUGGAUCUUCAAGAAGAAGACUGAUGCAAACGGUAAUGUAACCGUUUACAAAGCUCGACUUGUCGCAAAGGGUUUUCGACAAAUUCAAGGAGUUGACUGCGAAGAGACUUUCUCUCCCGUAGCGAAGCUGAAAUCAGUCCGAAUCAUGUUAGCAAUUGCCGCCUUUUAUGAUUAUGAAAUUUGGCAAAUGGACGUCAAAACAGCGUUCCUUAACGGGAAUCUUAAGGAAGAGUUGUAUAUGAUGCAACCAGAAGGUUUUGUCGAUCCUAAAGGUGCUAACAAAGUAUGCAAGCUCCAGCGCUCCAUCUAUGGGCUGGUGCAAGCAUCUCGGAGUUGGAACAUUCGCUUUAAUGAGGUGAUUAAGGCGUUUGGGUUCAUACAGGUUUACGGAGAAGCCUGUCUGUACAAGAAAGUGAGUGGGAGCUCUGUAGCUUUCCUCGUACUAUAUGUGGAUGACAUAUUAUUGAUGGGGAAUGAUAUAGAGAUGUUGGAGAGCAUAAAGGCCUAUUUGAACAAGAGUUUUCAAUGAAGGACCUGGAGAAGCUGCAUACNUAUUGGCNUCAAGAUCUAUAGAGAUAGAUCGAGACGCCNNNNNNNNNNNNNNNNNNNNNNNNNNNNNNNNNNNNNNNNNNNNNNNNNNNNNNNNNNNNNNNNNNNNNNNNNNNNNNNNNNNNNNNNNNNNNNNNNNNNUGCGGCGGCGGAAAAGUGAUUACGAUGAUCUCCUGAUUUUUUCUGGAAUUUAUGGGAAUAUAUAGGCGAAAGUCCUAGGGAAAAGGGCUUCCAGGGGGCCCACAAGCCUGGAUGGCGCGGCCCCCUGGCCGCGGGGUGGGGGCUUGUGGGGCCCCUGGGGCUCUUCUGCCUUGGCUCCCAACUUCCCCGAUCUUCUUCCAUUUCAAAAAAAAUCUUUUCGGGGAUUUUCUUCCGUUUGGACUCCGUUUCAAAAUCUCCUCUGAAAGGGGUCAAAAACAUGGAAAAANNNNNNNNNNNNNNNNNNNNNNNNNNNNNNNNNNNNNNNNNNNNNNNNNNNNNNNNNNNNNNNNNNNNNNNNNNNNNNNNNNNNNNNNNNNNNNNNNNNNNNNNNNNNNNNNNNNNNNNNNNNNNNNNNNNNNNNNNNNCAAAAACAUGGAAAAAACAGGAACUGGCACUUGGCACUGAGUUAAUAAGUUACUCCCAAAAUAUAUAUAAAAGGCAUGCAAAACAUCCAAAGUUUGACAAGAUAUUAGCAUGAAACCAUCAAAAAUUACAGAUACGUUGGAGUCGUAUCACCGGAUCCUCAUUAGGACUUACGAAAAAAUAACUUCUUUCAUCACAAGAUUUAGCAAUGCAGCAUUAAUAUCAUAAAAUUCCAUACUAGUGGCGGGUGGUAUGGGAGUACUAAUAAAAUCNNNNNNNNNNNNNNNNNNNNNNNNNNNNNNNNNNNNNNNNNNNNNNNNNNNNNNNNNNNNNNNNNNNNNNNNNNNNNNNNNNNNNNNNNNNNNNNNNNNNNNNNNNNNNNNNNNNNNNNNNNNNNNNNNNNNNNNNUAAAAUCAUUAUUAUUAUUAUUAAAGAAGUCACACAACUUAGUGUUGUCUUGAGACAUGGUGACCAACAAAGCAAAGUAAUAAGCGAAGCAAGUACACUAGCAAGUAUAGCAAGCAAACAAGUAAACUAUCAAAGGAAAAAAAAUUGAUUUUUUGAUUUUUAUAGCAAGGAAAAUAUAACAGAAAUAAAAAGUAGAACAAGUGAAUCAUAAUUUGUGAGAAGGUACUUGAUAGGAAAUUGGUCAUACUCCCCGGCAACGACGCCAGAAAUCCUUCCUGAUACUUGUGAUCUACGUUGGAUUUUUAUCAAAGAGGAGGGGAUGAUGCAGGAUCAUAGAGGUAAGUAUUCCUCUCACUGAGAACCAAGGUUAUCGAACCAAUACGAGGACCGUGCAAUUUCCCAUCUUCAGCGCCUACACAAAGAGGGUUGUCAAUCCCCUUGAACUCGCUACUUGCAAGAGAUAAAUAGUGAUAAAUAGACNNNNNNNNNNNNNNNNNNNNNNNNNNNNNNNNNNNNNNNNNNNNNNNNNNNNNNNNNNNNNNNNNNNNNNNNNNNNNNNNNNNNNNNNNNNNNNNNNNNNAUUCAACCACACCUGAAAGAUUUAGUAUCUGCAGCAAAGUAUCAGUAGCAAGGUAGUAUGAUAGCAACACUAGCAACUGUAACCAGUAGCAGCAAAGUAACAGCAGUAGCAACAGAGUAAUAGCAGCAGUAGUGACAGCAGUAGCAGCAAAGUAACGUAGCAAGGACCAGUAGGAAAAGACUCGUAGGCAUUGGAUCGGUGAUGGAUGAUUAUGCCGGAUGCUAUUCAUCAUGCAACAGUUAUAACAUGUAGUUAUACGUGCUUAGGGAAAAGAACUUGCAUGACAUCUAUUGUCCAUCCCUCUCGUGGCAGCGGGGUCCUAAUGGAAACUACGGGAUAUUAAGGUUCUCCUUUUAAUAAAAAACUGGACCAACGCAUUAACACUUGGUGAAUACAUGAACUCCUCAUACUAUGGUCAUCUCCGGGAGUGGUUCCGGCUAUUGUCAAUCCGGGGUUGCCGGGUCAUAACACAUAGUAGGUGACUACAACUUGCAAGAUAGGAUCAAGAACACACAUAUAUUGACGACAACAUAAAAGGUUGAGAUCUGAAAUCAUGGCACUCGGGCCCUAGUGACAAGCAUUAAGCAUGGCAAAGUAGUAGCAACAUCAAUCUCAGAACAUAGUGGAUACUAGGGAUCAAUCCCCGUCAAAACUAACUCGAUUACAUGAUAGAUCUCAUCCAACCCAUCACCGUCCAGCAAGCCUACGAUGUGAUUACUCAUGAACGGUGAAGAGCAUCAUGGAAUUGGCGAUGAAGGAAGGUUGAUGAUGACGAUGGCGACGAUCUCCCCUCUCCGAAGCACAUAAUGGACUCCAGAUCUGCCCUCCAGAUGAAGAAUAGGAGGUGGCGUCGCCUCCGUAUCGUAAAACGCGAUGGACUCUUCUCCUUGAUUUUUUUCUGGACGAAAGAGGAUAAAUAGAGCUGGAUUUGGAGGCGGUGGAGCUUUGUGGGCCCCACAAGCCUGCCAGGCGGGGCUAGGGGGCCCACGCAUGGUGGGCUUGUGGGCUCACGGCUCCACUUCCUCCGUUGAUUCUUGCGCUAGUAUUUUUCAUAAAUACCAGAAAAAUUCUCCGUAAAUUUUCAGGUCAUUCCGAGAACUUUUAUUUCUGCGCAAAAACUACACCAUGGCAAUUCUGCUGAAAACAGCGUUAGUCCGAGUUAGUUCCAUUCUGAUCAUGCAAAUUAGAGUCCAAAACAAGGGGAAAAAAGAGUUCGGAAAAGUAGAUACGAUGGAGACGUAUCACAAGGCACGCAUCGUGUUGUUGCCAUCAAGGGUAAAAAGAUGGGGUUUAUAUCAUAUUGCAUGAAUUUAUCCCUCUACAGCAUGUCAUCUUGCUUAAGGCGUUACUCUGUUUGUUAUGAACUUAAUACACUAGAUGCAUGCUGGAUAGCGGUCGAUGUGUGGAGUAAUAGUAGUAGAUGCAGAANNNNNNNNNNNNNNNNNNNNNNNNNNNNNNNNNNNNNNNNNNNNNNNNNNNNNNNNNNNNNNNNNNNNNNNNNNNNNNNNNNNNNNNNNNNNNNNNNNNNUCAGCCGGCAUGGGAUUUGUGGAGUAGGCUAGUUUUGGGUGGGGUGGGGUGGGGGGGGGGGGGGGGAUCGAACGCAGAGUCUAACAGUCACACGAUUAGCAGUAGACUGAAACCAGUGAGGAGGCGAUCUUCCGCCUCAAAUCGGGCACGCGCAUGCCACCGAUCUCCCCGCGCAGGCCCGCCCCACACCCUAGGAGCCGCGAUCCCAGCCCGCCCACCGUCCAGAUUUACCCCCUGAUCGAGCCGAUCGCGGUUUCCUACCUCCGGGAAAAUCACACAAGGAUCGCCAAAACAACGCCGAAACGGAGGGCGCGACAGGACGUACGUGCUACCUCAGAGACACCGCACCACCCAAGCCGAGCGGGGAUGGGUUCUCUUCUCUCGGAAGUAUGAUGAGAAACUGUUAGCGGAGCAGCUUCCUCCUUUUCUUCUCCCUCCCGAACAGUAGACUGUUUUCCAAUUUGAGAGAAAUGGGGAAGGGAAGACGGACCUUGUCAAGCACACUGAAGAGCUGCAUCCGGGAGGCGGCGGCUCGUGUUCCUCCUGCCAAGCGCCGACAGUUAGGACGAGGAGGAGAAGGGGCGGGGCAGCCACGGAGAAGAGGCAGGCCUACCAAAUCAAAACACAUCAGGACCAACUCGAAACACAUUAGGGGGAGAGGGAGAGAAGAAGAAGAACAUGGGCCGGGAGAGGAGACCUGUGCAUCCAUGGCGGCGACGGUGUGGUCUGAGGUCGAUGGCGGCAUCCCGAGAAGAAGCACGCAGGGGGGAGGGCGACGUCCCGAGCCAGCCAUGGCGUGGGCGCGGAGNNNNNNNNNNNNNNNNNNNNNNNNNNNNNNNNNNNNNNNNNNNNNNNNNNNNNNNNNNNNNNNNNNNNNNNNNNNNNNNNNNNNNNNNNNNNNNNNNNNNUCCUAAAUUCCUUACAGAAUAUUGUUGACUGGGUGGACAUUUUAUUUGGACAUUUUGGGGAAUCAAUUCCUGUACUUAUAUUUUUCCUUUCGAAUUUGGUUUUGACACCAAAUAUGUUUCGGAUCUAAUAUGAAAAAUAUGCAGGGGUCAAAUAUCUUUUGGGGCUUAUGGAGUUCCACUUUCCUACCAAACAAUUGGAAACUAACUUUCUUCAGAUAAUUCCCUUUUGAGUUUUGAAUUGAUUCCAACACACCCAAUUCAAAUUCUUUUUAGGAAAAAAUCUUUAGGGCUCUGCCCUUCCUAGCAAUCAAUCAAGCCACACUUUAGCAAGUAAGGUGAAUGACCAGCAAAACUUGACAUUCAUUGGUUUUUCCUUGAAAAUAUUUAAUUUCCUGUGUAAUUUUUAACAUAACAGAUUUGGGGAAAAUCUAGGAUGUGACAAUCGGCCCAUUUAACACUUUUUUUUCUUCGUCGAAACAUAAGUCGCGCGUACUACGUUCGUCAAAUUCUGUUGUAGUUUAUUUUGGAACCUGACGCACACCCCCACUUCCGCUCUCGACAAAUCAAUUUCACCUUUUUCUGUUUUAAACUCCACAAAAUAGCGUUGCGUAUGGUUUGAACUAGCUACCUCUCGGCUUCAGUACCAACUGGAUAACUAAGUGGGACACCCGACUCAUUGUGCCUAGAUUAUUUUUAUUUUUAUUUUUCAAAUGUAACACAAAAAACAGCGGUUUCAUGUUCUUUUUUUGUUUUGGUUGGUUUUCUUUGGUUUCUCUUUUUCUCUUUCUUUUUUCCUUUUUAUUAAUUUCUUGAACGCUUUCCAAAAUCGAUGAACCAUUUCUCAAAUUUGUGAACUUUUCAACGUUUGAUGAAAAAAAAUCAAAAUCAAAAUUUUAUAUUAUUGUGUUUUCUUCAAUUUGUGAUUUUCUGUGAAAUUAUGAACCUUUUUAAAAAUCCAAAAACUAUUUUUGAAAUCCAUNNNNNNNNNNNNNNNNNNNNNNNNNNNNNNNNNNNNNNNNNNNNNNNNNNNNNNNNNNNNNNNNNNNNNNNNNNNNNNNNNNNNNNNNNNNNNNNNNNNNNNNNNNNNNNNNNNNNNNNNNNNNNNNNNNNNNNNNNNNNNNNNNNNNNNNNNNNNNNNNNNNNNNNNNNNNNNAAAUCCACAAACUUUUUCCAAAUCCAUGAUUUUUUCAAAAUCCACGAACUUUCUACAAAUUAUUUUUUAUUCAAAAUGCAUGUACUUUAUUGAAAAUUUUGUAUUUUUUCAUAUACGUGAAUUGUUUUGAAAUAUAUGAACUAUUUUUAAAAUCAUGUUUUAAAAAUAUAUUUAUUAUUAUUAUUAUNNNNNNNNNNNNNNNNNNNNNNNNNNNNNNNNNNNNNNNNNNNNNNNNNNNNNNNNNNNNNNNNNNNNNNNNNNNNNNNNNNNNNNNNNNNNNNNNNNNNCUCAUACCCAUCUCCCUCGAUGCACUAUCUAUCACAACACGUGAUAGCCCUUUAGUAAAGGGAAUUGUCAGAUACUUAGCCGUUCGGAUGUAAACCAACGCUAUCACUCCGAAGUUUCUUAAACGUCUGACAGACUUCUAUCUCAUUCUUAUAUGUUUGUUGGACUUCACGUUGUCCUUUGAACUCUUCACUUUGACAAUAACUGUCUGAUUAUCGCAGUUCAUAAGGAUAGCCGGAACCGGCUUCUCAACCACGGGCAAGUCCAUCAAAAGAUCUCGAAGAAAUUCUGCUUCGACACCAGAUGUGUCUAAUGCUGUUAAUUCUGCUUCCAUUGUCGAUUUCGUUAAGAUCGUUUGCUUGCAAGACUUUCAGGAAACAGCACCACCUCCAAGAGUAAACAUAUACCCAGUAGUGGCCUUCAUCUCAUCAGCAUCAGAGAUCCAAUUCACAUCACUAUACCCUUCAAGUACCGACGGGUAUCCCGUAUAGUGAAGUCCGUGGUUGAUAGUACCUUUCAGAUAGCGCAUAAUUCUUUCAAUAGCACGCCAAUGAACAUCACCCGGAUUGGAAACAAACCGGCUCAGUUUGCUCACAGCAAACGCGAUGUCAGGCCUCGUUGCGCUAGCUAGGUACAUAAGUGAACCAAUAAUUUGAGAGUAUCUCAAUUGAUCUAUAGCUGUGCCAUUGAACUUUCGAAUCAGCACACUAGGAUCAUAUGGUGUUUGAGAAAUUUUGCAGUCUGAAUAUCCAAAUCGACUCAAGAUCUUCUCAACAUAGUGGGAUUGCAGAAGUGUAAUCCCACCCUCAUAAUAUCUCAAGAGCUUGAUGUUCAAGAUAACAUCAGCCACUCCAAGGUCCUUCAUCUCAAAGUUUAGAGACAGAAAGGACUUAACCUCCUCAAUCACCUUGAGGUUGGUUCCAAAUAUCAGUAUGUCAUCAACAUACAAGCACAGUAUAACUCCUUCCCCCCACCAUGGCGAUAGUAUACACACUUGUCAGAUUUAUUAACAACGAAGCCAACAGAUGUCAGAGUUGUAUUAAACUUAUCAUGCCAUUGCUUAGGUGCUUGCUUCAGGCCAUAUAAAGAUUUCAGCAACUUACACACUUUUCCUUCUUGACCAUCUAUCACAAAGCCAUAUGGCUCUUGCAUAUAGAUUUCCUCGUCUAGCUCUCCAUUUAGGAUAGUCGUCUUAAUGUCCAUUUGAUGAACAAGAAAACCAUGCGAGGCUGCCAACGAGAGUAGUACUCGAAUGGUGGUCAGUCUGGCCACAGGUGAAUAAGUGUCGAAUAAAUCUUCUUCUUCUUUCUGGGCAUAGCCCUUAGCCACAAGCCUGGCCUUGUACUUCUCGAUUGUACCAUCGGGCCUAAGCUUCCUUUUGAACACCCACUUGCAUCCCAGUGGUUUGCAACCAUAGGGACGAUCAGUAAUUUCCCAUGUCCCAUUAGCCAUGAUGAAAUCCAUCUCACUACGGACCGCAGCUUUCCAGUAAUCAGCAUCUGGAGAAGCAUACGCUUCUGAAAUGGAAGUGGGAUUAUCAUCCACGAGGUACACGAGGAAAUCAUCACCAAAGGUCUUUGCAGUCUGUUGUCUCUUGCCCCUACCAAGGGUUUCCUCGUCAUCCUCCUCAGGAUUUUCAUCAUGUGUUUGUUCAUAUUCCAUAGGAAUCGCAGGCUCAGGAGUUCUCUCAGAUUCCUGUCUAGAAGUGCUUUGCAUAUCUCUCAUGGGAAAAAUAUCCUCAAAGAAUGUAGCAUCCCUCGACUCCAUUAUUGUACCGACUUACACGUCAGGUACCUCAGAUUUCACUACUAGAAAUCUAUAGCCUACGCUAUUCUUAGCGUAUCCCAAAUUAACGUAGUCCACAGUCUUUGGUCCAAGCUUACGCUUCUUGGGGAUCGACACAUUGACUUUCGCCAAGCAGCCCCAAGUACGUAAGUACGAGAGCGUCGUCCUUCUCUUCGACCAUUCCUCAUAAGGAGUGACCUCAUUAUCUUUUAUAGGAACCUUAUUCAGGACAUGACACGCGGUCAAUAUAGCCUCCCCCCACCAUGCCUUGGAUAAACCCGAUGUAUCUAACAUGGCGUUAACCAAAUCAGUUAGAGUACGGUUUUUCCGUUCGGCAACCCCGUUUGACUGGGGUGAAUAGGGAGGCGUCCUCUCAUGAAUAAUGCCAUGUUCCGCACAAAAAGAAUCAAACUCGUUUGAGAAGUACUCUCCACCACGAUCAGACCGGACUCGUUUAAUUUUCUUUUCAAGUUGAUUCUCAACUUCUGCCUUAUAGAUUUUAAAGUGGUGUAGAGCCUCAUCUUUAGUAUUUAACAGAUACACAUAGCAAUAUCUAGUGAAAUCAUCUAUCAAUGUCAUGAAAUAUUUCUUUCCACCUUUAGUCAACACACCAUUCAUCUCACAAAGAUCAGAAUGUAUGAGUUCUAACGACGCCAAGUGUCUCUCCUCUGCAGCCUUGUGAGCCUUGCGAGGUUGCUUUGCUUGCACACACGAAUGGUACUUAGAACCUUUGGCUAAAGUGAAAGUUGGAAUUAAAUUCAGUUUUGCUAGCCGCGACAUAACACCGAAACUUAUGUGACAAAGUCAUGAAUGCCAAACUUCAGAUUCAUUAACACUCGAAUGAAUAUUGUUCAUGACUUUACUACAUAAAUCUGCGAGGGAAAGGCGGAACAGACCUCCGCACUCAUAACCUUUUCCAACAAAAAGUCCAUAUUUCGUAACAACUACUUUAUUAGACUCAAAGACCAACUUAAACCCUUCUCUACACAGAAGGGAGCCACUAACGAGAUUCUUCUUGAUGGCGGGGACAUGCUGCACGUUCUUCAGCUGCACGAUCCUUCCCGAAGUAAACUUCAGAUCGACCGUGCCAACACCAAGAACAGAAGCACUCGCUUCAUUCCCCAUCAAUAUGGACCCUCGACCUGUGACCUGGUAAGAAGAGAACAAUGAGAUGUCAGCACACACAUGAAUAUUUGCACCUGUGUCCACCCACCAAUCGGUAGAUUGACAAACCGAAAAUACAGUAAACAAAUUACCGUACCCAGAUGCACCACUUUCAUUGUUGCUCACAAUCAUAUUGGCAGACUUGGAGUCCUGCCCUGGCUUCUUGUACUUUUUUGGGCACUUGUUGGCCCAAUGUUCCUCAGAACCACAAUUGAAGCAGUCAUCUCCCUUCUUGUUCUUCUUGAAGGGCUUCUUACCCUUCUUCUUAAAGUCGGUAUUCUGUUGGACAUAAUUCUUCCCCUUAGGCUUGUGGGAAUUGAAAUUCCUCUGAUGUACCAUAUUGGCAAGAGAAGAACCUUCACCGUUUUUCCAUGCGAGUCCUUUACUCAGUUCUGUUCAACACUGAGAUGGCCAAUGAUGUCCUCUACUGAGAAUUCACGCCUUUGAUGUUUCAGAGUAGUAGCAAAGUUCCUCCAGGAAUUAGGGAGCUUAGCGAUUAUACACCCGCGACAAACUUGCCCGGUAAAUCGCACUUCAGAACCUCAAGUUCUUUAGCAAUGCAUAUUAUCUCAUGAGCUUGUUCCAAUACAGAACGGUUCUCGACCAUUUUGUAAUCAUGGAACUCCUCCAUAACAUACAUCUCGCUCCCAGCAUCGGUGGCCCCGAACUUAGAUUCGAGCGCCUCCCGCAAGUCCUUGGCGACACGCACAUGUAAAUAUGCGUCGACCAGUUUAUCACCGAUCACGCUAAGCACUGCUUCAAGAAACACAACGGUGGCCUCUCUGAACGCCUUCUCCUGUUCAGGAGCAAUCGUUCCCGUGGAGACACCGGUGACCCAGAACACGUUCAUAGCCGUGAGCCAUAAAGUGGUCUUUGUCUGCCAACGCUUAAAGUACGUACCGGUAAACUUAUCCGGUUUCAGUGCGGCAGCAAAGCCACUUGCCGAAAAAUUCCUACACAUAUUAACUUUUUGGAUUGCCGAGUAAAUAGGCAAUUUUUUGACUAAUUUAAUCCAUAAAUAGAUGACUAUCAUGGCAUUGACAGAAUUAACUACAUACUGAUAUUGAUCUAAACGGACACGUACUACGCAAACAGUAGACAAAUCUACACAUGAUACUAGUACUGCUAAGACGAAAGUAAUCAGGAGAGAGAUAAGCGCGUUAUGCCCUCCAGUAGGCCAUGCAGAAGCCCCCGCGGCGGUGGCGGCGGCAGCGGCGUCCUCGGCGGCCUUCUUGUCGGCCUCGGCCUUCUCGGCGACAGCACGGUCGGCGUCGGUUGACAUGGUGAUGGCGGAGACGACGCGGAUGUAGAGGAAGUAGACGAACGGAGGCGAGCAGUCGCGUGAUCGCUCCCCAAAAACCUAAUCGCCCCUCUUCCCCGUACAGGAACCGGAGAGGCGGGGUUUCGGAGGCAUGCUCUCCCGUCGACCGUGUACGCAGCGGACUGGAUGGAGUCGCUGGCGGUAGCAACAGUAAGGGAACGAGCGCGUGAGGCAGAUGUGAUCUGAUUCUCGUGACGGCUAGGGUUGGCGUUGGCCGGGUGGAGAGACGUGGCCACGUCCGAGUCGGUAACAGCCCACGAUCCGACAUCUCAAAUCGAUCCUGACCGGCAAAAAUAUGAGCUCGGCUCGUUCCCGCAACCCGCGUCGUGACGAGGCGGGCGGCGGAGGAGGAGUGCACAAGGGCAUCUUUUCUUCUCACUCUUCAAUAGCAUGUGGAAGAGAGACCCUUAUAAAGGGGUCCAACUUCUUCUCCACUAACGGGGUGGGAUUAAACUUUCCACCACCACGUUGUCAUGCCACCACCUACAUGGACCCUUGGAGAUUUCUGAAAUUCUCUUAUGGACCUAAGACCCACUACUAAUUUCAACACAGUCUACUUCCAUAUGACAAGUCUCUUGUGAUUGUGCUCACUACUGUAAAACCUGCUGGACCUCACGGGCCUAUCCUAUGCCUGACUGCCAUGUUUAUAUAUUAUAUGUUAAAAAUACAUGAUUAAGGGCUGCUAGGAGUCUUGCCAACUACCAAACUCGAUCAGCUGGGUUAAUUAUAGAACCCUGUUUCUUAUAAGAAACAGUUCCCAACAAGCAAGCCAUCAGAACAGCUCGGUACCAAGGUAUCUUAUACUCCUAUCUUAUUAUGGCUAUCUAAAAAUCUCUUGGCUUCUCAUCCUAUUAUACUAUAUAUAGGACAAGGUAUCACACUGUGAACAUCUCUUGGCGGCUUGGCCUUCAUUAAGCUAUUAAACUUUGGUCCUAAUCGCCUUCUUGCGCCAUGGGCACAACAGGAAAUCUAAUGCAGAUAAGACUGACGGAAGCUCCAUCACCUAGGUUUUGAGUCAUCACCUAGGCAUGUGCUGCAAUUUGGGCAAGCAGGGGACCUCUGCCGAACCUGAACUCCUUUCCAUGUAAAAAUGGAUAGUGCGUUGAUUAAUAAUCGGGCAGAGGCCUGCCGAACACUGCUAAAAUGGUCUGGCCGUGGGAGGCAACGGAUGAUCAGAGCAUGCCCUGUCUAUGCUCGAAUGCACGUAGCAAGACCCAACAAAUGGUGUAAAAAUGAAUUCAUUUCUAUGCAUGCAUGAAUCCUGGUUUAACUGAAGUUAGGCAGAGAUAAUUAACAAGCUAGCACACAAUUGUGUGAUCCAAGUAAUGGUGGUGGUGCUACAAGUUCUUAAAGUUUAAACUAUCAUAUCUGUCGGUCACCGAGCUGAGCAGACCCUUCCCCUGGCCGCGGUUAUAUAAGCAGGCACCUUCCCCUCGCCUCCUUCCCGCCAGAAACCAAGAAAAACCCAAACACACCCGCACCCACUGCCACCACACAACGCUCUGCCGUCUUCAACUCCGGGAGCCGAAGAUGAGGCACACACACAUCACGGUGGCGGUCGCCGUUGCAUUCGCCAUCCUCGCAAUCACCGCCGCAGCGUCCACGGGCGCCACCGCCGCCGGCAGGGGGAAGCAGCAGCGCUCUCCCGGUCCUGCUUCCGGCAGCAUCGUGUACAUCGUGAUGGUGAAGCCCCCGGCCGGCGGCGUCGACAGCGCGGAGUACCAUAUCGGCAUCCUCACCGCCGCGGUCGGCAGGUAUAUACAGAGCAUGCAUUUGGUUUCCUUCCCUAUCUUUGGCCUAGAGAUUUGACACCAUCCUUUCUCUUGUUUGGGUUGAAUCUUCAAGCGGGGACAAGGCCAAGGCGGCGUUGAUCUACAGCUACAAGAACGCCAUCAGCGGGUUCGCGGCGAGGCUCACGCCCGCGCAGGUCGCCGUCCUCAGGAGUGAGUUUCCCUCUUUGCUACUCUGUUCUACUCUCACAGCUACAGUUAACAAGAGAUUUCUUCAAUUGCAUGAUGGUCAACUAAGGCGAACCAUAGUUGUAUAUUCCUUAAGAUCAAAGUGGGUAGUUUUAGUCAGACCUGUUGCCAAUACCGAGGUCAAUGCAAGGCCUACUCACACCACAUGGUUAAUAUGCUAGUUUUUCCGCAUGAUCAAGAAAUGUGUACAUCAUCAGCAAGGACCGACAUUAUAAAUGUAUACUGUAUAGUACAGCCCAGCAAAUAAUUUUAGCGAACUUUCGGUAUAUAUAUUUUUCCUUUACCGAGAAGAAAAUUAGCUGCUUCACUUUCGGUGUCCAACUCCCGUUAUCCAAGUUAAGUUAACUUUUGCCGUCCAGGUUGGUCGUUAAGUUAACAAAUACAGUGUAGCAUUAUCACCUCGUCUUUCAAAUGGUGCGUGUACUUGUUAGUGCCUUAAAAAGGCCACGGGAUUAUUAUUUUUUGACCGUUGUUUAAUUUCUCUCCACCUUUUUAGAAAACCCUGCCGUCAUCCGGGCGCAGCCUGAUGUCAAGUACUCCCUUCACAACAACAACAACAACAACCUCAACUGAGCAAGAGCUCCUGUUCUUUUUUAAGGGUUGUUGCACAAUAUGGAACGAGAAGCGGCACGCAUGUUCUGCACCAUGAAGAACCUGGGUUGAUCUUUCUCUGCAUACUUCAAAAUUACAUAUAUAGUGUAACGUUGCAAGAUGAUUAAAGUGUAAUUUGUUUAGAAUUGAAGCACUUUUAUAACUCUGCGUAUAUACUAAUGGGCAAAGAUGUCUGGUUUGCUACCAUAUUAUAUCUCCUCUUAAGGGGUUGCGCACUGGGUUAGGUUGGGUUAUCCAGCAUGUGCGUCAUAAACUGCAAUGCAAAGGUACAAGUGAGAGUUAUGUUAACAGGAUGAUAAUAUAUACAAAUAUACUAACCUACCGGUUGCACUUUCUUAGCUUGUAUGCAACCAAAGUAAACAAAUAGUGCAGUUCAUAUAUAAAAGAGUUUAUCCGCAAAAAAAACAUAUAUAAAAGAGUAAUUGGAUUCAUGCCACUACAACUUUCACGAAUAAAAAAAAACCACUACAAAAAUCCAAGUUCGAAUAUGCCAUUACAACUUUAUCAUCCCACUACAUAUGACAUUUUCAGCCCGCCAGAGUGAAUAAAGGUUCAUUAAAGCUUGUAUUUCAAUGUGCAUUGCAGUACUGCCCAUGCCAGCCUUGUUCCAAACGGUGAACAACACGGAUCAAACAGAACUUAGAAAUUGCCAACUAUUACGAAGCACCCUCCAUAAUAUUUUGUAGGUUGCGGAGGUUGUGUGCAAACUCGGAUUCAGGAUAACCUGAAUUCUACAUUUUGCAAAUAUGACCAUCAACUUUUGGUUUUUUUCUUAACAUAAAGACAUUGCAAUUUCAUCCCUGUUGUGUUCAACAUCACAUACACACUCAAUUUCAUUGACAUUGCAUUCAACAUCACACAAACAUUGCAAUUUAUGUAGUAUAACUAGUUUUCAACAUCAGACAAUUAAAAUAGAAAUUGGCCUAGAACGACAAACUGAUACUCGAUUUUAUUAUGUCACCUUCCGUGGUAUGGAAGUCACCUCAUCAAAGGAGGAGUCUUUGGCUGUUUCGACUUCCUCCACGAUGAGGUCGACAUGCCAAUGUGAUUCUUGGAUGUGGGGAAAGGCCACAUCUUUGUAGCCCACCAUACCGCUGAUUUCAUUUCGCCCAUGGUGGUGGCCCCCAUGCAGUCGAGGUACCAUCAUGCAGCAGGGAGGUGCUCAUACCCAAUGGAUAACUCGGCCUCAUGGAGAGCAAUACCUUCAACCAUCUCGGAGUACCACUGGACAGUUUCCCAAUACUCAUAGGCGGCGCGAUCCUCUUCGGGCUCGCUUGGGAAGGUUCCACAGGGGGGGGGGGGGGGGGGGGGGGAGGGGGGNNNNNNNNNNNNNNNNNNNNNNNNNNNNNNNNNNNNNNNNNNNNNNNNNNNNNNNNNNNNNNNNNNNNNNNNNNNNNNNNNNNNNNNNNNNNNNNNNNNNNCCCCCCCGGGGGGGGGGGGGGGGCUGGUGCGACAUGGCAGAGACUAGGUGGUUAGUAACAUAUGCGCCAUUUGCAGGGACAUGAAGAGAAUGACCGAAACUUUCUCUCGCAUAGAUGGUUGGGUAAAGAGUACGCUCCCCGAGCCUCCAAUGUGGAACCUAUGACCCAGGUUUUGGAGUGUGCUCCAUAAUUUUUGGAGGUUGAGACAUGUUUGUUGAAUUUGCUACACCCGUUUUUUCACCCGAACUCCAUAUUGGCGGUUACUAGUUCGGAUUGUUGGGGUAUGUUUGACAACUUUGCUACAGUUGCUCUAACGUUAGCACACCAUCCUCUUUAUUCUAUCUAUAGUGCCUUUAAAUCAUUUGGACAUUAUCUUUAUGCCCGAUGUAAGAAAUAUGAUAGAGAACCUGAUAACAUAGAUUGUCGUACUAGGGUAUGAAGAAACAAUUGAACAAUGCAUGGCCAGGUGACCUACAAAACAAAUCCAAAAAAACAAAAGUACAAAACGGAUCCAACAUGCUCCCAUAAUCUCCAGUAACCUCCAAUAAUUAUUUUGCAGAAACAAAACUAACAUUACCUUGUUCUUGAAAGAAAACUUUGCCCAAAACAAAUGCACUAAACAUUAUUUUUCAUGUGGGCAAUAGAAAAAUUAUGUUAAUUAGCAGAAGGCACAUACGACAUCCGUAGAUAUGUAAAAAACGUCAUCUAACAAAAAUAUACAACAUUUGCUUUCACUUCCGAAGUUAUACAUGAUUGCCUGGUGUUGACAUUGAAAAACAAAACCCUUCAAUAUCACAAAUCAGUUAUGGAAAGGCACUACGGUAGCGAUGUUUUUUAGGAGGCAAUAGUGAUGUGAGGAAUGUGGAGACGAAUAUGAUUAACAUAACCAAUGGGCAUGAGUUUUGGCCUUACGCCUCACAACUUUCCUUGGUGUUGGAUAUCAUCAUCUAUUGUAUUGGUGGUGGAUGUUUGGUUAAGCAGAGACUCAUGCCCAAUAAAAACUAAAACAACUAGAGGAUGAUGGACCUCAAAAGGCCAAUUAAAUUUAGCAAUAGGCUUUGCCGAAUCAGAUAUUGUGAAUUGUGUUACAUGCAUGUAAAAGUGUAUCAAACAUUUACAUAUUUCCUAUUAUUCUAUUUCCAGUUUUUGAAUGUUUUGAUUGAUUUUUGCCCUAUAAAAAGCAGUGGGCCUAAAGAGGGAAACAACCCGACCAGACGUGUCACGGUCAUCGGAGGCAAGAUUGACGGUUGACGAUACAUGUGCGGGUUCAGGGGUUUGCCAGCAUACAAGGGGAAUGGAGCCAGAGGGGUGGCCAAAGAGAGGUGGCUACUUAGAUAAUACCAAGUGGCAAUGUCGCCGAGCAUAGGUGGAGGGGGCGGUUAGGACAAUGGCAACGACCAGUUCAAUGCUAACGGGGGUGAAGAGCCGACGAUGACAAGAAAACAUAAUUGAUGAAUAAUAGAUCCCAAGAAUGUAUGGAUAGAAAUAACAUGUCCAGUCAUAUUUAAGGGACAACAAGGAAGUUUAUUUAGUCAUAUGGCUAUUAGAAAGAUCAUGUUAAUCAGUAGAAGGAACAUACAACAUCCAAUAGUUAUGUAAAAGCAUACCCCAUUCAUUAUAUAUUGGUUUUUUAAUAAUAGAAGUUAUAAAUGACUGUCUGAUGUUGACAUUGAACCAACAAAAGCUUAUAAUUGAUGAAAAAAACAAAGGCCCUUCAGGUCCGAAAUGAAACUCCCCAGAUAAACAUGUUUUCUAUAAAUUAUCCAUUGUGAAAGUUAAAGCCACCUUCAUUGUUCACAGUCUGAUAGACCAAUCAACUUAACAUGCUUUGAAUGAGUACUGGACAAAACAUUCUUGCAUCUUUGCAAUUUGCCAACCUGAGAUUAAAACAGGCUUUAUUUUCAUUAAUUUGAUACUUCCUAGCAAGUGCCUAUUUUGAACAUUUGUUCAGUUUUGUGUAUACUAUAAUCAAAACUUGGGCUGGAAAAAAAACUCCUAUGAUGAACAUGUUUCUUAUAAAUUAUCUCCCACCAAAUCAAGGCCACCAUUCACUGUGCAAAAUAUUACAGACCGGUCAUCUGAACAUGCUCACGAAACAUUCUUGCAUGUGUCUCUUUAAUGUUUCCAGCAAAGUGAACCAAGGAAAGGCUUGUAUUUCAAUAAUUCCGAUCAAAUGAUAGAAAACAUAUUACAAGCCAUUUUGAUAAUGGAAUUUGUUUACAAAAUCAAUUUGACUCAUAGAUGUAGAUGCAUCUAUUGUCUAAAUACAUGUUUUAAGAAGUUAAAAAAUCAAGAAAAAAUCCCAUGUGUACAUAUAGACAUUAUAUGCUCGUGCACAACGGUUCGAUCAAAAAGAACAUUUUUUGUGGCUUGUGUAAAAAAACAUUUUUUAUGCUUGAUUAUAAAUAUUCAUGAGACAAUUUUCUAUUCUUUUAAUACAUGCCACAAAAAAUGCCUUUCUUUGCAAAAUUUUGUGUGUGAACAUAGAAUGUCCGAAUGUACACUACAAACUAUUGUUUGAAUUUUUUAACAUUUUAAAAUGUGUUUUGUAUAUAUUUCAUAAUAAGUGUAUUUACACCUAUGAGCCAAAGCACCAUUCUUUACACUAUCUAAUGUCAACAUGACAAAACCGGGGAGACAAGAAAUACUGAAAUAAUAACAACAAUAACCCAUAAGUAUAGGGGAUCGCAACAUUCUUUGCGGGUAGUAUUACAUCUUAAUUUAUUGAUUCGACACAAGGAGAACCAAAGAGUAUUUAUUGGUCUUAGUAGUUGAGUUGUCAAUUCAAUCACACCUCGGAUAUCUCUCUACAGCAAAGAUUUUAGUAGCACGAUAAAAUAGUAGUACUAAUGGUAAUGGCAGCGGUUUUGUAGUGAUUGUAACAGUAGCACGAGCAAUAGUAACUUGCCGAAAUUCAGUAUAUGAAAAGUGUAGGCACGUGGACCGGCGAUAGAUAAUGAUUUAGAUAACAUAUAUCAUGUAACAGUUACACACUAGAAUGACACAAAACUAACUCUAAGUCAUUAAUAUAAUGUAGGCAUGUAUUUCGUAUAUAGUCAUAUGUGCUUGCGAUAAGAACUUGCAUGCCAUGUUUUGUCCUACCCACCCAUGGCAGUAGAGUCCAUAAGGAAACUAAGGGAUAUUUAGGUUUCCUUUUAAUAAAGAACCGAAACAAUGCAUUAACACAUGGAGAAUACAUGAAGUUCUCAAACUACGACAAUCAUCAGAAAGAAUCUCAAUUAUUGUCACCUUGGGGGAUGCGAAUCAUAAAACGUAAUAGGUGCAUACAACUUGAAAGAUAGGAUCUAAACACAUUCGUAUUCAGAGAAAACACAAUAGGUUCAGAUCUGAAAUCACACUCGGACCCUAGUGAUAAGAAUUAAGCAUAACAAAGUCAUAGCAACAUCAAUCUCAGAACAUAGUGGACACUAGAGAUACCUAUCAACAUAACUCGAUUACAUGGUCAAUUUCAUCCAACCCCAUCAUCGUCCAGCAAGUCUACAAAGGAAUUACUCACUCCCGGUGGUGAGCAUCAUGGAAUUAUUGAUGGAGAAGGAUUGAUGAUGACGACUGCCCCCUCUCUGGAGCCCCAAAGAGACUUGAGAUCAACCCUCCCAAGGAAGAACAGGAGGUGNNNNNNNNNNNNNNNNNNNNNNNNNNNNNNNNNNNNNNNNNNNNNNNNNNNNNNNNNNNNNNNNNNNNNNNNNNNNNNNNNNNNNNNNNNNNNNNNNNNNNNNNNNNNNNNNNNNNNNAAGAACAGGAGGUGGCGACGGAUCCGUGCCGUAAAACAUGAUGAAAACUUCUCUCUUAUUUUUUCUCCGUAAUUGUCAAUCUAUAGGAAUGGAAUUAGGAUCGGGGGAGCCAUGUGGGCUCCACAAGCUAACAGGGCGUGCCCAGGGGAUGGGCGUGCCUUGUUGGCUUAUGGCCCACAAGCAUCCCCUCCCACACGUCUUCGCUCCAUAUUAGAUAAAACUAAUGUAAAGGUUAUAAAUGAUAAAAAACAUUGAGAAGAAAAAAAACCGAAGAAAACCGAUGGAUAAGUUAUGAAAGAUAAAAAACACUGAGAAGAAAAAACACUUGUNNNNNNNNNNNNNNNNNNNNNNNNNNNNNNNNNNNNNNNNNNNNNNNNNNNNNNNNNNNNNNNNNNNNNNNNNNNNNNNNNNNNNNNNNNNNNNNNNNNNNNNNNNNNNNNNNNNNNNNNNNNNNNNNNNNNNNNNNNNNNNNNNNNNNNNNNNNNNNNNNNNNNNNNNNNNNNNNNNNNNNNNNNNNNNNNNNNNNNNNNNNNNNNNNNNNNNNNNNNNNNNNNNNNNNNNNNNNNNNNNNNNNNNNNNNNNNNNNNNNNNNNNNNNNNNNNNNNNNNNNNNNNNNNNNNNNNNNNNNNNNNNNNNNNNNNNNNNNNNNNNNNNNNNNNNNNNNNNNNNUUUUUUCUUUUUCUUUUCAUUUCAAAAUUCAUGUUAAUUCUUCAGGUUUGAAAAAGAAUGAAAUGCCUGAACAUUUUCCAAAUAAUGAAAAUUUAUUAAAUUCUUGAGCAUAUUCAACAUUCAUGGAUAUUUUUGGUAUUUCUGAAUUCUUCAAAUACAAAGUUAGCUUUUUCCAAUUUGUAAAUGUUUUAAAAUUUGAGGAAUUUUUAAAAACCCAAAAACAUUAUUUGAAUUCNNNNNNNNNNNNNNNNNNNNNNNNNNNNNNNNNNNNNNNNNNNNNNNNNNNNNNNNNNNNNNNNNNNNNNNNNNNNNNNNNNNNNNNNNNNNNNNNNNNNCCCCCCCCCCCCCCCAGGAGGGGGAAACCCUCAAGGGGGCGCAGCCCGUCCCUUCCCCUAUAUAUAGUGGGCACUUUUGGCCAUUGGGAAACAAACUUUUGCCUCUCCCUCGGUGCAGCCCUGCCCUUCUUUCUCCUCUUCUCUACCGGUGCUUGGCGAAGCCCUGCCGGGAGACCUCGUCUCUCCANNNNNNNNNNNNNNNNNNNNNNNNNNNNNNNNNNNNNNNNNNNNNNNNNNNNNNNNNNNNNNNNNNNNNNNNNNNNNNNNNNNNNNNNNNNNNNNNNNNNNNNNNNNNNNNNNNNNNNNNNNNNNNNNNNNNNNNNNNNNNNNNNNNNNNNNNNNNNNNNNNNNNNNNNNNNNNNNNNNNNNNNNNNNNNNNNNNNNNNNNNNNNNNNNNNNNNNNNNNNNNNNNNNNNNNNNNNNNNNNNNNNNNNNNNNNNNNNNNNNNNNNNNNNNNNNNNNNNNNNNNNNNNNNNNNNNNNNNNNNNNNNNNNNNNNNNNNNNNNNNNNNNNNNNNNNNNNNNNNNNNNNNNNNNNNNNNNNNNNNNNNNNNNNNNNNNNNNNNNNNNNNNNNNNNNNNNNNNNNNNNNNNNNNNNNNNUUUAUGCUACGUUACCCAACAACGCCGGUGGGCCGCCGCAGGCCCUAGAUCGACCUCCCCCACGCCCUCGUGGCUCGUCUCACCAGAAAGCUAUAGAUCGGCGGUUGUUUUGUCGCGACCGACUGAUUUGGCUUUUCCGGCCACCGGCGGCUGCGCCACAGCCAUGGAUUGGCCGGGGAGCACCCCGUAGCCCCGGCAAAGCUCCAACACCGCAUGCAGGUACUCGUUUAUCCUCUAGUCGUCUGCGUCGGUUUGCCGGCAUGGACUCUUCGGUCGUCGCCCGGGCUCGGUGGUCAUGCAAUGGCUCGCCGGCUUGGCGAUGCCGCUCAUACAAUGCGACGACUGCCUAGAAACAGCAUUGCGGCUCACAUCCAACACACGGCAGCACCUCGGAUGGGUAUUCUUCAAAUGCAAAAACGACGGGGUAUGGUCUUCUUCCUCUUCGGAUUUGUCAACUGAUUUGGUUAAAUUACGGUAGCUUAUUGAGGUCUUCAUCUGUGUAGGAAGGUGUAUGCUCAUUUUGGUAUUAGGAAGAAGAAUACAUUGAUCUAUUGAUAAAAAGAAACUUAAUAGAUGUUUGUGCACUCCUUAGUAUAACUGAGUCUAGCGAUGCAGCUGCAUGUGCAAUUACAAAAGAAAUUAGAGGGGAAGCAACGUCUAAUUCUUUAGAAUCAAAGCCAAAGAAUGAAGAAUGCAAGUUGAAGAACCCCCAGAUCAACAAUGAGUGCAUGGAGAAGAUGUUGAUCCAACUAGUGGGAGCAGUUAUGGAAGUUGGAUAUCUUCUACAAUGUCUAAUUGUGGUUCUUGUUUUCUUUGCUCUUGCUAUUUUAGCAAAUAUUUGAAGAGAAUAAAAAAGCAACUAAAUGUGUUUUCAUGCCUUUGAAGAAAAUAAAAAAGCAACUAAAUGUGUUUUCAUGCCUGAAAAUGUAACGCAAAUAACAGAUUUUGCCGACCGGCGUGGGCGGCGGCCGAGCAAACCCCGCAAAACGGACCUGUAUAAAAGGAUAUUCCUUUUAUACGGGUCCGUUUUGCAGGGUCUGCUCGGCCGCCGCCCAUGCCGGCCCGCAAAAGCGUUUUUCGGCGACCUGCAAACAACUUUUGUGGUACGGCUUUAUACGGGAUCUACUAGAGACGCUCUAAGGAUGACUCUUUGCCCGCGCGUUGCUGUGAUAAUUUUGUUAAAAAUGCGUAAGUAGUUGCUAAAUCUAAUAAAAAAGAAUGUAUGAGAUUGAAAAUUAAUAAAAGAAGUGUCUAAAAAUAGAACAAAACUUCUGAAUUGCAGUUAGUCACUUCGAACAAAAAUGUGAAGGAUGACUAACAUAUAUGAUAUGGCAACAUUACAUACAUAGACUAAUGCAAAAAAAUUAUAAUUUGUAAGUUAAAUGGUAUGGCUCGUUUAUGUGAAAGAUUUUGCAUGGCUUAGUGGAAGAGAAGAUUUAAAUGCAUUACUUAGCGGGACAUUGAGGUGGGCACUUCGUAUGUUGAAAGAAUUGAGACCAACUUCUUAAGAACGUAAGGUUCCAUGCCAAAAUCUUAAGGCUGAAAAGGGCAUCUUGGGUGCAUUGAAAAUGUGUUAUGGCUUUAGCCCUUGUAAAAGAUAGAUUUGAAUUAUCCUCAUUUCCCAAUUAAAAUUAAUUAAACAUGAUCUUGUGAGAUGCUUAUAAUGCACAAACAAUACCAAAAUAAUAUCAUUAUUCUGUGGUUGUUACACUAAUAUAGUUUGAUGAUUUUUUAUUUUAUUUUGAUAGGAAACGUAUACCAUGAAGCUCAUGUGCUUGGUACCUUCCAUGGUUUUUAAGUCGUGUUAUAUCUUGUGAAGCUUACCUACUGAUUCUGCGGUGCCUUUCCAUUUUCGUUGGGUUUCAUGUUAUUUUGCACAUGCAUAAGGGAAUCACAUUGCUGAAGAAAGUUGACAACAAUGGAGCACUACUGUUGAGCACGUCUACGUAAACACUAACGAGAAUUCAUAUGAACAAAUAUUUAUAUGUCUUAGCUGGAGUGAUUUCAGAUCCACAACACCAUCUUUCUGUUAAGAAGAUCAACCAUAUAAUGCUAAACUUUCCAUUAUUCUUAGAGCUAGGAGAACUGCUAUGCGUACACCAUUGCUUCGUCCAAUGCUCAUCCAACGGUGAACCAUCACCUUGGAUCAAACGUUAGAUUGCAAAGCUGACCAUGCAUUGAGAAUAUCAAAUGGAAAUCGGAUAUGAAAUGUUGUGUGUGGAGGAAUACCAUAAAAGUAUUGAAUCAUGUCAUUCCUUAUUCUGGUGUUUGCCUGAUAUGGAGAAAGAGAGAUUUGGUACUAAUGUUUACAGAGUCCUGCUACACAUACGAUAAUUUUCAUAUGAUGUGUAUGACACUAAAUCAGACCCAUCAAUUGUGUAAUGCUAGUUUGGCUAUAGGGCUAAGAUAUGAAUGUACGAGAAUCGUACCUAACAAAUUUAUUAAGUUGAAGCAAUACGAUGCUAGAUUUGUAACAAUCUCCUUGCGUUAAGUUGAAGCAAUACAAUACUCGAGUUUAUAUUAUUCACAAAACCAUUGUUAACAAAUUCAUUUUUAUUCUGAUGUUUAUUGCAAUGAUUUAUCCUUGAGGAUCACAUGCUGAAUUAGCCCUUUAAACCUUUUUUGAAGUACCUUCAGUCUGCUGAGUAAAUAGGCAAUUUUUCGACUAAUUUAAUCCAUAAAUAGAUGACUAGCAUGGCAUUGACAGAAUUAACUACAUACUGAUAUUGAUCUAAACUGGCACGUACUACGCAAACAGUAGACAAAUCUACACAUGAUACUAGUACUGCUAAGACGGAAGUAAUCAGGAGAGAGAUAAGCGCGUUAUACCCUCCAGUAGGCCAUGCAGAAGCCCCCGCGGCGGUGGCGGCAGCAGCGGCGUCCUCGGCGGCCUUCUUGUCGGCCUUAGCCUUCUCGGCGACAGCACGGUCGGCGUCGGUUGACAUGGUGAUGGCGGAGACAGCACGGAUGUAGAGGAAGCAGACGAACAGAGGCGAGCAGUCGCGUGAUCGUUCCCCAAAAACCUAAUCGCCCCUCUUCCCCGUACAGGAACCGGAGAGGCGGGGUUUCGGAGGCCUGCUCUCCCGUCGACCGUGUACGCAGCGGACGGGAUGGAGUCACCGGCUGUAGCAGCAGUAAGGGAACGAGCGCGUGAGGCAGAUGUGAUCUGAUUCUCGUGACGGCUAGGGUUGGCAUUAGCCCUGCUUAAAUAGGCAGCCGGGUGGAGAGAUGUGGGUUGAACCCACGUCCGAGUCGGUAGUAGCCCAUGAUCCGACGUCUCAGACCGUGGCGCAUCCGUUACGUAUUCUCCGAUCCUGACCGGCAAAAAUAGGCGCGUAGGUAUGAGCUCGGCUCGGCUCAUUCCCGCAAGGCAAGGCAAGGCAAGGCGCGGCGCGUCAUGACGAGGCGGGCGACGGAGGAGUGCGCGAGGGCAUCUUCUCUUGUCACUCUCCAAUAGCAUGUGGAAGAGAGACCCUUAUAAAGGGGUCCAACUUCUUCUCCACUAGCGGGGUGGGACUAAACUUCCCACCACCACCUUGUCAUGCCACCACCUACAUGGGACCUUGGAGAUUUUUGAAAUUCUCUUAUGGGCCUAAGGCUCCCUACUAAUUUCAACAAUCCCCCACCAGAUCUCAAGGGCACAUCGUGUUCCCUCGUUCCAAUCACUGUUUUAAUAUACCAGCAUUUCAGUGAAGACCUGUUAAGGUUGAGCUUCACCUAGAACAAGUAGCUACACCCAUUUACAACUGAACAAUGGACUAUGCCUUGAAUUGUCAGUUUGGCCUAAAGAAGCUUCACCACAAGUCUUACUAGUACUAGGCUACCGAAGACUGACCCCUCGGGUGGAGCAUAUAAGUCACACUCCUGGCCUAUUCAUGAGUUUACUAGAGAUCACCCCAAUCUCAUAGACUGUGACCAGCAGUCAGACUCAUAUAGGUGUGUUCCUCCAAAGAUCGCUCUGUAGGACAGCAUCUUGCUUACACAUAAGCUUUAGAACACAUUAAGACAGUAGUCAUCCUACCAUACAGUAUCUGAGAGCAUUGCAUCUCCAACGGAGUGGGUUAGUAAAGUUACUCUCCUCGGUUCACCACUGGCUUGUUUUUCCCAGGUCCUACUUCACGGGAUCUCCGAUCAUAUAGGUUGGGUUACUACCAUGGCAACUCAUGUGGGUCUCAUACCCAUCUCCCUNNNNNNNNNNNNNNNNNNNNNNNNNNNNNNNNNNNNNNNNNNNNNNNNNNNNNNNNNNNNNNNNNNNNNNNNNNNNNNNNNNNNNNNNNNNNNNNNNNNNGACCGAGACACCUCUCCUGCCAAUAACCAUCAGCGGGGUCUGGAUACCCUUGGUGGCUCCCACUUGCUCCACCAUGAUCUCAUCGGAUGAACCACGAUGUCAAGGAUUCAAUCAAUCCCGUAUACAAUUCCCUUUGUCUGUCGGUAUAGAACUUGCCCGAGAUUCGAUCGUCCGUAUACCUAUACCUUGUUCAAUCUCGUUACCGGUAUGUCUCUUUACUCGUUCUGUAGCACGUCAUCGUGUGACUAACUCCUUAGUCACAUUGAGCUCAUGAUGAUGUUCUACCGAGUGGGCCUAGAGAUACCUCUCCGUCACACGGAGUGACAAAUCCCGAUCUCGAUUCGUACCAACCAAAUAGACACUUUUAGAGGUACCGGUAGUGCACCUUUAUAGUCACCCAGUUACGUUGCGACGUUUGAUACACCCAAAGCACUCCUACGGUAUCCGGGAGUUGCACAAUCUCACGAUCGAAGGAAAAGACACUUGACAUUAGAAAAGCUUUAGCAUACGAACAAUACGAUCUAGUGCUACGCUUAGGAUUGGGUCUUNNNNNNNNNNNNNNNNNNNNNNNNNNNNNNNNNNNNNNNNNNNNNNNNNNNNNNNNNNNNNNNNNNNNNNNNNNNNNNNNNNNNNNNNNNNNNNNNNNNNUGAAGUUGCUCACCAUGAUGACUAGUCUGUCUCACGUGAUGAUCGGACACGGAUUAGUCAACAUGGAUCAUGUAUCACUUAGAUGACUGGAGGGAUGUCGAUUUAAGUGAGAGUUCAUACUUAAUUUGAUUAAAUGAACUUAAUUGUCAUGAACUUAGUCUAAAAGUUGUAUUUAUAAAUAUUGUAGAUGGCCAACGUCAACCUCAAUUUCAACGCAUUCCUAGAGAAAAACAAGCUGAAAGAUGAUGGUAGCAACUAUGCAGACUGGGUUCACAACUUGAAGCUCAUCCUUGAAGCAGCUAAAAAGGCUUAUGUCCUUGAUGCGCCGCUAGGUGACCCUCCCGCUCCCGCAGCAGCCCAGGACAUUCUGAACGUCUGGCAAACGUGGAGUGUUGACUACUCUCUGGUUAGGUGUGGCAUGUUAUACAGUUUAGAAACGGGGCUCCAAAGGCGUUUUGAGCAACACGGUGCAUAUGAGAUGUUNNNNNNNNNNNNNNNNNNNNNNNNNNNNNNNNNNNNNNNNNNNNNNNNNNNNNNNNNNNNNNNNNNNNNNNNNNNNNNNNNNNNNNNNNNNNNNNNNNNNNNNNNNNNNNNNNNNNNNNNNNNNNNNNNNNNNNNNNNNNNNNNNNNNNNNNNNNNNNNNNNNNNNNNNNNNNNNNNNNNNNNNNNNNNNNNNNNNNNNNNNNNNNNNNNNNNNNNNNNNNNNNNNNNNNNNNNNNNNNNNNNNNCUCAAAAUGUCUGGGUUACACGGUCGUCUGACUUCACUUGGAGUCGAACUUCCAGAUGAUGCUAUAAUUGACAGAAUCCUCCAAUCUCUCCCACCAAGCUACAAAGGCUUUGUGCUUAACUACAACAUGCAAGGAUGGAGAAGACCAUUCCCGAGUUGUACUCGAUGCUCAAGUCUGCAGAAGUAGAAAUCAAGAAAGAGCAUCAAGUGUUGAUGGUCAACAAGACCACUAGUUUCAAGAAGGGCAAGGGUAAGAAGAACUUCAAGAAAGACGGCAAAGCUGUUGCCGCGCACGGUAAGCCAUAUGCCGUGAAGAAGAAAAAGAAUGGACCCAAGCCUGAGACUGAGUGCUUCUAUUGCAAGGGAAAAUGUCACUCGAAGCGGAACUGCCCCAAAUACUUAGCGGACAAGAAGGCCGACAACGUUAAAGGUAUAUGUGAUAUACAUGUUAUUGAUGUGUACCUUACCAGCGCUCGUAGUAGCUCCUGGGUAUUUGAUACCGGUGAUGUUGCUCACAUUUGCAACUCAAAGUAGGAACUGCGGAAUAAGCGGAGACUGGCAAAGGACGAGGUGACGAUGCGCGUCGGGAAUGGCUCCAAGGUCGAUGUGAACGCCGUCGGAACGUUACCUCUACAUCUACAGUCGGGAUUAGUUUUAAACCUUAAUAAUUGUUAUUUAGUACCAGCUUUGAGCAUGAACAUUGUAUCAGGGUCUUGCUUAAUGCGAGACGGCUACUCAUUUAAGUCACAGAAUAAUGGUUGUUCUAUUUAUAUAAGUGAUAUGUUUUAUGGUCAUGCUCCGCUGGUGAAUGGUUUAUUCUUGAUGAAUCUCGAUCGUGAUGUUACGCAUAUUCAUAGUGUGAGUACCAAAAGAUGUAAAGUUGAUAAUGAUAGUCCCACAUACUUGUGGCACUGUCGCCUUGGUCAUAUCGGUGUUAAGCGCAUGAAGAAGCUCCAUACUGAUGGACUAUUAGAGUCUCCUGAUUUUGAAUCAUUUGACACAUGCGAACCGUGCCUCAUGGGCAAGAUGACUAAGACUCCAUUCUCAGGAAUAAUGGAGAGAGCAACCGACUUAUUGGAAAUAAUACAUACUGAUGUGUGUGGUCCAAUGAACAUUGAAGCUCGCGGUGGCUAUCGUUAUGUUCUCACUCUCACCGAUGAUUUGAGUAGGUAUGGGUAUAUCUACUUGGUGAAGCACAAAUCUGAGACAUUUGAAAGGUUCAAGGAAUUUCAGANNNNNNNNNNNNNNNNNNNNNNNNNNNNNNNNNNNNNNNNNNNNNNNNNNNNNNNNNNNNNNNNNNNNNNNNNNNNNNNNNNNNNNNNNNNNNNNNNNNNNNNNNNNNNNNNNNNNNNNNNNNNNNNNNNNNNNNNNNNNNNNNNNNNNNNNNNNNUGUCUACGAUCUGAUCGUGGAAGAGAAUAUUUGAGUCACGAGUUUGGCACACACCUAAGGAAGUGUGGAAUCGUUUCACAACUGACGUCACCUGGCACACCGCAACGCAAUGGAGUGUCUGAACGUCAUAAUCGCACUUUAUUAGAUAUGGUACGAUCUAUGAUGUCUCUUACCGACUUACCGCUAUCAUUUUGGGGAUAAGCAUUAGAAACUGCAGCAUUCACUUUAAACAGGGCACUGUCUAAAUCCGUUGAGANNNNNNNNNNNNNNNNNNNNNNNNNNNNNNNNNNNNNNNNNNNNNNNNNNNNNNNNNNNNNNNNNNNNNNNNNNNNNNNNNNNNNNNNNNNNNNNNNNNNNNNNNNNNNNNNNNNNNNNNNNNNNNNNNNNNNNNNNNNNNNNNNNNNNNNNNNNNNNNNNNNNNNNNNNNNNNNNNNNNNNNNNNNNNNNNNNNNNNNNNNNNNNNNNNNNNNNNNNNNNNNNNNNNNNNNNNNNNNNNNNNNNNNNNNNNNNNNNNNNNNNNNNNNNNNNNNNNNNNNNNNNNNNNNNNNNNNNNNNNNNNNNNNNNNNNNCCGAAGGUAAAACCUUUUUUGCCAAGAAUGGAUCCUUUCUAGAGAAAGAGUUUCUCUCGAAAGAAGUAAGUGGGAGGAAGGUAGAAUUUGAUGAGGUAAUUACACCCCCUCUCGAACAGGAUAGUAGCGCAGCGCGGGAAGUUGUUCUUCUGGCGCCUACACCAAGUGAAGAGGAAGUUAAUGAUAAUGAUCAUGAAGCUUCGAAUCAAGUUACUACUGAACCGCGAAGGUCCACGAGGGCACGCUCCGCACCAGAGUGGUACGGCAACCCUGUGAUGGAAAUCAUGUUGUUAGACAACGGUGAACCUUCGAACUAUGAAGAAGCGAUGGCGGGCCCGGAUUCCAACAAAUGGCUUGAAGCUAUGAAAUCCGAGAUAGGAUCCAUGUAUGAGAACAAAGUAUGGACUUUGGUGAACAUGCCCGAUGACCGGCGAGCCAUAGAAAAUAAAUGGAUCUUCAAGAAGAAGACUGAUGCAAACGGUAAUGUAACCGUUUACAAUGCUCGACUUGUCGCAAAGGGUUUUCGACAAAUUCAAGGAGUUAACUACGAAGAGACUUUCUCUCCCGUAGCGAAGCUGAAAUCAGUCUGAAUCAUGUUAGCAAUUGCCGCCUUUUAUGAUUAUGAAAUUUGGCAAAUGGACGUCAAAACAGCGUUCCUUAACGGGAACCUUAAGGAAGAGUUGUAUAUGAUGCAACCAGAAGGUUUUGUCGACUCUAAGGGUGCUAACAAAGUGUGCAACCUCCAGCGCUCCAUCUAUGGGCUGGUGCAAGCAUCUCGGAGUUGGAACAUUCACUUUAAUGAGGUGAUUAAAGCGUUUGGGUUCAUACAGGUUUACGGAGAAGCCUGUCUAUACAAGAAAGUGAGUGGGAGCUCUGUAGCUUUCCUCAUACUGUAUGUGGAUGACAUAUUAUUGAUGGGGAACAAUACAGAAAUGUUGGAGAGCAUAAAGGCCUAUUUGAACAAGAGUUUUUCAAUGAAGGACCUUGGAGAAUGUGCAUACAUAUUAGGCAUCAUGAUCUAUAGAGAUAGAUCGAGACGCCUCAUAGGUCUUUCGCAAAGUACAUAACUUGACAAGAUAUUGAAGAAGUUUAAUAUGGAAAACUCAAAGAAAGGGUUCUUGCCAGUUUUGCAAGGUAUGAGAUUGAGUAAGACUCAGUCGCCGACCACGGCAGCAGAUAGAGAGAAGAUGAGUUAUGUCCCCUAUGCUUCAGCCGUAGGCUCUCUAAUGUAUACCAUGCUGUGUACCAGACCUGAUAUAAACCUUGCCAUAAGUUUGGUAGGGAGGUACCAAAGUGAUCCCGGUAUGGAACAGUGGAAAUUUUUCUCGUUUAUGGAGGUGACGAAGAGCUCGUCGUAAAGGGUUACGUUGAUGCUAGCUUCGACGCAUAUCCGGAUGACUCUAAGUCACAGACCGGAUACGUAUAUGUUUUGAAUGGUGGGGCAGUGAGCUGGUGCAGCAGCAAGCAAGAAGUCGUGGCAGCAUCUACAUGUGAAGCGGAGUACAUAACUCCUUCAAAAGCAGCUCAUGAAGGAAUUUGGAUGAAUGAGCUCAUCACCGACCUUGGAGUGGUUCCAAGAGCGUCGGGUCCAAUGACACUCUUCUGUGAUAACACUGGGGCCAUUGCGAUAGCCAAGGAGCCCAGGUUUCACCGGAAGACGAAGCACAUCAAACGCCGCUACAACUCCAUCCAGGACCAUGUCCAGAGUGGAGUAAUAGAGAUUUGUAAAGUACACACGGAUCUGAAUGUUGCGGACCCAUUGACUAAACCUCUUCCACGAGCAAAACAUGAUCAACACCAUAAUGCUAUGGNNNNNNNNNNNNNNNNNNNNNNNNNNNNNNNNNNNNNNNNNNNNNNNNNNNNNNNNNNNNNNNNNNNNNNNNNNNNNNNNNNNNNNNNNNNNNNNNNNNNAUCAAAGAUAGUCAUGGUCUUCUGAUUAUAUACAAAGGUGUUGUUGCGUGAUAACUGGAUCACGUNNNNNNNNNNNNNNNNNNNNNNNNNNNNNNNNNNNNNNNNNNNNNNNNNNNNNNNNNNNNNNNNNNNNNNNNNNNNNNNNNNNNNNNNNNNNNNNNNNNNNNNNNNNNNNNNNNNNNNNNNNNNNNNNNNNNNNNNNNNNNNNNNNNNNNNNNNNNNNNNNNNNNNNNNNNNNNNNNNNNNNNNNNNNNNNNNNNNNNNNNNNNNNCUGCGUGUCAAGUAUUUGUUCCUAUGACCAUGAGAUCAUAUAACUCACUGACACCGGAGGAAUGCUUUGUGUGUAUCAAACGUNNNAACGUAACUGGGUGACUAUAAAGAUGCUCUACAGGUAUCUCCGAAGGUGUUCGUUGAGUUAGUAUGGAUCGAGACUGAGAUUUGUCACUCCGUGUGACGGAGAGGUAUCUCGGGGCCCACUCGGUAAUACAACAUCACACACAAGCCUUGCAAGCAAUGUGACUUAAUGUAAGUUGCGGGAUCUUGUAUUACGGAACGAGUAAAGAGACUUGCCGGUAAACGAGAUUGAAAUAGGUAUGUGGAUACUAACGAUCGAAUCUCGGGCAAGUAACAUACCGAAGGACAAAGGGAAUGACAUACGGGAUUAUAUGAAUCCUUGGCAAUGAGGUUCAAACGGUAAGAUCUUCGUAGAAUAUGUGGGAUACAAUAUGGGCAUCCAGGUCCCGCUAUUGGAUAUUGACCGAGGAGACACUCGGGUCAUGUCUACAUAGUUCUCGAACCCGCAGGGUCUGCACACUUAAGGUUUGACAUUGUUUUAUGCGUAUUUGAGUUAUAUGGUUGGUUACCGAAUGGGUUUCGGGUGUUCACCGGGGGGCAACCCACCCCGGGGAAGCCCAUAGGCCUUGUGGGUGGCGCACCAGCCCUUGGUGGGCUGGUGGGAUAGCCCAAGAAGGUCCUAUGCGCCAAGGAUAGAAAAUCAAAGAUAAAGAAAAAAAAAAGGAGGUGGGAAAGGAGAGAAGGACUCCACUUUCCAAUCCUAGUUGGACUAGGAUUGGAGGAGGACUCCUCCUCCCUUGGUGGCGCAGCCCUUGGGGCUCCUUGAGCCUCAAGGCAAGCCUCCCCUCCCUCCUCCUAUAUAUAUGGAGCAAUUAGGGCUGAUUUGAGACAACUUUUCCAAGGCAGCCCGACCACAUAACUCCAUGGUUUUACCUCUAGAUCGCGUCUCUGCGGAGCUCGGGCGGAGCCCUGCCGAGAUUAGAUCAUCACCAACCUCUGGAGCGUCGUCACGCUGCUGGAGAACUCAUCUACCUCUCCGUCUCUCUUGCUAGAUCAAGAAGGCCGAGAUCAUCGUCGAGCUGUACGUGUGCUGAACGCGGAGGUGCUGUCCGUUCGCCACUAGAUCGUGGGACGGUUCGCGGGGCGGAUCGAGGGACGUGAGGACGUUCCACUACAUCAACCGCGUUCACUAACGCUUCUGCUGUGCGAUCUACAAGGGUACGUAGAUCGGAAAUCCCCUCUCGUAGAUGGACAUCACCAUGAUAGGUCUUCGUGCGCGUAGGAAAAUUUUUGUUUCCCAUGCAACGUUCCUUAACAGAUGGUGCGGCGGCCAAGGGGGGGAGGAGGGGUGUGGCGCACCCCUGGUGGGCCUUAGGCCCACCUGGCUUAGGGUUUCCCCCCCUUUUCUCUCCCCUGCGCAUUGGGCUGAGCGGGGAGGCGCACCAGGCCACCUAGGGGCUGGUUCCCUCCCCUACUUGGCCCAUCUUACCUCCCGGGGUCGUUGCCCCCCUUCGGUGGACCCCCGGGGCCACCUCCGGUGGUCCCGGUGGUCCCGGUACGUUACCGGUGAUGCCCGAAACAUUUCCGGUGUCCGAAACCAUCCGUCCUGUAUAUCAAUCUUUACCUCCGGACCAUUCCGGAGCUCCUCGUGACGUCCGGGAUCUCAUCCGGGACUCCGAACAACUUUCGGUAACCUCGUAUAACAAUUCCCUAUAACCCUAGCGUCAUCGAACCUUAAGUGUGUAGACCCUACGGGUUCGGCAGACAAGCAGACAUGACCGAGCCACCUUUAUGGCCAAUAACCAUCAGCGGGGUCUGGAUACCCAUGGUGGCUCCCACUUGCUCUACGAUGAUCUCAUCGGAUGAACCACGAUGUCAAUGAUUCAAUCAAUCCCGUAUACAAUUCCCUUGGUCUGUCGGUAUAGAACUUGCCCGAGAUUCGAUCGUCGGUAUACCAAUACCUUGUGCAAUCUCGUUACCGGUAAGUCUCUUUACUCGUUCUGUAGCACGUCAUCGUGUNNNNNNNNNNNNNNNNNNNNNNNNNNNNNNNNNNNNNNNNNNNNNNNNNNNNNNNNNNNNNNNNNNNNNNNNNNNNNNNNNNNNNNNNNNNNNNNNNNNNACAUAUACGUAUCCGGUUUGUGACUUAGAGUCAUCCGGAUCUGUGUCGAAGCUAGCAUCGACGUAACCCUUUAGGACGAGCUCUUCGUCACCUCCAUAAAAGAGAAACAUUUCCUUAGUCCUUUUCAGGUACUUAAGGAUAUUCUUGACCGCUGUCCAGUGUUCCGCACCGGGAUUACUUUGGUACCUCCCUACCAAGCUUAUCGCAAGGUUUAUAUCAGGUCUGGUACACAGCAUGGCAUACAUUAGAGAGCCCACGGCUGAAGCGUAGGGGACAGAACUCAUCUUCUCUCUAUCUGCUGCCGUGGUCGGCGACUGAGUCUUACUCAAUCUCAUACCUUGCAAAACUGGCAAGAACCCUUUCUUUGAGUUUUCCAUAUUGAACUUCUUCAAUAUCUUGUCAAGGUAUGUACUUUGCGAAAGACCUAUGAGGCGUCUCGAUCUAUCUCUAUAGAUCUUGAUGCCUAAUAUGUAUGCAGCUUCUCCAAGGUCCUUCAUUGAAAAACUCUUGUUCAAAUAGGCCUUUAUGCUCUCCAACAUCUCUAUAUCAUUCCCCAUCAAUAAUAUGUCAUCCACAUAUAGUACGAGGAAAGCUACAGAGCUCCCACUCACUUUCUUGUACAGACAGGCUUCUCCGUAAACCUGUAUGAACCCAAACGCCUUAAUCACCUCAUUAAAGCGAAUGUUCCAACUCCGAGAUGCUUGCACCAGCCCAUAGAUGGAGCGCUGGAGCUUGCAUACUUUGUUAGCACCUUUAGGAUCGACAAAACCUUCUGGUUGCAUCAUAUACAACUCUUCCUUAAGAUUCCCGUUAAGGAACGCUGUUUUGACGUCCAUUUGCCAAAUUUCAUAAUCAUAAAAGGCGGCAAUUGCUAACAUGAUUCGGACUGAUUUCAGCUUCGCUACGGGAGAGAAAGUCUCUUCGCAGUCAACUCCUUGAAUUUGUCGAAAACCCUUUGCGACAAGUCGAGCUUUGUAAACGGUUACAUUACCGUUUGCAUCAGUCUUCUUCUUGAAGAUCCAUUUAUUUUCUAUGGCUCGCCGGUCAUCGGGCAUGUUCACCAAAGUCCAUACUUUGUUCUCAUACAUGGAUCCUAUCUCGGAUUUCAUAGCUUCAAGCCAUUUGUUGGAAUCCGGGCCCGCCAUCGCUUCUUCAUAGUUCGAAGGUUCACCGUUGUCUAACAACAUGAUUUCCAUCACAGGGUUGCCGUACCACUCUGGUGCGGAGCGUACCCUUGUGGACCUUCGUGGUUCAGUAGUAACUUGAUCCGAAGCUUCAUGAUCAUCAUCAUUAACUUCCUCUUCAGUUGGUAUAGGCAUCACAGGAACAACUUCUUGCGCUGCGCUACUUUCCUGUUNNNNNNNNNNNNNNNNNNNNNNNNNNNNNNNNNNNNNNNNNNNNNNNNNNNNNNNNNNNNNNNNNNNNNNNNNNNNNNNNNNNNNNNNNNNNNNNNNNNNNNNNNNNNNNNNNNNNNNNNNNNNNNNNNNNNNNNNNNNNNNNNNNNNNNNNNNNNNNNNNNNNNNNNNNNNNNNNNNNNNNNNNNNNNNNNNNNNNNNNNNNNNNNNNNNNNNNNNNNNNNNNNNNNNNNNNNNNNNNNNNNNNNNNNNNNNNNNNNNNNNNNNNNNNNNNNNNNNNNNNNNNNNNNNNNNNNNNNNNNNNNNNNNNNNNNNNNNNNNNNNNNNNNNNNNNNNNNNNNNNNNNNNNNNNNNNNNNNNNNNNNNNNNNNNNNNNNNNNNNNNNNNNNNNNNNNNNNNNNNNNNNNNNNNNNNNNNNNNNNNNNNNNNNNNNNNNNNNNNNNNNNNNNNNNNNNNNNNNNNNNNNNNNNNNNNNNNNNNNNNNNNNNNNNNNNNNGAUAGCGGUAAGUCGGUGAGAGACAUCAUAGAUUGUACCAUAUCUAAUAAGGUGCGAUUACGACGUUCAGACACUCCGUUGCGUUGCGGUGUGCCAGGCGGCGUUAGUUGUGAAACGAUUCCACACUUCCUUAGGUGUGUGCCAAAUUCAUGACCCAAAUAUUCUCCUCCACGAUCAGAUCGUAGACAUUUAAUUUUUCUGUCACGUUGAUUCUCAACCUCACUCUAAAAUUCCUUGAACCUUUCAAACGUCUCAGAUUUGUGCUUCAUCAAGUAAAUAUACCCAUACCUACUCAAAUCAUCGGUGAGAGUGAGAACAUAACGAUAACCACCGCGAGCUUCAACGUUCAUUGGACCACACACAUCAGUAUGUAUUAUUUCCAAUAAGUCGGUGGCUCUCUCCAUUAUUCCUGAGAAUGGAGUCUUAGUCAUCUUGCCCAUGAGGCACGGUUCGCAUGUGUCAAAUGAUUCAAAGUCAAGAGACUCUANNNNNNNNNNNNNNNNNNNNNNNNNNNNNNNNNNNNNNNNNNNNNNNNNNNNNNNNNNNNNNNNNNNNNNNNNNNNNNNNNNNNNNNNNNNNNNNNNNNNNNNNNNNNNNNNNNNNNNAAAGUCAAGAGACUCUAGCAGUCCAUCAGUAUGGAGCUUCUUCAUGCGCUUAACGCCGAUAUGACCAAGGUGGCAGUGCCACAAGUAUGUGGGACUAUCGUUAUCAACUUUGCAUCUUUUGGUACUCACACUAUGAAUAUGUGUAACAUCACGAUCGAGAUUCAUCAAGAAUAAACCAUUCACCAGCGGAGCAUGACCAUAAAACAUGUCACUCAUAUAAAUAGAACAACCAUUAUUCUCUGACGUAAAUGAGUAGCUGUCUCGCAUUAAGCAAGACCCUGAUACAAUGUUCAUGCUUAAAGCUGGUACUAAAUAACAAUUAUUAAGGUUUAAAACUAAUCCCGACGGUAGAUGUAGAGGUAGCGUGCCGACGGCGAUCACAUCGACCUUGGAGCCUUUCCCGACGCGCAUCGUCACCUCGUCCUUGGCCAGUCUCCGCUUAUUCCACAGUUCCCGCUUUGAGUUGCAAAUGNNNNNNNNNNNNNNNNNNNNNNNNNNNNNNNNNNNNNNNNNNNNNNNNNNNNNNNNNNNNNNNNNNNNNNNNNNNNNNNNNNNNNNNNNNNNNNNNNNNNACGUUUGAUACACACAAGGCAUUCCUCCGGUGUCAGUGAGUUAUAUGAUCUCAUGGUCAUAGGAAUAAAUACUAGACACGCAGAAAAACAGUAGCAACAAAAUGACACGAUCAACAUGCUACGUUCAUCACGUGAUUCUCCUAAUGAUGCGAUCCUGUUAUCAAGUGACAACACUUGCCUAUGGUCAGGAAAACUUGACCAUCUUUGAUCAACAAGCUAGUCAACUAGAGGCUUACUAGGGACAAUGUUUUGUCUAUGUAUCCACACAAGUAUUGUGUUUCCAGUCAAUACAAUUAAAGCAUGGAUAAUAAACGAUUAUCAUGAACAAAGAAAUAUAAUAAUAACCAAUUUAUUAUUGCCUCUAGGGCAUAUUUCCAACAGUCUCCCACUUGCACUAGAGUCAAUAAUCUAGUUCACAUCACCAUGUGAUUCUAACGAAUCCAACACCCAUAUAGUUCUGGGGUCUGAUCACGUCUUGCUCGUGAGAGAGGUUUUAGUGAACGGUUCUGAAACUUUCAGAUCUGUGUGUUCUUUACAAAUCUUUAUGUCAUUUUAUAGAUGUUGCUACUACGUGCUAUUCGGAAAUACUCCAAAUAUCUACUCUACUAUACGAAUCCGUUUCACUACUCAUAGUUAUUCGGACUAGUGUCAAAGCUUGCAUCGACGUAACNNNNUACGACGAACUCUUUAACCACCUCCAUAAUCGAGAAAAAAAAACCUUAGUCCAUUUAGUUACUAAGGAUAACUUUGACCGCUGAUCAGUGAUUCAAUCCUGGAUCACUCUCUGUACCUCUUAACAGACUUGCUGCAAGGCACACAUCAGGUGCGGUACUCAGCAUGGCAUACUUUAGAGUCUACGAAUAAGGCAUAGAAGACGACCUUCGUCUAUUCUCUUUAUUCUGCCGGGGUCGGGUUUUGAGUCUUACUCAAAUUCACACCUUACAACACUGUUGGGGAACGUCGCAUGGGAAACAAANNNNNNNNNNNNNNNNNNNNNNNNNNNNNNNNNNNNNNNNNNNNNNNNNNNNNNNNNNNNNNNNNNNNNNNNNNNNNNNNNNNNNNNNNNNNNNNNNNNNNNNNNNNNNNNNNNNNNNNNNNNNNNNNNNNNNNNNNNNNNACGCGCACGAAGACCUAACAUGGUGAUGUCCAUCUACGAGAGUGGAUUUCCGAUCUACGUACCCUUGUAGAUCGCACAUCAGAAGCGUUAAGAAACGUGGUUGAUGUAGUGGAACGUCCUCACGUCCCUCGAUCCGCCCUGCGAACUGUCCCGCGAUCCGUUCCACGAUCUAGUGCCGAACAGACGGCACCUCCGCAUUCAGCACACGUACAGCUCGACGAUGAUCUCGGCCUUCUUGAUCCAGCAAGAGAGACGGAGAGGUAGAUGAGUUCUCCGGCAGCGUGACGGCGCUCCGGAGGUUGGUGGUGAUCUAAUCUCAGCAGGGCUCCGCCCGAGCUCUGCAGAAACGCGAUCUAGNNNNNNNNNNNNNNNNNNNNNNNNNNNNNNNNNNNNNNNNNNNNNNNNNNNNNNNNNNNNNNNNNNNNNNNNNNNNNNNNNNNNNNNNNNNNNNNNNNNNNNNNNNNNNNNNNNNNNNNNNNNNNNNNNNNNNNNNNNNNNNNNNNNNNNNNNNNNNNNNNNNNNNNNNNNNNNNNNNNNNNNNNNNNNNNNNNNNNNNNNNNNNNNNNNNNNNNNNNNNNNNNNNNNNNNNNNNNNNNNNNCAAGGAGCCCCAAGGGGGUCGGACGAGCCAAGGGGGGGAGUCCUCCCCUUCCAAACCGAAUCCAACUAGGUUUGGAAGGAGGAGUCCUUCCCCUUUUUCCAACCUCCCCUUUUUUUCCUUUUCCUCUUUGAUUUUCUUCCUAUGGCGCAUAGGGCCUUCUUGGACUGUCCCACCAUCCCACUAAGGGCUGGUGCGCCACCCCCAAGGCCUAUGGGCUUCCCCGGGCUGGGUUGCCCCCCCCUCCGGUGAACACCCGGAANNNNNNNNNNNNNNNNNNNNNNNNNNNNNNNNNNNNNNNNNNNNNNNNNNNNNNNNNNNNNNNNNNNNNNNNNNNNNNNNNNNNNNNNNNNNNNNNNNNNNNNNNNNNNNNNNNNNNNNNNNNNNNNNNNNNNNNNNNNNNNNNNNNNNNNNCGGUACAUUCCCGGUAACUCUGAAAACCUUCCGGUAAUCAAAUGAGGUCAUCCUAUAUAUCAAUCUUCGUUUCCGGACCAUUCCGGAAACCCUCGUGACAUCCGUGAUCUCAUCCGGGACUCCGAACAACAUUCGGUAACCAACCAUAUAACUCAAAUACGCAUAAAACAACGUUGAACCUUAAGUGUGCAGACCCUGCGGGUUCGAGAACUAUGUAGACAUGACCCGAGAGACUCCUCGGUCAAUAUACAAUAGCGGGACCUGGANNNNNNNNNNNNNNNNNNNNNNNNNNNNNNNNNNNNNNNNNNNNNNNNNNNNNNNNNNNNNNNNNNNNNNNNNNNNNNNNNNNNNNNNNNNNNNNNNNNNAGUCAACCUAGGUGUUUUGCGUGUGUAAAUCUGGCUUACACCCGUUGUAUGCGAACGUUAGAAUCUAUCACACCCGAUCAUCACGUGGUGCUUCGAGACAACGAACCUUCGCAACGGUGCACACUUAGGGGAAUACGUUCUCGAAAUUUUAGGAGGGAUCAUCUUAUUAUGCUACCGUCGUUUUAAGCAGUAAGAUGUAAAACAUGAUAAACAUCACAAUGCAAUCAUAUAGUGACAUGAUAUGGCCAUUAUCAUCUUUGCUCAUUCGAUCUCCAUCUUCAGGCAUCGCAUGAUCAUCAUCGUCACCGGCGUGACACCAUGAUCUCCAUCAUCAUGAUCUCCAUCAUCGUGUCUCCGUGAAGUCGUCACGCCAACUACUACUAUCACUACUACUAUAGCUAACCGUUAGCAAUGAAGUAAAAGUAGCAAGCACAUGGCGUUGCANNNNNNNNNNNNNNNNNNNNNNNNNNNNNNNNNNNNNNNNNNNNNNNNNNNNNNNNNNNNNNNNNNNNNNNNNNNNNNNNNNNNNNNNNNNNNNNNNNNNNNNNNNNNNNNNNNNNNNNNNNNNNNNNNNNNNNNNNNNNNNNNNNNNNNNNNNNNNNNNNNNNNNNNNNNNNNNNNNNNNNNNNNNNNNNNNNNNNNNNNNNNNNNNNNNNNNNNNNNNNNNNNNNNNNNNNNNNNNNNNNNNNNNNNNNNNNNNNNNNNNNNNNNNNNNNNNNNNNNNNNNNNNNNNNNNNNNNNNUCCUCUAAUUGUUGUUGCAAGUUUUACGUGGCUGAUUUGGGUUUCUAGCAAGAACGCUUUCUUACCUACGUGACAGCCACAACGAUGAUAUGCCAAAGCUAUUUACCCUUCAUAAGGACCCUUUUCAUCAAAUCCAAUCCGACUAGAGUAGGAGAGACAGACACCCGCUAGCCACCUUUAUGCACGAUGUGCAUGUUUGUCGGUGGAACCAGUCUCACGUAAGCGUACGUGUAAGGUCGGUCCGGGCCGCUUCAUCCCACAAUACCGCCGGAAAAGAAUAAGACUAGUAACGGCAAGCAAAUUGACAAACCAUCGCCCACAACUUUUGUGUUCUACUCGUGCAUAGAAUCUACGCAUAGAAAACCUGGCUCGGAUGCCACUGUUGGGUAACGUAGCAUAAAUUCAAAAUUUUCCUACGCUUAUUCAGAUCUUCCUAUGGAGAGACCAGCAACGAGAGAGGGGUAAGAGCAUCUUCAUACCUUUGAAGAUCGCUAAGCGGAAGCGUUUGCUAGAACGCGGUUGAUGGAGUCGUACUCGCAGCGAUUCCGAUCUAGUGCCGAACAACGGCACCUCCGCGUUCAACACACGUGCAGCCCGGUGACGUCUCCCGCACCUUGAUCCAGCAAGGAGGAGGGAGAGGUUGGGGAAGAUCUCCAGCAGCACGACGGCGUGGUGUCGAUGGAGAGACGAGGUCUCCCGGCAGGGCUUUGCCAAGCACCGUGGGAGAGGAGGAAGAAGGGGGGCAGGGCUGCGCCGAGGGAGAGUGAAAACUGUGUGUAAAACAGCCCCAAAACCCCCACUAUAUAUAGGAGGAGGGGAGGGGGGUGCCACCCCUAGGGUUCCCACCCUAGGUGGUGCGGCAGCCCCCCCAGAUGGGAGGUGCGGCGGCCACGGCAGGGGGAGGGGGUGGCGCACCCCUAGGUGGGCCUUAGGCCCACCAGCGCCUAGGGUUCCCCCCCCCCUCUCCACCUCCUGCGCCUUGGGCCUCCUUGUGGGAGGCGCACCAACCCACUUUGGGCUGGUUUCCCUCCCUCUUUUGGCCCAUGCUACCUCAUGGGGCUGGUGGCCCCUCCCGGUGGACCCCCGGGACCAUUUUCAGUGGUCCCGGUACAUUACCGGUGAUGCCCGAAACAUUUCCGGUGUUCAAAACCAUCCAUCCUAUAUACAAUCUUUACCUCCGGACCAUUCCGGAGCUCCUCGUGACGUCCGGGAUCUCAUCCGAGACUCCGAACAACUUUCGGUAACCUCGUAUAACAAUUCCCUAUAACCCUAGCGUCAUCGAACCUUAAGUGUGUAGACCCUACGGGUUCGGGAGACACGCAGACAUGACCGGGACAACUCUCCGGCCAAUAACCAUCAGCGGGGUCUGGAUACCCAUGGUGGCUCCCACUUGCUCCACGAUGAUCNNNNNNNNNNNNNNNNNNNNNNNNNNNNNNNNNNNNNNNNNNNNNNNNNNNNNNNNNNNNNNNNNNNNNNNNNNNNNNNNNNNNNNNNNNNNNNNNNNNNGUAUGAACUAUGGUUUGCCAAGAAACCUAAGUUGUCGUUUCUUAAAGUUUGGGGCUGCGAUGCUUCUGUGAAGAAACUUAAACUAGAAAAGCUCGAACCCAAAGCGGAGAAAUGCGUAUUCAUAGGAUACCCUAAGGAAACUAUUGGGUAUACCUUCUAUCUUAGAUCCGAAGGUAAAACCUUUGUUGCCAAGAACGGAUCCUUUCUAGAGAAAGAGUUUCUCUCGAAAGAAGUAAGUGGGAGGAAGGUAGAACUUGAUGAGGUAAUUACACCCCCUCUCGAACAGGAUAGUAGCGCAGCGCGGGAAGUUGUUCCUGUGGCGCCUACACCAACUGAAGAGGAAGUUAAUGAUGAUGAUCAUGAAGCUUCGAAUCAAGUUACUAUUGAACCGCGAAGGUCCACAAGGGCACGCUCCGCACCAGAGUGGUACGACAACCCUGUGAUGGAAAUCAUGUUGUUAGACAACGUUGAACCUUCGAACUAUGAAGAAGCGAUGGCGGGCCCGGAUUCCAACAAAUGGCUUGAGGCUAUGAAAUCCGAGAUAGGAUCCAUGUAUGAGAACAAAGUAUGGACUUUGGUGGACUUGCCCGAUGACCGGCGAGCCAUAGAAACUAAAUGGAUCUUCAAGAAGAAGACUGAUGCAAACGGUAAUGUAACCGUUUAUAAAGCUCGACUUGUCGCAAAGGGUUUUCGACAAAUUCAAGGAGUUGACUACGAAGAGACUUUCUCUCCCGUAGCGAAGCUGAAAUCAGUCCGAAUCAUGUUCGCAAUUUCUGCCUUUUAUGAUUAUGAAAUUUGGCAAAUGGACGUCAAAACAGCGUUCCUUAACGGGAACCUCAAGGAAGAGUUGUAUAUGAUGCAACCAGAAGGUUUUAUCGACCCUAAGGGUGCUAACAAAGUGUGCAAGCUCCAGCUCUCCAUCUAUGGGCUGGUGCAAGAAUCUCGGAGUUGGAACAUUCGCUUUAAUGAGGUGAUUAAAGCGUUUGGGUUCAUACAGGAUUACGGAGAAGCCUGUCUGUACAAGAAAGUGAGUGGGAGCUCUGUAGCUUUCCUCAUACUGUAUGUGGAUGACAUAUUAUUGAUGGGGAAUAAUAUGGAGAUGUUGGAGAGCAUAAAGGCCUAUUUGAACAAAAGUUUUUCAAUGAAGGACCUUGGAGAAGCUGCAUACAUAUUAGGCAUCAAGAUCUAUAGAGAUAGAUCAAGACGCCUCAUAGGUCUUUCGCAAAGGACAUACCUUGAUAAGAUAUUGAAGAAGUUCAAUAUGGAAAACUCAAAGAAAGGGUUCUUGCCAGUUUUGCAAGGUAUGAGAUUGAUUAAGACUCAGUCGCCGACCACGGCAGCAGAUAGAGAGAAGAUGAGUUUUGUCCCCUACGCAUCAGCCGUGGGCUCUCUAAUGUAUGCCAUGGUGUGUACCAGACCUGAUAUAAACCUUGCCAUAGGCUUGGUAGGGAGGUACCAAAGUGAUCCCGGUAUGGAACACUGGACAUCGGUCAAGAAUAUCCUUAAGGACCUGAAAAGGACUAAGGAAAUGUUUCUCGUUUAUGGAGGUGAUGAAGAGCUCGUCGUAAAGGGUUACGUCGACGCUAGCUUCGACACAGAUCCGGAUGACUCUAAGUCACAGACCGAAUACGUAUAUGUGUUGAAUGGUGGGGCAGUGAGCUGGUGCAGCAGCAAGCAAGAAGUCGUGGCAGCAUCUACAUGUGAAGCGGAGUACAUAGCUGCUUCAGAAGCGGCUCAUGAUGGAAUUUGGAUGAAGGAGCUCAUCACCGACCUUGGAGUGGUUCCAAGCGCGUCGGGUCCUAUGACACUCUUCUGUGAUAACACUUGAGCCAUUGCCAUAGCCAAAGAGCCCAGGUUUCACCGGAAGACGAAGCACAUCAAGCGCCGCUACAACUCCAUCCAGGACCAUGUCCAAACUGGAGUGAUAGAUAUUUGUAAAGUACACACGGAUCUGAAUAUUGCAGACCCGUUGACUAAACCUCUUCCACGAGCAAAACAUGAUCAACACCAUANNNNNNNNNNNNNNNNNNNNNNNNNNNNNNNNNNNNNNNNNNNNNNNNNNNNNNNNNNNNNNNNNNNNNNNNNNNNNNNNNNNNNNNNNNNNNNNNNNNNGCUUAGGAUUGGGUCUUGUCCAUCACAUCAUUCUCCCAAUGAUGUGAUCCCGUUAUCAAUGACAUCUAAUGCCCAUGACCAGGAAACCAUGAUCGUCUAUUGACUAACGAGCUAGCCAACUAGAGGCUUGGUAGGGACACAUUGUGAUCUAUUUAUUCACACAUGUAUUACUGUUUCCUGUUAAUACAANNAUAGCAUGAACAAUAGAUGAUUAUCCUGAACAAGGAAAUAUGAUAAUAACCAUUUUAUUAUUGCCUCUAGGGCAUAUUUCCAANNNNNNNNNNNNNNNNNNNNNNNNNNNNNNNNNNNNNNNNNNNNNNNNNNNNNNNNNNNNNNNNNNNNNNNNNNNNNNNNNNNNNNNNNNNNNNNNNNNNNNNNNNNNNNNNNNNNNNNNNNNGGGCAUAUUUCCAACAGGCGUGACCUCGGCGGCUGGUGUGGCUCGAAUCGAAGGCGGCGCCCGACAACCAUGGGUGGGGGAAAGGCGCGGGUGAAAUGUCCCACCAACCAACCGUUUCUAGAUAUAUAUAGGGCACCGACGGGUCGGGGGGAGAACAUGCGUUUUCGAGGGGUUGGGGUGGGCAUUUUGCCGCGCCCUACAUAAUUUUUUAUGGGUCGGACACGGUUACGGGGUCUGGUCUCGCAACGUUUCCCACCCCUACCUGUAUUUUGACGGUUAUUUUACGGAUUCAGCCCUUUUACGGGGUGUGUUAGAGAUGCUCUUAGUACUCAUGUCCAAAUUUUCCAUAAUGAAGAAGACACACGCGUGAGCAACUCCAAGAAAUUUUAAACUCACAUUAUGUUGCUCAUGUUUCAGAACUGUUUUGCAACAAUAAACUAAUCAGAUAUAAUAAAUCUCAUAUAUUUACAUUUUCAUGUAUUCAUAUUGUUAAUUGUAAUAUUCAUGUUUCACANNNNNNNNNNNNNNNNNNNNNNNNNNNNNNNNNNNNNNNNNNNNNNNNNNNNNNNNNNNNNNNNNNNNNNNNNNNNNNNNNNNNNNNNNNNNNNNNNNNNNNNNNNNNNNNNNNNNNNNNNNNNNNNNNNNNUUCAUGUUUCACAUAAGCAAGUAUCAUCUGAACAUAAUGAUAAUAAUUCCCGCAACAACGCGCGGGGAAUUGUCUAGUUCAUAUAUAUGUAUAGAGGCUCACCCCAAAAUAUUACAUGGGUUGAAAAGGUUUAGAUCAUCGAACCCUAAUUAAAAUCAAAUUUUAAGAAAAUGCACAGAUACUCAUCAAUUUAAAUUCAGGUAAUUUCACUUACUGGAAUCUCUUGAAAACGAGAUCUAUUUUUCACUUAGUGAGUCGUUGACCGUUUCCCGAUGACCUUAGAAUGUUAAAGAAAAUCAUGAAAUAAUAAUAAUAAUAAAUAUAUUUUUAAAACAUGAUUUUAAAAAUAGUUCAUAUAUUUCAAAACAAUUCACGUAUAUGAAAAAAUACANNNNNNNNNNNNNNNNNNNNNNNNNNNNNNNNNNNNNNNNNNNNNNNNNNNNNNNNNNNNNNNNNNNNNNNNNNNNNNNNNNNNNNNNNNNNNNNNNNNNUUGUUCAAUCUCGUUACAGGUAAGUCUCUUUACUCGUUCCAUAGCACGUCAUUGUAUGAAUAACUCCUUAGUCAUAUUGAGCUCAUGAUGAUGUUCUACGAGUGGGCCAGAGAUACCUCUCCGUCACACGGAGUGACAAAUCCCGAUCUCGAUUCGUACCAACCCAACAGACACUUUCAGAGGUACCCAUAGUGCACCUUUAUAAUCACCCAGUUACGUUGUNNNNNNNNNNNNNNNNNNNNNNNNNNNNNNNNNNNNNNNNNNNNNNNNNNNNNNNNNNNNNNNNNNNNNNNNNNNNNNNNNNNNNNNNNNNNNNNNNNNNNNNNNNNNNNNNNNNNNNNNNNNNNNNNNNNNNNNNNNNNNNNNNNNNNNNNNNNNNNNNNNNNNNNNNNNNNNNNNNNNNNNNNNNNNNNNNNNNNNNNNCUUGACAUUAGAAAAGCUUUAGCAUACGAACAAUACGAUCUAGUGCUAUGCUUAUGAUUGGGUCUUGUCCAUCACANNAUUCUCCCAAUGAUGUGAUCCCGUUAUCAAUGACAUCUAAUGCCCAUGAUCAGGAAACCAUGAUCAUCUGUUGACUAACGAGCUAGCCAACUAGAGGCUUGCUAGGGACACUUUGUGAUCUAUUUAUUCACACAUGUAUUACCGUUUCCUCUUAAUACAAUUAUAGAAUGAACUAUAGACGAUUAUCAUGAACAAAGAAAUAUGAUAAUAACCNNNNNNNNNNNNNNNNNNNNNNNNNNNNNNNNNNNNNNNNNNNNNNNNNNNNNNNNNNNNNNNNNNNNNNNNNNNNNNNNNNNNNNNNNNNNNNNNNNNNAGCUGUAAGAUGGAGGAGAACAGUUCUGUCAGUGAGCACAUACUCAAAAUGUCUGGGUUGCACUGUCGUCUGACUUCACUUGGAGUCGAACUUCCGUAUGAUGCUAUAAUUGACAGAAUCCUCCAGUCUCUCCCACCAAGCUACAAAGGCUUUGUGCUUAACUACAACAUGCAAGGGAUGGAGAAGACCAUUCCCGAGUUGUACUCGAUGCUCAAGUCUGCAGAAGUAGAAAUCAAGAAAGAGCAUCAAGUGUUGAUGGUCAACAAGACCACUAGUUUCAAGAAGGGCAAGGGUAAGAAGAACUUCAAGAAAGACGGCAAAGCUGUUGCCGCGCACGGUAAGCCAUAUGCCGUGAAGAAGAAAAAGAAUGGACCCAAGCCUGAGACUGAGUGCUUCUAUUGCAAGGGAAAAUGUCACUCGAAGCGGAACUGCCCCAAAUACUUAGCGGACAAGAAGGCCGACAACGUUAAAGGUAUAUGUGAUAUACAUGUUAUUGAUGUGUACCUUACCAGCGCUCGUAGUAGCUCCUGGGUAUUUGAUACCGGUGUUGUUGCUCACAUUUGCAACUCAAAGNNNNNNNNNNNNNNNNNNNNNNNNNNNNNNNNNNNNNNNNNNNNNNNNNNNNNNNNNNNNNNNNNNNNNNNNNNNNNNNNNNNNNNNNNNNNNNNNNNNNAUAUAACUUGGCUUGUAUAUUCCAAUGAUAGGCUUCCUCAAAAUUGCCUUAGGUCUUCGUGAGCAAGCAAGUUGGAUACACACCCACUAGUUUUCUUUAAGAGCUUUCACAUACUCGUAGCUCUAGUGCAUCAUUUGUAUGGCAAUCCCUACUCAUUCACAUUGAUAUCUAUUAAUGGGCAUCUCCAUAGCCUAUUGAUACGCCGAGUCAGUGUGACCAUCUCCUCCUUUUUGUCUCACAACCACCACCACACUCUAUUCCACCUAUAGUGCUAUAUCCAUGGCUCGCGCUCAUGUAUUGCGUGAUAGUUAUAAAAAGUUUGAGAAAGUAAGAGUGCGAAAACAAUUACUUGGCCAAUUGCGGGGUUGUGCAUGAUUUACAUUAGUUGUGUGAGGAUGAUGGAGCAUAGCUAGACUAUAUGAUUUUGUAGGGAUAACUUUCUUUGGCCUUGUUAUUUUGAAAGUUCAUGAUUACUUUGCUAGUUUGCUUGAAGUAUUACUGUUUUCAUGUCAAUAGCAAACUAUUGUUUUGAAUCUUACGGAUCUGAACNNNNNNNNNNNNNNNNNNNNNNNNNNNNNNNNNNNNNNNNNNNNNNNNNNNNNNNNNNNNNNNNNNNNNNNNNNNNNNNNNNNNNNNNNNNNNNNNNNNNCACUCCUACGGUAUCCGGGAGUUGCACAAUCUCACGGUCGAAGGAAAAGACACUUGACAUUAGAAAAGCUUUAGCAUACGAACAAUACGAUCUAGUGCUAUGCUUAGGAUUGGGUCUUGUCCAUCACAUCAUUCUCCCAAUGAUGUGAUCCCGUUAUCAAUGACAUCUAAUGCCCAUGAUCAGGAAACCAUGAUCAUCUAUUGACUAAUGACCUAGCCAACUAGAGGCUUGCUAGGGACACAUUGUGAUCUAUUUAUUCACACAUGUAUUAUUGUUUCCUGUUAAUACAAUUAUAGCAUGAACAAUAGAUGAUUAUCUUGAACAAGGAAAUCUGAUAAUAACCAUUUUAUUAUUGCCUCUAGGGCAUAUUUCCAACAGUCUCCCACUUGCACUAGAGUCAAUAAUCUAGUUACAUUGUGAUGUAUCGAACACCCAUAGCACUAUGGUGUUGAUCAUGUUUUGCUCGUGGAAGAGGUUUAGUCAACGGGUUUGCAACAUUCAGAUCCGUAUGUACUUUACAAAUCUCUAUUACUCCACUGUGGACAUGGUCUUGGAUGGAAUUGUAGUGGCGUUUGAUGUGCUUCGUCUUCCGGUGAAACCUGGGCUCCUUGGCUAUGGCAAUGGCCCUAGUGUUAUCACAGAAGAGCGUCAUUGGACCCGACGCGCCUGGAACCACUCCAAGGUCGGUGAUGAGCUCCUUCAUCCAAAUUCCUUCAUGAGCCGCUUCUGAAGCAGCUAUGUACUCCACUUCACAUGUAGAUGCUGCCACGACUUCUUGCUUGUUGUUGCACCAACUCACUGCCCCACUAUUCAAAACAUAUACGUAUCCGGUCUGUGACUUAGAGUCAUCCGGAUCUGUGUCGAAGCUAGCGUUGACGUAACCCUUUACGACGAGCUCUUCGUCACCUCCAUAAACGAGAAACAUUUCCUUAGUCCUCUUCAGGUACUUAAGGAUAUUCUUGACCGCUGUCCAGUGUUCCAUACCGGGAUCACUUUGGUACCUCCCUACCAAACUUAUGGCAAGGUUUAUAUCAGGUCUGGUACAUAGCAUGACAUACAUUAGAGAGCCUACGGCUGAAGCGUAGGGGACAUUACUCAUCUUCUCUCUAUCUGCUGCCGUGGUCGGUGACUGAGUCUUACUCAUUCUUAUACCUUGCAAAACUGGCAAGAACCCUUUCUUUGAGUUUUCCAUAUUGAACUUCUUCAAUAUCUUGUCAAGGUAUGUACUUUGCGAAAGACCUAUGAGGCGUAUCGAUCUAUCUCUAUAGAUCUUGAUGCCUAAUAUGUAUGCAGCUUCUCCAAGGUCCUUCAUUGAAAAACUCUUGUUCAAAUAGGCCUUUAUGCUCUCCAACAUCUCUAUAUUAUUCCCCAUCAAUAAUAUGUCAUCCACAUAGAGUAUGAGGAAAGCUACAGAGCUCCCACUCACUUUCUUGUACAGACAUGCUUCUCCGUAAACCUGUAUGAACCCAAACGCUUUAAUCACCUCAUUAAAGCAAAUGUUCCCACUCCGAGAUGCUUGCACCAGCCCAUAGAUGGAGGGCUGGAGCUUGCACACUUUGUUAGCACCCUUAGGGUCGACAAAACCUUCUGGUUGCAUCAUAUACAACUCUUCCUUAAGGUUCCCGUUCAGGAACGCUGUUUUGACGUCCAUUUGCCAAAUUUCAUAAUCAUAAAAGGAGGCAAUUGCUAACAUGAUUCAGACUGAUUUCAGCUUCGCUACGGGAGAGAAAGUCUCUUCGUAGUCAAUUCCUUGAAUUUGUCGAAAACCCUUUGCGACAAGUCGAGCUUUAUAAACGGUUACAUUACCGUUUGCAUUACUCUUCUUCUUGAAGAUCCAUUUAUUUUCUAUGGCUCGCCGGUCAUCGGGAAAGUCCACCAAAGUCCAUACUUUGUUCUCAUACAUGGAUCCUAUCUCGGAUUUCAUAGCUUCAAGCCAUUUGUUGGAAUCCGGGCCCGCCAUCGCUUCUUCAUAGUUCGAAGGUUCACCGUUGUCUAACAACAUGAUUUCCAUCACAGGGUUGCCAUACCACUCUGGUACGGAGCGUGCCCUUGUGGACCUUCGCGUUUCAGUAGUAACUUGAUCCGAAGCUUCAUGAUCAUUAUCAUUAACUUCCUCUUCAGUUGGUGCAGGCGCCAGAGGAACAAUUUCCCGCGCUGCGCUACUUUCCUGUUUGAGAGGGGGUGUAAUUACCUCAUCAAGUUCAACCUUCCUCCCACUUACUUCUUUCGAGAGAAACUCUUUCUCUAGAAAGGAUCUGUUCUUGGCAACAAAGGUUUUACCUUUGGAUCUAAGAUAGAAGGUAUACCCAAUAGUUUCCUUAGGGUAUCCUAUGAAUACGCAUUUCUCCGCUUUGGUUUCGAGCUUUUCUGGUUGAAGUUUCUUCACAUAAGCAUCGCAGCCCCAAACUUUAAGAAACGACAACUUAGGUUUCUUGCCAAACCAUAGUUCAUACGGUGUCGUCUCAACAGAUUUAGACGGUGCCCUAUUUAAAGUGAAUGCUGAGUUUCUAAUGCGUAUCCCCAAAAUGAUAGCGGUAAGUCGGUAAUAGACAUCAUAGGUCGCACCAUAUCUAAUAAAGUGCGAUUACGACGUUCAGACACUCCGUUGUGUUGCGGUGUGCGAGGCGGCGUCAGUUGUGAAACGAUUCCACACUUCCUUAGGUGUGUGCCAAACUCGUGACUCAAAUAUUCUCCUCCAUGAUCAGAUCGUAGACACUUAAUUUUUCUGUCACGUUGAUUCUCGACCUCACUCUGAAAUUCCUUGAACUUUUCAAAUGUCUCAGAUUUGUGCUUCAUUAAGUAGAUACACCCAUACCUACUCAAAUCAUCGGUGAGAGUGAGAACAUAACGAUAGCCACUGCGAGCUUCAACGUUCAUUGGACCACACACAUCAGUAUGUAUUAUUUCCAAUAAGUCGGUCGCUCUCUCCAUUAUUCCUGAGAAUGGAGUCUUAGUCAUCUUGCCCAUGAGGCACGGUUCGCAUGUGUCAAAUGAUUCAAAGUCAAGAGACUCUAAUAGUCCAUCAGUAUGGAGCUUCUUCAUGCGCUUAACACCGAUAUGACCAAGGCGGCAGUGCCACAAGUAUGUGGGACUAUCAUUGUAAACUUUGCAUCUUUUGGUAUUGACACUAUGAAUAUGUGUAACAUCACGAUCGAGAUUCAUCAAGAAUAAACCAUUCACCAGCGGAGCAUGACCAUAAAACAUAUCACUCAUAUAAAUAGAACAACCAUUAUUUUCUGACUUAAAUGAGUAGCCGUCUCGCAUUAAGCAAGACCCUGAUACAAUAUUCAUGCUCAAAGCUGGUACUAAAUAACAAUUAUUAAGAUUUAAAACUAAUCUCGACGGUAGAUGUAGAGGCAGCGUGCCGACGGCGAUCACAUCGACCUUGGAGCCAUUCCCGACACGCAUCAUCACCUCGUCCUUGGCCAGUCUCCGCUUAUUCCGCAGUUCCUGCUUUGAGUUGCAAAUGUGAGCAACAGCACCGGUAUCAAAUACCCAGGAGCUACUACGAGCGCUGGUAAGGUACACAUCAAUAACAUGUAUAUCACAUAUACCAUUAACGUUGCCGGCCUUCUUGUCCGCUAAGUAUUUGGGGCAAUUCCGCUUCCAGUGACCUUUUCCCUUGCAAUAGAAGCACUCAGUGUCAGGUUUGGGUCCAUUCUUUUUCUUCUUCCCGGCAUCUGGCUUACCGGGUGCGGCAAUGGCUUUGCCGUCUUUCCUGAAAUUCUUCUUAUCCUUGCCCUUCUUGAAACCAGUGGUCUUGUUGACCAUCAACACUUGAUGCUCUUUCUUUAUUUCUACUUCUGCAGACUUGAGCAUCGAGUACAACUCGUGAAUAGUCUUCUCCAUCCCUUGCAUGUUGUAGUUCAGCACAAAACCUUUGUAGCUUGGUGGGAGAGACUCGAGGAUUCUGUCAAUUAUAGCAUCAUCCGGAAGUUCGACUCCAAGUGAAGUCAGACGACCGUGUAACCCAGACAUUUUAAGUAUGUGCUCACUGACAGAACUGUUCUCCUCCAUCUUAUAGCUAAAGAACUUGUCGGAGACUUCAUAUCUCUCGACACGGUCAUGAGCUUGAAAAACUAGUUUCAGCUCUUGUAACAUCUCAUAUGCACCGUGUUGCUCAAAACGCCUUUGGAGCCCCAUUUCCAAACUAUAUAACAUGCCACACCUAACCAGAGAGUAGUCAUCACUCCGCGUUUGCCAGACGUUCAGAAUGUCCUGGGCUGCUGCGGGAGCGGGAGGGUCACCUAGCGGUGCAUCAAGGACAUAAGCCUUUUUAGCUGCUUCAAGGAUGAGCUUCAAGUUGCGAACCCAAUCCGCAUAGUUGCUACCAUCAUCUUUCAGCUUGUUUUUCUCUAGGAAUGCGUUGAAAUUGAGGUUGACGUUGGCCAUCUACAAUAUUUAUAAAUACAACUUUUAGACUAAGUUCAUGACAAUUAAGUUCAUUUAAUCAAAUUAAGUAUGAACUCUGACUUAAAUCGACAUCCCUCCAGUCAUCUAAGUGAUACAUGAUCCAUGUUGACUAAUCCGUGUCCGAUCAUCACGUGAGACAGACUAGUCAUCAUGGUGAGCAACUUCAUGCUGAUCGUAUUCAACCAUACGACUCAUGUUCAACCUUUCGGUCUCUUGUAUUCGAGGUCAUGUAUGUACAUGCUAAGCUCGUUGAGUCAACCUAGGUGUUUCGCGUGUGUAUAUCUGGCUUACACCCGUUGUAUGCGAACGUUAGAAUCUAUCACACCCGAUCAUCACGUGGUCCUUCGAGACAACGAUCCUUCGCAACGAUGCACACUUAGGGGAAUACGUUCUCGAAAUUUUAAGAGGGAUCAUCUUAUUAUACUACCGUUGUUCUAAGCAAUAAGAUGAAAAACAUGAUAAACAUCACAAUGCAAUCAUAUAGUGACAUGAUAUGGCCAUUAUCAUCUUUGCUCUUUCGAUCUCCAUCUUCAGGCAUCGUAUGAUCAUCAUUGUCACCGGCGUGACACCAUGAUCUCCAUCAUCGUGUCUCCAUGAAGUCGUCACGCCAACUACUACUAUCACUACUACUAUAGCUAACCGUUAGCAAUGAAGUAAAAGUAGUAAGCACAUGGCGUUGCAUCUCAUACAAUAAAUCAAGACAACUCCUAUGGCUCCUGUCGGUUGUCAUACUCAUCGACAUGCAAGUCGUGAAACCUAUUACAAUAACAUGAUCAUCUCAUACAUCAUACAUGCAACAUCACAACUUUGGCCAUAUCACAUCACAUGUCAAACCCUGCAAAAACAAGUUAGACAUCCUCUAAUUGUUGUUGCAAGUUUUACGUGGCUGAUUUGGGUUUCUAGCAAGAACGCUUUCUUACCUACGUGACAGCCACAACGAUGAUAUGCCAAAGCUAUUUACCCUUCAUAAGGACCCUUUUCAUCAAAUCCAAUCCGACUAGAGUGGGAGAGACAGACACCCGCUAGCCACCUUUAUGCACGGUGUGCAUGUCUGUCGGUGGAACCAGUCUCACGUAAGCGUACGUGUAAUGUCGGUCCAGGCCGCUUCAUCCCACAAUACCGACGGAAAAGAAUAAUACUAGUAGAGGCAAGCAAUUGACAAAUCAUUGCCCACAACCUUUUGUGUUCUACUCGUGCAUAGAAUCUACGCAUAGAAAACCUGGCUCGGAUGCCACUUUUGGGUAACGUAGCAUAAAUUCAAAAAACUUCCUACACAUAUUCAAAUCUUCCUAUGGAGAGACCAGCAACGAGAGAGGGGUGAGUGCAUCCUCAUAUCUUUGAAGAUCGCUAAGCGGAAGCGUUGCUAGAACGCGGUUGAUGGAGUCGUACUCGCGGCGAUUCAGAUCGCGGUGUGAUUCCGAUCUAGUGCCGAACCACGACACCUCCGUGUUCAACACACGUGCAGCCCGGUGACAUCUCCCGCACCUUGAUCCAGCAAGGAGGAGGGAGAGGUUGGGGAAGAUCUCCAGCAGCACGACGGCGUGGUGUCGAUGGAGAGACGAGGUCUCCCGGCAGGGCUUUGCCAAGCACCGUGGGAGAGGAGGAAGAAGGGGGGCAGGGCUGCGCCGAGGGAGAGUGAAAACUGUGUGUAAAACAGCCCCAAAACCCCCACUAUAUAUAGGAGGAGGGGAGGGGGGUGCCACCCCUAGGGUUCCCACCCUAGGUGGUGCGGCAGCCCCCCCAGAUGGGAGGUGCGGCGGCCACGGCAGGGGGAGGGGGUGGCGCACCCCUAGGUGGGCCUUAGGCCCACCAGCGCCUAGGGUUCCCCCCCCCCUCUCCACCUCCUGCGCCUUGGGCCUCCUUGUGGGAGGCGCACCAACCCACUUUGGGCUGGUUUCCCUCCCUCUUUUGGCCCAUGCUACCUCAUGGGGCUGGUGGCCCCUCCCGGUGGACCCCCGGGACCAUUUUCAGUGGUCCCGGUACAUUACCGGUGAUGCCCGAAACAUUUCCGGUGUUCAAAACCAUCCAUCCUAUAUACAAUCUUUACCUCCGGACCAUUCCGGAGCUCCUCGUGACGUCCGGGAUCUCAUCCGAGACUCCGAACAACUUUCGGUAACCUCGUAUAACAAUUCCCUAUAACCCUAGCGUCAUCGAACCUUAAGUGUGUAGACCCUACGGGUUCGGGAGACACGCAGACAUGACCGGGACAACUCUCCGGCCAAUAACCAUCAGCGGGGUAUGGAUACCCAUGGUGGCUCCCACUUGCUCCACGAUGAUCUCAUCGGAUGAACCACGAUGUCAAGGAUUCAAUCAAUCCCGUAUACAAUUCCCUUUGUCUGUCGGUAUAGAACUUGCCCAAGAUUCGAUCGUCGGUAUACCUAUACCUUGUUCAAUCUCGUUACCGAUAAGUCUCUUUACUCGUUCCGUAGCAUGUCAUCGUGUGACUAACCCCUUAGUCACAUUGAGCUCAUGAUGAUGUUCUACCGAGUGGGCCCAGAGAUACCUCUCCGUCACGCGGAGUGACAAAUCCCGAUCUCGAUUCGUACCAACCCAAGAGACACUUUCAGAGGUACCCGUAGUGCACCUUUAUAGUCACCCAGUUACGUUGUGACGUUUGAUACACCCAAAGCACUCCUACGGUAUCCGGGAGUUGCACAAUCUCACGGUCGAAGGAAAAGACACUUGACAUUAGAAAAGCUUUAGCAUACGAACAAUACGAUCUAGUGCUAUGCUUAGGAUUGGGUCUUGUCCAUCACACCAUUCUCCCAAUGAUGUGAUCCCGUUAUCAAUGACAUCUAAUGCCCAUGAUCAGGAAACCAUGAUCAUCUAUUGACUAACGAGCUAACCAACUAGAGGCUUGCUAGGGACACAUUGUGAUCUAUUUAUUCACACAUGUAUUACUCUUUCCUGUUAAUACAAUUAUAGCAUGAACUAAAGACGAUUAUCAUGAACAAGGAAAUAUGAUAAUAACCAUUUUACUAUUGCCUCUAGGGCAUAUUUCCAAGAAUACUCGCUUCUCACUCUCUCUCUUGUUCGUCUAGGCUUUGUACCUCUCCUCACUAUUGUAAAACCAUCUCAAGUUUAGGCGUUUAAAAUGAAAAUUCAGCUGCGGACCCCACACCCCCACCCCAAGAAUGAGGUUCCUUGUUUGAGUCUUGAUGUUGAAAUCAAAAAUAAACUUUGUCGAACGAAGAUUGUCGAUGGUAGAUUCCACGAUGAAUCCUUGGUGCCCCCACACUUUAUGUCCUCCACCACUUCGAGACAUUUGAAGCACCAAGAUUGUCGACAAAUCAAGGUCAAGUGCAAGGGACAAGGUGUUGUCGCAUGCAUGAACUUAGAACUUGCAGGACCAGCUAGGUGUCAUGGACAAUGAGUGAAGCACCAAGGUUUAAACAUGUUCUAUCUUUGCAAACAAUUGUUAUAACACCUCGAUUGCUAUUGUGAGAGAAGCCCCCAUCAACGUUGAUCUUAGCCUAAUUACAUUCACGUGCCAGCCAACACGUGUUUCAUCUCCACUCUCUAGGUCUAUAUCAGUUCAUAUUGCACGUCUUGUGAGCAAAAUACAUCGUUGCGUCAUCCAAGAUUUUGUUAAUGAAGCUCACCGUGGAAAUAAGACUAUGGUAUUCAUCAUAAUGAAUCGCCUUUCCACUCCCACAAUAUGGCUCACGGCGUCACAAGAACUCGAGCUAGGUCAGGUUGAUUCAAGAUCUCACAUAACCAGAACGACGAGUACCGAACAUCAAAUGAUCGCUUCAUGAUCAUAUGCUUUGUCAAGUCUUCAUCUAGGAGAGUCCACACACAACAAAACAUGUGGCAAUCAAUGAGCGAGUGUCUCCAGGAAUCAUCGACGACUUUACAUAUAUGCCAUUUCUUAUAGGGGAGCAAUAUCCAUGUUUUGACAAAUACCGCUCGUAUGGAGUAACAUUCGUACCAAUCUUCAUGGAAAAACCAUAACCUUAAACUACACAUAUACCUUCCAAAGGCUAGCUCAUGACUUCUGCUCAGCCAAGACAUUUGAGUGCCUUGUACACUUCUCCAAACAAUCUUCAUGAUGCUUCUUGACUACCAUUAGCAUCAUGUUAUCGAUCAAACGCCUUAAAACCCGCUUGCACUCUCGUUCUAAGCAAAACAUUUAAGAUCACCUCUUUGCUCAUAUAAUAGAGGUGCUCCUAAAUUAUUGUUUGUUCUAAGCGCCAUUACUCGUACCAAUUGACUUAGUAAUCUCACUUGGUGGAUUUUAUAAACCAUAUAGUUUUUAUAUUAAUGGCUUAUUGUUAUCCAUGAGCUUCGUAUGUGCUAAUAUAUAAUUUUGGUGCUAAUCUCUACUCCCUUUGUUCAGGUUGGGUAGUUUAGUUUAGCCAACGUGGCGUAACCAAAGCAGAGAGGCCAAAUUUUGACUUUGGCAAGGUCUAAAGUGAGCAGUUCCCCUAAUUUGAUACUAAUUUUUAGUGGUUUCCUGCUCACCGCCCCCUAAAUCGUUGAUUCGAUCAUGUAACUGUCCCGUUCUUAAUACUAUGGGCUCACAUGAAGAAGAUAACUAAUUGCACACAUAAAACGAAACUUGAGUGGAAGAUAAUCAUGGAGUAAUGAGCACACUAAACUCAUUUGGCCCUACAUCACCGAAAUUUAUGAGCAACGUUAGCGGUCCUACACACCCGAACAACUAGAAUAUUCCCUCCAGUUAUGUUUAUAAGCCGGGCAUGAAUUUUUAGAUCUUUUGACUAAAAAAUAUGUGUAAUAUCUCACAAAAAUAUAUGUUCAGAAAACUUCAUUCAAUGACGAAUAUAAAGAUACUUCUUGUGGCAUAUAACACAUGUUUCACUAGUAAUUUUGAAGAUCUGAAAACCCAUAUCCGACUUACAAACCCAUAUCCGACUUACAAACCCAAUCAGAAAAAUAUAUGUUAUGUAUCAAUAGUGUGCACUUUUUUUUAACACAACACUGGAGGUUCUUGAUUCGUUAAAAAGGAGAAGUUAGUUGCCGCCGGGCAAAGCACGGUCGGCGUCGGCGACGACGGGACCUCUCCUCUCCUUUCCGUCGACGGCAGGCGGCGGCGCCGCGCCGGCGAGGACUUAGAGCAUCUCCAACGGCAGCGCAAAAAAUCUGUGUCCAAUAAAUUUUUUAACGCGCCACUGUAGCAGUUUUGAAGCGCGGGGACCGGAGCAUCUCCAACAAAAACGCGCUAGUGCGGUGCCCAAUCCAGUCCGAUCCAGCGGUCCCAUCUGCAGCCGCUCAGAGUUUGCUGCGCGCGCAAGCCGGCGCACCAAAUAUGCUGCGCGUGAUAGCGUUUUUGAGCGCAUGCCCAAAAGUUUUUAGCGCGCGCAGUGUUUUGCGGCUUCUGCUGGAGCAGUCCGACGCCCAAAAAACGAAUCUUUUAGCGCGCGGAGCAGUUUUUGGGCGCUUGUUGGAGAUGCUCUUAGGAGGAGAUGGCAGUAGCUUCAUACCACGCGCUCAUGACUCCCCCCGGUGGUCGCAUGGGGGGCCUCUCGGGGCGCUCGCGUGGUGGCUGGUGGUCGAUCUGUUCCAAAUAUGGCCGCAUGCGCCUCGGGUGGUGCGGGGCUACCCUCAAAUGGUUGGUGCAUCGCGGUGGACAUGGACGGCGGCAGCGUGACCAGAUUGGUCUGCAGUGGCACGGCCGGAUGUGGGCCCAGGUGUGGGCCUUGGUCCCUGGAUUGUGGUCAGUGCGGUGGCAGGUCGGACACGUCGACAGCUCGGCAGAUCCGUCGAGAUUAUACCCUUGUCUGGUCCAUGACAGCGCGGGCAACUCCGGGGGAUACCCUAGACCUCCUUAGGGGUCGAGCGAUGGCGGUGCUUCUGCGUCAUAAUUCCUCUUGAGGGCAUCGCUUUGGAGUUUGCUCCGGUUGAAGGGACCAACGAUGCCGGCGACGCACGACUGGUGGCGCAACUGCCGAUGAAAAUCGUGCCAACUACGAUCAUGGGGGACGAGAGCGGUGUCUUUGAUGCCGUUCCCUUGUCGAGAGAUUGUCGUUGCAGUUUGCGUCAUCAGGCUCGGGAUACUCCGAGGGAAACUCUAGAUUUGGGUCUCCCGGAUCGGACGAUGAUGACGUUUGCAGUAUCACUUUUCAUCGUGGGGGCAUAGUUUUGGAACAAGUGAUGACUUGAGGGACAAGAGGAGGAGCGGUGUUGCAUCUACUGCAGGGCUGACGGCGGAUCACGGCGGCAUGGCGUUGCGGAGUUUCGGCGAUGAGCGCGUGUGGAUGGACACGUGCAGGAUGGUGGCGUUGUCUGGCGCCAUGAUGGCAUCGACGACAGGCUAGGCAAGGUCAAUGCUUCAGUUCCUGCUCUGGAGAUGGACCGGUGGAAGAUGGCACGGAGAGAGUGCGUCGGACCUAUGUUGGACUUAUUCCCGCUAUGUGGCUGGGCUAGGGCAUCCGGCUAUAGUUGUUAGUAUUAUGUGCGAUGUUUGUUUUGUAUUAGGUCCGGAUAUUCGGCACACUUUCAUCAAGAGGAUAAGAGUAGCAACAGGUAUUGCGACGGCUUCGUAUUACCUUGUAUGAUCCUUGUGGAUAAUUUAUAAAAUGAUUGCAUGUACGGUUGGGUAUAUCUUACUUUUUUUUUUUAAAAAGUUCAAAUUAGCACAUAUCUUAUUUGCCAGACCAUUGACAAUGCUAUCAUCCAAAUUAAUAUCACCAUCUCAUGAAAAAAUAAAAGAGAAAUUUAUAUUAAAAAAAGACACAUCACAGCGCCGCGAUUUCGCUCGCCGGUGGCGACCAAGCGAUGGCGAUGGGGCUCGUCACCUUGUGCUUGCCGUCGCUCCACACGAUCGACCCGAACGUGUACUCCUUGAUGCUCCCCGCAGCUCGGAUAGCGAAGGUGACCUGGUACUCCUGUGUCUUGUGCGUCUUGCUGAACCGCAGCUUCCGCGGCUUCACGGUGAUGCGCAUGCCGGCGGGGCUGGUGACCGUGGCUCGGUACGUGGCCACCACAUCGCUGCCGACGUUGCGCACGACGCGGCGCUGCGUGAUGGUCCCGUUGCGCGAGGUGAGCACCGCCACGAAGGCCGGGUAGUUGUGGUCUCCCACAUAGGCGGAGCCCGGGGCCGCCGAGCAGUUGGUCGACGAGCCGUCUCUCGUGAAGACGGCGACUUCGUCGGCGGUGUAGCCGAGCGCGCACAGGAAGGCGACGUAGUCGUCCGUGCCGGCGUCGUACACGAGACCCGGGUCAAGGGCGCGGUCGGGGUCCACGUGGCCUGCCCCGCGCGCGAACGGCGUGGACGCCUUGCCCGUGGCCAUGUCUCCGAUGACGUUGCCGGCGCUGUCGACGUUGUACGCGGUGGUCAUCAGGGCGGACUUGAUCGCGGCGGGGCUCCACCCCGGCCUCGCCUGCCGGAGCAUUGCGGCGAUGCCGCUCACGUGUGGGCACGCCAUGGACGUGCCCGACAGGACAUUGUAGUGCACUCGCCUCCUGUCGCUGUCGAGGCCCGAAGGUGAGGCGGCGCCGGUCCAGGCGGCGAGGAUCUCCACGCCGGGUGCCGUGACGUCCGGCUUGAGGAUCUCCGGCGCAUGGAGGUUCGGCCCGCGGCUCGAGAAGGGCGCCAUUCUUGGGGAAGAUGGCGUCGGGCCGAUGACCGUGCCGUGGAACACGAUCGUCGCGGCUGGGGAUGUAGUCUUGUUCAUGUACGUUUUAAUCCUUUUCGCAGCGGCGAACGUGACGGUUGUGGCAGGGAAGGUGUGGGGGCUGCCGACAGCCAGCUCACCGAAUUGUUUGGUGCUCGUGAGGAUUGCUCCGACGCCGCCGGCGAGCUUGACGGCCUCUCCUUGCGCAGCAUUCAGGACUGCAGGGCCGCACAAAACGAUCUUCCCGGCCACCAAGCUGGCGUUCAUCUUCCCAGCUUCGCAGGUUUUCGAGCCGACGGCUCGGCCGUCCACGAGCGGUAUCGCGGUAGGGCCAAGCGGGGGGCCGGCGUAGAGCGAAGCGCCAGAAAAGGUAUCGCCGUUGCCGAGGACGACGUCCGCCGGGAACCGGCGGUUGAUGGUGGACGCGCCGACGGUCAAGAACCACGGCGCGAUGUUGUUGGCGGUGGACUCGACGGGGCCGGAGUUUCCCGCGGCGGCAGAGACUAUGAUGCCCUUGCGGACGGCGCUGAAGGCACCCACGGCGGUGGAGUCCAUAUAAAACGGCUCCGCGUAGCCGGAGGAGCCGAGCGAAGCGGAGAUGACAUCGACCCCGUCGGCGAUGGCCUCGUCAAACGCCGCGAGGAUGUCGGAGCUCGGGCACCCGUAUUUCCAGCACACUUUAUAGGAGGCGAUGCGCGCGCCCGGGGCCAUGCCGACGGCGUUCCCUCUGGCGUAGCCGUAGAAAGCCGCGUCCGGAACGGCAGAGCCGGCGGCGGUGGAGGCGGUGUGCGUGCCAUGGCCGACGGUGUCGAGCGGCGACUUGGACUCCUCCGUCUCGUUGAUCGGGCCUCCCAGGUUAACCUCGUACCCCUUGUAGAAGACCUUGGCGCCGACGAGCUUGCCGUUGCAGUAGGCGGAGGCGUUGAACGACGGAGUGGAGACGCAGGCACCGCGGAACUUGCCGGGCGGCGGCGGCAGCGAUGGGUCCGCCGCGAACGCCGCGCGGUCGAUGGGGUACACGCCGGUGUCGAGGACGCCAAUGACGACGUCCGAGGCGCCGUUGGACGCCGGCAGCAAGCCGGAAGACGCGGACAGGCCGAGGAAGGAUGGCGUCAGCGUGGUGUGCAGCUGCUGCAUCACGUCGGGCACGACGGCGAGCACGGAGCGCUGGGACGUGAGGUGCGCGGCCUGGCGCCCCGUGAGGCGCGCCGCGAAGCCCGUCGCGGCGUGGGAGUAGGAGUAGAGCACCCGCGGCGCCGGGAGCGACAUGUCCACGGGUACGUGGUCACGCAGGAAUGAGGCGUACGCCCGGGUACUGAGCAGGCCACGGCGCGGCAGCGGCGGCGCGUGCGCGUGGGCGACAUGCACGAUGUAAGCGGACGGCUCCUCCUCCUUUUCCCUGGCUGCCGACGCCGCGGCGGUGACAACGACGGCGAGCAGGACGCACAGGAGCACGAAUGGUCUGGCCAUCAUCGUUGCGGCGGCGGUGCUGUGCACUACCUCUACGGUGAUCGGAGUCGCGAAUAAGUAGGCGGCCAAGCUCUAACUUCAUAUCCGUCAGAGUUGGCUGGAUGAGUAAAGGCGUCAGGUUCAUCUUCGAUUGAGUUCAUCGAUCGUCGUGGAGGGGCCAACGAUCACGUGAGAUGUUAACCGGAUCCAGCGAAAUUGCUUAAUUGUGGGUUAUCUGGAAUCAGCAUUCAUUCAUGUUUUUUUUAAAGAUCUAGCUAAAGACUGGCUUGGAUUGAUUGAUAGUAGAGAGCAAGCCGGAAUAUAAAAGGUGGUUCUCCAUCAGGAGAUCAUGAAGGUAAAGAAAAGAAUAGAAAUAAACAACAACAUGGCUAAAACACUAUCUCACGAAGGGUCCCAAAAGAAUGCUCUAAAAAUGUUGCUCCCGCUUAAAACUCAAGAGUUCUUUUAAUGACCGUGUUGAUGCUUGUCAGCGCUGCUAUCUUGUUUGUAAAAGUACAUUCGUUUCUCUACUUCCAAAGCUCACAAAGAAUCAGGAUGCUUAUGAUUUUGAUGGCCUUCUUGUGUUCAGGUCUUGCUUCACUGAUCAUUUCAGCUAUGAUGGCCGCCGGCAUGGUCUUGUUUUGUCACUUGCUUGGGUGGAGCGAGCUGCAACCAUUGUCGGCCGCCACGACAGUCCACACUACAAUUGACAUCGGACACUGUGAGAACAAAUGUACAAAGGAUUCCAAGUUUCGGACGCACAACUGGCAAAAGUAUAUGUUUGGCCAUCCCCUUCUUUUGCAGACGGUCGUUGCACCAUAAUCCGUUCUUGAGAAGCAACCAUUUGGAAAACUUCAGCCGAGGAGGUGCCCAAGUGGGCCUUGUAUGCAGAGCUGGUAGUGUACAUUCCCGAUGUCUCGUGUGUUCACUUGAUGGUGUCUCUUGCUUGGUCUUGCAGCUGCUUGUUUUAAUCAACCUAUGCAGCUUGAUCGUCUCAGCCCAAAGGUGUUGGGUGUCCCCGUGCGCUAGAUCUUUUACCCAAGUAUUGUUUGUCCAGGCUUCUUUUACCGAUCUUUUCUUUCUUCUAGAGUGCCUAAAAAGCGUGGGGAAAGCCGUCUUCAGGUUGUCCGAGGUGGUCCACGAGGAGUGCCAAAAGGAGGUCGUUUCACCAUUGCCCGGUGUGACCGAGGUCGAGGCGCUGAACAAGGUCAUGUCGCCAUCGUCGCAACGCCAUUCCAUGGCCUGUCCAGGCUUGUCCAGGACAGCCAGAGCCAACGUAGCCGGAGUGCUCUACUGAAACGAUUCAUGUCCAAUAUUCCUAGUUCUCCAUUUUCAACUGGAGAGCAGACCACAUGCCAGCUCACUUUGCACUUUCCUCCAUUGAGUUCCUCUUCUUGUGCCCAUAGAAACCAUUGUCGAACCUUGUCCACUUCAGCAAGAAAUUUCUUCGGCGCUCGGAGCACAGACAAGGCAAAGGUCGGCAGCGCACUUAGCACGCUUCGGAUCAAAACCCGUCUGCUAGCGAUAGACAUGAGUUUGCCCUUCCAUCCCGCAAGUCUUGCUCUGAUCCGAUCCAGUAUGAACUGGAUGUGGACGAGGCGCAAUCCGGAGAGGGUUAGUGGGAGGCCCAGGUAUUUUAGGGGAAAACCCACUGUCGCCCCACCAAAACUAAGCAGAACAUCCUGCAAGUUGAUCUCCUCGAAGCGGAUAGCGGUGACAGCUGUUUUUGAGGGGUUCACUUGCAAUCCUAUUGUGAGUUCAAAAUCGUGGAGGAUGUCGAGCAGGGUACUGACCUCCGCUCUAUCAGGGUUGGCGAAGAUUACAUCGUCAUCAGCAUAUAGUCUAACUCGGAGGGAGAUGUCUUUGCCAGGUAGGGGCGAGCAGGGCUAACUAUGUCGCUUGCUGCACCAGCCUCUGGAGAGGGUCGAUGGCGAUGAUGUAGAGGAGGGACAAAAGCGGGUCUCCCUAUCGCAGGCCCUUACGGUGGCAAAUUUGUUGUCCUACAGUCUCAUUAAGUAGGAAAGAUGACAAUGUCGUGCCGAGAAGCAUCGAUCCAAUCAUGCCGGCGUGCCUGGAAGCCAAGAACUUGAAGCAGCUCCAGCAGAUAUUCCCAAGAGACAUCGUCAAAAGCUUGGGCGAUGUCUAACUUAAACAGUAGGGCCGGUGUCUUUUUUUGAUGGGGAGAUCUGACAACAUUCUUUACAUAUAUGAAACUGUCUUGCGUGCACCUACAUCGUAAGAAGGCCGAUUGCGCAGGCGAGAUGAUGUUGUGGAUCACUGGAGUUAGCCGCAUGGAGAGCACCUUGGCUACCAGUUUUGCAAUUGAAUGUAUCGGGCUAAUUGUCCUGAAGUCUUGGACCUUUGUUGCCCCAUCUUUUUUGGGGUAUCAUAGCCACCAUGGCAGCGUUCAGAUUGUUGAAGUCGCCUCCUGUCAUGUGGUAGAAUUUGUUGAAAACUUGCAGGACAUCGGUCUUGAUCAACGGCCAACAAACUCUGAAAAAGUGUUAGUGAAGACGUCAGGGCCACGGGCCUUCUCCGACGGAGAAGCCUUGAUCGCCUCCCAGAUUUCAUCUUCAGAGAAAGGGUUGUCAAGGCCUCCUCCUUGAACCGUGGGCAUAUCCAGGAGUCACCAGUCGAUGUCGAGUGGUCGAGCAGCCUUGGAACCUAGACUAUCGUUGAAAUGUUGAUAGAUGGCUACCUCUUUUUCUUCGUGCGCUCUGGCGGUCGCAUCACUCACCUAAAGGUUGUUGUACGUAGUUCUUUCGCAUGCACGAUCUCAUCUUUGCAUGGAAGGAUUUUGUUCCGGCAUCUCCUACUCGGAGCCACAUGAGGCGAGAAGCUUGGCCCCUGCAGGCAUGCUCAACCGCUGCAAGCCCAGAAUGCAAAGCUUUAGCAGCUUCGUGAGGUUGUAUUCUGUAUUUGUCAGCCGACGGGUUUCCUGUGCUACAUCUAGGCGUAGCACAAUUGCAGCUGCUAUAUGAAGUUGGAGCUUUGCAUUGCUGAAGAUGGAUUUGCUCCAAAUUUUCAGGUCCUGCGCCAUGCACGUCAUCUUUGUAUGAAGGGGCUGAAAGGUGCACGUCGACUGCACAUGUACGUUACACGCAUUCGCCACUGUGUCGUGGAAGCGAGGGAAGCAAAGCCAGAAGCUCUCGAGCUUGAAGAGCACACCGCGAGGUGGGGCACUAGUGUCGGCAAGGACCAACGUGCAGUGAUCAGACGUAGCCGUGAAGGCCGCCAUCAGCGAGAAAGAAGGCAAGAGGGAUACCCCAGGCUUGGUUGCACAAGAAUUUAUCUAUGCUGACAAGGGUGGGAUCUUGGCGUUCAUUGCUCCAAGUGUAGCGAUGAUUUUUGCAUUUAAUCUCCUUCAGGCCAGCCGCGCCGAUAACUAAUCUAAACCUACCCAUAAGUCUACGGUUUAGGUUUAGGUUGUUCUUAUCAUGCACCUCGUAAGUGAGGUUGAAAUUCCCAUUGAUUAACCACGGCUCGGAGGAAGGCGGAUCCGUGUGAGACAGUUCCAGAAGGAAAUUUUCCUUUCUAGCAUCGGAAGCAGGCCCAUAAAUAGAGGAGAGCCACAAGCUUUGGGACUGGCCUAGCAGGGUGACCUUUGCCGUGAUUGUGAAAACAUCGACAACAUGGGAAGCAGCAGUUGCAAGUUUUCUGUACCAGAGGAUCGCCACCCGCCACUGGCGCCAAUCGCCAGCAGGGAAAUGCAGUCAGUCACGGAUGCGCCCCCAAUCUCCCAUACAAGGCUAGGAGACCAGGCGUCGAUUUUUGUCUCGCGCAGGCACAAGAUAGCUACUCGAUGAGUCUUGGCGAUCUCGUAGACUGAGGCUCGUUUCGUAGGGUGGUUGAGGCCACACACGUUCCAACACAUGAUCGGAAGAAGUUUGUCAUUCAUGGGGGAAACAAGGGUAGCUCUGGUAACUGAAAUUACUAAUUCGCAUCGGGCCCAGGAGAUACACCUCCAUCUGAACAGGGGCACGCCUGCGUCCACCAAUAGGCCCCAAGACACGUCGACGCCUAACUAAACACCUCCUACUACUACACAAUGGAAACAAACCUAACUCGGACCAAUUCAUCGUCGGUCGCUACCGGAGGGGAAAGCUAUUAGUAACUAACAUGACUAAACUAUUGCCUUGUUGGCAGAUCCAUCACGCCCGACCAUGCGUGUCGCGACCCACCUCGUUCUAGAGGCGCGUGAUCUUGGCGGUGACCGCAAUGUCACUAUCAGUCAGCGGCCCGUCAAAACGGCGCAGGAGAGCUUCAGCUACCUCAAUUGUCAUCUUCUCCUUUGGCCCGAGAAGCCCUAGCUCCUUGACGAUGCGAAGGGACGCGGUGACCAGCAUGAAUGAAUGAAUGUCGGCAUUCAUUCAUGUAGCCCCCUGUCUCAACCACACAAUUUUAUGCUUGUGAAAUAGUAACAACACGUGCUCGGUCGGACUUCCGUGGAAGAGAAAUCUUUAGGGAUUUGUCAUGUAUCUAAAACUUAUUUUCAAUUUUUGAGGUAUCAAAAACAUUUCUAGCCUUUUUUUCCUUAACGACACUUUUUGGCCACUUGCUAUUCAUUAUUGUUUGGGAAACACUUACCAUGAGUCGGCCGAUCGCGUACGAGUGUUCGUCGCCUCCGUGUGCAUUAGAUUGACUCUUGAUUAGAGAGUCGUUCCUCCAUGUCCGUGUUUCCACAACUGAAGAUUUGUUUUAGAAAAAAAGAGUGUGCAUCUGUGUCGCGAGGAUUCCAGCCAAAUCUCGCCGAAUCCGGCGAGUAUGGCACGUGGGCAAGAGGCAGGUGUUGGAAAUAUGCCCUAGAGGCAAUAAUAAAUUGGUUAUUAUUAUAUUUUUUUGUUCAUGAUAAUCGUUUAUUAUCCAUGCUUUAAUUGUAGUGAUUGGAAACACAAUACUUGUGUGGAUACAUAGACAAAACACUGUCCCUAGUAAGCCUCUAGUUGACUAGCUUGUUGAUCAAAGAUGGUCAUGGUUUCCUGACCAUAGGCAAGUGUUGUCACUUGAUAACAGGAUCACAUCAUUAGGAGAAUCAUGUGAUGGACUAGCUAGACCCAAACUAAUGAACGUGGCAUGUUGAUUGUGUCAUGUUGUUGCUACUGUUUUUCUGCGUGUCAAGUAUUUAUUCCUAUGACCAUGAGAUCAUAUAACUCACUCACAUCGGAGGAAUGCCUUGUGUGUAUCAAACGUCACAACGUAACUAGGUGACUAUAAAGAUGCUCUAUAGGUAUCUCCGAAGGUGACCGUUGAGUUAGUAUGGAUCAAGAUUGGGAUUUGUCACUCCGUGUGACGGAGAGGUAUCUCGGGGCCCACCCUGGGGAAGCCCAUAGGCCUUAGGGGUGCCGCACCAGCCCUUAGUGACCUGGUGGGAAAGCCCAAAGAGGCCCAUGCGCAGGAGAUAAGAAAAUCAAAGAGAAAAGAAAAAAAGGGGAAGUGGGAAGGAAGGGAAGGACUCCACCAUCCAAUCCUAGUUGGACUAGGAUUGGAAGAGGAAUCCUCCUCCCCCUUCGGCCAAACCCCUUGGGGCUCCUUGAGCCCCAAGGCAAGGCCCCUCCCACCUAUAUAUACGGAGGUUUUAGGGCUGAUUUGACACAACUUUUCCAACUCCACGGUUUUUCCUUUAGAUCACGUUUCUGCGGAGCUCGGGCGGAGCCCUGCUGACAUUAGAUCACCACCAACCUCCGGAGCACCGUCACGCUGCCGGAGAACUCAUCUACCUCUCCGUCUCUCUUUCUGGAUCAAGAAGGGCCGAGAUCAUCGUCGAGCUGUACGUGUGCUGAACGCGGAGGUGUCGUCCGUUCGGCACUAGAUCGGAGCGGAUCGUGGGACGGAUCGCGGGACGGUUCGCGGGGCGGAUCGAGGGAUGUGAGGACUGCUACUGCAACAAAAGACCUUCCAAUGGCACCAGAAAUAGGCAUGUCGAUGGGAGAAUACUUGGCUUGAUCCUUCUGCUGCAGCUACGCCUUAAGGAACUUCCUAGGCAAGUAUGCAAAGGAUUUCCCUCGUGGACUUGGAGCGUUGCGUUGGUGUUCCCUCGAAGCGGAAAGGGUGAUGUAGCGUAGCGGUGGUAAGUAUUUCCCUCAGUUUGAGAACCAAGGUAUCAAUCCAGUGGAGGAGUAUCUCAAGAUCCUGCACAAACACAAAAUCUUGCUCCCAACGCUAUGAAGGGGUUGUCAAUCCCUUAUAGAUUGUUUGCCAACUGAGAACUGAAAGCAACAAAGUAACAAAGCAAAGUAAAAGCGGAGGUGUAAAUGAUGGAUGUGAAUAGACCCGGGGGCCGUAGUGUUUACUAGUGGCUUCUCUCAUGAAAGCAAGUAGACGGUGGGUGAACAAAUUACUGUCGAGCAAUUGAUAGAACCGCGCAAAGUCGUGACGAUAUCUAUGCAAUGAUUAUAUCUAUAGGCAUCACAUCCAAAACAAGUAGACCGAUACUUCUGCAUCUACUACUAUUACUCCACACGUCGACCGCUAUCCAGCAUGCAUCUAGUGUAUUAAGUCCAUAAGAACAGAGUAACGCCUUAAGCAAGAUGACAUGAUGUUGAGGGAUAAUCUCAAACCAAUGAUAAAAAACCCCAUCUUUUUACCCUUGAUGGCAACUACUUCCUGUGUGCCUUGCUGCCCCUACUGUCACUGGGAAAGGUCACCACAUGGUAGAACCCAAAACCAAGCACUUCUCCCAUUGCAAGAAUCAUAGAUCUAGUUGGCCAAACAAAACCCAAGACUCGGAGAGACUUACAAGGAUAUCAAAUCGUGCAUAUAAGAAAUCAGCAAAGACUCAAAUAUAUAUCAAAGAUAAUCUGAUCACAAAUCCACAAUUCAUCGGAUCUCGACAAACACACCGCCAAAGAAGAUUACAUCGGAUAGAUCUCCAUGAAGAUCAUGGAGAACUUUGUAUUGAAGAUCCAACAGAGAGAGAAGAAGCCAUCUAGCUACUAACUACGGACCCGUAGGUCUGAAGUGAACUACUCACGAGUCAUUGGAGGGGCGAUGAUGAUGAUGAAGAAGCCCUCCAACUCCAAAGUCCCCUCCGGCAGUGCGCCGGAAAGGGUCUUCAGAUGAGAUCUCGCGGAAACGGAAGCUUGCGGCGGCGGAAAAGUUUUUUUGAGGCUCCCCUGAUUUUUGCUGAAUAUUUGGGAAUAUAUAGGCCAAGGAUUUAGGUCAAGGGGGGCAGGGAGGCCACAAGCCCUGACACCGCCGCCUCCCCCUGGUGGCAGGGUGGGAGCUUGUGGGCUCCCUGGAGCCCACCUGGCUUGGCCUAGAGGCCCCCUGAUCUUCUUUCGUUCGGGAAAAAAUCAUUUUGGGGUUUUUAUUCCGUUUGGACUCCGUUCCAAAAUCAGAUCUGAAAAGAGUCAAAAACACAGAAAAAACAGGAACUCGCACUUGGCACUGAAUUAAUAAGUUAGUCCCAAAAAAAUAUAAAAGGUACAUAAAACAUCCAAAGAAGACAAGAUAACAACAUGAAACCAUAAAAAAUUAUAGAUACAUUUGAGACGUAUCAAGCAUCCCCAAGCUUAACUCCUACUCGUCCUCGAGUAGGGAAGUGAUAAAGAAUGAAUUUUUGAUGCUUUCAUGCUACCUAGCAUAGAUGUCCUUUGUAAUUCCUCUUAUGUGACGUGAAUGUUCAGAUCCAUUAGAUUCAAAAUAAUAGUUUGAUAUUGACGUGGAAACAAUAAUAAUUCAAGCAAACUAGCAAGGUAAUCAUGAACUUUCAAAAUAACAAGGCCAAAAGAAAGUUAUCCCUACAAAAGCAUAUAGUGUGGCUAUGCUCUAUCAUCAUUGCACAACAAAUUUAAAUCAUGCACAACCCCGGUAUUGGCCAAGUAAUUGUUUCACACCUUUACUUUCUCAAACCUUUUCAACUCUCACGCAAUACAUGAGCGUGAGCCAUGGUUAUAGCACUAUAGAUGGUGUGGAAUGUGGUGGAGGUUGCAAGACAAAAAAGGAGAAGAUAGUCACAUUAACUAGGCAUAUCAAUGAGCUGUGGAGAUGCUCAUCAAUAGAUAUCAAUGUGAAUGAGUAGGGAUUGCCAUACAAAUGAUGCACUAGAGCUACGAGUAUGUGAAAGCUCUUAAAGAAAACUAGUGGGUGUGUAUCCAACUUGCUUGCUCACGAAGACCUAAGGCAAUUUUGAGGAAGCCUAUCAUUGGAAUAUACAAGCCAAGUUAUAUUAUGAAAGAUUCCCACUAGCUAUAUGGUGGUGACAAAACGAGAGACUCUCAAUCAUGAAGAUCAUGGUGCUUAAUAUGCACAAGUAUGGAAAAAGUGGUAGCAUUGUCCCUUCUCUCUUCUUCUCUCUAUUUUUUUGGUGGGCUCUUUGGCCUCUUUUUUUGUGGGAUUCUUUGGCCUCCUUUAUUUCCUCACAUGGGACAAUGCUCCAUUAAUGAUGAUCAUCACACUUUCAACUCAAAACUUAGAGUAACGAUGACUCUAUAUGGAAUGCCUUCGGUAGUGUACCGUGGCAAUGAUCUAGCAUGGCAUAGACAUCAAUGGAAACCUUAUGCUAGCUAUCUUACGACCAUGCAAUGGCAAUGUAGACGUGGUGGCACAUGUCAUAGUGGUAAUUGCAUGGCAAUAUAUCUCGGAAUGACUUUGAAAAAGCCAUAGUAGGUAGGUAUGGUGGCUGUUUUGAGGCAGGCUAAUGGUGGGUUUUGUGCACCGGCGAAAGUUGCACGACACUAAGAAGAUAGUGAUGGUGGUAGGUGAAAGUGCAUCUAAACCAUGGACUCAACAGUAGUCAUGAAGAACUCAUAUACUUGUUGCAAAAGUUUCAUUAGUAAUCGAAACAAAGCAUUCAACGCAUACUCCUAGGGGAAGGGUUGGUAGGUAUAAACCAUCGCGUGAUCCCGACCGCCACGCAAAGGAUGACAAUCAAUAUAAUAAUCAUGCUCAGAUUUCAUCACAUAGCGGUUCACCAUACGUGCAUGCUAUCGGAAUCACUAAAUUCAACACAAGUAUUUCUAGAUCCACAACACCUUACUAGCAUGACUUCAAUAUUACCAUAAUCACAACUCAAAACUAAUUGAGAUGAAUCAAACUUCUCUAACUAUUCAAUGCACAUGAAGGUGGAAGUUUUCGUAUCCCUUUGGAUAUCUACCCCUUUUGAGACUACUUUCAAAGCAUAGAUCAACUACCAAGACACGCACCGCUGUGCUCUAAAAGAUAUAAGUGAAGCACAUAGAGCAAAAGUAUCUAGCUCAAAAGAUAUAAGUGAAGCAUAUGUGAGCUGAAUUGUCUACCAAAAGAUAUAAGUGAAGCUCGACAAAAUCACGGUGUGUGCAUGUCUCUCUCUCUAGGUGUGCAGCAAGGAUUAUUGUGACACAACAAAAAUAAAAGACUCCUACGAUACAAGACGCUCCAAGCAAAAACACAUAACAUGUGGUGAAUAAAAAUAUAGCCCCAAGUAACGUUACCGAUGGAUUGAAGACGAGAGAGGGGAUGCCUUCCCGGGGCAUCCCCAAGCUUAGGCUUUUACGACAUACUUGAAUCUCUUGGGGUGCCUUGGGCAUCCCCAAGCUUGAGCUCUUGCCACUCUUUAUCUCUUUGUCCAUAAGAACUUCACCCAAAACUUGAAAACUUCACAACACGAAACUUAAACAGAAACUCGUGAUAACAUUAGUACAAGAAAGCAAACCACCACUUCCUUAGGUACUGUAGCAACCUUAAAUUCUACUUGUGCUGAUGUUGGGUUACUGUACUUUCAAUCUUCCAUGGCUAAUACCCCCCGAUACUAUCCAUAGUUCCAUCAAAAUAAGCAACCAACACAACAAAAACAGAAUCUGUUAACAGCAUACCAGUCUGUAGCAAUCUGCAUAUUUCGUAUACCUCUGGUACUUCAAAAAUUCUGAAAAAUUACGACAGUUUGAAGAAUUUGCGUAGCAAUCAGCAGAAAAAAGAAUCAACUCAAAAGCUCUUACAGAAAAAAAUGAAAAUUCUUUUCGUGAGCAGAAAGUUUCUGUCUUUUCCAGCAUGACCAAACGAUCAUCCCCAAGACUAAUCAUAACGGUUUGCUUGGCACAAAUGCAAAAAGAAACACAAAAAACACAAUCAUAACAGAAUUAUGAAAGUGUGGAAAACAGAAAGAAAAAAGAUAGAUUCGUUGGGUUGCCUCCCAACAAGCGCUUUUGUUUAACGCCCUUAGCUAGGCAUUCAAUGAUGCUCUCACAAAAGACAAGAAUUGAAGCACAACAAGAGCAUCCUAACGCAUGUGAAAACCACAUCUAAGUCUAACAUACUUCCUAUGCAUAGGCAUUUUAUAGGAAAACAGAUUGUCAAGACAACCAAUAGUUGUCGUAUGCAAGGAAGAAGAAAGAGACAAUAGCAAUCUCCACAUAACGAGAGGUAAUUUGGUAACAUGAAGGUUUCUACCAAAAUAUUUUCCUCUCUCAUAGCAAUUACAUGUGGGAUCAUAAUCGAAUUCAACAAUGUAACUAUCACAUAGGAUAUUCUUUUCAUGAUCCACAUGCAUGCAAAGUUGACGCUCUUCAAAAAUAGUGGGAUUAUCGUCAACUAAAGUCAUGACUUCUCCAAACCCACUUUCAAUGUUAUUGCAAAUAUCAUAUUCAUCAUGAGGUUUGAACAAAUUUUCAAGAUCAUAAGAAAGAUCAUCACCCCAAUCAUGAUUAUUGCAACAAGUCGUGGACAAAGCAAAACUAGCAUCCCCAAGCUUAGGGUUUUGCAUAUUUUUAGCAUGAUUAUCACUAAUAGAAUUUAUAGUGAAACCAUUGCAAUCAUGUUUUCCAUCCAAGGAACCCUCGUGAACCACUUCAUAAUUUUCUUCCACACAAUUUUCAGAUUCACGCCUCUCAAGCAAAACUCCAUAAAGAUAGUCAAGUGUCCUCAACUCACUAGCAAUUCGUUCCACAAUAGUGGGUCUCUUAAAGAGAUUAGCAAACGAAGAUGCAAGCAUAUUGAAGGCACAUGGCACACAAGCAAACAAGCAAGAGAAAAAGGGCAAAAGAAAAAGGCAAAAGGCAAAAGAAAACGGCGAAGGAGAAAGGCAAAUGAAAGCGGCAAAUGUGAAGUGGGGGAGAGGAAAACGAGAGGCAACUGGAAACAAAAGUAAACGCAAGGGAAGAGUUUGUGAGACCUACUUGGAUAGAUCUUGAUUUCUCCUCCCCGGCAACUGCGCCAGAAAUACUUCUGCUACUGCAACAAAAGACCUUCCAAUGGCGCCAGAAAUAGGCACGUCGACGGGAGAAUACUUGGCUUGAUCCUUCUGCUGCGGCUACGCCUUAAGGGACUUCCGAGGCAAGUAUUUAAAGGAUUUCCCCCGUGGCCUUGGAGCCUUGCGUUGGUGUUCCCUCGAAGCGGAAAGGGUGAUGUAGCGUAGCAGUGGUAAGUAUUUCCCUCAGUUUGAGAACCAAGGUAUCAAUCCAGUGGAGGAGUAUCUCAAGAUCCCGCACAAACACAAAAGCUUGCUCCCAACGCUAUGAAGGGGUUGUCAAUCCCUUAUAGAUUGUUUGCCAAGUGAGAACUGAAAGCAACAAAGUAACAAAGCAAAGUAAAAGCGGAGGUGUAAACGAUGGAUGUGAAUAGACCCAGGGGCGUAGUGUUUACUAGUGGCUUCUCUCAUGAAAGCAAGUAGACGGUGGGUGAACAUAUUACUGUCGAGCAAUUGAUAGAACCGCGCAAAGUCGUGACGAUAUCUAUGCAAUGAUUAUAUCUAUAGGCAUCACGUCCAAAACAAGUAGACCGAUACUUUCUGCAUCUACUACUAUUACUCCACACGUCGACCGCUAUCCAGCAUGCAUCUAGUGUAUUAAGUCCAUAAGAACAGAGUAACGCCUUAAGCAAGAUGACAUGAUGUUGAGGGAUAAUCUCAAACCAAUGAUAAAAAACCCCAUCUUUUUACCCUUGAUGACAACUACUUGAUGUGUGCCUUGCUGCCCCUACUGUCACUCGGAAAGGUCACCACAUGGUAGAACCCAAAACCAAGCACUUCUCCCAUUGCAAGAAUCAUAGAUCUAGUUGUCCAAACAAAACCCAAGACUCGGAGAGACUUACAAGGAUAUCAAAUCAUGCAUAUAAGAAAUCAGCAAAGACUCAAAUAUAUAUCAUAGAUAAUCUGAUCACAAAUCCACAAUUCAUCGGAUCUCGACAAACACACCGCCAAAGAAGAUUACAUUGGAUAGAUCUCCAUGAAGAUCAUGGAGAACUUUGUAUUGAAGAUCCAAGAGAGAGAAGAAGCCAUCUAGCUACUAACUACGGAUCCGUAGGUCUGAAUUGAACUACUCACGAGUCAUUGGAGGGGCGAUGAUGAUGAUGAAGAAGCCCUACAACUCCAAAGUCCCCUCCGGCAGGGCACCGGGAAGGGUCUCUAGAUGAUAUAUCGCGGAAACGGAAGCUUGCAGCGAUGGAAAAGUAUUUUCGAGGCUCCCCUGAUUUUUUGCUGAAUAUUUGGGAAUAUAUAGGCCAAGGAUCUAGGUCAGGGGGCGGCCAGGGAGGCCAUAAGCCCUGACACCGCCGCCUCCCCCUGGUGGCGGGGUGGGAGCUUGUGGGCUCCCUGGAGCCCACCUGGCUUGGCCCAGAAGCCCCCUGAUCUUCUUCCGUUCGGGAAAAAAAUCAUUUCGGGGUUUUUAUUCCGUUUGGACUCUGUUCCAAAAUCAGAUCCGAAAAGAGUCAAAAACACAGAAAAAAACAGGAACUGGCACUUGGCACUGAAUUAAUAAGUUAGUUCCAAAAAAGAUAUGAAAGGUACAUAAAACAUCCAAAGAAGACAAGAUAACAGCAUGAAACCAUCAAAAAUUAUAGAUACGCUUGAGACGUAUCAAGGACGUUCCACUACAUCAACCGCAUUUAUGAACGCUUCUGUUGUGCGCUCUAUAAGGGUACGUAGAUCUGAAAUCCCCCUCGUAGAUGGACAUCACCAUGAUAGGUCUUCGUGCGCGUAGGAAAAUUUUUGUUUCCCAUGCGACGUUCCCCAACAGUGGCAUCAUGAGCUAGGUUCAUGCGUAGAUGUUAUCUCGAGUAGAACACAAAAGUUUUUGUGGGCGGUGAUGUGCGAUUUGCUGCCCUCCUUAGUCUUUUCUUGAUUCCGUAGUAUUGUUGGAUCGAAGCGGCUCGGACCAGCAUUACUCGUACGCUUACGAGAGACUGGUUUCAUCGCUACGAGCAACUCCAUUGCUCAAAGAUGACAUGCGAGUGUCGGUUUCUCCAACUUUAGUUGAAUCGGAUUUGACCGAGGAGGUCCUUGGAUGAGGUUAAAUAGAAAUUCAUAUAUCUCCAUUGUGGUGUUUGCGUAAGUAAGAUGCAAUCCUACUAGAUACCCAUGGUCACCACGUAAAACAUGCAACAACAAUUAGAGGACGUCUAACUUGUUUUUGCAGGGUAUGCUUGUGAUUUGAUAUGGCCGACGAUGUGAUGUGAUAUAUUGGAUGUAUGAGAUGAUCAUGUUGUAAUAGUUUAUAUCGACUUGCACGUCGAUGGUACGGCAACCGGCAGGAGCCAUAGGGUUGUCCUUAGACUAACGUUUGUGCUUGCAGAUGCGUUUACUAUAUUGCUAGGACGUAGCUUUAGUAGUAAUAGCAUGAGUAGCACAACAACCUCGAUGGCGACACGUUGAUGGAGAUCAUGAUGAUGGAGAUCAUGGUGUGACGCCGGUGACAAGAAGAUCAUGCCGGUGCUUUGGUGAUGGAGAUCAAGAAGCACAUGAUGAUGGCCAUAUCAUGUCACUUAUGAAUUGCAUGUGAUGUUAAUCCUUUUAUGCACCUUAUUUUGCUUAGAACGACGGUAGCAUUAUGAGGUGAUCUCUCACUAAAAUUUCAAGACGAAAUUGUGUUCUCCCCGACUGUGCACCGUUGCUACAGUUCAUCGUUUCGAGACACCACGUGAUGAUCGGGUGUGAUAGACUCAACGUUCAUAUACAACGGGUGCAAAACAGUUACACAUGCGGAACACUCAGGUUAAACUUGACGAGCCUAGCAUGUGCAGACAUGGCCUCGGAACACAAGAGACCGAAAGUUCGAGCAUGAAUCAUAUGGUUGAUAUGAUUAGCAUAGAGAUGCUUACUACUGAAACUAUUCUGGACUCACGUGAUGAUCGGACUUGAGAUAGUGGAUUUGGAUCAUGUACCACUCAAAUGACUAGAGAGAUGUACUUUUUGAGUGGGAGUUCUUAAGUAAUAUGAUUAAUUGAACUAAUUGUCAAGAACAUAGUCUAAUGGUGUUUGCGAAUUACGAUGUAGCUUGCGCUAUAGCUCUACUGUUUUUAUAUGUUCCUAGAGAAAAUUUAGUUGAAAGUUGAUAGUAGCAAACUUUGCGGACCAAGUCUGUAAAAACUGAGGAUUGUCCUCGUUGCUGCGCAGAAGGCUUAUGUCCUUAAUGCACCACUCGGUGUGCUGCACCUUGAGCGUCGUCUAUGGAUGUUGUGAACAUCCGACAUACACGUUUCUGAUGACUAAGCGUUAGUUUAGUGCAAAAUACUUAAUGGCUUAGAAGCAAGGCGCCGAAGACGUUUUUGAAACGUCACGGAACAUAAGAGAUGUUCUAAAGAGAUGAAAUUGUGAUUUCAUGUUUGUGCCAUUGUUAAGAGGUAAGAGACCUCCGACAAGAUUCUUUGUCCACAAAGUAAAGGAGAAAAGCUCAAUCGUUGAGCGUGUGCUCAAAUUGUCUGAGUACGACAAUCGCUUGAAUCAAGUGGGAGUUAAUCUUCCAGAUGAGAUCGUGAUGGUUCUCCAAAGUCACUGGCACCAAGCUGCGAGAGCUUCAUGAUGAACUAUAACAUAUCAAGGAUAGAUACAAUGAUCCUUGAGCGAUUCGCGAUGUUUGACACUGCGAAAAUAGAAAUCAAGAAGGAGCAUCAAUAGUUGAUGGUUAGUAAAACCACUAAGUUUCAAGAAAGGCAAGUGCUAGAAGGGAUACUUCAUGAAACGACAAACAGUUGCUGCACUAAUGAAGAGACCCAAGAUUAAACCCAAACCCGAGACUAAGUGCUUCUAUUAUGAGGGGAACGGUCACUUAGGCGGAGCUACCCUAGAUGUUUGGUAGAUAAGAAGGUUGGCAAAGUCAAAAGAAGUAUAUUUGAUAUACAUGAUGUUGAUGUGUACUUUACUAGUACUCCUAGUAGCGCGAGGGUAUUGGAUACCUGUUCGGCUGCUAAGUGUUUAGUAACACGAAAUGAAAGCUACGGAAUAAACAGAGACUAGCUAAAGGCGAGGUGACGAUACGUGUUGGAAGUGUUUCCAAGGUUGAUAUGAUCAAACGUCGCACGCUCCCUCUACCAUCGGGAUUGGUGUUAAACCUAAAUAAUUGUUGUUUGGUGCUUGCGUUAAGCAUGAACAUGAUUGGAUCGUGUUUAUUGCAAUACGAUUAUUCAUUUAAAGAGAAUAAUGGUUACUCUAUUUGCUUGAAUAAUCACCUUCAAUGGUUUAUUGAAUCUCGAUCGUAGUGUUGCACAUGUUCAUGAUAUUGGUGCCAAAAUAUACAAGGUAAUGAUGAUAGUACCACUUACUUGUGGCACUGCCACUUGAGUCGUGUUGGUAUAAAUUGCAUGAAGAGGCUCUAUACUAAUGGAUCUUUAUACUCACUUGAUUUUGAAUCACUUGUGACAUGCAAAUCAUACCACAUGAGCAAGGCCUUGUUUUCAUUGAGAUGAGACAAGAUAGUAACUUGUUGGAAGUAAUACAUUUUGAUGUAUGCAGUCCAACGGGUGCUGAGGCACGCAGUGGAUAUCAUUAUAUUCUUACUUCAAUGACGAUUUGAGUAGAUACAGGAGUAUCUACUUAAUGAAUCACAAGUCUGAAAUAUUGAAAAAGUUCAAUUCUGUUUCAGGGUGAAGUUCGUCGUAACAAGAGGAUAAACUGUCUACGAUAUGAUCAUAGAGAUGAAUAUCUGAGUUGCAAGCUUUGGUACACAGUUAAGACAAUGUGGAAGUUGUUUCGCAAUUCAUGCCACCAAGAACACCAUGGUGUGAUGGUGUCAUAGCCGCGACCUAUUUGAUAUGGUGCAUGCUAUGAUGUCUCUUAUCGAAUUACCACUAUCAUUUAUGGGUUAUGCAUUAGAGACAACCGCAUUCACUUUAAAUAGGGCAUCACGUAAUUCCGUUGAGAUGACACAGUAUAGACUGAGGUUUAGAGAAAUCUAAGCUGUCGUUUCUUGAAAGUUUGGGGCUGCGACACUUAUGUGAAAAAGUUUCAGUCUGAUAAGCUCGAACCCAAAGCGGAUAAAUGCAUCUUCAUAUGAUAUCCAAAACAGUUGGGUACAUCUCCUAUCUCAGAUCCGGAAGCAAAGUGUUUGUUUCUAGAAACGGGUCCUUUCUCGAGGAAAGGUUUCUCUCGAAAGAAUUGAGUGGGAGGGUGAUAGAACUUGAUGAGGUUAUUGAACCAUCACUUCAACUAGUGUAUAGAAGGGUGCAGGAAGUUGUUCCUGUGGCACCUACACCAAUUGAAGUGGAAAGCUGAUGAUAGUGAUCAUUGAGCAUCAGAUCAAGUUACUACAGACCUCGUAGGUCGACAAGGUCGCGUACUACUACAUAGUGGUACGGUAACCCUGUCUUGGAGGUCAUGUUGUUGAACAACAAUGAACCUACGAGUUAUGGAGAAGCAAUGGUGGGCCCAGAUUCUGACAAAUGGCUGGAGGCCAUGAAAUCCGAGAGAGUAUGCAUGUAUAAAACAAAGUGUAGACUUUGGAAGAACUGCUUGAUGGUAGUAAGACUAUUAAGUAAAGAUGGAUCUUUGGAAGGAAGACAGACGAUGAUGGUGAUAAGUCAAUAUUAAGAAAAGCUCGACUUGUCGCAAAGAUGUUUUCGACAGGAUCAAAGAGUUUACUAUGAUGUGACUUUCUCACUCGUAGCGAUGCUAAAAGUCUGUUGGAAUUGUGUUAGUAGUUGCUGCAUUAUUGUGAAAUAUUGCACAUAGGAAGUCAAAACAUUGUUUCCUCGACUGUUUCCUUGAGGAAAGAUUGUAUGUGAUGCAUUCAGAAUGUUUUGUCAAUCCUAAGGAUACUAACAAGUAUGCAAGCUCCAGCGAUCCUUCAAUGGACUGGUGCAAGCAUCUCGGAGUUGGAAUAUACACUUUGAUGAGAUGAUCAAAGAUUUUUGGGUUUGUACAAGGUUUAUGAGAAACUUGUAUUUCCAAAGAAGUGAGUGGGAGCACUACAGAAUUUCUGAUAAGUAUAUGUGGUUGACAUAUUGUGGAUCCGAAGUAAUGUAGAAUUUCUGUAAAGCAUAAAAGGUUGUUUGAAAGGAGUUUUUCAAAGGAGUACCUGGAUUGCGCUACUUGAAUGUUGAGCAUCAAGAUCUAUGGAGAUAGAUCGAAACACUUAAUAGAAGUUUCAACAAGAUGCAUGCCUUGACAAGUUUUUGAAGGAGUUCAAAAUAGAUCAGCAAAGAAGGAGUUCUUGGUUGUGUUUGUUGGAAAUAUGCUCUAGAGGCAAUAAUAAUUAGUUAUUAUUAUAUUUCUUUGUUCAUGAUAAUCGUUUAUUAUCCAUGCUAUAAUUGUAUUGAUUGGAAACACAAUACUUGUGUGGAUACAUAGACAAAACACUGUCCCUAGUAAGCCUCUAGUUGACUAGCUCGUUGAUCAAAGAUGGUCAAGUUUUCCUGGCCAUAGGCAAGUGUUGUUACUUGAUAACGGGGUCACAUCAUUAGGAGAAUCAUGUGAUGGACUAGACCCAAACUAAUAGACGUAGCAUGUUGAUCGUGUCAUUUUGUUGCUACUGUUUUCUGCGUGUCAAGUAUUUGUUCCUAUGACCAUGAGAUCAUAUAACUCACUGACACCGGAGGAAUGCUUUCUGUGUAUCAAACGUCGCAACGUAACUGGGUGACUAUAAAGAUGCUCUACAGGUAUCUCCGAAGGUGUUCGUUGAGUUAGUAUGGAUCGAGACUGGGAUUUGUCACUCCGUGUGACGGAGAGGUAUCUCGGGGCCCACUCGGUAAUACAACAUCACACACAAGCCUUGCAAGCAAUGUGACUUAGUGUAAGUUGCGGGAUCUUGUAUUACGGAACGAGUAAAGAGACUUGCCGGUAAACGAGAUUGAAAUAGGUAUGCGGAUACUGACGAUCGAAUCUCGGGCAAGUAACAUACCGAAGGACAAAGGGAAUGACAUACGGGAUUAUAUGAAUCCUUGGCACUGAGGUUCAAACGAUAAGAUCUUCGUAGAAUAUGUAGGAUCCAAUAUGGGCAUCCAGGUCCCGCUAUUGUAUAUUGACCGAGGAGUCUCUCGGGUCAUGUCUACAUAGUUCUCGAACCCGCAGGGUCUGCACACUUAAGGUUCAACGUUGUUUUAUGCGUAUUUGAGUUAUAUGGUUGGUUACCGAAUGUUGUUCGGAGUCCCGGAUGAGAUCACGGAUGUCACGAGGGUUUCCGGAAUGGUCCGGAAACGAAGAUUGAUAUAUAGGAUGACCUCAUUUGAUUACCGGAAGGUUUUCAGAGUUACCGGGAAUGUACCGGGAAUGACGAAUGGGUUCCGGGUGUUCACCGGAGGGGGGGGCAACCCAGCCCGGGGAAGCCCAUAGGCCUUGGGGGUGGCGCACCAGCCCUUAGUGGGAUGGUGGGACAGUCCAAGAAGGCCCUAUGCGCCAUAGGAAGAAAAUCAAAGAGGAAAAGGAAAAAAGGGGAGGUUGGAAAAAGGGGAAGGACUCCUCCUUCCAAACCUAGUUGGAUUCGGUUUGGAAGGGGAGGACUCCCCCCCUUGGCUCGUCCGACCCCCUUGGGGCUCCUUGAGCCCCAAGGCAAGGUCCCCCCUCUCCCUCCUAUAUAUAGUGGGGUUUUAAGGCUGAUUUGAGACAACUUUGCCACGGCAGUCCGACCACAUAUCUCCACGGUUUUACCUCUAGAUCGCGUUUCUGCAGAGCUCGGGCGGAGCCCUGCUGAGAUUAGAUCACCACCAACCUCCGGAGCGCCGUCACGCUGCCGGAGAACUCAUCUACCUCUCCGUCUCUCUUGCUGGAUCAAGAAGGCCGAGAUCAUCGUCGAGCUGUACGUGUGCUGAAUGCGGAGGUGCCGUCUGUUCGGCACUAGAUCGUGGAACGGAUCGCGGGACAGUUCGCAGGGCGGAUCGAGGGACGUGAGGACGUUCCACUACAUCAACCACGUUUCUUAACGCUUCUGAUGUGCGAUCUACAAGGGUACGUAGAUCGGAAAUCCACUCUCGUAGAUGGACAUCACCAUGUUAGGUCUUCGUGCGCGUAGGAAAUUUUUUGUUUCCCAUGCGACGUUCCCCAACAGUGUUGUAAGGUGUGAAUUUGAGUAAGACUCAAAACCCGACCCCGGCAGAAUAAAGAGAAUAGACGAAGGUCGUCUUCUAUGCCUUAUUCGUAGACUCUAAAGUAUGCCAUGCUGAGUACCGCACCUGACUGUGUGCCUUGCAGCAAGUCUGUUAAGAGGUACAGAGAGUGAUCCAGGAUUGAAUCACUGAUCAGCGGUCAAAGUUAUCCUUAGUAACUAAAUGGACUAAGGUUUUUUUUUCUCGAUUAUGGAGGUGGUUAAAGAGUUCGUCGUAAAGAGUUACGUCGAUGCAAGCUUUGACACUAGUCCGAAUAACUAUGAGUAGUGAAACGGAUUCGUAUAGUAGAGUAGAUAUUUGGAGUAUUUCCGAAUAGCACGUAGUAGCAACAUCUAUAAAAUGACAUAAAGAUUUGUAAAGAACACACAGAUCUGAAAGUUUCAGAACCGUUCACUAAAACCUCUCUCACGAGCAAGACGUGAUCAGACCCCAGAACUAUAUGGGUGUUGGAUUCGUUAGAAUCACAUGGUGAUGUGAACUAGAUUAUUGACUCUAGUGCAAGUGGGAGACUGUUGGAAAUAUGCCCUAGAGGCAAUAAUAAAUUGGUUAUUAUUAUAUUUCUUUGUUCAUGAUAAUCGUUUAUUAUCCAUGCUUUAAUUGUAUUGACUGGAAACACAAUACUUGUGUGGAUACAUAGACAAAACAUUGUCCCUAGUAAGCCUCUAGUUGACUAGCUUGUUGAUCAAAGAUGGUCAAGUUUUCCUGACCAUAGGCAAGUGUUGUCACUUGAUAACAGGAUCGCAUCAUUAGGAGAAUCACGUGAUGAACGUAGCAUGUUGAUCGUGUCAUUUUGUUGCUACUGUUUUUCUGCGUGUCUAGUAUUUAUUCCUAUGACCAUGAGAUCAUAUAACUCACUGACACCGGAGGAAUGCCUUGUGUGUAUCAAACGUCACAACGUAACUGGGUGACUAUAAAGAUGCUCUACAGGUAUCUCCGAAGGUGUCCGUUGAGUUAGUACGGAUCAAGACUGGGAUUUGUCACUCCGUGUGACGGAGAGGUAUCUCGGGGCCCACUCGGUAAUACAACAUCACACACAAGCCUUGCAAGCAAUGUGACUUAGUGUAAGUUGCGGGAUCUUGUAUUACGGAACGAGUAAAGAGACUUGCCGGUAAACGAGAUUGAAAUAGGUAUGCGGAUACUGACGAUCGAAUCUCGGGCAAGUAACAUACCGAAGGACAAAGGGAAUGACAUACGGGAUUAUAUGAAUCCUUGGCACUGAGGUUCAAACGAUAAGAUCUUCGUAGAAUAUGUAGGAUCCAAUAUGGGCAUCUAGGUCCCGCUAUUGGAUAUUGACCGAGGAGUCCCUCGGGUCAUGUCUACAUAGUUCUCGAACCCACAGGGUCUGCACACUUAAGGUUCGACGUUGUUUUAUGCGUAUUUGAGUUAUAUGGUUGGUUACCGAAUGUUGUUCGGAGUCCCGGAUGAGAUCACGGACGUCAGGAGUGUUUCCGGAAUGGUCCGGAGACGAAGAUUGAUAUAUAAGAUGACCUCAUUUGAUAACCGGAAGGUUUUCAGAAUUACCGGGAAUGUACCGGGAAUGACGAAUGGGUUCCGGGUGUUCACCGGGGGGGUGGGGGCAGCCCACCCCGGGGAAGCCCAUAGGCCUUAGGGGUGCCGCACCAACCCUUAGUGGGCUGGUGGGCAAGCCCAAAGAGGCCCCUGCGCAGGAGAUAAGAAAAUCAAAGAGAAAAAAAAGGGGAAGUGGGAAGGAAGGGAAGGACUCCACCUUCCAAUCCUAGUUGGACUAGGAUUGGAAGAGGAAUCCUCCUCCCCCUUCGGCCGAACCCCUUGGGGCUCCUUGAGCCCCAAGGCAAGGCCCCUCCCCUCCCACCUAUAUAUACGGAGGUUUUAGGGCUGAUUUGACACAACUUUUCCACGGCAGCCCGACCACAUACCUCCACGGUUUUUCCUUUAGAUCACGUUUCUGCGGAGCUCGGGCGGAGCCCUGCUGACAUUAGAUCACCACCAACCUCCGGAGCACCGUCACGCUGCCGGAGAACUCAUCUACCUCUCCAUCUCUCUUGGUGGAUCAAGAAGGGCCGAGUUCAUCGUCGAGCUGUACGUGUGCUGAACGCGGAGGUGUCGUCCGUUCGGCACUAGAUCGGAGCGGAUCGUGGGACGGGUCGCGGGACGGUUUGUGGGACGGUUCGUGGGACGGAUCGAGGGACGUGAGGACGUUCCACUACAUCAACCGUUUUUAUUAACGCUUCUGCUGUGCGGUCUACAAGGGUACGUAGAUCUGAAAUCCCCCUCGUAGAUGGACAUCACCAUGAUAGGUCUUCGUGCGCGUAGGAAUUUUUUUGUUUCCUAUGCGACGUUCCCCAACAGCAGGGACAUCCGGGAGCGAUGGGGAAGGAAGACUCGCACGACUAGGAGGGCAACAGAGGCAAUGAAUCCAGCCGAAUUCAAUGAGGAUGGCACGCGGGUAGGAGGCACGGACGUCCGGGAGCGGUGGAGGCUCGACUCGGCAAGUUCUGACAAGGUUUGAAGCUAGCUUCACCCUGAGGACCCGCGACGGCAGCUGCGCAUGGUGCUCCUGUGGCGGACCAUGCAACGUCGACAUCCGAUGUGCUGGAAGCUUGGCACCUAAGGAGCUGCAAACCAGCCGCGCAUGCGCUAGUAGCCGCUGAAAUGCACCACCCGGUUUUGUGAGGCACGCCGCCGUUGGGACUGCGUCCACCCGAGCCACUGUCCAUGGCUUUUGCCUCCUUGAGGUGUUGCAACAGCAACAGUUCUCGCAACAUGAUUUGUAUUGCAAAAUAAUUAUAUAACAUAACAUUUGUUGCAAAGAAAAGUGUACAUGUUUUCCAUAACAUAAUCCUUGUUGCAAAAAAAAUCAUAACAUCAACUCUGUUAAAAAAAAAUCUACACACAUUUUCUGCAAUGUGAUCUUUGUUGUAAAAAAUUCUGCAGCAUCUCCUCCAUUGUAAAGUUUUGAAUAACACGACCUAUGUUAUAAAUGUUUCUACAACUCCGUUCUUGUUGCAAGAGAGAUAGCACACUUAGAGCAUUGUUAAUAAUAUAGCCAACUGUUGGCUAUAAGCCAUCUUAUAGCCCAUCUUAUAGCUAGCUUGUACAAUAGUUAGCUAUAAAAGAGUAUUACUUUUAUCAUAUAUGGCCACCUUUCAUUCUCACAAAGCAUCUAGGAGCACGUGCUAGAGCUAGCUCUUCACGAAGAGCCCGUUUCCCUUCUUUCUCCUCUUCUUUCUCAUCCAACUCAGCAAAAAUAUAUUAUUUUAAUCCUUACAGCCUGCUGAUUGUACCUUAUUGUACUUGCUCUUAGAUAGCUAGAUCGGACGGCUCCCCGCAUCAAUCCAACGGCCAGCCAAGUGGCGGAUGUUAUCUACUUCUCCGUCGGCCGAUGCGUAGCACCAUACAUGGUAAAUUUAAUGAUGACAUUUUUUUCAGAAAGAAAAACAACUAAUUGGGCCGAACCCUUUUUUUUGCUGGUUUCAUAAUUUGUUGGGCCAUCUUGGGUAGCUGGAAAACUCCUUCUAGAGCGAACGCCUAGGUUCGGCGAAAUAAACAUUUGACGGAAUCAUUAAUUAAGGAGCACCUUUUGCAAACGUCAUUUCCAUCUUUCCAGAGUGUUUUUUAUUUCUUUAUAUUUGUUUAUUCAAAACAGUUUAUUUCUUAAAUUGCACGUUCAAAUAUUGAAUAAUUUUCAUCAUUGAAUUUCUCGCGUCGAUAUCUUCAAAACUAGAUCCCAUAUUGAUAGGUUUUGACGAUUUUUUUUCAUAAGAAAAGACUAAAAAAACCGUGUCUCUCAUGAAAAGAACGUGUUCUAUUUUUGUUACCAAGAGGCAUAAUCGUGCCUCUCGCGGAAGUAAAACCGUGUCUUUCGAAAAAAAACACGUAUUUUUUCAUUUCCGAAAAGCACGACAGUGCAUCUCGUGGAAACAAAACCAUGCCUUUCAAGGAAGGAGGAAAACAUAUUUUUGCGCAAAAAAUAAACUUUUUUUCGUCCAAAAGCUAAAAAAGACAGGUGAAAAAACAAAAAGCCGAAAACCCCCAAAAAUCAUCUAAAAAAACAAAAACAUGUGUGAAAAAAAAUUAAAAAAAAAUUCAAAGGGAACAUCUAGAACUCGACACGUGACGGCUACUAAGUGUUGGAAUCUAUCAUAAAAUCAUUGCAUGUAAAUUAAAAUUUUACUAUGUGCAGAACAACCAAGAACAUGCUAUGAAGAUGGAUCACAAAUCGUUAUUACUAGACGCGCAGUGUCGUCCAGUGAAAGUAGAGUUGUGGCAGCGCGUCUGGCGAGGUCCAUCUCCUUCUCGUCUGAUCUCCCUCGAACAGUCGGUCACCGGAUCCCGUGUACAGGUUCGUCGGAGCAGCAUUAGUGCACCACCUCUAACGGUAUCCGCGCGUGCAGGAGGAACACCGUACGACAGACUGCUAGGUCCGAUCACAUAGUUGGCAGCGAGUGAAGGUGGCUAGUUGCAACACAUGCAAAGCCCUAAUGAUGGCAUCAAAGCGAUCUACUAAAUAAGUGUGUCGCACCUCCACUAUAUAUAGACAUCCGUCGCGGGCUCAACUCUUGGGCCUCCCAUGAAUACUAAAGUCCACGUGUUUCUUCUUUUAAGCGCGCGACCCUUUAGAUUCUCGUUUACUUGGUUGCGAGUCAGAUCAUAUCCAACUCGGCUACUAGGUAGCGGCCUCUAGCAAUAAUUGUGUCCGAUGAAGCUGGUUAGGCGAACUUGUACUUCAUACUUAUGUUUCCUUUGCCACACGAUAUAUGUUGUCGUGCUCAAGGUGACAUGGCCAUCCUUAUUGUAGGACGAUCUCUUUCUCGUUCCGGUGAAUCCGACCAACACUUCGAAUUAUCUCAUGGCCAUGCUUAUCCAGGUCGGAUCACCCAAGGGGUCGAGAGUAUACCUCUCCUAGUCGGAGGAGCAAAUUCCACCUUGCUCGACCAUGUCUCGCAACAUGGGUCUGGACAAGUCCGAAACCUACCUUUGUAACUACGUAGUUAUGGAGUAGCAUUUGGUCGGUCUAAAGCAGGUCUGUCACCAUCCCGAGUACAUACGCCAGCUCAGAUCUUAGGACAUAGAACGUAUGUUGUACUAGAGACUCACAAAAGACAGAUCGAUGUGUCUCAUAGUUGGGUCUAUCCAACUCAGUCCUUAUCUCGACUCGGAUCCGACUACGUCGAAUCCAACCAGAUCUUUCCGAGUUCAUAUUAUCUGACUAACAUCCAAUGCUACAUGGUUAGUGAGACCGGACCAUCCACCUGUCAUGUGCUAGUUUGAUUGGAUGCACGUCCACACAACCCUUUUGACUAGGGACCUUUUAAGACAGUCAUCAUACAAUGCAUAGUCUUACAAACAAGUCACAUACUUGUUGAUACACAUCAUUGAUAAUGUUCAAGGACUAUCUUUAUUCAUAAACACAUAGGAAAUAUCAUCAUACAUGAUUGCCUCUACCACAUAUCUCCAACACUAAGAGUGACCCUUGGCAGACUCCUGAAGGAGCCCUCCUCUGUUAGUUGCUCCCAACAUUCGCCCAGGUUCUAUGAGAGCCAUCAAUAGUAUCUUGUAGAUAUUCACUCUAAAUUGCAGUUUGAUUGUACUCCCUCCAUUCCCUUAUAUAAGGUCACUAUAAAAAAUAUAUUUUCCAUCUAUACAAGGCCACCAACAAAAAUUGAGGUAAAAAUUAAUGAUGUUUUUUAUACUACCUCCGUCACGGUUUAGAAGGCAUAAUUAAAUUUACAUGCAUUUCCAUAAUAGACAAGGUUUAAGACGCAUUGCAUUUAUUCAUAGCAACUAAUUAGCACUCCGUUGUACUACUUCUAUAUGCAUGCGUAGUGUGAAUGCUAUUUUUUACCCUAUGUCACAACCAAUUAAUAAUCAUCUAGGUUCCAGAGAGUUUGCAAGCACAUCUUCUAAACCGUGACGGAGGGAGUACUAGGAACUUGCUUAAUGAUUGCAUGCAUGUAGUCAUAAUGAUGCUCAUCUAUUUUCUUCUCAUUCCUUCCUUGCAUUCAUGUGGCUUGAUAAUGAUCCCGUAAGAGCAUCUUCAACAGUCCGUAUGUUCAAUCGUUGGUAUAAGUGUCCAUGUCAACAACCAACAGUACAUCAUACAAGCACUUCAAUGGAGUGUAUGUUAAUCGUAUGUAAAAUAACUAAGGGGCUCCAUUAAAUAUUGAAGAAAUAACCAUGCUUGCCUCGGAGCUUGUGCGUGAACCGUUGCUUCAAGUUCAUACGAUGUCGUUCUCUUUCUCUUCUUUAUUAUACGUCAUGUCAUCAAAAUCAUCUAUGUGGCAAUUUUACCAACGAUGAUCAUACGAUCAUUGGAGAUGCCCUUAACAAAAAGAAACUAGCUUGCAAAGCAAUCAUUAAAACAUUACCUUGUUAUCCGCAGUCUACUAAAGGCCCUCAGAGAUAAACUGGUAAAUUUUAAAUUUCUUUUGAUCUAUUAAUAAUUAAAACUGGUCUGGAGUUCGAACCACAUGCAUAGGUGUGCGUGGCUCGCCGGUUGAUCCGUUCAAAUUUAGUGUCAAGGAAGGACUCAUAUAUUUUAUAAACAUAAAGCUGAACAACAUAAAUUUAAAAUAUCAUUCCAGUAAUAUAGUGCCAUUGAUUUGAACCUGAAACCAGGGACUAUAUUGCAGCCGCACAUACCACUCCAACCGACGACAUGAAAUGGAAAAACGAUAAAUUUAGGUUUUUAACAUAACGAGCCCGUGUGGCUAAAACGGACCACGGUGUGGCUGAAUUUUUAACGGAUGCGUUCCUUUUCAUUUUAUUUUAGAAAAUAUGUAAAUUAUUAUCAUGUUACAAACAAUAUACAAUAUAUUGGAAGAAACACGUUAAAACAUUCAUAUAAUUUCAUAAAAUACCUAAGCAAUAUAUAACAGAAAUAAAUGUAAUAAAUUAUGAAUUAAGGAUAUCUUUUAUAAUUUGAAAAAAUGUUUGCAUUUUUAUAAAAUGUUAAAGUAAUUUAAGAAAAGUUCAUGUAUUUAGCCCGUUGUAGCAAAAAAACUCUACUGGUUCCAGCUCGGGCUUCACCAGUUGUAACAAAAGCAUGUGUUGGUAGCAGUUCCAUCAUCAGCCGGUGGUAGCAAACAUUCUUGCUGGUUCCAGCAAACCCAGGUGCCGGUUCCAGCUACUUUACAUGUUAAAGACUGCGUCACAACAGAAAUGUUGGUCGGUUCCAGCUCGUUUCUAAGCUGGUUGCAGCAAAAUUGAAGGCUGGUUCUAGCACCACGGGUGCUCAUGGUUGCAGUUUACCCCCUAUAUAGCAGCUCCGCCGUCGAGGGAGGAAGGGUGAGGGAGAGGGUGUGCGGAGGGAAAGGAGGGGUGAGGGAGAGGGUGGGUGGAGGGGAAGGAGGAGGAGGAGGAGGUGAGUGUCCACGACAGUGUGUGCUUGCCCGCGUCGCACGAGGGAUUAGAGAUGGGGAAAAGAAGGAAGAAAAGAUGCAGGAGGAAGAAGAUAAGGAAUAUGGAGUCGGAUGCGGGAGAAAGAAGAUAAGGAAUAUGAAGUCGGGUGGUGUGUGGGCCACGCGAAAGGGCGAAACGUUCAAUCGUCCCUGAUCGGACGAGUCUCGCGAGGCCGAUGAAAGUUUCAGCCGACGCUGUGGCUCGAAACGUUUUUCAAUCAAAUUUGGCCAUUAAGAGCCGAGGGAUUAAAGGUUAAAUUAUUAUUCUUAGAAAUGGAAGUCAUUCUUGGCGAUAAGUUGUGGAUGAAAAAUGCAAUAUAUACUCAAUAAAAUGAAAACAAGAACAGAGGCCACUCAUCAGUGAGGGAGUGAGACUGCCUCGUGGGCCCGAGUCAAUUUUGGAGUCCAGCUUGCCUCGUGAAGCCGCACGACGCCAGCAAACCUCCUCCCGCCUGCAUGCCGCCGGCGCCCCGGCUUCCGGCGCUCCUCACCGGCCUCGCCAACCCGGCGCGAACAUCCCCAGCGGCGGANNNNNNNNNNNNNNNNNNNNNNNNNNNNNNNNNNNNNNNNNNNNNNNNNNNNNNNNNNNNNNNNNNNNNNNNNNNNNNNNNNNNNNNNNNNNNNNNNNNNUUAACAUGGCAGUUCAUCUCGACACAGCCCUUGUGUAAAAGUCCAUGCACCUGCCUGGCAACUGACAAGGAGCCUAGCUGUGCGCAUGCGGACAUCAACACAGCCAUUGUUGCAGCGUCAGGCUGGAAACUCGUCAGCCGCAUCCGAUUGAACACCCCUACUGAGUCAGCCCACAACCCUGCCUGAGAACACGCGGUGAUCAUCAUGUUCCAGCUAUUCACAUUCCUCUGAGGCAUCUGAUCAAACAGGCACCUCGCGACACCAGCAUCGCCUUGCCGCAGGCGCCCCGACAUAAGCGUGUUCCAGGAGAUGAGGUCCCUCUCCUCCAUACCGUCGAACAUCUCCUGCGCAGCCUCCACGUCCCCUGCUCUGGCAUAGCAUGCUACCAUGGCGUUUCCAACCACCACGUUCCUCGCAGGCAUUUCGUCGAACACCCUCCUUGCAUCCUCAACCCGGCCAAGAUUCCCGUACGAAUCGAGCAACGCAGAACCGGCGUGCACGGAGGAGCCUAGGCCGGCCUUCAUCAUGAACCCGUGCGCCUGACACACCUCGUGGACCUCUCGGAGCGUCGACAAGGACUUGAGCACGGAGCUCACGGUGAAGGCGUUGGGUGGCGGGCCUGACCGGAGCAUGAGCCGGAACAGACCAAACGCCUCGGCGGCGAGCGCAGGGGAGGAUGCAUGCUUCGCGUAGGAGGAGAUGGUCGCCGUCCACAGGUAGACGUUGGCGGAGGCCGCGGGGACGCUGUCGAAGAUGGCGCGGGCGUAGCGCGGGGAGGAGGACGAUGCGUUGAGGAGUGUGACGGCGGCGCGGGCGGGGAGCGGGAGGCCGCGCAGGAGCAGCUGCGCGUGGAGCUGCCUCGCCGCCGCUNNNNNNNNNNNNNNNNNNNNNNNNNNNNNNNNNNNNNNNNNNNNNNNNNNNNNNNNNNNNNNNNNNNNNNNNNNNNNNNNNNNNNNNNNNNNNNNNNNNNCGGGUAAAGGACCCGUUUUAAAAAUUUACGGAAACGGUUACCGAACCCGUUCCGGACCCGUUAAAACGAGGACCAUCCUCCAACCCGUUCCGACCCCCCCCCCCCCCCCCUCCCCCCCCCSAACGGGCAUUUUUAGGCAAAAUUAGCGCCUCUUGGGGGCUCGUCGGCGCUAUUUUUAGGAUGGGGGGCCCUAGCUCCCAGUCGCCCCCCCCCCCCAAGUUCACCCCCCAGCCGCCGAGUUCCAACUCAAUAUUUAUCACAUAGAUCAAUUCAAAUAAAAUAGUUUAACAAAACAAGCUCAUAAUUUGAACACAAAUUAGGACACAUCGAACUAGGUGUUGCCCUUGAGCCUCCAUAGGUGAUCCACCAGAUCGUUCUACAGUUCUUGAUGCGCCUAUGGGUCUGGGAUCUCCUGACUCAUAUUGAGGAAGGCAAUCCAUGUUGUCAGUACGUGGUGAUCAACAUCUGCAAGAGGACUUUGCCUGAAAUAUGGUUCAGUGUCAAACACUGGCUCGUCCUACUCACUCUCAAUGAUCAUUUUGUGCAAGAUGACACAACAAUGCAUCACCUCUCAUAUCUAAGAUUUCGACCAGGUCAGAGCAUGGUACAGGACAACAGCAAAUCGUGAUUGGAGCACUCCAAAUGCUGNNNNNNNNNNNNNNNNNNNNNNNNNNNNNNNNNNNNNNNNNNNNNNNNNNNNNNNNNNNNNNNNNNNNNNNNNNNNNNNNNNNNNNNNNNNNNNNNNNNNUGAUCGUGUCAUUUUGUUGCUACUGUUUUCUGCGUGUCAAGUAUUUAUUCCUAUGACCAUGAGAUCAUAUAACUCACUGACACCGGAGGAAUGCUUUGUGUGUAUCAAACGUUGCAACGUAACUGGGUGACUAUAAAGAUGCUCUACAGGUAUCUCUGAAGGUGUUAGUUGAGUUAGUAUGGAUCAAGACUGGGAUUUGUCACUCCGUGUGACGGAGAGGUAUCUCGGGGCCCACUCGGUAAUACAACAUCACACACAAGCCUUGCAAGCAAUGUAACUUAGUGUAAGUUGCAGGAUCUUGUAUUACGGAACGAGUAAAGAGACUUGCCGGUAAACGAGAUUGAAAUAGGUAUGUGGAUACUGACGAUCGAAUCUCGGGCAAGUAACAUACCGAAGGACAAAGGGAAUGACAUACGGGAUUAUACGAAUCCUUGGCACUGAGGUUCAAACGAUAAGGUCUUCGUAGAACAUGUAGGAUCCAAUAUGGGCAUCCAGGUCCCGCUAUUGGAUAUUGACCGAGGAGUCUCUCGGGUCAUGUCUACAUAGUUCUCGAACCCGCAAGGUCUGCACACUUAAGGUUCGACGUUGUUUUAUGCGUAUUAGAGUUAUAUGGUUGGUUACCGAAUGUUGUUCGGAGUCCCGGAUGAGAUCACAGACGUCACGAGGGUUUCCGGAAUGGUCCGGAAACGAAGAUUGAUAUAUAGGAUGACCUCAUUUGAUUACCGGAAGGUUUUCGGAGUUACCGGGAAUGUACCGGGAAUGACGAAUGGGUUCCGGGAGUUCACCGGGGGGGCAACCCACCCCGGGGAAGCCCAUAGGCCUUUGGGGAGACACACCAGCCCUUAGUGGGCUGGUGGGACAGCCCAAAAGGGGCCUAUGCGCCAAGGAUAAGAAAUCAAAGGAAAAAGAAAAAAAAAGGGAGGAGGUGGGAAGGGAGGGGGACUCCCUCCCACCAAACCUAGUCCAACUCGGUUUGGGGGGGGGAGAGUCCUCCCCCUUGGCUCGGCCGACUCCUUGAGGGUCCUUGGACCCCAAGGCAAGGCCCCCCUCCCUCCCACCUAUAUAUACGGAGGUUUUAGGGCUGAUUUGAGACAACUUUUGCCACGGCAGCCCGACCACAUACCUCCACGGUUUUCCCUCUAGAUCGCGUUUCUGCGGAGCUCGGGCGGAGCCCUGCUGAGACAAGGUCAUCACCAACCUCCGGAGCGCCGUCACGCUGCCGGAGAACUCUUCUACCUCUCCGUCUCUCUUGCUGGAUCAAGAAGGCCGAGAUCAUCGUCGAGCUGUACGUGUGCUGAACGCGGAGGUGCCGUCCGUUCGGUACUAGAUCGUGGGACUGAUCGCGGGAUUGUUCGCGGGGCGGAUCGAGGGACGUGAGGACGUUCCANNNNNNNNNNNNNNNNNNNNNNNNNNNNNNNNNNNNNNNNNNNNNNNNNNNNNNNNNNNNNNNNNNNNNNNNNNNNNNNNNNNNNNNNNNNNNNNNNNNNAAAAGAUGGGGUUUUUUUCAUUGGUUUGAGAUUAUCCCUCUACAUCAUGUCAUCUUGCUUAAAGCGUUACUCUAUUCGUCAUGAACUCAAUACACUUGAUGCAUGCUGGAUAGCGGUCGAUGUGUGGAGUAAUAGUAGUAGAUGCGGAAAGUAUCGGUCUACUUGUCUCGGACGUGAUGCCUAUAUGCUAGAUCAUUGCCUUAGAUAUCGUCAUGACUUUGCGCGGUUCUAUCAAUUGCUCGACAGUAAUUUGUUCACCCACCGUGAUAUUUGCUAUGAUGAGAGAAGCCUUUAGUGAACACUAUGGCCCCGAGGGUCUACUCCACACCAUAUUUUCAGCCUUACACUUUUUACUUCGCUGCACUUUCCGCCUUCAGAUCUCACUUUUGCAAACAGUCUUGAAGGGAUUGACAACCCCUUUGAAGCGUUGGGUGCAAGUUGUUUGUUUUUGCGCAGGUACUUUGGACUUGACGAGGCCCUCCUUUUGGUUCGAUACCUUGGUUCUCAAACUGAGGGAAAUACUUACUGCUCCUGCGUUGCAUCACCCUUUCCUCUUCAAGGGAAAAACCAACACAAAUCAGAGAAGUAACAAGAGGAAUUCCUACGCGCCAGGGAAGGACUUUUGUUGCCGUAGCAAGCCCCCUCAAUGCAACCGGAAGCAACUGCGUCAUAAUCACGUGACAAUCAUGAGACUUCAGGUUCUGGAAUUUUUUCUCUGCCAUAUUUACUAUUCCCUUUAUAUUAGACGAGAAGCCAGCGGGGACCUUCAUACUGCUCUGACAUUCAAAAAAAUUCCUUCUCUCCUUUGGUAAGAGCGUAGCUACUUAAGUAUUGACGCCCUUUAUCAGUCUUCUUGUCGUAUGGGUCUUUCAUAUGUUGCUGCUCCUCCCGUGCUUCUGUGGUAUCUUUUGACUUCCCAUACACGCCCAGGAAGCCUAGCAGGUUCACGCAAAGAUUCUUCGCCAUGUGCAUCACGUCGAUUGAAGACCGGACCUCUAGGUGUUUCCAAUAGGGUAGCUCCCAAAAUAAAGAUUUCUUUUUCCACAUGGGCACGUGUCCGGUAACGUUGUCUUUCGGAACAGAUUGACCACCAGGACCCUUUCCAAAGAUUACUAUUUGAUCCAAAUCCUUGACCAUAGGCAAUAACUCAUCACCAGUAGGGAGGUUAGGCUUCUUGUGGCGAUCUGCCUCACCGUUGAAAUGCUUGCCUUUCUUUCUUACGGGAUGAUUGGUCGAUAGAAAUUGACGACACCCCAGGUAGACAACCUUCUUAGAUUUUUCCAAAUAUGUACCUUUAGUCUUAUCUAAAUAGUGUGUGCAUGCAUUGUAUCCCUUGUUUGACUGUCCUGAAAUGUUACUAAGAGCAGGCCAAUCAUUGAUGGUUCGAACAACAAUGCUCGUAGGUCAAAUUCCUGAUGUUUGUGCUCAUCCCACACACGUACACCUGGUUUGGCCCACAACUGCAAAAGUUCAUCAACUAAUCGUCUUAGGUACACAUCAAUGUUGUUGCCGGGUUGCUUCGGUCCUUGGAUGAGCACUGGCAUCAUAAUGAACUUCCGCUUCAUGCACAACCAAGGAGGAAGGUUGUAGAUACAUAAAGUCACGGGCCAGGUGUUGUAACUGCAGCUCUGCUCCCCAAAAGGAUUCAUGCCGUCUGUACUUAGACCAAGCCAUAAGUUCCUUGGGUCAUCUGCAAAGUCCGGCCACUCCCUCUCGAUUUUCCUCUACUGCGACCCAUCUGCGAGGUGUCUCAACUUUUUCCCGUCUUUCUUAUGCUCGUCUUUGUGCCAUCGCAUCAACUUUGCAUGCUCAUUGUUUCUGAACAAACGUUUCAACUGUGGUAUUAUAGGAGCAUACCACAUAACCUUAGCAGGAACCUUCUUCCGGUGGGGCUCGUCAUCGCCCUCAACAUCACCAGGGUCAUCCGGCCUGAUCUUGUACCGACUUGCAGUGCAUACCGUGCAUUUAUCCAUAUUCUCGUACUUCUCACCAUGGUACAGGAUGCAGUCAUUAAUGCAUGCAUGUAUCUUCUGCACAUCUAAUCCAAGAGGGCAGGUAGCCUUGUUUGCUUCGUACGUAGUCUCGGGCAAUUCGUUAUCCUUUGGAAGCUUCGGCUUCAAUAUUUUCAGUAACUUCUCAAAUCCCUUAUCAGAUAAACCAGUUUCUGCCUUCCAUUUCAACAGUUCCAGUGUGGUACCGAGCUUUGUGCUGCCAUCUUCGCAAUUUGGGUACAACAACUUUUUAUGAUCCUUUAGCAUGGCCUCCAACUUCAGCUUCUCCUUUUCUGUAUCGCAUUCUCUCUUUGCAUCAGAAAUUACCCGACCAAGACUAUCAGCGGGCUCAUCUGAUGCCGGUUGUUCUUCACCUCCUUCUUCUUCAUUGUCUUCCAUUGUAGUAUCACCGUGUUCUUUAGUGAACAUAGGAUAGUUGUCAUCAUCAUCUUCUUCUUCAUUGUCUUCCAUCGUAACCCCUCUUUCUCCGUGCAUGGUCCAACAAUAAUAUGAGGGCAUGAAACCUUUCUGAAGCAAGUGGAGACGAAUGGUUUUCGAGCUAGAGUACUCCUUCACCUUUAGACAGCCAACACAUGGACAAGGCAUAAAAUGAUUCACUUUGUUUGCCUUAGCCACAUCAAUAAAUUUAUGCAGGCCUGCAAUAAAUCUGGAAGUGCGUCGUUCGCCGUACAUCCAUCGCUUCCGUGCAUCGAUCCGGCAUCAUACAUGAAUAGUGAAAUGACCACCGUACAUUGACACAUGCAAUAUUUUUUUAUCAAUUACACAUGAAGAAAGUUGCUAACAUCGGGAGAGGAUACCAUUUCGUGUGAACUUUAGUGUGACUCGGGCAUUAAUUAGUCCCGGUUCGUAAUAUACUCCGAAGUGCGUCGGUCACCGUACAUCCAUUAGCGGUUCAUCUCUAUUAUGAAACUAAGUAUAUCAAAAAACCAUUGCAGAACAUCAUGAAUAAAGAAAUGACCAAAUUAAUACAAGUUCAUCAUCACAUUAAAACCAAAGCUCAGUAGUGAUCAAACGUUAUUAUUGAAAAAAUAAAUACAUAAAGUUCUCUUAUGAAACAACACACAACUAUGUAAAACAUUUAAAUGCAACAACAAAUGCGAUCAAAAUCGCAACUAAGGUAACAAUUGACCCAGCAGCAUAAUGAUACCAAGCCUCUUUAGCAAUGACAUAUUUUCUAAUAUUUCUAAUCUUCAAGCGCAUUUCAUCCAUCUUCGAGCGCAUUGCAUCUAUCUUCAAGCGUUGUGCAUCCAUCUUCAACAACAUCGCAUCGAUCUUCAUCUUGCGAUCAUUGAUGACAUCGGCGACAUGCAACUCCAAUUCCAUAUUCUUGUCCUCAAUUUUUCCUUGAAGUAUUUGUUUUCUUUUUCAACCAAAUUUAACUUCUCGAGAAGAAUUUCUAUGUGGGUUGGAAUUUCCGGUUCAACUACCUCCUAGAUUAAAAAAUAUAUGUCACGUUGGUCGUCAUAAUUGUCAUAAACAAUAAAUAAAACAAAUAGUUAUAAAAGAUAAUAUAUACCACAUCCGAAUCAUAGACAGGACGAGGGCCGAGGGAGGCGGAUACCAAAACCAUCAUGCUAUAUAAUAACAGAAAAUAAUAAAAGUAAGUAAUUUAUACAAGUAUGUAUCUAAAUCAUACAAGUAAGAAUUUUUUUUCUUUUAAAAAGAAGACAAGAACAAGAGGCUCACCACCGUGGUGCUCGCGACGAGAUUGGCGCGAGGCGAUCGACAACAGUGAGGACGGGCACGGGACGGCACCCUACCCAUGUGCAGACUCUAAGAAGUUAAUUUGAGCAUUUCAAAUGAGCUAAACUAGCAGUGACACAUGAAAGGAUGAAGUAGCUAACCUUUUAAAACACUUGUGGAGUUGGUGUACGGCCAAACGUAGACAAAUAUUGAGGAAAAUGAAGUUUGGAGGUCGAGUUUGGAGAGGACAAAGCUUAACUAGUGUGGCUCGGACAUUUCAUCGAACACGUCAAGUGCAUGAACUAGAGUGGCAAGGGUGGCAUAUGGCAUGGGCACACUUUAGCCAAAACACACAGAGAGUGGGCAGGUGCGACGGUAUAUAUAGGCAGAACUCUAGUCCCGAUUUUUCUCUAAAACCGGGACUAAUAGCCUUCCUUUAGUCCCAGUUCGUGCCACAAACCAGGACUAAUGAUCCCUGGCAUGCCACAUAAAAGUCGCUGGAUCUUUAGUCCCCGGUUUUUCCCUAAACCAGGACUAGUGAGGUGAACAGAACCGAGACCAAUGCCCCGGCAAACCGAACCAGGACCAAUGACUGUCAUUGGUCCCGGUUUUAAUUUGAACCGGGACUAAUGGUCUUUCGGCCCUCGGCUGAAAAAUUCUUUUUCUAAUAGUGACAUCGAAUACUUGACGCUCGAAGAUCAACAGGGUCAAACCACCUUUAUUCCGGCCGAGUCAACAUCUCCCAGGCCAUCGACCGGUUGCAGAGGAGAAGACGAACGUGCCGACCGCGCUGGUCAUCCGGCGUUGCGCGAGUGGCAGCAAACAUUCAAACGAAACUUCCUAGAAACCAUGUUCGAGAGUUUUGAGAAACCCUGGGGAAAAUGGGCGCAAGGCAGAUCUUGUUGUGGUGUGGUCCAUUGAUAGGGGGAUGCAAGAGUUCGUGAGCCUCGUCGAGGCGGUGGCCAGUGCCGUUGGCCCUUGGGGUGCUUGCAGGAGGCUCGGGAAAGAAGAGAGCAAAAAGGCUCACCGUGUCCGAUGAAUUUUGCUCGAUGGCGGUUGUACAGAACUGAUGAAAACGACAGCGAAGUGUCGUCUUUUGGUGGUCUUCGCCCAACGAAUCGUGUUGGAGGAUGAGCAUGAUGUGGUGGAUCCUGUGGACAUGACCGCAAGUUGUGGGGCGGCCAUUGGCCACGAACUUGCUCGCCGGUGGCCAUGACAAUGCUCUUUUUGUGUGUGAGAGAAAUAAAAACGGAGGGAAAAGGAGAGAGGUGCCCUAUUUCACAUCAUCUGCUACGACAAAAAAUGAUUUGGUGCCCAAAAACCUUCUCUCUCUUACCUAAUUUUAUUGGUGUUCUAUUUUGCAUCAUUUUUUGGAGAUGCUCUUAGGGUUCUCGGUCAACCUCCCCUCUCUAGGCCCACCACUUGCUGUUGUCUUGAGCAGGCAGCAAAACGAUGGCCAUGUAACAUCCCGAAGUUUGUGAAACAUGUGAUGAAGAGUGUUGUUUUGCAUCAUGUUUAAAUUCAAAUUGAAAAGUAGGCGAAUUUAAAACCUCAAAUAAACUUUGUAAAUGCACUACAUAUUAUAGUGUAACCUAAAUGUCCUUAAAAAAUCAAGAAACUUAUGUGGGAGCUUCGUGUAUACGUUAGGAAGCCUGACCACCCCCCCCCCCCACCCCACCACACACACACCCUAAUAUUCCAUGAAUUACGAAUGACUUGAACCUUGCCAACUAAAUUUCUUCAAGCAAUUCUUUUCCAAGAAGUUCAACUCAUGAAAAUAUUCAAAUUGUUUUGAAAUUAUAGGAGGAGAGUUACUGAACUAAAGUUGCAAAAAAAAUUUAAAUAGUUGUGGAAAUAAACCCAUAAAAAAAAUUCUACAUAGUCUCAAUUAGAUUUGAACAAUUGAAAUUAUAUUUAAUAUUAUAAAAACAGAAUAUAUAUAUUUUAAUUAUUAGCUGAUUGAAAUUGUUGUUUCUAAAUCAACCAAGAUGUAUAAUGUGAGAUCUAAGGGUGUGGCUAGGUCUCAGCCGAUUGAGAUUUAACCAAGUCUCAAUCGACUCAGAAUUAGUAAAGUCUCAAUCAAGUAACAUUACUUACAAAAGAAAAAGAAAAGUGAAAAAAAAAUACUGCACGGAUCUUAAUGUAAGAUCUCAUAAUUGUAUCAUCGACUGAGACUUAAUGAAGUCACCGUCGACUAAGAGCAUCUCCAACCGUUCCGCCCCCCCCCCCCCCUCCCCCAAGGGCUAUUUUUAGGCAAAAAUUAGCGCCUCUUGGGGGCUCGUCGGCGCUAUUUUUAGGAUGGGGGGCCCUAGCUCCCAGUCCGCCCCCCCCCCCAAGUUCACCCCCCAGCCGCCGAGUUCCAACUCAAUAUUUAUCACAUAGAUCAAUUCAAAUAAAAUAGUUUAACAAAACAAGCUCAUAAUUUGAACACAAAUUAGGACACAUCGAACUAGGUGUUGCCCUUGAGCCUCCAUAGGUGAUCCACCAGAUCGUUCUACAGUUCUUGAUGCGCCUAUGGGUCUGGGAUCUCCUGACUCAUAUUGAGGANNNNNNNNNNNNNNNNNNNNNNNNNNNNNNNNNNNNNNNNNNNNNNNNNNNNNNNNNNNNNNNNNNNNNNNNNNNNNNNNNNNNNNNNNNNNNNNNNNNNAAAGCCAUCUGGCUGUUGCAUAUAGAUUCUCAUUAGCNCUCCGUUCNGAAAAGCCGCCUUAACGUCCAUUUGAUGAACGAGGAAGACCGAUGAGACUUCCAGGCACGCCGGCAUGAUUGGAUCGAUGCUUCUCGGCACGACAUUGUCAUCUUUCCUACUUAAUGAGACUGUAGGACAACAAAUUUGCCACCGUAAGGGCCUGCGAUAGGGAGACCCGCUUUUGUCCCUCCUCUACAUCAUCGCCAUCGACCCUCUCCAGAGGCUGGUGCAGCAAGCGACAUAGUUAGCCCUGCUCGCCCCUACCUGGCAAAGACAUCUCCCUCCGAGUUAGACUAUAUGCUGAUGACGAUGUAAUCUUCGCCAACCCUGAUAGAGCGGAGGUCAGUACCCUGCUCGACAUCCUCCACGAUUUUGAACUCACAAUAGGAUUGCAAGUGAACCCCCUCAAAAAACAGCUGUCACCGCUAUCCGCUUCGAGGAGAUCAACUUGCAGGAUGUUCUGCUUAGUUUUGGUGGGGGCGACAGUGGGUUUUCCCCUAAAAUACCUGGGCCUCCCACUAACCCUCUCCGGAUUGCGCCUCGUCCACAUCCAGUUCAUACUGGAUCGGAUCAGAGCAAGACUUGCGGGAUGGAAGGGCAAACUCAUGUCUAUCGCUAGCAGACGGGGGUUUCACCAUUGCCCGGGUUNUGGACCGAGGUCGAGCGCUGACAAGGUCAUGUCGGCCAUCGUCGCAACGCCAUUCCAUGGCCUGUCCAGGCUUGCCAGGACCAGCCAGAGCCAACGGNNNNNNNNNNNNNNNNNNNNNNNNNNNNNNNNNNNNNNNNNNNNNNNNNNNNNNNNNNNNNNNNNNNNNNNNNNNNNNNNNNNNNNNNNNNNNNNNNNNNUGCUCCUUAAUUAAUGAUUCCGUCAAAUGUUUAUUUCGCCGAACCUAGGCGUUACGCUCUUAAGGAAGGGUACGUUUUUCCAGGACCUACCCAAGAGUGGCCCAAACAAAAUUUAUAGAAAACCAGACAAAAAAAAGGGUUCGGCCCAAUUAGUUUGUUUUUCUUUUCUGAAAAAAAAAUGUCAUCAUUAAAUUUACCAUGUAUGGUGCUACGCAUCGGCCGACGGAGAAGUAGAAUAACAUCCGCCUACUUUGGCUAGGCCGUUGGAUUGAUGCGGGGAGCCGUCCGAUCUAGCUAUCUAAGAGCAAGUACAAUAAGGUACAAUACAGCAGGCUGUAAGGAUUAAAAUAAUAUAUUUUUAGCUGAGUUGGAUGAGAAAGUAAGAGGAGUAAAGAAGGGAAACGGGCUCUUCGUGAAGAGCUAGCUCUAGCACGUGCUCCUAGAUGCUUUGUGAGAAUGAAAGGUGGCCAUAUAUGAUAAAAGAAUACUCUUUUAUAGCUAACUAUUGUACAAGCUAGCUAUAAGAUUGGGACUAUAAGAUGGCUAUAGCCAACAGUGGCUAUNUUACGUUAACAAGUGCUUACCUAAGUUAGUGUAACCUUAANACUUUCCUUACGUUUUUACGUACCCGAAAAACNNNNNNNNNNNNNNNNNNNNNNNNNNNNNNNNNNNNNNNNNNNNNNNNNNNNNNNNNNNNNNNNNNNNNNNNNNNNNNNNNNNNNNNNNNNNNNNNNNNNGGUUGCAUAAANAAAAUGUUGUAUACUAUUUGGAAGGCNUUAAAUUUGGUAGUAGUACAUAGACUCCGUAAGGGUACCCCCGAUCUUGACGUAAAAGUCGUGAGCUAGGAAACAAAAAAAUCUCAACUGAACAGGGUGAUGUAUGCUAAACGAAAAAUAAAAAGCGUUUGUGGUCUGCAAAACGAAAAAAAUAAGCAAAGGCCUUCCGGUUGGCAUAAAUAAAAAUGCUAUGAAACAGAAAAAUUAAAUAAACGGUCACUUGGUUGAACAAUUUCAGUAUUUUAUACUAAUUUUAUUUUCAUUUAAAGGCAGAAUUUUGUCAUCCCGUUGACGUGAUUCUCGACAAGUCGAGAAUUGUACCUUUUUUCAAGCCUGAUCAUCUAUAUGAAGUAUCUUAUACAACAUAGCAAGGUAGCCUAUAUGAAAUAACAAACUGGUACAAUAACAACAAAGUGCUACUCAAAGCGGAGUGAUAAAAAAACGAAUUGAAAACAUGCAUUUCAGAAUCCCCUCCAUUCAAAAAAAAAAAUUUAGGUAAAAAGACAAAAACAAUAAAUAGAAAGCUGCAACGGAGGAACUUAGCUGGAUUUGUGGCAAUUUGCUAUUGUUGCUUGAUAGCAGUUGCUAUAUUUGNGACUGGUGUAGGAAGUUCUAGCUNNNNNNNNNNNNNNNNNNNNNNNNNNNNNNNNNNNNNNNNNNNNNNNNNNNNNNNNNNNNNNNNNNNNNNNNNNNNNNNNNNNNNNNNNNNNNNNNNNNNUUCAUCAUCAUCAUCGCCCCUCCAAUGACUCGUGAGUAGUUCACUUUCAGACCUACGGGUCCGUAGUUAGUAGCUAGAUGGCUUCUUCUCUCUCUGUUGGAUCUUCAAUACAAAGUUCUCCAUGAUCUUCAUGGAGAUCUAUCCGAUGUAAUCUUCUUUGGCGGUGUGUUUGUCGAGAUCCGAUGAAUUGUGGAUUUGUGAUCAGAUUAUACUUUGAUAUAUAUUUGAGUCUUUGCUGAUUUCUUAUAUGCACGAUUUUCGAUAUCCUUGUAAGUCUCUCCGAGUCUUGGGUUUUGUUUGGCCAACUAGAUUCUAUGAUUCUUGCAAUGGGAGAAGUGCUUGGUUUUGGGUUCUACCAUGUGGUGACCUUUCCCAGUUGACAGUAGGGGCAGCAAGGCACACAGGGUCUAAAGGGUGUUCGCCUACGUUUACGAAACGGGGUUAAAAAAAGUAGGUUUACGGGGGUUUUUUAGGUCCGUUAACGUUCGGUUUACGGUAACGGUUAAAGGGUUUCGUUAACCCGUUCGAAACGUCNNNNNNNNNNNNNNNNNNNNNNNNNNNNNNNNNNNNNNNNNNNNNNNNNNNNNNNNNNNNNNNNNNNNNNNNNNNNNNNNNNNNNNNNNNNNNNNNNNNNGUCGGCAUCGAACGACCGACAAACUAACCAAACAAAUAAGUUAACUUUAGAACAAAAAGGAAAAUAGAACGAAACAACCGGACAAUACAACCUAGUCUCCCUGUCUGGCAACUGUAGCAUGUUUCGUUGACCAGAACCACCCCUNUAGCAGCAAAGUUGCAUCCGCUCGCUCUUUCUGUCUUUCUUAUUUUUAUUUUACAUCCUUGUAACUAUAUUGCUCCGUGUUGAUAUUGUUGUAUGAAUUGGCCUGUUGUUCUAACAAUAGAAGUGAGCUGCAUUUUUUUUUCAAUAAAGUUGAUUUGUUUGCAGAUUCUUGUAUGGGCAGAAGAAAGAUAGAAUUGACUUUGCGUAUAGACUAUCCUAUGGAUGUCGAUGGCUAUCACCGGCCAAAGGMGGCUAACGCCAGAUGUUGUAGAGCGUUAGCGAGGAGCUCCCGGACGAAGAUGGCGGUGGCUAAUGAGCACAGUCUACUCGUUGAGGAGGUCUUACACAUUCAUGUGCAUUCUUGGUUUUAGAAGAAACUGGACUGGUUUGAUUUGAUUGAGUUCGACUUUGAUUCAGUAGUUGUGCUAUUGUUAAAUCCUCGGAUGCAAUAUUUAUUUGGCAGGUCUUUACUAAAAUGGGUCACUAAAGUUGGAGAGGAAGAAAAAAUACGUCAUUGCAUAUUGUUACUUGCCCGAGAUUCGAUCGUCAGUAUCCGCAUACCUAUUUCAAUCUCGUUUACCGGCAAGUCUCUUUACUCGUUCCGUAANNNNNNNNNNNNNNNNNNNNNNNNNNNNNNNNNNNNNNNNNNNNNNNNNNNNNNNNNNNNNNNNNNNNNNNNNNNNNNNNNNNNNNNNNNNNNNNNNNNNAGCUACUAACUACGGACCCGUAGGCUGAAGUGAACUACUCACGAGUCAUUGGAGGGGCGAUGAUGAUGAUGAAGAAGACCCUCCAACUCCAAAGUCCCUCCGGCAGUGCGCCGGAAAGGGUCUUCAGAUGAGAUCUCGCGGAAACGGAAGCUUGCGGCGGCGGAAAAGUUUUUUUUGAGGCUCCCCUGAWUUUUUGCUGAAUAUUUGGGAAUAUAUAGGCCAAGGAUUUAGGUCGAAGGGGGGCAGGGAGGCCACAAGCCCUGACACCGCCGCCUCCCCCUGGUGGCAGGGUGGGAGCUUGUGGGCUCCCUGGAGCCCACCUGGCUUGGCCUAGAGGCCCCCUGAUCUUCUUUCGUUCGGGAAAAAAUCAUUUUGGGGUUUUUAUUCCGUUUGGACUCCGUUCCAAAAUCAGAUCUGAAAAGAGUCAAAAACACAAGAAAAAACAGGAACUCGCACUUGGCACUGAAUUAAUAAGUUAGUACCCAAAAAAWAAUAAAAGGUACAUAAAACAUCCAAAGAAGACAAGAUAACAACAUGAAACCAUAAAAAAUUAUAGAUACAUUUGAGACGUAUCAAGCAUCCCCAAGCUUAACUCCUACUCGUCCUCGAGUAGGGAAGUGAUAAAGAAUGAAUUUUUGAUGCUUUCAUGCUACCUAGCAUAGAUGUCCUUUGUAAUUCCUCUUAUGUGACGUGAAUGUUCAGAUCCAUUAGAUUCAAAAUAAUAGUUUGAUAUUGACGUGGANNNNNNNNNNNNNNNNNNNNNNNNNNNNNNNNNNNNNNNNNNNNNNNNNNNNNNNNNNNNNNNNNNNNNNNNNNNNNNNNNNNNNNNNNNNNNNNNNNNNUAUCCAAUACCCCGCUGAUGGUUAUUGGCCGGAGAGUUGUCCCGGUCAUGUCUGCGUGUCUCCCGAACCCGUAGGGUCUACACACUUAAGGUUACGAUGACGCUAGGGUUAUAGGGAAUUGUUAUACGAGGUUACCGAAAGUUGUUCGGAGUCUCGGAUGUAGAUCCCGGACGUCACGAGGAGCUCCGGAAUGGUCCGGAGGUAAAGAUUGUAUAUAGGGAUGGACUGGUUUUUGAACACCGGAAAUGUUUCGGGCAGUCACCGGUAAUGUACCGGGACCACUGAAAAUGGUCCCGGGGGUCCACCGGGAGGGGCCGACCAGCCCCAUGAGGUAGCAUUGGGCCAAAAGAGGGAGGGAAACCAGCCCAAAGUGCGCACUAUAGUGGAUACAUCUAUGCAGACAAGUAGUACUGCUAGGAUAAAUACGAACACUGAGGAUAAACGAGUCAUACCCUCCAAACUUAGGCCCAGUUGGCGUAGCAGCAGCGUUGGCAUGCCGNGCCGUAGCCGCAGCUNNNNNNNNNNNNNNNNNNNNNNNNNNNNNNNNNNNNNNNNNNNNNNNNNNNNNNNNNNNNNNNNNNNNNNNNNNNNNNNNNNNNNNNNNNNNNNNNNNNNACCCUUACCCCAUGUUGACAGGACUCCUAAGAAGUUAAUUUUGAGCAUUUUCCAAAUGAGCUAAACUAGCAGUGACACACUUGAAAGGGAUGAAGUAGCACCUUUUUAAAACACUUGUGGAGUUUGGUGUACGGCCAAAACGUARCAAAUAUUGAGGAAAAAUGAAGUUUGGAGGUCGAGUUUGGAGAGGGACAAAGCUUAACUAGUGUGGCUCGGACAUUUCAUCGAACACGUCAAGUGCAUGAACUAGAGUGGCAAGGGUGGCAUAUGGCAUGGGCACACUUUAGCCAAAAACACACAGAGAGUGGGCAGGUGCGACGGUAUAUAUAGGCAGAACUCUAGUCCCGAUUUUUCUCUAAAAACCGGGACUAAUAGCCUUCCUUUAGUCCCAGUUCGUGCCACAAACCAGGACUAAAUGAUCCCUGGCAUGCCACAUAAAAAGUCGCUGGAUCUUUAGUCCCCGGUUUUCCUAACCAACGGACGUAAUGAGGGUGGAACCAAGAAACCGGAACGGAACCGAAAAUUAGCCCCGGGCCCGAAAAACCCAAAAACCCGAAACGGGAACCCGAAACUUAGGAACGUAACGUUACGUACGUUACNNNNNNNNNNNNNNNNNNNNNNNNNNNNNNNNNNNNNNNNNNNNNNNNNNNNNNNNNNNNNNNNNNNNNNNNNNNNNNNNNNNNNNNNNNNNNNNNNNNNGAAGCUUGGCCCUGCAGGCAUGCUCAACCGCUGCAAGCCCAGAAUGCAAGCUUUAGCAGUCUUCGUGAGGUUGUAUUCUGUAUUUGCAGCCACGGGUUUCCUGUGCUACAUCUAGGCGUAGCACAAUUGCAGCUGMYAYAUSAAGUYRSAGCUWUGCAUUGYUSMAGRUGGCAUGAACUGCGAAACAAUUUCCACAUUGUCUUAACUGCGUACCAAAACUCAUAACUCAGAUAUUCAUUUCCAUGAUCAUAUCGUAGACAGUUUAUCCUCUUGUUACGACGAACUUCACUCUGAAACGGAAUUGAACUUUUCAACAUUUCAGACUUGUGAUUCAUUAAGUAAAUACUCCUGUAUCUACUCAAAUCGUCAGUGAAGUAAGAACAUAAUGAUAUCCACUACGUGCCUCAGCACCCAUUGGACUGCAUACAUCAAAAAUGUAUCACUUUCAACAAGUUACUAUCUUAUUUCAUCUCAAUGAAACAACAAUUAGGUUUUUGAUUGUUGAGUAAAUAGACAAUUUUUCCGAGUAUAUUAAUCCACGAGAUAAUAACUAGCAUGGCACUGACUAGACUAAUGAUGUACUGAUCUUGAGCUAACAUAGCACAUACUANNNNNNNNNNNNNNNNNNNNNNNNNNNNNNNNNNNNNNNNNNNNNNNNNNNNNNNNNNNNNNNNNNNNNNNNNNNNNNNNNNNNNNNNNNNNNNNNNNNNUGCUGUUUCCUGGAAGUCUUGCAAGCAAACGAUCUUAACGAGAUCGACAAUGGAAGCAGAAUUAACAGCAUUAGACACAUCUGGUGUCGAAGCAGAAUUUCUUUGAGAUCUUUUGAUGGACUUACCUGUGGUUGAGAAGCCGGUUCCGGCUAUCCUUAUGAACUGUGAUAAUCAGACGGUUAUUGUCAAAGUGAAGAGUUCAAAGGACAAUAUGAAGUCCAACAAACAUAUAAGAAUGAGAUUGAAGUCUGUCAGACGUUUGAGAAACUCCUAGCAGUCUGUCGUACGGUGUUCCUCCUGCACGCGCGGAUACCGUUAGAGGUGGUGCACUAAUGCUGCUCCGACGAACCUGUACACGGGAUCCGGUGACCGACUGUUCGAGGGAGAUCAGACGAGAAGGAGAUGGACCUCGCCAGACGCGCUGCCACAACUCUACUUCACUGGACGACACUGCGCGUCUAGUAAUAACGAUUUGUGAUCCAUCUUCAUAGCAUGUUCUUGGUUGUUCUGCACAUAGUAAAAUUUUAAUUUACAUGCAAUGAUUUUAUGAUAGAUUCCAACACUUAGUAGCCGUCACGUGUCGAGUUCUAGAUGUUCCCUUUGUAAUUUUUUUUUUAAUUUUUUUUCUACUACAUUGUUUUUUGUUUUUUUUAGUUAUUGUAGUUUUUUGGGGGGGUUUUUCGGGUUCUUUUUUUCGUUUUUUUCUUACCUUCGUUCUUUUUUAGUUCUUUUAGGUACGAAAAAAAAGUUUANNNNNNNNNNNNNNNNNNNNNNNNNNNNNNNNNNNNNNNNNNNNNNNNNNNNNNNNNNNNNNNNNNNNNNNNNNNNNNNNNNNNNNNNNNNNNNNNNNNNACAAAUUACUGUCGAGCAAUUGAUAGAACCGCGCAAAGUCGUGACGAUAUCUAUGCAAUGAUUAUAUCUAUAGGCAUCACAUCCAAAACAAGUAGACCGAUACUUCUGCAUCUACUACUAUUACUCCACACGUCGACCGCUAUCCAGCAUGCAUCUAGUGUAUUAAGUCCAUAAGAACAGAGUAACGCCUUAAGCAAGAUGACAUGAUGUUGAGGGAUAAUCUCAAACCAAUGAUAAAAAACCCCAUCUUUUUACCCUUGAUGGCAACUACUUGAUGUGUGCCUUGCUGCCCCUACUGUCACUGGGAAAGGUCACCACAUGGUAGAACCCAAAACCAAGCACUUCUCCCAUUGCAAGAAUCAUAGAUCUAGUUGGCCAAACAAAACCCAAGACUCGGAGAGACUUACAAGGAUAUCAAAUCGUGCAUAUAAGAAAUCAGCAAGACUCAAAUAUAUAUCAAAGAUAAUCUGAUCACAAAUCCAYAUAUCAUCGGAUCUCGACAAACACACCGCCAAAGAAGAKKACAWCGUACUUAAACUACCGGUACGUNNNNNNNNNNNNNNNNNNNNNNNNNNNNNNNNNNNNNNNNNNNNNNNNNNNNNNNNNNNNNNNNNNNNNNNNNNNNNNNNNNNNNNNNNNNNNNNNNNNNAAGGAAGAUAGAAAUGGCGACGUAUUUUAACUAAAAAUAGAAAAUUAAACCUUUUCCCUCAGCUACCGUASMCCCSGUUUCGGGUUGGUUCAUCUAGCAUCGUCAGRAGGKCUUGUGUAGGGUGGGGAGGGGGGUGGGGGCUUUGACGGCGGUGGUGUUGCUCGGAAUGUGUUGCAACCACAAAAAAAAGGUUCCCUCCUAUUGUACUGUCAGACAUUACAACAAAUGUCCGUUUCUUUGUUAAAUUUUCCAUUUUGUUUUCUGCUAUUUCANCUUUUUUUUUUGAAUAUAUGUUAAAUUAUUCAUGGUNUGAAAAAAUGUAUGGGCUCACAUUUUUGAAAAAUGUUAGUCACGUUAUUUUUACAAAGUGUUUCAUUUUUGUUGUAAAAAAUGUCCAUCACAUCUUUAACAACCUGUUCGUUCAUGUAUUUUGAAAAAUGAUCCAUCGUUUAUUGAAAAAAAUUGUUCAACGCGUUAACGAAAAAGUUGCUCGUAUAUUUUAAAAAACUAUGUCAUCGCGUUACUUUUUACCCAAAGGUUUUUCUACCUAGUACCGGUUCGUUGGGUUUUUUUAAAAAAAAAAAAAAAAAAACUUCCUAAANNNNNNNNNNNNNNNNNNNNNNNNNNNNNNNNNNNNNNNNNNNNNNNNNNNNNNNNNNNNNNNNNNNNNNNNNNNNNNNNNNNNNNNNNNNNNNNNNNNNGUGUUGGAGAUAUGUGGUAGAGGCAAUCAUGUAUGAUGAUAUUUCCUAUGUGUUUAUGAAUAAAGAUAGUCCUUGAACAUUAUCAAUGAUGUGUAUCAACAAGUAUGUGACUUGUUUGUAAGACUAUGCAUUGUAUGAUGACUGUCUUAAAAGGUCCCUAGUCAAAAGGGUUGUGUGGACGUGCAUCCAAUCAAACUAGCACAUGACAGGUGGAUGGUCCGGUCUCACUAACCAUGUAUGGGCCAAACCAGGUGUACGUGUGUGGGAUGAGCACAAACAUCAGGAAUUUGACCUACGAGCAUUGUUGUUCGAACCAUCAAUGAUUGGCCUGCUCUUAGUAACAUUUCAGGACAGUCAAACAACGGGGAUACAAUGCACUGCGACACACUAUUUAGAUAAGACUAAAGGUACAUAUUUSGARAAAAUCUAAGAAGGUUGGUCGUACCUGGGGUGUCGUCAAUUUCUAUCGACCAAUCAUCCCGUAACGAAAAGAAACGGGACAAGACCAAUUUUCGAAACGGGUCGAAGGGCCAGAUCGGCCANNNNNNNNNNNNNNNNNNNNNNNNNNNNNNNNNNNNNNNNNNNNNNNNNNNNNNNNNNNNNNNNNNNNNNNNNNNNNNNNNNNNNNNNNNNNNNNNNNNNCCGCCGUUGGACCGUGCGUCCACCCGAGCCACUGUCCCAAUUGGGCGUUUUCGUCCUACCUUUCGAAGGUGUUGGCCAACAGCCAACAGUUCCUACGCUAACAUGAUUGUAUGCAAAUAUAUAUAACAUAACAUUUGUUGACAAAGAAAAGUAGUACAUGUUUCCAAUAACAUAAUCCUUGUUAGCAAAAAAAAAUCAUAACAUUCAACUCUGUUAAAAAAAAAUCUACACACAUUUUUCUGUCAAUGUGAUCUUUGUUGUAAAAAAAUUCUGCAGCAUCUCCUCCAUUGUAAAGUUUUGAAUAACACGACCUAUGUUAUAAAUGUUUCUACAACUCCGUUCUUGUUGCAAGAGAGAUAGCACACUUAGAGCAUUGUUAAUAAUAUAGCCAACUGUUGGCUAAUAAGCCAUCUUAUAGCCCAUCUUAUAGCUAGCUUGUACAAUAGUUAGCUAUAAAAAGNGUUAUUACUUUUAUCAUAUAUGGCCACCUUUCAUUCUCACGAAAANCAUCGUUAGGAGCAACUGGCUAAGAGCUAAGCUCUUUCACGUAAAGCGGUCCCCGUUUUUUCCCCCGUUUACUUUUUCUCCCUUCUUUCCUUUACGUUCAACGUUCCCAACUUCCNNNNNNNNNNNNNNNNNNNNNNNNNNNNNNNNNNNNNNNNNNNNNNNNNNNNNNNNNNNNNNNNNNNNNNNNNNNNNNNNNNNNNNNNNNNNNNNNNNNNACCUUAGAUCUCACAUUANACAUCUUGGUUGUAUUUAAGAAAACAACUAAUUUACUAAUCAGCUAAUAAUUAAAUAUAUAUAUCUUGUUUAUAUAUAAUAUAUUCUAAUUGUUACAAUCUAAUUGAGACUAUGAGUAAUUUUUUAUGGGUUUAUUUCCACAACUAUUAAAUUUUUUUGCAACUUUAGUUCAGUAACUCUCCUCCUAUAAUUUCAAAACAAUUUGAAUAUUUUCAUGAGUUGAACUUCUUGGAAAAGAAUUGCUUGAAGAAAUUUAGUUGGCAAGGUUCAAGUCAUUCGUAAUUCAUGGAAUAUUAGGGUGUGUGUGUGGUGGGGGGGUKGGGGGGGGGGUGGUCGGGUCUUCCUAACGUAUACACGAAGCCUCCCACAUUAAGUUUCUUGUUAGUUUUUUAAGGACUAGUUUAGGUUACACUAUAAUAUGUAGUGCUAUUUAACUAAAGUUUUAUUUGGUUAAGGUUUUUAAACUUCCGUCCUUACUUUUACUAAUUUAGUAAAUUUAAACAUGAUGACAAAACACACUCUUCAUCACAUUNNNNNNNNNNNNNNNNNNNNNNNNNNNNNNNNNNNNNNNNNNNNNNNNNNNNNNNNNNNNNNNNNNNNNNNNNNNNNNNNNNNNNNNNNNNNNNNNNNNNAAAGGGUUUUACGGGGUGAAAGUNUCGGGAGCGAACUCCGUGCGGUCGGAUGACCAGUAGCCAAAGGACCGAAAGGGUGAGUAUCGAGGCGACCNCUUGGUGUCCCCGAACGGCUUGAGGCACUGGCCCCACCUCACUGUGGUGACGGCAUCGACAUGCCCCUGGACAAAAAAAUUGAACGAAGACCUAUAGUGAACAAAAAUCCAAAAAGAGUUCUCUCAGUUGUGUCCACAAAUGCCUCGAAUUGUACACAAGUAUUUAUCCCAAAGUUCUUCCUGUAAUCCCCGAUGCAACUCUGAACCAUGCAACAUGAGCAUCAUACGAAAAGACAAAUAGUAAAUCAUGAAGGUAAAAGAGGGGGACAUCAAAUUCUAUUUUUUCAACAACCAGAUCAUGUUAAAACCACGGAAAAUAUUAGCUCUACUUAUGUUCCACCAACAAGAAAAGUAGAUAGAGAAGCAAGUCAUAUCUCAGGAUCAAGAACAUAAGGAAGCAUUUACCAUUGAACCUGAAUAUGCAAUGACGUNUUUUUUCUCCNCUACCAACUUUUAGUGACCCAAUUUUUAGUAAAAGCCCUGCCCAAAAUUAAAAUAUUUCGCCAUUCCGAGGAUUUAACAAUAGGCAACAACUACUGAAUCAAAUCGAACUCAAUCGAAAUCAAACCAGUCCAGUUCUUNAAAACCAGAUGCACAUGAAUGNGUUAGACCUUCCNAACGAGUAGCUGUGCUANNNNNNNNNNNNNNNNNNNNNNNNNNNNNNNNNNNNNNNNNNNNNNNNNNNNNNNNNNNNNNNNNNNNNNNNNNNNNNNNNNNNNNNNNNNNNNNNNNNNUGGUUAGUUAGCACUAUAGAUGGUGUGGAAGUGUGGUGGAGGGUUGCAAGAACAAAAAAGGAAGGAAGAUAGUCACAUUAACUAGGCAUAUCAAUAGAGCUGUGGAGGAUGCUCAUCAAUAAGAUAUCAAUAGUGAAUAGAGUAGGGAGUUGUCCACUACAAAAUAGAUGCACUAGAGGCUACGAGUAUGUGAAAGCUCUUAAAGAAAACUAGUGGGUGUGUAUCCAACUUGCUUGCUCACGAAGACCUAAGGCAAUUUUGAGGAAGCCUAUCAUUGGAAUAUACAAGCCAAGUUAUAUUAUGAAAGAUUCCCACUAGCUAUAUGGUGGUGACAAAAACGAGAGACUCUCAAUCAUGAAGAUCAUGGUGCUUAAUAUGCACAAGUAUGGAAAAAGUGGUAGCAUGUCCUUCUCUCUCUUCUCUCUAUUUUGUUGGUCGUUCGUUUUGGUCCGUCUUUUUUUCGUUGGGUUAGUUUCGUUUUCGGGUUCCUKUCCGGUUUUAACUUUUUCCCUUCCUNNNNNNNNNNNNNNNNNNNNNNNNNNNNNNNNNNNNNNNNNNNNNNNNNNNNNNNNNNNNNNNNNNNNNNNNNNNNNNNNNNNNNNNNNNNNNNNNNNNNUCCAUCCCCAACACACGUAACACCCUCGGUUUGGUACCCACAACUGCAAAAGUUCAUCAACUAAUCGUCUUAGGUACACAUCAAUGUUGUUGCCGGGUUGCUUCGGUCCCUUGGAUGAGCACUAGGACAUCAUAAUGAAACUUCCGCUUCAUGCACAAACCAAGGAGGAAAGGUUGUAGAUACAUAAAGUCACGGGCCAGGUGUUGUAACUGCAGCUCUGCUCCCCAAAAGGAUUCAUGCCGUCUGUACUUAGACCAAGCCAUAAGUUCCUUGGGUCAUCUGCAAAGUCCGGCCACUCCCUCUCGAUUUUCCUCUACUGCACGCAGGGGGGGAGGCGACGUCCCGAGCCAGCCAUGGCUGGGCGCGGAGCAGACACCCUGUCACGGCCGCUAAGCAGAAUCACGCAAACCGNGGACGGACGACGGGGGCCACGGAUCUGCGAGCGCCAUGGUCAUCGCCUACCUGCUCGCUCUCCCYUKUUCCCUUCCCSUYCCYUNCUCUCCUCUCUCGUCUACUCGUCUCGUACGUUCGUCCGUACGGUACGGUACCGGNNNNNNNNNNNNNNNNNNNNNNNNNNNNNNNNNNNNNNNNNNNNNNNNNNNNNNNNNNNNNNNNNNNNNNNNNNNNNNNNNNNNNNNNNNNNNNNNNNNNAAAUACCAUUAGACUAUGUUCAUGACAAUUAGUUCAAUUAAUCAUAUUACUUAAGAACUCCCACUCAAAAAAGUACAUCUCUCUAGUCAUUUGAGUGGUACAUGAUCCAAAUCCACUAUCUCAAGUCCGAUCAUCACGUGAGUCGAGAAUAGUUUCAGUGGUAAGCAUCUCUAUGCUAAUCAUAUCAACUAUACAAUUCAUGCUCGACCUUUCGGUCUCAUGUGUUCCGAGGCCAUGUCUGCACAUGCUAGGCUCGUCAAGCUUAACCCGAGUGUUCCGCGUGCGCAACUGUUUUGCACCCGUUGUAUGUGAACGUUGAGUCUAUCACACCCGAUCAUCACGUGGUGUCUCGAAACGAAGAACUGUAGCAACGGUGCACAGUCGGGGAGAACACAAUUUCGUCUUGAAAUUUUAGUGAGAGAUCACCUCAUAAUGCUACCGUCGUUCUAAGCAAAAUAAGGUGCAUAAAGRUAACAUCACAUGCAAUUCAUAAGUGACAUGAUAUGGCCAUCAUCAYGUGCUUCUUGAUCUCCAUCACCAAGGCACGACAGGGAUAGGNNNNNNNNNNNNNNNNNNNNNNNNNNNNNNNNNNNNNNNNNNNNNNNNNNNNNNNNNNNNNNNNNNNNNNNNNNNNNNNNNNNNNNNNNNNNNNNNNNNNGAUGAGGUUAAAUAGAAAUUCAUAUAUCUCCAUUGUGGUGUUUGCGUAAGUAAGAUGCAAUCCUACUAGAUACCCAUGGUCACCACGUAAAACAUGCAACAACAAUUAGAGGACGUCUAACUUGUUUUUGCAGGGUAUGCUUGUGAUUUGAUAUGGCCGACGAUGUGAUGUGAUAUAUUGGAUGUAUGAGAUGAUCAUGUUGUAAUAGUUUAUAUCGACUUGCACGUCGAUGGUACGGCAACCGGCAGGAGCCAUAGGGUUGUCCUUAUAACUAACGUUUGUGCUUGCAGAUGCGUUUACUAUUUUGAUAGGACGUAGCUUUAGUAGUAAUAGCAUGAGUAGCACGACAACCCCGAUGGCGACACGUUGAUGGAGAUCAUGGUGUAACGCCGGUGACAAGAAGAUCGUGCCGGUGCUUUGGUGAUGGAGAUCAAGAAGCACCUGAUGAUGGCCAUAUCAUGUCACUUAUGAAUUGCAUGUGAUGUUAAUCNNNNNNNNNNGACUAACGUUUGUGCUUGCAGAUGCGUUUACUAUAUUGCUAGGACGUAGCUUUAGUAGUAAUAGCAUGAGUAGCACAACAACCUCGAUGGCGACACGUUGAUGGAGAUCAUGAUGAUGGAGAUCAUGGUGUGACGCCGGUGACAAGAAGAUCAUGCCGGUGCUUUGGUGAUGGAGAUCAAGAAGCACAUGAUGAUGGCCAUAUCAUGUCACUUAUGAAUUGCAUGUGAUGUUAAUCCUUUAUGCACCUUAUCUUGCUUAGAACGACGGUAGCAUUAUGAGGUGAUCUCUCACUAAAAUUUCAAGACGAAAUUGUGUUCUCCCCGACUAUGCACCGUUGCGACGGUUCUUCGUUUCGAGACACCAAGUGAUGAUCGGGUGUGAUAGACUCAACGUUCACAUACAACGGGUGCAAAACAGUUGCACACGCGGAACACUCGGGUUAAACUUGACGAGCCUAGCAUGUGCAGACAUGGCCUCGGAACACAUGAGACCGAAAGGUCGAGCAUGAAUCGUAUAGUUGAUAUGAUUAGCAUAGAGAUGCUUACCACUGAAACUAUUCUCGACUCACGUGAUGAUCGAACUUGAGAUAGUGGAUUUGGAUCAUGUACCACUCAAAUGACUAGAGAGAUGUACUUUUUGAGUGGGAGUUCUUAAGUAAUAUGAUUAAUUGAACUAAUUGUCAAGAACAUAGUCUAAUGGUGUUUGCGAAUUACGAUGUAGCUUGCGCUAUAGCUCUACUGUUUUUAUAUGUUUCUAGAGAAAAUUUAGUUGAAAUUUGAUAGUAGCAAACUUUGCAGACUGAGUCUGUAAAACCGAGGAUUGUACUCGUUGCUGCGUGGAAGGCUUAUGUCCUUAAUGCACCACUCGGUGUGCUGCACCUCGAGCGUCGUCUGUGGAUGCUGUGAACAUCCGACAUACACGUUUCUGAUUACUACACAAUAGUUCAGUGCAAGAUACUUAAUGGCUUAGAAGCAAGGCGCCGAAAACGUUGUAAAACGUCACGGAACAUAAGUGAUGUUCUAAAGAGAUGAAAUUAUGAUUUNNNNNNNNNNNNNNNNNNNNNNNNNNNNNNNNNNNNNNNNNNNNNNNNNNNNNNNNNNNNNNNNNNNNNNNNNNNNNNNNNNNNNNNNNNNNNNNNNNNNAGGAGGCAGCCUCAAAACCCAAAGGUUUGGCCGAAAUUGGAGGUGGAGGAGUCCUACUCCAAUCCUACUUGGAGUAGGAUUCCACCUUCCCACUUGGAAACUCUUUCCACCUUGUGUUUUUUCCUUCUCAAACCUUAUGGGCCUUAGUGGGAACUUAUCCCAGCCCAAUAGGGGCUGGUUUAUGUCUUCCCAUAUCCCAUGAGACACCUUGGGGCAUGACACCCCUCCUGAUGGUCCCCGGCACCCCUCCCGGCACUCCCAGUACACAACCGAUGAGCCCGAAACUUUUCCUGUAAUGCACGAAAACCUUCCGGUAACCAAAUGAGGUCAUCCUAUAUAUCAAUCUUCGUUUCCGGACCAUUCCGGAAUCCCUCGUGACGUCCGUGAUCUCAUCCGGGACUCCGAACAACAUUCAGUAACCAACCAUAUAACUCAAAUACGCAUAAAACAACGUCGAACCUUAAGUGUGGAGACCCUGUGGGUUCGAGAACUAUGUAUACAUGACCCGAGAGAUUCCUCGGUCAAUAUCCAAUAGCAGGACCUGGAUGCCCAUAUUGGAUCCUACAUAUUCUACGAAGAUCUUAUCGUUUGAACCUCAGUGCCAAGGAUUCAUAUAAUCCCGUAUGUCAUUCCCUUUGUCCUUCGGUAUGUUACUUGCCUGAGAUUCGAUCGUCAGUAUCCGCAUACCUAUUUCAAUCUCGUUUACCGACAAGUCUCUUUACUCGUUCCGUAAUACAAGAUCCCGNNNNNNNNNNNNNNNNNNNNNNNNNNNNNNNNNNNNNNNNNNNNNNNNNNNNNNNNNNNNNNNNNNNNNNNNNNNNNNNNNNNNNNNNNNNNNNNNNNNNCGCUACGCUACAUCACCCUUUCCGCUUCGAGGGAACACCAACGCAACGCUCCAAGUCCACGAGGGAAAUCCUUUGCAUACUUGCCUAGGAAGUUCCUUAAGGCGUAGCUGCAGCAGAAGGAUCAAGCCAAGUAUUCUCCCAUCGACAUGCCUAUUUCUGGUGCCAUUGGAAGGUCUUUUGUUGCAGUAGCAGUCCUCACAUCCCUCGAUCCGCCCCGCGAACCGUCCCGCGAUCCGUCCCACGAUCCGCUCCGAUCUAGUGCCGAACGGACGACACCUCCGCGUUCAGCACACGUACAGCUCGACGAUGAUCUCGGCCCUUCUUGAUCCAGAAAGAGAGACGGAGAGGUAGAUGAGUUCUCCGGCAGCGUGACGGUGCUCCGGAGGUUGGUGGUGAUCUAAUGUCAGCAGGGCUCCGCCCGAGCUCCGCAGAAACGUGAUCUAAAGGAAAAACCGUGGAGGUAUGUGGUCGGGCUGCCGUGGAAAAGUUGUGUCAAAUCAGCCCUAAAACCUCCGUAUAUAUAGGUGGGAGGGGAGGGGCCUUGCCUUGGGGCUCAAGGAGCCCCAAGGGGUUCGGCCGAAGGGGGAGGAGGAUUCCUCUUCCAAUCCUAGUCCAACUAGGANNNNNNNNNNNNNNNNNNNNNNNNNNNNNNNNNNNNNNNNNNNNNNNNNNNNNNNNNNNNNNNNNNNNNNNNNNNNNNNNNNNNNNNNNNNNNNNNNNNNCGAUGAGAUCAUCGUGGAGCAAGUGGGAGCCACCAUGGGUAUCCAUACCCCGCUGAUGGUUAUUGGCCGGAGAGUUGUCCCGGUCAUGUCUGCGUGUCUCCCGAACCCGUAGGGUCUACACACUUAAGGUUCGAUGACGCUAGGGUUAUAGGCAAUUGUUAUACGAGGUUACCGAAAGUUGUUCGGACUCCCGGAUGAGAUCCCGGACGUCAUGAGGAGCUCCGAAAUGGUCUGGAGGUAAAGAUUGAUAUAUAGGAUGGAUGGUUUUGGACACCGGAAAUGUUUCGGGCAUCACCGGUAAUGUACCGGGACCACCGGGACCACCGGAAAUGGUCCCGGGGGUCUACCGGGAGGGGCCACCAGCCCCAUGAGGUAGCAUGGGCCAAAAGAGGGAGGGAAACCAGCCCAAAGUGGUCUGGUGCACCUCCCACAAGGAGGCCAAGGCGUAGGAGGUGGAGAGGGGGGAAACCCUAGGCGCUGGUGGGCCUAAGGCCCACCUAGGUGUGCGCCACCCCCUCCCCCUGCACUGGCCGCCGCACCUCCCAUCUGGGGGGCUGCCGCACCACCUAGGGUGGGAACCCUAGGGGUGGCACCCCNNNNNNNNNNNNNNNNNNNNNNNNNNNNNNNNNNNNNNNNNNNNNNNNNNNNNNNNNNNNNNNNNNNNNNNNNNNNNNNNNNNNNNNNNNNNNNNNNNNNGGAUAUUGACCGAGGAAUCUCUCGGGUCAUGUAUACAUAGUUCUCGAACCCACAGGGUCUCCACACUUAAGGUUCGACGUUGUUUUAUGCGUAUUUGAGUUAUAUGGUUGGUUACUGAAUGUUGUUCGGAGUCCCGGAUGAGAUCACGGACGUCACGAGGGAUUCCGGAAUGGUCCGGAAACGANNNNNNNNGGUUUUCGUGCAUUACAGGAAAAGUUUCGGGCUCAUCGGUUGUGUACUGGGAGUGCCGGGAGGGGUGCCGGGGACCAUCAGGAGGGGUGUCAUGCCCCAAGGUGUCUCAUGGGAUAUGGGAAGACAUAAACCAGCCCCUAUUGGGCUGGGAUAAGUUCCCACUAAGNNNNNNNNNNNNNNNNNNNNNNNNNNNNNNNNNNNNNNNNNNNNNNNNNNNNNNNNNNNNNNNNNNNNNNNNNNNNNNNNNNNNNNNNNNNNNNNNNNNNNNNNNNNNNNNNNNNNNNNNNNNNNNNNNNNNNNNNNNNNNNNNNNNNNNNNNNNNNNNNNNNNNNNNNNNNNNNNNNNNNNNNNNNNNNNNNNNNNNNNNNNNNNNNNNNNNNNNNNNNNNNNNNNNNNNNNNNNNNNNNNNNNNNNNNNNNNNNNNNNNNNNNNNNNNNNNNNNNNNNNNNNNNNNNNNNNNUUUAGGUUUUGAGACUGCCUCCUCCCCUCCAUCCAUCCUAUAUAUAGUGGGGUUUUAGGGCUGAUUUGAGACAACUUUUGCCACGACAGCCCGACCACAUACCUCCACGGUUUUACCUCUAGAUCGCGUUUCUGCGGAGCNNGGGCGGAGCCCUGCUGAGAUUAGAUCACCACCAACCUCCGGAGCGUCUUCACACUGCCGGAGAACUCAUNNNNNNNNNNNNNNNNNNNNNNNNNNNNNNNNNNNNNNNNNNNNNNNNNNNNNNNNNNNNNNNNNNNNNNNNNNNNNNNNNNNNNNNNNNNNNNNNNNNNAGGGUGGGGGGCCCCAACCCCCCCUCGCCCCCCCCCCCAAGUUCACCCCCCAGCCGCCGAGUUCCAACUCAAUAUUUAUCACAUAGAUCAAUUCAAAUAAAAUAGUUUAACAAAACAAGCUCAUAAUUUGAACACAAAUUAGGACACAUCGAACUAGGUGUUGCCCUUGAGCCUCCAUAGGUGAUCCACCAGAUCGUUCUACAGUUCUUGAUGCGCCUAUGGGUCUGGGAUCUCCUGACUCAUAUUGAGGAAGGCAAUCCAUGUUGUCAGUACGUGGUGAUCAACAUCUGCAAGAGGACUUUGCCUGAAAUAUGGUUCAGUGUCAAACACUGGCUCGUCCUACUCACUCUCNNNNNNNNNNNNNNNNNNNNNNNNNNNNNNNNNNNNNNNNNNNNNNNNNNNNNNNNNNNNNNNNNNNNNNNNNNNNNNNNNNNNNNNNNNNNNNNNNNNNNNNNNNNNNNNNNNNNNNNNNNNNNNNNNNNNNNNNNNNNNNNNNNNNNNNNNNNNNNNNNNNNNNNNNNNNNNNNNNNNNNNNNNNNNNNNNNNNNNNNNNNNNNNNNNNNNNNNNNNNNNNNNNNNNNNNNNNNNNNNNNNNNNNNNNNNNNNNGCUCGACAUCCUUCCUACAAGCCUCCUGACACUUAGCAAAGUAUGACUUCCCUCCUGGCACAAGGUUUGAAAUAGUCUUCACAAAUGUUGACCAUCUUGGAUAGAUGACAUCUACUAGGUAGUAUCCUUUGUUGUAGUGGCGCUCAUUGACCUCGAAGUUCAUCGGAGAAGCAUGACCUUCAGCAAGCUUGGCAAAAACAUCCGAGCACCGCAGGACGGUAUCGGCAUGACAUCGGAAAGGAAAUGGCGUUCUGCCGCACAUGGGUCGAAUCUGGGCGGAAAAGGAAAUUCUCGCCUGAUAGUGGUGGUCCACAGGCCACUUUCCCUUCCGCCGGGCAAAAAAGGCAAUUCUCGCCUGAUAGUGGUGGUCCACGGGCUACUUUCCCUUUCGUUGAAGCCCCCAAAUAUCCUCCAGCAUGUUGGGUUCGGCCUGGGAUUGUCGGUCCGAAAAGGCCCGAACCUGCGAAAUUCGGCGUCCUAUGGGCGUAACUCGGAAAACAAAUUGCGCCGGUGGAUAAAACGAUGGAGGGGGAAGGGGGCUGUGUUGGGGUGCGGCUGCAGAUGCUCUAAGAUUUAGCAAGACUAUAUACAUGAGAAGAAAACGUGAACAUAAAAUAUGCAACCGUUCAGUUGCACAUGGAAAACAAGUAAGUGACAUAUGAUUUUGAAUACAACCAACUUGGAACAAUAGAAAUAGGGAAACAUUUCCCUCCAACAGGCCGGCCAAACGCACUUCCUGUCACGCGCGAGGGAUCCUACGGCCGUAUCUUUGCUUCGCGUCCGCGUAGAAUGCAGGCACUGGUGGCCCCAACACACAUGUAUCUCCCUUAUCCUUAUCUUAUCACCUUAGAUUAGUUCUCCUCCACACAUUCCUCUCCAUCUUCUUUUUCCUAACCUAUCACCGUGGUCUCUCAUCCCCAAUGAACCGCAGAAGAUACGCCAUAAAUGAGAACUCGAACCGCUAUACUUUUUUCUCUCCCACACAAUGCGUCGCCCCAGCACAUCCUCAUCAUCGUCCGUUAGGUAGCAUACUAUGUCGUCGCAUCGCGAGGCACAUCAAGAUGCUCUACAAGACAUUGUCAUCGACAUCGAGCAGGAGGCAGGUCGGGCCAUUCCACAGCCAGCACCCUCCCGUGGAUAAUUGCAUCCUCGUCCUCAAUGAGGACUGUUCGGGAAUGUAGCAUGGGAAACAAAAAAUUUCCUAUGCACACGAAGACCUAUCAUGGUGAUGAUCAUCUACAAGAGGGAGAUCGGAUCUAUAUACCCUUGUAGAUCACUAAGUGUCGUGGUUUUGUCAUGGCAGAUGUCCUCGUGAGAGAACUUUAGGUGUGAGGCCAUCGCAACCAUGUGGCGGCUUGAAGGGGUUGGUCGGAAUCGAGAGACGCGAGUUUACCCAGGUUCGGCCCCUCCGAUGGAGGUAAAAGCCUACGUCUUGCUUGUGUUUCAUUGAUCAAGAUGAUGAUCUCGAUUACAAGGGUGCAGACUCGCCACCUCUAAUCUCGUGGGUGUCUAAUCUGUCUAUCUCAUGAUUUGUCUUGUCUAGACCUAACUUGUGUCUCCUGUCCCUCUUGGGGCGCCUUACCCCUCCUUAUAUAGGUGGAAGGGGUAGGUUUACAUGUAGAGUCCUACUAGGAGUAGGAACAGGACUAGUCUCUCUUGAAUCCUAAUCCGGGUCUUGUUUCCUUCUUGUGGGAGUCUUUCUUCUUGGGCCUUCUCUUGUGAGUCGGCCCUCCUGGCCUCUCUAUGAGUCGCCUUAUGCCAGGGUGCACGCUGGGCCUUGGGCCUUUGUCAUUUAUCUAAGUCGCCUGUGGGGACAAGUAUGAGUCGCCCGCCAGGUCAAUGCUGAGUCGCCGAUGAAUCGCCAAGUCCUUUGGCGGGUCAUACUCCAAGCCGGGUUACACUGCGGGGUAUAUCCCCGACACUAAGCGUGAAGCAUUAAGAAAUGUGGUUGAUGUAGUGGAACGUCUUCGCGAUCCAAAUUGCCGCCGUCCCACGAUCUGUCCCGUUCUAGCACCGAACGAACGGCACCUCCGCGUUCAGCACACGUACAGCUCGAUGGCGAUCUCCGCCUUCUUGAUCCAGCAAGAGAGACAGAGAAGUAGAUGAGUUCUCCGGCAGCGUGACGGCGCGCCGGUGAUGGUGGUGAUCUAUUCCUGCAGGGCUUCGCCUAAGCACCGCAGAAAUCCGAUCUAGAGGAAGAACUACAAACUAGAGGAGAGGGUAGCACGUGGUUGAAAUUGUCUCUCAAAAACCCUCAAACCUCUAGUAUACAUAGGAGGAAGUAGGGGCUAGGCUUGCGCACCAAGGGAGACUCCCCUGGGCUCGGCCGAACUUGGAGAGGAGUCCUCCUCCUCCAAUCCUACUUGGAUUAGGACUCCUCCCCAAGUUGUCUACCUCCUUUAGUUUUUCCACCUUUUGCUUUCUUUGGUUGACUAGUCAGCCCAUCAAGGACAGUUGCGCCACCAUCAAGUCCAUGUGGCCCCCUUGGGGAGUGGUGGGCCCACCUAGUGGAUCCCCGGUACCCAUUCGUCACACCCGGUAGACUGCCGGCAAUGCCCGAAAUCCUUCCAGAAUCCAAAUACCAACUUCCUAUAUAUAAAUCUUCGUUUAAGGACCAUUACGAAACUCCUCGUGACGUCCGGGGUCUCAUCCGAGACUCCGAACAAAACUUCGGUCAACAGCACCUAUAACUCAACUAUACCGAAAUGUCACCGAACAUUAAGUGUGCAGACCCUGCGGGUUCGAGAACUAUGUAGACAUGACCUGAGACACUCUCUGGACAAUAUCCAAUAGCGGAACCUGGAUGUCCAUAUUGGAUCCUACAUAUUCUACGAAGAUCUUAUCGGUUGAACCUCUAUGUCAAGGAUUCAUAUAAUCAUGUAUACCAUUCCCUUUGUACUUUGGUAUGUUACUUGCCCGAGAUUCGAUCGUCGGUAUCUCCAUACCUAUUUAAAUCUCGUUACCGGCAAGUCUCUUUACUCGUUCCUUAAUAGAAGAUCCUGUGACUAAAUCUUUAGUCACAUUGCUUGCAAGGCUUGUAUGUGAUGUUGUAUUACCGAGUGGGCCUCGAGAUACCUCUCCGUCACACGGAGUGACAAAUCCCGAUCUUGAUCCAUGCUAACUCAACGGACUCCUUCGUAGAUGCCUGUAGAGUAUCUUUAUAAUCACCCAGUAACGUUGCGACGUUUGGUACACACAAGGCAUUCCUCUGGUGUCAGUGAGUUACAUGAUCUCAUGGUCAUGGGAAUGAAUACUUAACAUGCAGAAAACAAUAGCAACAAAAUGACACGAUCAUAUGCUACGUUUAUAGUUUGGGUCUUGUCCAUCACAUCUUUCUCCUAAUGAUGUGAUCCCGUNNNCAAGUGACAACACUUGUCUAUGGCUAGGAAACCUUAAGAAUCCUUGAUCAACAUGCUAGUCAACUAGAGACUCACUAGGGACAUAGUUUUGUCUAUAUAUCCACACAUGCAUUUAUGUUCCAUUCAAUACAGUUAUAGCAUGGAUAAUAAAAGAUUAUCUUGAAACCGGAAUUAUAAAAAUAACUAUUUUAUUAUUGCCUCUAGGCCAUAUUUCCAACAAGGACGAGAAGGACGACAUGUUGAAGAAGCAGAAGAAAUGGGUAAAGGAGAUGUGGGGGUGUAGUGGCUGAGCUUCAUGGGGGCCAAAGGGGGUCGGUGCCCCCCCCCUAUUCUAGAAAAACUAUUAAGUGUGUCCCUAAUAUUAUUAAAAUUGAAUAAUAAAGUUUAUCCACUGUGUUGGUGGCUUAUGUUGUUGGUGUCUUUGGUGGCGACGAUCGCGUAAUCAGUAAUGAAUCUUCCGAGAGGGUUCUGGCAGGAUGACAAGGCCUGGCCACAUGAAGAUGAUGUGGGUGACCCAGUGAUUGGCUACGAGUUCCCGGAUAGUUAUGUGUGCUUCAAAGACGGCAUGGAAAUUACUACGAUGCAUGUAUUAUCUUGCCAAGAACUGGUGGUGCUGCGAGGUUGCAACAAAACAGGUGGACAAACGCAGAAAGAUGUGUGCUUCAAAGACGGCACGGAAAUUACUACGAUCCAUCUACCAUGUUGCCAAGAACUGGUGGUGCUACGAGGUUGCAACGAAACAGGCGGAUGAACGCAGGAAGAGAGCGACAAAGCGAAAGCGCGCCCUUGUUGUGUGUGUUGGGCGCAAUGAUAACCUUCUGGCUAUUACUCAUAUAUCAAGUAGAAGGCAUCAGUUCGUUGCUACUAUCUGACAUCAUUCUCCGGCUCCCUGGUACAUUAGCAAUAUAGAGUACAAUAAACAUUGUUUAGCUUCACAUAAAUUCUUUCACUCGAUUUAAAAUAUUGAACAUCAAUUUUGAUGAAAAUCAAUUGGGAUUCAUUCAUUUUUUUCGUCCAACUACAAGUUGACAGGUUCAAAACAUAAGUGUCAUUGUGUAAUGUAUGCCCCUUUGUCCUCUUUUGUCCCGCCUCACCUUUUUCUAUUAAUGAGCGCAUAAAAUUGUCAAAUGUAUUGAAGUGAUCCCAAAGAAAUCAGAAAAGGGGGUCAAAAAAGAACAACCUAAAGUAAAUGGGUCACUCCACUUGUUCUAAUAGAAUAGAGAAAAAGGUCAAAAAUGAAUGAACCAGACACCUCAACUUGGGGGACAACUUCUUCCAAGAUGUGAGGGACAAACCUGAAGGAAAUCUCACCUCUCUUCGUCAUCAACUAUCAGUUAGGCUCGGUUGUUUCUAAUUUUUUAUUUGUUCACAUGGUAUGUGUUAUUCUUGUGGUGUCAUUUUGUUUUGUUUUCCGUUUGAAUAAAAUUCUUGGAUGUGAAAGUUCCAAAUAAAAGAGAGUCCUCACAUAGCUACUUAGUUGUGUGACUACUCAUUGAUCUUCACUUAUAUUUUUUGGAGUAGUCUCUUAUUUACUUUCGUUCUUCACUUAUAUCUAAGAUAAAUUCAUGAGUGAAUUGAAUAUCACAAAUCUGAAAUUGUCCAUGUGCCUUUAUGCUAGUAGCAGUUUCACAUUGGGUUUAGAAAGUAAAAUCUAUUCAAGUAUGACAAUCAUAACAUUGGGCAUACAAGCAAUUCAUAAAAAAUAGUAUAAGGAAGAGAAAUUUCAUAUACAAUUAUAAUAUCUUGGACAUAUUUUACGAUUGUGAGUACCCAUUAAUUAUUUUCAAACUUGAUCAAGUAGUGGAUGUUGGACAAGGAAGACAAUGUAAUGGUUUAUUCAUAAAGGCACAUCCGCGACUACGUCGAGGGAGAGGACGUGAAUAUAUGCAAAGUGCACAUGGAUCUGAAUGUAGCAGACCCGCUGACUAAACCUCUUCCACGGCCAAAGCAUGAUCAACACCAGAAAUGUAUGGGUGUUAGAUUUAUUACAAUGUAAUUCACAUGGUGAUCUGAGGGCUAGAUUAUUGACUCUAGUGCAAGUGGGAGACUGUUGGAAUUAUGCCCUAGAGGCAACAAUAAAUAUAGUUAUUAUUAUAAUUCCUGUAUCAAGAUAAUAGUUUAUUAUCCAUGCUAUAAUUGUAUUGAAUGAAGACUCAUUUACAUGUGUGGAUACAUAGACAAAACACCGUCCCUAGCAUGCCUCUAGUUGGCUAGCCAGUUGAUCAAUGAUAGUCAGUGUCUUCUGAUUAUGAACAAGGUGUUGUUGCUUGAUAACUGGAUCACGUCAUUGGGAGAAUCACGUGAUGGACAAGACCCAAACUAAAUAGACGUAGCAUGUNNNNNNNNNNNNNNNNNNNNNNNNNNNNNNNNNNNNNNNNNNNNNNNNNNNNNNNNNNNNNNNNNNNNNNNNNNNNNNNNNNNNNNNNNNNNNNNNNNNNNNNNNNNNNNNNNNNNNNNNNNNNNNNNNNNNNNNNNNNNNNNNNNNNNNNNNNNNNNNNNNNNNNNNNNNNNNNNNNNNNNNNNNNNNNNNNNNNNNNNNNNNNNNNNNNNNNNNNNNNNNNNNNNNNNNNNNNNNNNNNNNNNNNNNNNNNNNNNNNNNNNNNNNNNNNNNNNNNNNNNNNNNNNNNNNNNNNNNNNNNNNNNNNNNNNNNNNNNNNNNNNNNNNNNNNNNNNNNNNNNNNNNNNNNNNNNNNNNNNNNNNNNNNNNNNNNNNNNNNNNNNNNNNNNNNNNNNNNNNNNNNNNNNNNNNNNNNNNNNNNNNNNNNNNNNNNNNNNNNNNNNNNNNNNNNNNNNNNNNNNNNNNNNNNNNNNNNNNNNNNNNNNNNNNNNNNNNNNNNNNNNNNNNNNNNNNNNNNNNNNNNNNNNNNNNNNNNNNNNNNNNNNNNNNNNNNNNNNNNNNNNNNNNNNNNNNNNNNNNNNNNNNNNNNNNNNNNNNNNNNNNNNNNNNNNNNNNNNNNNNNNNNNNNNNNNNNNNNNNNNNNNNNNNNNNNNNNNNNNNNNNNNNNNNNNNNNNNNNNNNNNNNNNNNNNNNNNNNNNNNNNNNNNNNNNNNNNNNNNNNNNNNNNNNNNNNNNNNNNNNNNNNNNNNNNNNNNNNNNNNNNNNNNNNNNNNNNNNNNNNNNNNNNNNNNNNNNNNNNNNNNNNNNNNNNNNNNNNNNNNNNNNNNNNNNNNNNNNNNNNNNNNNNNNNNNNNNNNNNNNNNNNNNNNNNNNNNNNNNNNNNNNNNNNNNNNNNNNNNNNNNNNNNNNNNNNNNNNNNNNNNNNNNNNNNNNNNNNNNNNNNNNNNNNNNNNNNNNNNNNNNNNNNNNNNNNNNNNNNNNNNNNNNNNNNNNNNNNNNNNNNNNNNNNNNNNNNNNNNNNNNNNNNNNNNNNNNNNNNNNNNNNNNNNNNNNNNNNNNNNNNNNNNNNNNNNNNNNNNNNNNNNNNNNNNNNNNNNNNNNNNNNNNNNNNNNNNNNNNNNNNNNNNNNNNNNNNNNNNNNNNNNNNNNNNNNNNNNNNNNNNNNNNNNNNNNNNNNNNNNNNNNNNNNNNNNNNNNNNNNNNNNNNNNNNNNNNNNNNNNNNNNNNNNNNNNNNNNNNNNNNNNNNNNNNNNNNNNNNNNNNNNNNNNNNNNNNNNNNNNNNNNNNNNNNNNNNNNNNNNNNNNNNNNNNNNNNNNNNNNNNNNNNNNNNNNNNNNNNNNNNNNNNNNNNNNNNNNNNNNNNNNNNNNNNNNNNNNNNNNNNNNNNNNNNNNNNNNNNNNNNNNNNNNNNNNNNNNNNNNNNNNNNNNNNNNNNNNNNNNNNNNNNNNNNNNNNNNNNNNNNNNNNNNNNNNNNNNNNNNNNNCUACAUCAACCGCGUUCUCUAACGCUUCUGCUGUACGAUCUACAAGGGUAUGUAGAUCACUCAUCCCCUCUCGUAGAUGGACAUCACCAUGAUAGGUCUUCGUGCGCGUAGGAAAAUUUUUGUUUCCCAUGCGACGUUCCCCAACAAUGUUUGCAUAGAAGUUAUAUUGUUAUAGAUUUUCCAACAUGUGGUGCUUGCUCGUAACCUUUUGCUAGCCAAACUUCGUACUAAGUAGAGAUACUACUUGUGCAUCCAAAAAUCCUUGAGCCAAAUUUCUUCCACGAGCGUCCACCAUACUUACCUAUAUAUGGUAUUUCACUUACAUUCCAAGUGAAUUUGCAUGUGUCAUCUCUAAUAAUUCAAAUAAACAUAUGUUUUGUGUGUUCGUAUCACUCAUGGAGUGACGGGGCGGUCAAUAUCUUCCAUGCUAAGAGGGUUAUUCUCAUGAUGGGUGUUUAUUCACUUGUCACUUGACGAGAGAGGCUGGUAAAAAAGGAUGUCAUGCCUGCAUAAUACAAAAGUGAAGAAACAAAAACUCCCUCUAGGAAGUUGAUUUUUUGGAGGGCACCCAAGUAUUCGGCUAGCCAUGGAAUGUGUUUAAAUGGUGGAGGGCAGGGGGUAAAAAUGUCAAUUUUGCUUGGGAACCGCUAUUAGUGUGUUUAGCAUGGAAGAUAUUGAAAUUCUUUGUUGUGAUGUUGAUAGGAAAGGCACACCAUCAAGAAAUAUAUUCAUCUUUCUUUUAGACAUUGAGCUCUCGCACCUUUGCAAAUCCCUGCUUCCCUUUGUGAAGGGAUAUUCUAUUUACUUUCAUGUUAUUUAUUUAAAUGUUGCUUACUUUUCAUGUUGAGUGAACUUCUUAUUUCAACAUCAAUCAUUCUCUACUUGGCAAGCAUCAUGUGUUGGGGAAAGAUCCAUGCACUUGUCGGAUCGCGAGGGAUCCUACGGCCGUAUCUUUGCUUCGCGUCCAUGUAGAAAGCAGGCACUGGUGGCCCGAACACACAUGUAUCUCCCUUAUCCGUAUCUUAUCACCUUAGAUUAGUUUUCCUCCACGCGUUCCUCUCCAUCUUCUUUUUCCUCAACCUAACACCGUGGUCUCUCUUCCCCAAUGAACCGCAGUAGAUACACCAUGAAUGAGAGCUCGAACCGAUGUACUUUUUUCUCUCCCACACAAUGUGUCACCCUAGCACAUCCUUAUCGUCGUCCGUUGCAAAGAGCACUCAAGUUUUGAGAGAUACAACCUUGAUUGAAGGGAGCUUCAGCCGGUGUCAUGGGAGAGACGACCAUGGACGGCGAGCGUGGUGACCACGGGGUGGCGCUGCACCGAGCGAAAAUCGGCAUCAUGAUUUUUUGCUACAUGCUUCAACUGGCAUCACAAUUUGCUACAAUCGAUAUCGCAUCAUGCUACCACCGGUAUUGUGUUUGCUACAUUGGGGAACUGCUCGCGAUUUUGCUACAAUCACCGUUUGAUUUUUUGCUACAUGCUUCAACCGGUAUCGCGAUUUGCUACAACCAGUAUCGCAUCAUACUACCAUCGAUGUUGUAUUUUGCUAGAUUGGAUAACUCGCAUCACGAUUUUGCUACAAUCACUGUUUCAUUUUUUGCUACAUGCUUCAAAUGGCAUCGCAAUUUGCUACAACCUGUAUCGCAUCAUGCUACCAUCGGUGUUGUGUUUUGCUACAUUAGACAACUGGCGUCGUGAUUUUUCUACAAUUAUCGUUUUAAUUUGCUACAAAUGGUAACAUGGCGAGGUGCGAAAGACAACGUGGUGAGUUGCGUUGACUCGACGACGAAACCUUUCUUGCUAGAUUCAACGCUUCGUUUUGUUGGAACCAAUGAACCGAGAUUUUGCAUCGGUGUGAUCCAACCAACGUGCAUCAGCGAAUGGCGACGGCUACUUUUUUUACAACAAUCGUCUACUUUUGCUACCACCAGCGACACAAAUUGCUACAACAACGGUUGUGCUGCGCCCGACGAGGCCGUUUGUUAGAACCGGCAAUGUGAAUUUUGCUAGAACCAUCAAGAUAUUUUUUGCUACAAUUGACGAUCCAAAAUGUUGCAACCGCCAGGCUAGGAUGCUGGACGGCAAGCAAGGCGAGCUUCAACCGUGUUGCCGGAGCAACAACCAGGUGUAUCAAAGCUGCAACCGUUUUGGUGUUGCUACGACGGUGUCGCUGAAGCUGCAAUCGUGUAUUGAAGAAGCUACAUCCAUGUGGGCCAGAGCUACAAGCAUUUUGUGGUAAUGACGGCGAGAGGGCAGUGGCAACUGCGGAGAGUCGCGAGAACGCGUGAGACGGCUGCAGCCAGCGACACGGAAGGAGGGGUCAUGCAUGUAUUUUUCUGAUGUAGGACAAAAUGUUUUGAGAAAGAAGAUGUGUGACGUGGGAUAAGGGUUCAGGUGACUUCGAAAGGCUUAAUGUGACGAUCUAUGCCACACCGGCCGAUCGCUAGCUCCGGUCCGCCGGCGCUUAUCACUCCCCAUGGAAAUAGGUACUCCAAAGUAGAAAAACACUCUACCAGUCAUUACGCCCGCUAGGAAAACAAUAUAGAGCAGAGUAGCACGCGAGUGCAAAAGUACAAAACAAAAUACGUCCGUUCUCGUAUACAGCAGAUGGAGCACGAGCACCACCUCCAUCUCUCACCGUCUCCAUGUGCAACUGACAUGCCAUGCCAUGCCAUGCCGUCUGCGUAGUGCCACCCGUAACCCGUGGCGUCCGGCGCUGCUCAGCUGACCCGCCUGCCUAUUCGCGUCCCCUACCCGAACUCCACUGCGCGGAGGCAUCGGCACUGUAUCGAGCCAUGGAGCUGACCAGGCCCCUGUGCCUACUGCUCGCCGUCAUCGGCGCGGCAACGGCGGCCAUGGCCACGGCGGAGGAGAUCCAGACGGAGCGCGUGUCCUCCUACAUCGUGCACGUCGCGCCGGCGCACGCGCCCCGGCUGCCGCGGCGCGGCCUGCUGGCCACCCGGCCGUACGCGGCCUUCCUGCUCAACCGCAUCCCGUUGGAGAUGUGCCGCCCGGCGCCGCGGGUGCUCUACUCCUACGGGCACGCCGCCACGGGCUUCGCGGCGCGGCUCACGGCCCGCCAGGCCGCGCGCCUCGCGUCCUCGGGCUCCGUGCUCGCCGUCGUGCCCGACGAGCUACAGGAGCUGCACACCACCCUGACGCCGUCCUUCCUCCGGCUCUCGGAGUCGUCCGGGCUGCUCCCGGCGUCCGGCGGCGCCUCCGACGUCGUCAUCGGCGUCAUCGACACCGGCGUGUACCCGGAGGGGCGCAAGUCCUUCGCUGCGGACCGGUCGCUGCCGCCGCCGCCCCGCAGGUUCCGCGGCGGCUGCGUGUCGACUCCGGAGUUCAACGCCUCCGCGUACUGCAACGGCAAGCUCGUCGGCGCCAAGUUCUUCCGAAAGGGGCACGAUGCUGUGCUGCGGGGUCGCCGUGAGGUCGGCGAGACGGAGUCCAUGUCGCCGCUCGACACGGAAGGCCACGGCACGCACGUCGCCUCCACCGCUGCCGGCUCUGCCGUGCUGGACGCGUCCUUGUAUGGCUACGGCGAAGGAAGAGCCGUCGGCGCGGCGCCGAGCGCGCGCAUCGCCGUGUACAAGGCGUGCUGGAAAGGCUGCGCGAGCUCCGACGUCCUUGCCGCCUUCGACCAGGCCAUCGCUGACGGCGUCGACGUCAUUUCUGCUUCGCUCGGCACCAUGAAGGCUCGCAAGUUCUACAAAGACACCACCGCCGUGGGCGCGUUCCACGCUGUUAGCAAGGGCAUCGUCGUCGCAGUCUCCGCGGGAAACUCCGGCCCCGGCGAAUCCACCGUCGUCAACGUCGCGCCGUGGUUCUUGACUGUCGCCGCGUCCACCAUCAACCGCCAAUUCCCGGCGGAUGUCGUUCUCGGCAACGGCGAGACCUUCAUAGGCACCUCGCUGUACGCCGGCAAACCGCUUGGGGCGACAAAGCUACCAUUGGUGUACGGCGGAGACGCGGGCUCAAACAUCUGUGAAGCCGGGAAGCUCAAUCCCACCAUGGUUGCCGGGAAGAUUGUUUUGUGCGACCCCGGAGUGAACGGGCGGACAGAGAAAGGAUUUGCCGUUAAACUCGCCGGUGGCGCCGGAGCAGUCCUCGGCAGCGACGAAGCACAGGGCGAGCAGGCCAGAACCAGCGCCCAUGUCAUCCCCGUCAGUGCCGUCACAUUUUCCGCCGCCGAGAAGAUAAAGAAGUACUUGCGCACGCAAGCAUCCCCCGUCGCGACCAUGGUGUUCCACGGCACGGUCGUCGGACGGUCGCCCCCUUCGCCAAGAAUGGCAUCCUUCUCCAGCCGCGGCCCGAGUCGUCUCGUCCCGGAGAUCCUCAAGCCGGACGUCACGGCCCCCGGCGUGGACAUACUCGCCGCUUGGGCAGGCGUCACCUCGCCCUCGCUGCUCGACGGCGACUCGAGGCGCGUGCCGUACAACAUCAUGUCGGGCACCUCGAUAUCGUGCCCACAGGUGAGCGGCAUCGCCGCGCUGCUCCGGCAGGCGAGGCCGGAGUGGAGCCCGGCGGCGAUCAAGUCCGCCCUGAUGACCACCGCGUAUAACGUGGACAGCGCCGGCGCCGUCAUUGGGGACAUGUCCACCGGCAAGGCGUCUACGCCGUUCGCGCGCGGGGCAGGCCACGUGGACCCCAACCGCGCCGCCGAUCCAGGCCUGGUGUACGACGCCGGCACGGAGGACUACAUCGCCUUCCUCUGCGCGCUCGGCUACAGCGCCGAGCAAAUGGCCGUGUUCAGCCCGGCGACCAACUGCUCGACGCGCGCCGGCACCGGUGCCGUUGGGGACCUCAACUACCCGGCCUUCUCGGCGGUGUUCGGCCCGGAGAAACGCGCGGUGACGCAACGCCGCGUCGUGCGGAACGUCGGCGGGAACGCCAGGGCGACGUACAGGGCCAAGAUCACCAGCCCCGCCGGCGUGCACGUGACGGUGAAGCCGCAGAAGCUGCAGUUCAGCGCGACGCAGGGGACGCAGGAGUACGCGAUCACCUUCGCCCCACGAAUGUUUGGGAACGUCACGGAGAAGCACACGUUCGGGUCGAUCGAGUGGAGCGACGGCGAGCACUCGGUGACGAGCCCCAUCGCCGUCACCUGGCCGGCGAGCCAGGUUGCCGACAUGUGAUCGAUCGAUGUGGUUUAGGCAUCUUUAGCAGAUGAUGAUGACAAAAUAAAAAUAAAAGUAUUCGGCCUUAUACCAGACAUGCCUGCAUGUGAUGCCUGGUGUUUGGUGAUCUCUCUUUUACGUGUGUUGGUCGGGUAGUCUGUAAUGGUUCGUGUGGCUGCUUCAUUUUAAUAUAAAAUGGGGCAGGGGAGCAACCCCUUUCUUUAAAAAAUAAAAUAAAAAUAAAAGUAGGCGUCUUUGGAGAGCUCGUCCCGUUGGAGCAGUUCACGUGGAUGGCAUUGAAGUGGCGAUGCAUGCAGCGCGUCGUCUCGUCGCCAUCCAUGGCCUCCUGUCGCCAUCCAUCGUAGCGCCGCUCGCCGUCGCUGCUCGUCGGCGCCGGCAGGCUCCGUUUGCCGGCUCAUGGUUGCAGCAUCAUGCUCCGCGUGGUCCGUCCUUUGCAGCAAAGCAAAACGCGUCGUCGGUCCUAGCAAAUCGUCGCUGAGGCUCCAAGAUUGGAUGCCAGGGCAGCGCCCUGCCGUAGCCGUUGUUGAAGAUAGAUGCAGCAAUGGUGGGUGCCGGUUCCAGCAUCCAGACAGCACGGUUGCAGCAUCCUCGUCGGUUAGGUGGUCACCAAUGGAAAAACUUCGGGUAGUGGUGGUUAUAGCUUCGGCCAACAUGGUUGCAACAGAUUGGUGAACUUUUAAGCACAGAACGGUGACUUAGCAAACCAAAAAUAACUCGGAAGAUGAAACAGAUAGUACUGAAGGAUUACCAGGUCUGGUGGACUUCACUCUGUUUGUCACAAAUUCCCCUGGUACUUACGCCCUCGAGAUCUGAUUAUCUUCAAUGUCUGGAUCAUAACCUCCACCAGGGCGACGCGGACGUAGACGAAGCAGACGGACGGAGGCGAGCAGUCGCGUGAUCGCUCCCCAAAAACCUAAUCGCCCCUCUCCCGUACAGGAACCGGAGAGGCGGGGUUUCGGAGGCCCGCUCUUCCGUCGACCGUGUAAGCGGUAAACGGGACGGAGUCGCCGGCGGCAGCAGCAGCAAAAGGAACGAACGCGUGAGGCAGAUGUGAUCCGAUUCUCGUGACGGCUAGGGUAAGCGUUAGCCUGCUUAUGUAGGCGGCUGGACGGAGAGACGUGGGCCGAACCCACGUCCGAGUCGGUAACAGCCCACGAUCCGUCUGUUACGUGACAAAAAUAAGCACGUAGGUAUGAGCUCGGCUCGGCUCAUUCCGCGCAUCGUGACGUGGCGUGGCGAGGCGGGCGGCGGAGGAGGAGUGCGUGAGGGCACCUUCUCUUCUCACUCACCAAUAGCAUGUGGAAGAAAGACCCUUAUAAAGGGGUCCAACUUCUCCUCCACUAACGGGGUGGGACUAAACUUUCCACCACCUUGUCAUGCCACCACCUACAUGGGCCCUUGGAGAUUUUUCUGAAAUUCUCUUAUGGGCCUAAGGCCCAUCACUAAUUUCAACAAUCCCCCACCAGAUCUCAAGGGCACAUCGUGUUCCCUCGUUCCAAACACUGUUUUAAUAUACCAGCAUUUCAGUGAAGACCUGUUAAGGUUGAGCUUCACCUAGAGCAAGGAGCUACACUCCUUUACAACUGAACAAUGGACUAUGCCUUGAAUUGUCAUUUUGGCGUAAAGGAGCUUCACCACAAGUCUUACUAGUACUAGACUGCCGAAGGUGACCCCUCGGGUGGAGCAUAUUAGUCACACUCCUGGCCUAUUAAUGAGUUUACUAGAGAUCACCCAAAUCUCAUACACUGUGACCAGCAGUCAAGCUCAUAUAGGUGUGUUCCUUGAAAGAUCACUCUGUAGGACAGCAUCUUGCUUACACAUAAGCUUUAGAACACAUUAAGACAGUAGUCAUCCUACCAUACAGUAUCUGAGAGCAUUGCAUCUCCAACGGAGUGGGUUAGUAAAGUUACUCUCCUCGGUUCACCACUGGCUUGUUUUUCCCAGGUCCUACUUCACGGGAUCUCCGAUCAUAUAGGUUGGGUUACUACCAUGGCAACUCAUGUGGGUCUCAUACCCAUCUCCCUUGAUGCACUAUCUAUCACAACACGGGAUAGCCCUUUAGUAAAGGGAUCUGCCAGAUUCUUAGCCGUUUGGAUGUAAUCCAACGCUAUCACUCCGGAGUUUCUCAAACGUCUGACAGACUUCAAUCUCAUUCUUAUAUGUUUGUUGGACUUCAUAUUGUCCUUUGAACUCUUCACUUUGACAAUAACCGUCUGAUUAUCACAGUUCAUAAGGAUAGCCGGAACCGGCUUCUCAACCACAGGUAAGUCCAUCAAAAGAUCUCAAAGAAAUUCUGCUUCGACACCAGAUGUGUCUAAUGCUGUUAAUUCUGCUUCCAUUGUCGAUCUCGUUAAGAUCGUUUGCUUGCAAGACUUCCAGGAAACAGCACCACCCCCAAGAGUAAACAUAUAACCAGUAGUGGCCUUCAUCUCAUCAGCAUCAGAGAUCCAAUUCGCAUCACUAUACCCUUCAAGUACCGAUGGGUAUCCCAUAUAGUGAAGCCCGUGGUUGACAGUACCUUUCAAGUAGCGCAUAAUUCUUUCAACAGCACACCAAUGAACAUCGCCCAGGUUUGCAACAAACCGGCUAAGUUUGCUCCCAGCAGAUGCGAUGUCAGGCCUCGUUGCGCUAGCUAGGUACAUAAGCGAACCGAUAAUUUGAGAUAAUCUCAAUUGAUCUAUAGCUGUGUCUUUAAACUUUUGAAUAAGCACACUAGGAUCAUAUGGUGUUUGAGAAAUUUUGCAGUCUGAAUAACCAAAGCGACUCAAAAUCUUCUCAACAUAGUGGGAUUGCAGAAGUGUAAUCCCACCCUCAUCAUCUCUCAACAGCUUGAUGUUCAAGAUAACAUCAGCCACCCCAAGGUCCUUCAUCUCAAAGUUUUGAGACAGAAAAGACUUAACAUCCUCAAUUACUUUGAGGUUGGUUCCAAAUAUCAGUAUGUCAUCAACAUACAAGCACAAUAUAACUCCUUCGCCCCCACCAUGGCGAUAGUAUACACAUUUGUCAGCUUCAUUAACAACGAAGCCAACAGAUGUCAGAGUUGUAUUAAACUUCUCAUGUCAUUGCUUAGGUGCUUGUCUUAGACCAUAUAAAGAUUUUAGCAACUUACACACCUUUCCUUCCUGACCUUCUAUCACAAAGCCAUCUGGCUGUUGCAUAUAGAUUUCCUCAUUUAGCUCUCCGUUCAGAAAAGCCGCCUUAACGUCCAUUUGAUGAACGAGAAGACCAUGAGAGGCCGCCAAUGAGAGUAGUACUCGAAUGGUGGUCAGUCUAGCCACAGGUGAGUAAGUAUCAAAGAAAUCUUCUUCUUCUUUCCCUUGGCCACAAGCCUAGCCUUGUACUUUUCAAUCGUACCAUCGGGCCUAAGCUUCUUUUGAACACCCACUUGCAUCCCAAUGGUUUACAACCAUAGGGACGAUCAGUGAUUUCCCAUGUCCCGUUAGCCAUGAUGGAAUCCAUCUCUCUACGGACCGCAGCUUUCCAGUAAUCAGCAUCUGGAGAAGCAUACGCUUCUGAAAUAGAAGUGGGAUUAUCAUCCACGAGGUAUACGAAGAAAUCAUCACCAAAGGUCUUUGCAGUCCUUUGUCUCUUGCCCCUACCACGGGCUUCCUCGUCAUCCUCCUCAGGAUUUUCAUCAUGUGUUUGUUCAUAGUAUUCCAUAGGAAUGGCAGGCUCGGGAGUUAUCUCAGAUUCCUGUCUAGAAGUGCUUUGCAUAUCUCUCAUGGGAAAUAUAUCCUCAAAGAAUGUAGCAUCCCUCGACUCCAUUAUUGUACCGACCUUCACGUCAGGUACCUCAGAUUUCACUACUAGAAAUCUAUAGCCUACGCUAUUCUUAGCGUAUCCCAAAUUAACGCAGUCCACAGUCUUUGGUCCAAGCUUACGCUUCUUGGGGAUCGGUACAUUGACUUUCGCCAAGCAGCCCUAAGUACGUAAGUACGAGAGCGUCGUCCUUCUCUUCGACCACUCCUCAUAAGGAGUGACUUCAUUAUCUUUUGUAGGAACCUUAUUCAGGACAUGACACGCAGUCAAUAUAGCCUCCCCCCACCAUGCCUUGGAUAAACCCGAUGUAUCUAACAUGGUGUUAACCAAAUCAGUUAGAGUACAGUUUUUCCGCUCGGCAACCCCGUUUGACUGGGGUGAAUAGGGAGGCGUCCUCUCAUGAAUAAUGCCGUGUUCCGCACAAAAGGAAUCAAACUCGUUUGAGAAGUACUCUCCACCACGGUCAGACCGGACUCGUUUAAUUUUCUUUUCAAGUUGAUUCUCAACUUCUGCCUUAUAGAUUUUAAAGUAGUGUAGAGCCUCAUCUUUAGUAUUUAACAGAUACACAUAGCAAUAUCUAGUGGAAUCAUCUAUCAAUGUCAUGAAAUAUUUCUUUCCACCUUUAUUCAACACACCAUUCAUCUCACAAAGAUCAGAAUGUAUGAGUUCUAAUGGUGCCAAGUGUCUCUCCUCUGCAGCCUUGUGAGGCUUGCGAGGUUGCUUUGAUUGCACACACGAAUGGCACUUAGAACCUUUGGCUAAAGUGAAAGUCGGGAUUAAAUUCAGUUUUGCUAGCCGCGACAUAACACCGAAACUUAUGUGACAAAGACGUGAAUGUCAAACUUCAGAUUCAUUAACACUCGAAUGAAUAUUGUUCACGACUUUAUUACAAAAAUCUGCAAGGGAAAGGCGGAACAGACCUCCGCACUCAUAACCUUUUCCAACAAAAAGACCAUAUUUCAUAACUACUACUUUUUUAGACUCGAAUACCAACUUAAACCCUUCUCUACACAGAAGGGAACCACUAACAAGGUUCUUCUUGAUGGCGGGGGCAUGCUGCACGUUCUUCAGUUGCACGAUCCUUCCCAAAGUAAACUUUAGAUCGACCGUGCCAACACCAAGAACAGAAGCACUCGCUUCAUUCCCCAUCAAUACGGACCCGCGACCGGUGGCCUGAUAAGAAGAGAACAAUGAUAAGUCAGCACACACAUGAAUAUUUGCACCCGUGUCCACCCACCAAUCGGUGGACUGACAAACUAUAAAUACAGUAAGUAAAUUACCGUACCCAGAUGCACCACUUUCAUUGUUGCCCACAAUCAUAUUGGCAGACUUGGAGUCCUGCGCCGGCUUCUUGUACUUGUUUGGGCAUUUGUUCGCCCAAUGUUCCUCUGAACCACAAGUAUAGCAUCCAUCUCCCUUCUUAUUCUUCUUGAAGGGAUUAUUUCCCUUCUUCUUGAAGUCGGUAUUCUGUUGGACAGAAUUCUUUCCCUUGUGCUUGUGGGAAUUGAAGUUCCUCUGAUGUACCAUAUUGGCAGUAGAAGAGCUUUCCACCGCUUUUCCAUUGGAGUCAUUUGCUCUCGAGUUCUGCUCAACACUCAGAUGGCCGAUGAUGUCCUCUACUGAGAACUCACGCCUCUGAUGUUUCAGAGUAGUAGCAAAGUUCCUCCAGGAAUUAGGGAGCUUAGCAAUUAUACAGCCCGCGACAAACUUGCCCGGCAAAUUGCACUUAAGAACCUCAAGUUCUUUAGCUAUGCAUAUUAUCUCAUGAUCCUAUUCCAAUACAGAACGGUUGUCAACCAUCUUGUAAUCGUGGAACUGCUCCAUAACAUACAUCUCACUCCCAGCGUCGGUGGCCCUGAAUUUAGAUUCGAGCACCUCCCAGAAGUCUUUGGCAACAUGCAUAUGUAAGUAUGCGUCAACCAGCUUAUCUCCGAUCACGCUUAUGACUGCUCCAAGGAAUAGGAUGGUGGCCUCCGCGAACAUCUUCUCCUGUUCAGGAGAGAUCGUUCCCGUUGGAGUGACACCGGCUACCCAGAACACGUUCAUAGCCGUGAGCCAUAAGGUGGUUCUCGUUUGCCAACGGUUGAAAUAAGUACCGGUAAACUUGUCCGGUUUCAGUGCAGCAGCAAAACCAUUACUCGAAAAAUUCCUACACAAAUUAGGUUUUUGGAUUGUUGAGUAAAUAGACAAUUUUCCGAGUAUAUUAAUCCACGAGAUAAUAACUAGCAUGGCACUGACUAGACUAAUGAUGUACUGAUCUUGAGCUAACAUAGCACAUACUACGCAUAUAGUGGAUACAUCUAUGCAGACAAGUAGUACUGCUAGGAUAAAUACGAACAUGAGGAUAAACGAGUCAUACCCUCCAAUAGGCCAGUUGGCCGUAGCAGCAGCGUUGGCAUUGGCCGCGGCCGUAGCCGCAGCAGCAUCCUCUGCCCUCUUCUUCUCAGCUUCAAGGGCGAGACGAUCAGCCUCAGAUGUUGAAGAUAUGGCGAUGACGAGGACGUAGACGAAGCAGACAGACGGAGGCGAGCAGUCGCGUGAUCGCUCCCAAAAACCUAAUCGCCCCUCUCCCGUAUAGGAACCGGAGAGGCAGCAGCAGCAAAAGGAACGCGUUAGCGUGGGUUCGCUCAUUCGCGCAACCCGCGGCGAGGCGGGCGGCAGAGGAGUGCGCGAGGGCACCUUCUUUUCUAACUCUCCAAUAGCAUGUGGAAGAGAGACCCUUAUAAAGGGGUCCAACUUCUCCUCCGCUAGCAGGGUGGGACUAAACUUCCCACCACCUACAUGAGCCCUUGAAGAUUUUUCUGAAAUUCUCUUAUGGGCCUAAGGUCCAUCACUAAUUUCAACACCAUGCUAUGCUAUGAAUGUGUCACUGCCAUUCAGCUGGGAGAAAUUAUUCAAGUCAUCUUACAACACAUGGCACAAGUGCUAAUACACUGCAACCAGGAAUCAGUUGAAAAAUUACAGCUAACCAAAUUGGCACCACAUUACAGGAAAAUCUAUGGUCAUCUCAAUCGUCUCGUUUGCCAAAGAGAUUCCAGUUUGCAACAAGAACGCAAAAAAAAUCGAUCCCCUUUGCUCGGAUGGUGGAAAAACACCUCUUGAUUCGAAAAGCUCGAAGCGCGGAUCCGGGUGGUGCUAUGGUGUCGCCGACGUAUGGCUAGGUAUUGGGGGCAUCUGGCGAGGGGUGGGAGUCAGCUCCGGCUAUGGCUGCGCGCUUGCGGGCGAUGAAGUCCUCGAGGACCUUGCGGCGUUGGGCGGCCUUGGCGCGCUGGGGCUCGACGUUGGCGUAGGAGAGGCGCGCGGCGGCGGCGGCGAUGAGCGCGGCGCCGGUGAGGAAGAGGCAGGCCAUGGCGGCGCGCUGCCUCCGGGUCGCCGCGUACUGCAGCCACGACAUGUCGUGUCUAGUGUCGUUGGGAGUGUGGAAGACGGGAUGGGUUGGUUUGCGCAAAAGGACUGGUGAAGACGGGAGCUGUAAUAAUACGUCUUUGGCAUGUCGAGACUCGAGACCAGAGCAAACGGGGAACAGAGUUUCUUAAGUUCGGGCUGGAAAAAGCAGAGCAUGCGUGAAUUCGUAGCAGAGCAAGAAGGAGAUAGCAAAUUAAUCCAUGGUUGGAUGGUUAGGAGGAUUCUCGUAUCUUCCGUUCGUGAAAGCUUAAAUUUCAGAUUUAACAUUGAUGCUUGUAUUUUUUUUAAUUUAUUUCAGGCCUUUUGAUGAUGUGUGUUUAGUGGGAGGAGAUGUUCCCAUGGACUACGAGGGCGUCUGUGAUGACUUCGUCAAUCUCAAGAUGAUGUGUCGGCCCAGUCUCUCGGAGGUACUCAUAGGGGUAGGGUAUGCGUGCGUGCCUUUAUAAGGAUGAGUGUAUGCUCGUGUAUGUGAACGACUUCGAUUGUACUCUGCUAAAAAAAGAUCCUGAUAAUGCCCACGCGUGUGGGCGCUAAGGGUUGUUGCCCACACGUUCUGUAUGGUGUGUUAGGGAAAACAACCCACACGCAUCUGUGUGCAAUGGCGGAGCAGGACCGAGGCCGGGGGGGGGGGCUGGGCCCGAGGCAUGAGGAAUAAUUCCCUUGCUAACUGUAGCUUUUUUACACUCUUGCUCAGUGUUAAUCACUCUUGCAAUGAAGGAGGUCCGGGGUCCGAUGCUAGGCUAGCUUCGUCCCUGUGUGUGUGGGUAAAACAAUUAACGCCCACACAUCCGGCUUCCCGCUUUGUGACCCGCACAUCCGGCCUGCCACCUCGUGGUCCCGCGUGCCCCCGCGUGAUAGUCCCACUCAGUUGUCAUAUACCACUAGAAAGACAUGGCAACUNNNNNNNNNNNNNNNNNNNNNNNNNNNNNNNNNNNNNNNNNNNNNNNNNNNNNNNNNNNNNNNNNNNNNNNNNNNNNNNNNNNNNNNNNNNNNNNNNNNNNNNNNNNNNNNNNNNNNNNNNNNNNNNNNNNNACUGACAGGCAUGCGGACACGACCAGUUCCACUCAGUUGCCAUGUAACACCCGGGAAGACAUGGCAACUGACACGCAUGCGGGCACGGCCAGUUCCACUUAGUUGCCAUGUAACACUGGGAAGACAUGACAACUGACAAGCAUGCAGACACGGCAGUUCCACUCAGUUGCCAUGGGAAAGACAUGGCAACUAAUAGGCAUACAGGCGACAGUUCCACUCAGUUGCCAUGGGAAGACAUGGAAACUGACAGGCAUGCGGGCAUGACAGUUCCACUCAGUUGCCAUGGGGAAGACAUGGCAACUAACAUGCAUGCGGGCACGAAAAUUCCACUCAGUUUCCAUGGGGAAGACAUGGCAACUNNNNNNNNNNNNNNNNNNNNNNNNNNNNNNNNNNNNNNNNNNNNNNNNNNNNNNNNNNNNNNNNNNNNNNNNNNNNNNNNNNNNNNNNNNNNNNNNNNNNNNNNNNNNNNNNNNNNNNNNNNNNNNNNNNNNNNNACUGACAGGCAUGCGGGCACGACAGUUCCACUCAGUUGCCAUUUAACACUGGGAAGACAUGAUAAUUGACAGGCAUGCAGGUACGGUAGUUCCACUGAUUUGCCAUAUAACACCGGGAAGACAGGGCAACUGACAGGCAUGCGGACGUGUGGACGCGGCAUUAGUUCCACCACACGUCGGGUUGGCAGCCGCAUGUGGGCGUGCGCGAAACAUGCGUGUGGACGAACUCCUUAACGCCCACACACCAUCCCCUUCCUACGUGGCACAAAAAAAUUGUCAUAAAAUACCAAGAUUAGUAGAAAUCACAAAUGGACGCAGAUCCAUGCAUGUGGGCGGUUUGCAAACACCCACACAUAUAGGCGUUAUCUUUUCUCUAAAAUAAAGAGCAAGAAGAAGAUCUCAUUGGUAUAAUGACAAGUUUAUUUUUUACAGGAAUGAUUUUAUGACUAACUUUAUUACUUAAAAACACUUACAUCAUCUGUUAAAAAUUCAGAGAUAAAGCUGGGAGGUGUGUCCAACCACAUAGAAGGUGGGUCGACACGUCCCUGCUGAGCUAACACAUGCACUACCAUAUUGGUUUCUCUAUUACAAUGUUUGGAUAAAACCUUCCCGAAUUCUUCCUUAAGACUACGACAUCCAUCAAGAAUGGGGCCGGUAACCAUGGACUGGCCUGAAUUCAUAUUGAGGGAUUCCACCACAAUUAGGUUGUCCAUCUGCACCAGGAGUGAUGUAAUAUCAAGACUCGCCGCUAGUUUUAGUCCUUCUACUAGAGCCGCUACCUCCGCUGAAACAAUAUCCACUGUGUGCUCUAACUUUGAAGUCGAAGCAACAACUAACACACCAAGAUGAUCCCGGAUAACAGCACCACAAGCCCUUGAGUGAUCCUACUCUACAAAAGUUGCAUCAACAUUCAGAAUGAGCUAGACUGGUAAGGCGUUGUUCGGUUCUUGGAGAAUUGAAGGGGUUUGGAGGGGAUUAGGAGGGAUUAAAUCCCCUACAAGUCAAAUUCCACCUCAAUCCCCUCCAAUCCUCUUCAAUCCCCUCCUGGAUGGGAUUAACCGAACAAGCCCUAAAGGUUUUCUCCAUCUGUUCUCCCGUCGAGCAGAUAUACCCUUCCUAUUAACCCAAACAAAAUUCUGAGUCGGGGCUGAAUAGUAGGACCCGUACGCUUUAUUGUUUGGACUUCUUCGUUCUUAGUUAUUUGGCGCAUCUGCCACCACAAAUAUCAACUAGCUCCUACCAAAAUUUAUGGUAUUUGAACCUCACACAUGUAAUGUACUGCACUUGGUUAGUCAAUUCACAAAGCAAACUCUUCAGAAUCUCUGCUCCAGAACGUUGAGGGAUGCGUGCUCGAGAUAUGAUAUAACACAUGACAAGUUAGCAAGUGUGCAGUUCGUACAAUUAUUGAGAUGGUAUUCAUGACUAACAGCAAACUAAAAGGAAAGGGGGCUAGCUCGGUUCAAAAAAGGAAAGCACAUUAAAAACAUGAUGAACAAAGAUGUAGCAUUGGUGGCGUAUUUCACGAUCUCGUGCCCUCCCUCCCUCCCUCCCCCUUAUGCUCAAGAGUUGUAGAGAUGCCAUUCGCUUGUGACGCGUUAGGUUAAGGGUGGAUCUUCAUAGAGGUGUCGACGGUUGGAUUGCCGCGAUGUCUCGCCCUGCUGGACAUCCUGUCUAGCUUAUAAUGUCAUACUUGUUGGGUAACGUAGCAUAAAUUCAAAAAAAUUCCUACGCAUAUUCAGAUCUUCCUAUGGAGAGACCAACAACGAGAGAGGGAUGAGUGCAUCUUCACACCUUUCAAGAUUGCUAAGCGGAAGCGUUGCUAGAACGCGGUUGAUGGAGUCGUACUCGCGGCGAUUCAGAUCUCGGUGUGAUUCCGAUCUAGUGUCGAAUCACGACACCUCCGCGUUCAACACACGUGCAGCCCGAUGACGUCUCCCGCACCUUGAUCCAGCAAGGAGGAGGGAGAGGUUGGGGAAGAUCUCCGGCAGCACGACAGCGUGGUGUCGAUGGAGAGACGAGUUCUCCCGGCACGGCUUCGCCAAGCACCGUGGGAGAGGAGGAAGAAGGGGGGCAGGGCUGCGCCGUGGGAGAGGGAAAACUGUGUGUAAAACAGCCCCAAAACCCCCACUAUAUAUAGGAGGAGGGGAGGGGGGUGCCACCCCUAGGGUUCCCACCCUAGGUGGUGCGGCAGCCCCCCAGAUGGGAGGUGCGGCGGCCAGUGCAGGGGGAGGGGGUGGCGCACACCUAGGUGGGCCUUAGGCCCACCAGCGCCUAGGGUUUCCCCCCUCUCCACCUCCUACGCCUUGGCCUCCUUGUGGGAGGUGCACCAGACCACUUUGGGCUGGUUUCCCUCCCUCUUUUGGCCCAUGCUACCUCAUGGGGCUGGUGGCCCCUCCCGGUAGACCCCCGGGACCAUUUCCGGUGGUCCCGGUGGUCCCGGUACAUUACCGGUGAUGCCCGAAACAUUUCCGGUGUCCAAAACCAUCCAUCCUAUAUAUCAAUCUUUACCUCCAGACCAUUUCGGAGCUCCUCAUGACGUCCGGGAUCUCAUCCGGGAGUCCGAACAACUUUCGGUAACCUCGUAUAACAAUUGCCUAUAACCCUAGCGUCAUCGAACCUUAAGUGUGUAGACCCUACGGGUUCGGGAGACAGACAGACAUGACCGAGACACCUCUCCGGCCAAUAACCAUCAGCGGGGUCUGGAUACCCAUGGUGGCUCCCACUUGCUCCACGAUGAUCCCAUCAGAUGAACCACGAUGUCAAGGAUUCAAUCAAUCCCGUAUACAAUUCCCUUUGUCUGUCGGUAUAGAACUUGCCCGAGAUUCGAUCGUCGGUAUACAUAUACCUUGUUCAAUCUCGUUACCGAUAAGUCUCUUUACUCGUUCCGUAGCAUGUCAUCGUGUGACUAACCCCUUAGUCACAUUGAGCUCAUGAUGAUGUUCUACCGAGUGGGCCCAGAGAUACCUCUCCGUCACGCGGAGUGACAAAUCCCGAUCUCGAUUCGUACAAACCCAACAGACACUUUCAGAGGUACCCGUAGUGCACCUUUAUAGUCACCCAGUUACGUUGUGACCUUUGAUACACCCAAAGNNNNNNNNNNNNNNNNNNNNNNNNNNNNNNNNNNNNNNNNNNNNNNNNNNNNNNNNNNNNNNNNNNNNNNNNNNNNNNNNNNNNNNNNNNNNNNNNNNNNCGCCGGUGCACAAAACCCACCAUUAGCCUGCCUCAAAACAGCCACCAUACCUACCUACUAUGGCUUUUUCAAAGUCAUUCCGAGAUAUAUUGCCAUGCAAUUACCACUAUGACAUGUGCCACCACGUCUACAUUGCCAUUGCAUGGUCGUAAGAUAGCUAGCAUAAGGUUUCCAUUGAUGUCUAUGCCAUGCUAGAUCAUUGCCACGGUACACUACCGAAGGCAUUCCAUAUAGAGUCAUCGUUACUCUAAGUUUUGAGUUGAAAGUGUGAUGAUCAUCAUUAAUGGAGCAUUGUCCCAUGUGAGGAAAUAAAGGAGGCCAAAGAAUCCCACAAAAAAAGAGGCCAAAGAGCCCACCAAAAAAAUGAGAGAAGAAGAGAGAAGGGACAAUGCUACCACUUUUUCCAUACUUGUGCAUAUUAAGCACCAUGAUCUUCAUGAUUGAGAGUCUCUCGUUUUGUCACCACCAUAUAGCUAGUGGGAAUCUUUCAUAAUAUAACUUGGCUUGUAUAUUCCAAUGAUAGGCUUCCUCAAAAUUGCCUUAGGUCUUCGUGAGCAAGCAAGUUGGAUACACACCCACUAGUUUUCUUUAAGAGCUUUCACAUACUCGUAGCUCUAGUGCAUCAUUUGUAUGGCAAUCCCUACUCAUUCACAUUGAUAUCUAUUGAUGAGCAUCUCCACAGCUCAUUGAUAUGCCUAGUUAAUGUGACUAUCUUCUCCUUUUUUGUCUUGCAACCUCCACCACAUUCCACACCAUCUAUAGUGCUAUAACCAUGGCUCACGCUCAUGUAUUGCGUGAGAGUUGAAAAGGUUUGAGAAAGUAAAGGUGUGAAACAAUUACUUGGCCAAUACCGGGGUUGUGCAUGAUUUAAAUUUGUUGUGCAAUGAUGAUAGAGCAUAGCCACACUAUAUGCUUUUGUAGGGAUAACUUUCUUUUGGCCUUGUUAUUUUGAAAGUUCAUGAUUACCUUGCUAGUUUGCUUGAAUUAUUAUUGUUUCCACGUCAAUAUCAAACUAUUAUUUUGAAUCUAAUGGAUCUGAACAUUCACGUCACAUAAGAGGAAUUACAAAGGACAUCUAUGCUAGGUAGCAUGAAAGCAUCAAAAAUUCAUUCUUUAUCACUUCCCUACUCGAGGACGAGUAGGAGUUAAGCUUGGGGAUGCUUGAUACGUCUCAAAUGUAUCUAUAAUUUUUUAUGGUUUCAUGUUGUUAUCUUGUCUUCUUUGGAUGUUUUAUGUACCUUUUAUAUUUUUUUGGGACUAACUUAUUAAUUCAGUGCCAAGUGCGAGUUCCUGUUUUUUCUGUGUUUUUGACUCUUUUCAGAUCUGAUUUUGGAACGGAGUCCAAACGGAAUAAAAACCCCAAAAUGAUUUUUUCCCGAACGAAAGAAGAUCAGGGGGCCUCUAGGCCAAGCCAGGUGGGCUCCAGGGAGCCCACAAGCUCCCACCCUGCCACCAGGGGGAGGCGGCGGUGUCAGGGCUUGUGGCCUCCCUGCCCCCCUUGACCUAAAUCCUUGGCCUAUAUAUUCCCAAAUAUUCAGCAAAAAUCAGGGGAGCCUCAAAAAAACUUUUCCGCCGCCGCAAGCUUCCGUUUCCGCGAGAUCUCAUCUGAAGACCCUUUCCGGCGCACUGCCGGAGGGGACUUUGGAGUUGGAGGGCUUCUUCAUCAUCAUCAUCGCCCCUCCAAUGACUCGUGAGUAGUUCACUUCAGACCUACGGGUCCGUAGUUAGUAGCUAGAUGGCUUCUUCUCUCUCUGUUGGAUCUUCAAUACAAAGUUCUCCAUGAUCUUCAUGGAGAUCUAUCCGAUGUAAUCUUCUUUGGCGGUGUGUUUGUCGAGAUCCGAUGAAUUGUGGAUUUGUGAUCAGAUUAUCUUUGAUAUAUAUUUGAGUCUUUGCUGAUUUCUUAUAUGCACGAUUUGAUAUCCUUGUAAGUCUCUCCGAGUCUUGGGUUUUGUUUGGCCAACUAGAUCUAUGAUUCUUGCAAUGGGAGAAGUGCUUGGUUUUGGGUUCUACCAUGUGGUGACCUUUCCCAGUGACAGUAGGGGCAGCAAGGCACACAUCAAGUAGUUGCCAUCAAGGGUAAAAAGAUGGGGUUUUUUAUCAUUGGUUUGAGAUUAUCCCUCAACAUCAUGUCAUCUUGCUUAAGGCGUUACUCUGUUCUUAUGGACUUAAUACACUAGAUGCAUGCUGGAUAGCGGUCGACGUGUGGAGUAAUAGUAGUAGAUGCAGAAGUAUCGGUCUACUUGUUUUGGAUGUGAUGCCUAUAGAUAUAAUCAUUGCAUAGAUAUCGUCACGACUUUGCGCGGUUCUAUCAAUUGCUCGACAGUAAUUUGUUCACCCACCGUCUACUUGCUUUCAUGAGAGAAGCCACUAGUAAACACUACGGCCCCCGGGUCUAUUCACAUCCAUCAUUUACACCUCCGCUUUUACUUUGCUUUGUUACUUUGUUGCUUUCAGUUCUCAGUUGGCAAACAAUCUAUAAGGGAUUGACAACCCCUUCAUAGCGUUGGGAGCAAGAUUUUGUGUUUGUGCAGGAUCUUGAGAUACUCCUCCACUGGAUUGAUACCUUGGUUCUCAAACUGAGGGAAAUACUUACCACUGCUACGCUACAUCACCCUUUCCGCUUCGAGGGAACACCAACGCAAGGCUCCAAGGCCACGGGGGAAAUCCUUUAAAUACUUGCCUCGGAAGUCCCUUAAGGCGUAGCCGCAGCAGAAGGAUCAAGCCAAGUAUUCUCCCGUCGACGUGCCUAUUUCUGGCGCCAUUGGAAGGUCUUUUGUUGCAGUAGCAGAAGUAUUUCUGGCGCAGUUGCCGGGGAGGAGAAAUCAAGAUCUAUCCAAGUAGGUCUCACAAACUCUUCCCUUGCGUUUACUUUUGUUUCCAGUUGCCUCUCGUUUUCCUCUCCCCCACUUCACAUUUGCCGCUUUCAUUUGCCUUUCUCCUUCGCCGUUUUCUUUUGCCUUUUGCCUUUUUCUUUUGCCCUUUUUCUCUUGCUUGUUUGCUUGUGUGCCAUGUGCCUUCAAUAUGCUUGCAUCUUCGUUUGCUAAUCUCUUUAAGAGACCCACUAUUGUGGAACGAAUUGCUAGUGAGUUGAGGACACUUGACUAUCUUUAUGGAGUUUUGCUUGAGAGGCGUGAAUCUGAAAAUUGUGUGGAAGAAAAUUAUGAAGUGGUUCACGAGGGUUCCUUGGAUGGAAAACAUGAUUGCAAUGGUUUCACUAUAAAUUCUAUUAGUGAUAAUCAUGCUAAAAAUAUGCAAAACCCUAAGCUUGGGGAUGCUAGUUUUGCUUUGUCCACGACUUGUUGCAAUAAUCAUGAUUGGGGUGAUGAUCUUUCUUAUGAUCUUGAAAAUUUGUUCAAACCUCAUGAUGAAUAUGAUAUUUGCAAUAACAUUGAAAGUGGGUUUGGAGAAGUCAUGACUUUAGUUGACGAUAAUCCCACUAUUUUUGAAGAGCGUCAACUUUGCAUGCAUGUGGAUCAUGAAAAGAAUAUCCUAUGUGAUAGUUACAUUGUUGAAUUCGAUUAUGAUCCCACAUGUAAUUGCUAUGAGAGAGGAAAAUAUUUUGGUAGAAACCUUCAUGUUACCAAAUUACCUCUCGUUAUGUGGAGAUUGCUAUUGUCUCUUUCUUCUUCCUUGCAUACGACAACUAUUGGUUGUCUUGACAAUCUGUUUUCCUAUAAAAUGCCUAUGCAUAGGAAGUAUGUUAGACUUAGAUGUGGUUUUCACAUGCGUUAGGAUGCUCUUGUUGUGCUUCAAUUCUUGUCUUUUGUGAGAGCAUCAUUGAAUGCCUAGCUAAGGGCGUUAAACAAAAGCGCUUGUUGGGAGGCAACCCAACGAAUCUAUCUUUUUUCUUUCUGUUUUCCACACUUUCAUAAUUCUGUUAUGAUUGUGUUUUUUGUGUUUCUUUUUGCAUUUGUGCCAAGCAAACCGUUAUGAUUAGUCUUGGGGAUGAUCGUUUGGUCAUGCUGGAAAAGACAGAAACUUUCUGCUCACGAAAAGAAUUUUCAUUUUUUUCUGUAAGAGCUUUUGAGUUGAUUCUUUUUUCUGCUGAUUGCUACGCAAAUUCUUCAAACUGUCGUAAUUUUUCAGAAUUUUUGAAGUACCAGAGGUAUACGAAAUAUGCAGAUUGCUACAGACUGGUAUGCUGUUAACAGAUUCUGUUUUUGUUGUGUUGGUUGCUUAUUUUGAUGGAACUAUGGAUAGUAUCGGGGGGUAUUAGCCAUGGAAGAUUGAAAGUACAGUAACCCAACAUCAGCACAAGUAGAAUUUAAGGUUGCUACAGUACCUAAGGAAGUGGUGGUUUGCUUUCUUGUACUAAUGUUAUCACGAGUUUCUGUUUAAGUUUCGUGUUGUGAAGUUUUCAAGUUUUGGGUGAAGUUCUUAUGGACAAAGAGAUAAAGAGUGGCAAGAGCUCAAGCUUGGGGAUGCCCAAGGCACCCCAAGAGAUUCAAGUAUGUCGUAAAAGCCUAAGCUUGGGGAUGCCCCGGGAAGGCAUCCCCUCUCUCGUCUUCAAUCCAUCGGUAACGUUACUUGGGGCUAUAUUUUUAUUCACCACAUGUUAUGUGUUUUUGCUUGGAGCGUCUUGUAUCGUAGGAGUCUUUUAUUUUUGUUGUGUCACAAUAAUCCUUGCUGCACACCUAGAGAGAGAGACAUGCACACACCGUGAUUUUGUCGAGCUUCACUUAUAUCUUUUGGUAGACAAUUCAGCUCACAUAUGCUUCACUUAUAUCUUUUGAGCUAGAUACUUUUGCUCUAUGUGCUUCACUUAUAUCUUUUAGAGCACAGCGGUGCGUGUCUUGGUAGUUGAUCUAUGCUUUGAAAGUAGUCUCAAAAGGGGUAGAUAUCCAAAGGGAUACGAAAACUUCCACCUUCAUGUGCAUUGAAUAGUUAGAGAAGUUUGAUUCAUCUCAAUUAGUUUUGAGUUGUGAUUAUGGUAAUAUUGAAGUCAUGCUAGUAAGGUGUUGUGGAUCUAGAAAUACUUGUGUUGAAUUUAGUGAUUCCGAUAGCAUGCACGUAUGGUGAACCGCUAUGUGAUGAAAUCUGAGCAUGAUUAUUAUAUUGAUUGUCAUCCUUUGCGUGGCGGUCGGGAUCACGCGAUGGUUUAUACCUACCAACCCUUCCCCUAGGAGUAUGCGUUGAAUGCUUUGUUUCGAUUACUAAUGAAACUUUUGCAACAAGUAUAUGAGUUCUUCAUGACUACUGUUGAGUCCAUGGUUUAGAUGCACUUUCACCUACCACCAUCACUAUCUUCUUUUUCGCCGGUGCACAANNNNNNNNNNNNNNNNNNNNNNNNNNNNNNNNNNNNNNNNNNNNNNNNNNNNNNNNNNNNNNNNNNNNNNNNNNNNNNNNNNNNNNNNNNNNNNNNNNNNUGGAGAUGCUCUUAGGGUUCUCGGUCAACCUCCCCUCUCUAGGCCCACCACUUGCUGUUGUCUUGAGCAGGCAGCAAAACGAUGGCCAUGUAACAUCCCGAAGUUUGUGAAACAUGUGAUGAAGAGUGUUGUUUUGCAUCAUGUUUAAAUUCAAAUUGAAAAGUAGGCGAAUUUAAAACCUCAAAUAAACUUUGUAAAUGCACUACAUAUUAUAGUGUAACCUAAAUGUCCUUAAAAAAUCAAGAAACUUAUGNNNNNNNNNNNNNNNNNNNNNNNNNNNNNNNNNNNNNNNNNNNNNNNNNNNNNNNNNNNNNNNNNNNNNNNNNNNNNNNNNNNNNNNNNNNNNNNNNNNNNNNNNNNNNNNNNNNNNNNNNNNNNNNNNNNNNNNNNNNNNNNNNNNNNNNNNNNNNNNNNNNNNNNNNNNNNNNNNNNCCCCCCCCCCCACCCCACACACACACACCCUAAUAUUCCAUGAAUUACGAAUGACUUGAACCUUGCCAACUAAAUUUCUUCAAGCAAUUCUUUUCCAAGAAGUUCAACUCAUGAAAAUAUUCAAAUUGUUUUGAAAUUAUAGGAGGAGAGUUACUGAACUAAAGUUGCAAAAAAAAUUUAAAUAGUUGUGGAAAUAAACCCAUAAAAAAAAUUCUACAUAGUCUCAAUUAGAUUUGAACAAUUGAAAUUAUAUUUAAUAUUAUAAAAACAGAAUAUAUAUNNNNNNNNNNNNNNNNNNNNNNNNNNNNNNNNNNNNNNNNNNNNNNNNNNNNNNNNNNNNNNNNNNNNNNNNNNNNNNNNNNNNNNNNNNNNNNNNNNNNCUCAUCCCCUCUCGUAGAUGAACAUCACCAUGAUAGGUCUUCGUGCGCGUAGGAAAAUUUUUGUUUCCCAUGCGACAUUCCCCAACAGUGGCAUCAUGAGCUAGGUUCAUGCGUAGAUGUCUUCUCGAGUAGAACACAAAAGGUUUUGUGGGCGGUGAUGUGCGUUUUGCUGCCCUCCUUAGUCUUUUCUUGAUUCCGCGGUAUUGUUGGAUUGAAGCGGCUUGGACCGACAUUACUCGUACGCUUACGAGAGACUGGUUUCAUCGUUACGAGUAACCCCCUUUGCUCAAAGAUGACUGGCAAGUGACGGUUUCUCCAACUUUAGUUGAAUCGGAUUUGACCAAGGAGGUCCUUGGAUGAGGUUAAAUAGCAACUCAUAUAUCUCCAUUGUGGUGUUUGCGUAAGUAAGAUGCGAUCCUACUAGAUACCCCCGGUCACCACGUAAAACUUGCAACAACAAAAUUAGAGGACGUCUAACUUGUUUUUGCAGGGUAUGCUUGUGAUGUGAUAUGGCCAACGAUGUGAUGUGAUAUAUUGGAUGUAUGAGAUGAUCAUGUUGUAAUAGAAAUAUCGACUUGCACGUCGAUGGUACGGCAACCGGCAGGAGCCAUAGGGUUGUCUUUAUAACUAACGUUUGUGCUUGCAGAUGCGUUUACUAUUUUGAUAGGACGUAGCUUUAGUAGUAAUAGCAUGAGUAGCACGACAACCCCGAUGGCGACACGUUGAUGGAGAUCAUGAUGAUGGAAAUCAUGGUGUGACGCCGGUGACAAGAAGAUCGUGCCGGUGUUUUGGUGAUGGAGAUCAAGAAGCACGUGAUGAUGGCCAUAUCAUGUCACUUAUGAAUUGCAUGUGAUGUUAAUCCUUUUAUGCACCUUAUUUUGCUUAGAACGACGGUAGCAUUAUGAGGUGAUCUCUCACUAAAAUUUCAAGACGAAAUUGUGUUCUCCCCGACUGUGCACCGUUGCUACAGUUCUUCGUUUCGAGACACCACGUGAUGAUCGGGUGUGAUAGACUCAACGUUCACAUACAACGGGUGCAAAACAGUUGCGCACGCGGAACACUCGGGUUAAGCUUGACGAGCCUAGCAUGUGCAGACAUGGCCUCGGAACACAUGAGACCGAAAGGUCGAGCAUGAAUUGUAUAGUUGAUAUGAUUAGCAUAGAGAUGCUUACCACUGAAACUAUUCUCGACUCACGUGAUGAUCNNNNNNNNNNNNNNNNNNNNNNNNNNNNNNNNNNNNNNNNNNNNNNNNNNNNNNNNNNNNNNNNNNNNNNNNNNNNNNNNNNNNNNNNNNNNNNNNNNNNGUUCGGCACUAGAUCGUGGGACUGAUCGCGGGAGGUUCGCGGGGCGGAUCGAGGGACGUGAGGACGUUCCACUACAUCAACCGCGUUCACUAACGCUUCUGCUGUGCGAUCUACAAGGGUACGUAGAUCGGAAAUCCCCUCUCGUAGAUGGACAUCACCAUGAUAGGUCUUCGUGCGCGUAGGAAAAUUUUUGUUUCCCAUGCGACGUUCCCCUUCAGUUUUAUUCUAGAUCAUUAUCAGUAUAAGAAAAUGUUUCAAACAUCACAAUUGGAGAAAAAAAGCCUUACUAACCAAAUAACUACAAAUGGAAGUCAAAUGAAAGUAAAUAGAACCAGAUAUCUCGAUUCAAUAAGUACAACAAGUAUUGCUUUAGGACAAUGUGCCGAGGGCGGUUUACAAACAAUCGUCGGUGAAAUUCCUAUUGGUUGAAUCAAUAUUGAAUUCUUCAUUAACAUAUUGAAGAGGUAGUCAGCAGAAGACUUCCCUCUCAAACAAGCAUGUUAGCAUUAGUUCAACUUGAGCAUUAGUUGUGCACAACAGGCUGGUAGGCAAGAUAUAAACUUUUUGGGAAAAUGCUACUUCUAUUGGAACAAGACAAUCAUUUAACUUCUUUCUGCGGUAUUCUAGUAUUAAUAAAGUAAAUAGGUUCCUCCAUAAUCUUCAUGGAUUUCAAAGACAAUCAUUUGUUAGCAAUAUUAUGAAGUGACAAAAAAAAUCCAAUCCUGUUAAUAGAGCACCAACAGAAUCUCUUAUAUCAUUUGGAGACAAAGGAAUAAGAAUAUACGACAUAUAAAACCAGUGGUUUAACUUUACAUGCUUGAUAAAAUAAAAUGGUGUAGUGGGCAUAUAUAAGAUGUCAAUCAAAAUCUUAAACCAUGCAAAAUACUUCUAGUACAAAAAAUUCUACUUCGUUCAAAUCAACCUGCAUAUUUAAGAAACAACAAUUAUAUUCUUUUUCGGAGACAAACAUAUAUUAGCUGAUAAUACUAAUAGAUAUUAGUGAUGAUUAUCAUAACACCUUCCAUGUGCAUAUUAUCCAUAUGUUAUAACGGCCACCCCUAUCCAUGGCCAGCGGCGUCUCAGGCUCGCUGGUUUGGUGUUGCCCCUUGUAGAGUCAACAUGGGUAACAAUCUUAUAGGGGCCACGAACACGCAAGAUACUGAAAAUAAAUCAAACACAAUGGUCUGAACCCAAUGAUGCUAACUACUGGAAGUCAUAGCCCAGUUGACAGACAAUGAAUCCAAAGACAGACAACUAAUGGUUUUAUCAGCAACGAAGAGUAAGAAACACAUGUUGAAACCAUACACAGGGCAGAGCCAGUGAGGCUGCUGGUGCCACCCGGCAACCUCUAGCCUAUCUGCUCGUUGGAUAUGGCUCUCGACAAUAGUGUCCAACGGCACCAGGCUCGUGCUAGCCAGACCUACACACAUGGGCUCCUCUGUCCAAUGUAAUCGGAAGUAUGCCAACCAAACGAACGAUAAGUGUAAACGUAAUCCAAGGUUUUGCAGGUGUAUUGUGUUGAUUUUUUAAACUAUUUUCUGAAUAAUUAACAGAACAAAACAAAACGACGGAAAAAGAAGGGUUAGGUACAAGCUAAAAAGGACAAGCAGAGUUCACCUAAAUUGUUCAUCAAGAGUAAAAAAGAUCACGUGGAUCGUCUGUUGAGAUAGAAUUGCCCUGUAAAAGUGAAACAGAGAAGUGAGAAAUCAAUGUAUUUUGCCAUUUUAAGGAUUAAAAGAAAGCAAAAGAUCACUCCAGGUACUUGGUUCACUUGUUCCUUCUGAAUAACUUUCCGGAUGCCUUCUUUUUCCAUUUGAUGCUGAUAUAUCUAUAGUUGAAUGUGGCAUAUCAUAUUGUCAGCACAAAAAAGUAACCAACAACCCAUUAUUUCUUCGUAAUGGAAAAGAAUUUAAAAGACAUGAAAGAUACAAGAUUUGGAGUUGACGACCUUCUCCUCAAUGGUCCCAGUGCUCAAGAACAUGUAUACGUGCACUCUCUUCUUUUGUCCAUCUGUCCAUACUCUAGCAGCAGCUUUUGCAAGUGCCAAUAGGUGAAAAGGUUCAGCUCAGGCAAGGUGUGUGGAAUUAAAAAGAACCUUCAGAAGGUGAUAAAUUAGUGACGUGCAGAUAUAAACCAGCUUCGAGCCCCUCGUGUGUCUCUUCAACUCGGUUCGAUCUGUUCCCCAAGCGCCGAGGCCGGCGCCGGCAGCGGCGGAUUACGGCCUAGAGCAGCGAAUGUCCGGUGGCGCCUCCAACGGCCUGAAGGUGCGAGGUCGGCCGCCCGAGGGGAGCGCAUUGGCUGUAGCUGCGCGACAGCGUUGUGUUGACUGAGGAUGGGCGCAUGGUGGCCUGAGCAAGAGGCCGGUGAGUCCGCUUCUCUGGAUCGGCGAGCACGGGCAACGCGGACCUAGGCCCGAGGAGGGCGAGCAUCGGCAACGCUACCGGGGUUUGAGUAGGCAGCGCGGCUAUUGCUCGAGGAGAGAGCGGCUGCCGACAAAGGAGAGCAUGCGCCGCCAAAGCUUGAUAUGAAUGGAUGCGUGGUGUGCAUGCUGCUGUGUACUGUACUGAUGCAUGGUGUGUGUGCUGUUGUGUACUGAUUAGUUGUGUGUGUGUUGUGUUGCAAGUUCUUGUGCACUAAUCCUCUCCUUUUGGCAUUCUGCUGCAGAAGAUUUCAUGGUGACAGGGAAUACAAACUUGACGCAUCACCUUUUAUUCUUGAUUUCUCUCCAAAACCGAACACUUAUUGAACUAUCCACAAUCAUAUUUUAUCCUUCAAAGCAAACAAAAUAUGGGCUAACCACACCAAGCCAACCAAACAAAAAAAAGGCUAUCCAUAGCCAGCUGGUUGGGGAUACCCAUAGGCCAUAGCCAUCCUAGUUUAUCCCUUGAACCAAACACACCCCUAGAAGGGGAGGGGACUAUUUGCAUCAGGUUCUGUGAAGUGCACGAACAGGAGUACAGAUUUGGCAGGGAGGGAGCUCAUGGGCGCCUCAGGCAACGGAUCAGGGGCGGCUCACCUCGAUUUGUCCUCUAACGGAGGUGCACGAACAGGAGGACGACGGUCCGGUGCUCCUCUCAUCGAUGGCGAUGCCUUCGAGCGGAGCAGCUGCGCGAGCGUCGGCCGCCGAUCCUCCCAGUGACGAUGACAGCGACGUGGUGGAGGUGAAGGAGUGGCGUGGGCCUCCAGCCGGUGGGUGGUGGUCGAGACAGUGGCGAGCGCCGGCGGCAGCCAAGAGCGAAGGAAUGGUGCGACGGGGAGUGAAGAGGGUUCUCAUUGGAGGGCGUUAGCGCGCUAGCUUGUCGGGGGCGCGGCGGCGGGCGAACCGCCGGCUGUUCCUCGCGUCCUCGAGCUAGGGUUAGGGGACGGGGACUGGGAUGAGGAUGAGGCGCGACCGCGCGAAGAAACGGCUAGGGGCGUGUUUGGUCGCCGUAUUAGUGCGAGGGCGACGGGGAAAGGAGCCGCGAGGGCGAUGGCGCCAGCAAGGAGGGCCGGUGGGAAGGGAGAGGGUGCGGUGGCGGCGCGGGGGUGGUGCGGCUGCGCGAGAGGAGCGGUUCGCACGAGUGCGGGGAUGGGGUCGUGGGUUUUCCUGAUUCAAGUACGAGGAGGGGGGGGGGAACNNNNNNNNNNNNNNNNNNNNNNNNNNNNNNNNNNNNNNNNNNNNNNNNNNNNNNNNNNNNNNNNNNNNNNNNNNNNNNNNNNNNNNNNNNNNNNNNNNNNNNNNNNNNNNNNNNNNNNNNNNNNNNNNNNNNNNNNNNNNNNNNNCGAGAGGUCGAACCAUCGCUUUGGUCGAACCAUCACGACGUUCGAUCCCCCUUUAAUAGUAGAGAUAUAGUGGUUCUACACCCCAAUAUAGUCAAGCACACAAGCUCAUCUUCAUGUAGUACAUAUAUAAACAAGAUCUGUACAAUGAUUGGCUACCCAUUAAUCGAUGUGGACACACACAAAUAUUCCAUUUUAACUAAAGAUUAACGUCAAAUUAGCAACACAAUCUUAAAUAUUAUUACCAUCUGAUCAACAAUAUUUCAUAACUAAUGUGCAAGUAGUGUAUUGAGUUUUACACCUACAACCAACGUCAGGUGAAUCUCUUUUACUGCAUCAAUGGUAUUUCGAUUCUUUAUAAUCCCCUAGGAAUGACAUGUUCAGAAGCAAAUCAGAUCAAAAUUAUUAUUCGAAUGUGUCCUUGGCUUGAGGUAUCCUGACAGUAAAAACAAUGACAAACAUUAUAUUAUAUCAACAUGACAAAUGAGAUGCCACAUGAUUUACACAACUACAAAGUACAAUACUGUGUACCUUACGGUUGAUCAAUGAUUGGAUAAAAAAUUCUUUCAACCAUAAUACAUGAAAUUUAUGGAUGCCUUGUCAAUCGAGAGAAACAAUCAAAUGGAAAUACUAGCAUGCAUAGAAAAACUUCAACACAACAGAAUGAGAAAACCUUCAGCAGUACAUAGAGAUGUGUAGGAAUGCAGUGCUACCCAAAUGAACAAACAACAAUCCAGUAAAGGUAAUACAUUCUACAUAUUUUCAGCAUAUUUUACAUACUUGUGUACAUUUAAAAUGAGAGAACUUUAUGUUAUGAAUUUAACAUUACAAGGGCAAGCCAUUUAGUGGAAUUAGGACAGAAGCAAGGUUGGUUCAGAAGAUAAAAUUUGAACUCAGACUAAUGUAGAACAAGCAGAGAAAGAAUGGGCCAAGAGAACGGGUAAGAUAUAUCAAGAUCCAAAUUUUCCAUAUUGAAGCACCGAUAAGUAGUUUCAAUAAUGAUGCUAAAUAUACAUAUGUCCACAAUUUUCCAUAUUAAAGACGAUGUAUGUAAAAAUAACUUGGUGGUACAACAUAUGUUGAUGUAGAAGAAUGACACAUGGAUAUACAUUCAUGUAGAAAUAAUUCAUAUUUAUUUUGCAAUUAGUUAAACAUCAGAUACAUAAUUACUAUCCAAAUAUGUAAAGCGGUAUAAUACAAUUAUCAUAAGUAAACAUUCAAGACCAAUUAAUUUAGCAAUUGGAUGCUUUAGUUUAUAGAAAUUAAUGUAGCAAUUUGACGCUUUAGUUUAUAGAAAUCACUAGAUCUGUAAAGCAAAACCAUUUUCUAAAUUCAAAGGAGUAGACUACAUUUCAAUGAAAAAUUAGUAGAUUGGUCCUUCAAAUAAUAAAUUUGCAUCAUCAUUCUUUGUUUUUGUUUAAGAUGUUCACUAAUUAUAGUUAUGUAAUAAUUAUAAUAAGUAUUAAAAACACAAUAUAUUCUACUCCAGAUAAGAAGUUCAAUAAUAAGAUAUAACAAACGACUAUCUAAAAAAAUGACGAAAAGGCGGUGCCGGUGCAAAUUGGAAUAUCUAUAAAUUAUAUGUACAAGUGACACACAUUGUUUUACAAGACUAACAUAUUUAAAUGAAAUUCAGCUUACAAUUCCAUGUAAUAUAUCCUAUUUCAUAUGUAUGUUUCUAUAAAUUAUAUGUACAAGUAACACAUAUUGUUUUAGAGGACUUACUUUACAGACGCCAAUAAAAGGGCGCACAUUAAAAACCGAUGUUUUUUUGCGUUGGAGACAAACAAACAACGUUUCAACAGACGUUGUAAAAUAAAGCGCACACAAAAAAGUCAGCGCCCAUGCUGUAAAUUUUGGGCCAGCUGUCUUCCAAGCUGUAUAUUUGAAGCAUCGGAUUAUGCGCGCUGGCUGCUCUAGGUGGGACCAUCGAAUUAAACGCCGUGUUUUUAUGCAUCUAAAAAUCUCUUCGUCGCUUUCACGUGUAAAAACGCUAUUUCAACGUGCUAAAAACAAAUUAACACACGUCUAUUGAAGAUGCGGUGGGCGUAUGUUACGCCGUGACUACCAAGAUGGGAAAAAUCAAACGUUAAAUUCAGGCGGGGAUAGGGGGUUUGCGGGGGCGGGCUCGUGCUCUCCGGCACUUCGCCGGCCGCGGAGAACCAGCUCUGAGCAGCCAAGCGUCGUACUGCAGAGGAGAAGCAGUGCCAGGCAGCCUUCGUGCCGAGGAGGAUCACACUCUGCAGUGCCAGGCAGCCUUCGUGCCGAGGAGGAUCACUGCUGUGCGCCGGGAAAGUGGCAGCCUGUGUACUCCGAUGUUUGUUCAGUAGCACGACUUGUUGCUACACAAUUUCCAUGUUGAUUACUGCUAACGGUGGCCUGUAAUUUGUUCGAGUAACUUUAGUGCUUGUCUUGAGUAAUACUGUUGGGUCUUGUACAACAUAUAGGAUUGUUUUUUUUACCUUAACCAGUUGCCGUUGUUUGCAUCUCUAAUGCCAUGUAAAUUGAGUGUUUUUGUUUAUAUUGUCGUCUGCUCCAAGAUGUGCAAGUAUGGAUCUUUUUUUUAUAUAACUUUUCUAAUGCGUGGUUGAUGGCUGGAUGUGUUGACGAAUUGAUUGAUGUAUGCUUGAUCUGUGUCAGGUCUCAGUUUCAUUAAAAACGAGUACGUAUUCAGCAAAUAGGGUGCAGAUUCUAUUCCGGCAAGCCGACCACUGUAUUUUUUUGACAGUUAAAUCUUCAUUAUUAAUUGGACGACAGGGUAACAUCAUUUACAAGCAAGGAGAUUAUAGCCUCAUGAGCUAAUUAUAUCUAGCUACACCUGCUAAGUCGUGGCCGCUGUUGUUUGCUGGUUGCUAUCAUCGAAUGCUUGAAAUAAGGUCAAGUCUGAAUCAUUUUUUCACCACGGUGAACCAGUGCGUUGCUUGUGCAGUUUUGGCAUUUAGUCGCUGUUGUCCGUUGGAUGAAGAACGAACGGCGGAUGGGUGGGCGCAUGUUACACCGUGACCGCCAAGAGGCAAGUCACUCGAUCCCGGUCCCUGCUUAGGUUAUCCUACGUUCUUCUUUGUAAAUUGUUGUUGGCCCGUUCCUUGUACGAACGCAUGAUGCUGCCAAACAGAAAACCCCACGUUGCCUCCAUUUUGGCUCGUUCGUUGUAAGAAUGCAUGAUGCCUCCAUUAUGUUUUUGGGAAGAAAUGUAUGGGGCAUUGCUCCAAUAGCAUGUUGUCCUUAAACUGAUUGUAGUACAUGUCAACUGAUCAACGAGUAUUGAAUUAGUAGAGGUUAGUUGCAGUUCGUUGUGCACAUUUGGCGUAUGGGUGAAGGCAACAAAGUUGUCAACUCUACUAUUCUGAACUGUCGUUGUGGGUUGAGCAGCCCUAGCAUUGGAGGAACAGGAAUCAAAUCACAAUGACGGAUCUGGCGCAACACAGAAGAAGGGAAAGAAACCUGGCUUAAUGUGUUGCAAAAAACUGGCUUAAUGAUGCCGCACAAAAACUUAUGUGAUAAUUAUAAAGGACGUGGUAUUUUUACACACAAGCAUUUUAAAAAUAUUUUAAAAAAUGCUUUGUUUAUGACAAACUUUGACAAAUGUUCUAAGAAAUCGCAAAGUUCCAUCAUGAAAUCUCAUCUAUGGAAGUCUUGAACAAAAAUUGGAACUCUGAAAAUGCUACUUUUGUAAGUAUUUUGUAGCAAUUUUUUUGCCAUGACUUCUACAAAUGUGAUGUUGUGUCGAAAUUUUGCGAGCCCUCAGAAAAUUAAUAAAGUUUGUUUAAAAAAAUACUUUUUAAAUGUUUUUUAAGUUACUAUUCAUCCUGAGCUCAUUUGAGCUCGGGGGUAGAAGGGCACUUGAUUUGGACACCACUCGAGGCCGAGCCGAAGAUGAGGACGACAUGAUAUGGAAUGUUUGGGCCGCAGGAAAGGUCAAAUUCUUCUAUUCAUUGCUCCCCCACGACAGGUUCUAGUUCGACGAUCGCCUGCAAUGUACGGUUGGGAAAACAAAUACUUUUGCCCUCUCCGCCUAUGGAGUUUGGAGUUCUCGGUUCAUCUUCUAUGGAACUGCCCUUUAUCCCUGGAAUAUCUGGCGUGAGGCAGCAUCAUGGCAAGUUUGCUCAGCUCUAGCCUUUGUAGAAAGGGCACACACCACUUCGACUACCGCACUCGAGAAAUUUCCAUGGCCGCUAAGAAGCAAAUCAGAAAAGGGGUACGAAGUGUGACCAUGAUGAUCGCUUGGGGCAUGUGGAAGGAGAGAAGCGAAUGCGUCUUUGGGGCAAGGAUGCCAAGAUCUUCGAAUGUUCUUGCUGCCAUCAGAAGAAACCUAGAGCAAUGGUGCCUUGCAGGAUUACGGGUUUUUGAGAACCCCUUCGGGGAUUUUGUCGUGAGAUAGGUGUUCUUUUGUUAGAAUGUUCUCUCUGUUUACUCCAUGGUCACUUGAUCAACACCAUGUUUCCCGUAUUCUCUCUCUAAAUCAAUCAACGACAACAUUGGUGGAUCUUAGAAAAAAACAUUAGAAAAACAAACAUCAACUAGUAACAAAACUUAAGCAUCAUCAUGCACGGCAGUCCGCCUCUCCCCUACCAUGCGGCGGCGGAGACCAACUCCUCAAGAUCUCAGCUGACAGGAGCGUUGGUUCACUCUCCCUCUAAUUGCCGCUCCAGCGGCAAAAGGGAGGGGGGGACCUCGUUUCUCUGUAUAGUAGUUUUGGUUAGGGUCUGUCUACUGUGGGGCGCCGUUAGGGUGGUGGGAGCGGCGCCCGAGCAAAUAGUCUGCCUCAACUCUUCUCCCACACUGGUGACGACCUUCACGACGUCGUCUCAGAGUUGAUGGCAACGUGUGCUCGUCGGUCCUUCAGAUCGGCAGCUUGGUCUUCUCGUCGUUCUUCAGAUCCGGAGAGACCUGUUUCUUGGUGUGUCGUUGGUGUUCGUCGUUAUCUGCGAUGAAGCUGGCGGGCAGGGCGAGGUGGUUUCUCUGGAACGAGGAUGUUGGUCCGGAGGUGGUGGAUCUGUCACUCUUCUAUGACUUCAUCGAUGGGAGGCGACGGAUGUUGGCCCAAGAUACCACGGGCACGUCCACAGGUCGACGUGCCACAGUGACAUGUGCCUUGCCGCGUGUAGUAGGCUUGUUCGUCGACUAGAAAGCCUUGUUGGCGAUGGUGUUUUUUUGGAUCUUGCAAUGGUGGAGACUCGGUGUCUCUUUCAGCGUGCGCCUUGGCGGCGAAAGAGUUUGACGAUGCCGCUCGCUUCGGUGGUUGUAGGAAAUCCUAUGAAUCUUUUUAUAUUUCUUGAUCUUUUAGGAUGCUUUCUGCAAAGUUUUCAGGAUAAUCAUGGUAUGUUUUUAGUGUCCGCAUGUGUUGCUUCACGUAACUUUAUUUUCAAUUAAUGAAAUAUGUGGUUGUUCUAAAAAAAAGGUAAGCAUCAUCGAUGUAACAAACCACUUCACCACGAGGACCACUAGAUGCAAAACAUAUAAUAGUAGUACUUCCUAUAACUAGAAAGAAAAUGGUACAACCAAGGAAAGUUUGGCCACAUAGUACUCCUACCAGGAAUGGAAUUAUUAUGCAUAGCCAGACCGAAGGUCCCCCACGUAGACCGAGCAGCAUAAUAGGUAAAGAAAGGGUGGUUAUCAGUUUUAAUCUCACUACAAAAGAGCACACAGCCACAGGGUUAACCCAACCAUUGCAUUUUCUUGUGUUAUCUCUUGUAGUAAGCACAACAUAUUGGAAUAGUUGUAAGAAGAAAAUUUUAAUCUUGAGAGGCAUAUAAGAUAUAGCUUCCCAUAUCAACUUAUUGUUUCACACAAUGAUAUCCCGUUCCAACAAAUUAUACAACGAUUUAGUGGAGAAAACCAGAUUCUUAGAGAGGGACCAGUUAAUCUCAUCGGGAUAAUCAACUAAGUGAAAAUUUAUACGUGUAUCUACAAACGGGCUUCGCUACACCUAUGGAAGCUUACGGGCGCGAGUAGUUACGUAAUGAUUUGACAUAAUUUUAAUUUACGGAGUAGACUUACUUUACAGAGUUUGACCGACUAACCCUUCUCCGGCCCUCACUAAUCUCCCCCUCCCCACUCCACCUCACCCCACCCUCCACCCAAAAAAAUUUAGGGUGCGCCCCGCUUCAUUCUAAACCAAUCAAAACAGCCCAUCUCAGUUUAGUCCGUAAACAUCACGUAAACUCCUCAUAGUUAUAGCAUUACUGUUAGCAAAAUUUAAUUGGACAUUAAUACAUGUUAGACCUACUUAAACUAAUGAGCUCUUACUUGAUGAAAAGCCUGGAGACUUAGGAUUGGAAUGAAGGGGGUGGGAGGGCACCACGCCAACCCGAGGAGUGAUUGAUUAGGGCAUCUCCAAUAGUCGUAUGAUCAUCGUUGGUAAAAUUACCACAUAGACGACUUUGAUGACAUGGCGCAUAAUAAAAGAAGAGAGAGAAUGAAAUUGUAUGAACUUGAAGCAACGGUUCUGGCACAAGCUCCGAGACAAGCAUGAUCAUUUCUUCAACAUUUAAUGAACCCGCUUAGUUAUUUUACAUACGGUUAACAUACACUUCAUUGAAGAGCUUGUAUGAUAUGUUGUUGACAGCUGACGUGGGCACUUAUACAACGAACUGUUGAAGAUGCUCUUAGUGAGCAGAAAGGUACGUAGCAAACCGUAAUUAUGUUUACGUAAGUCUAUCAUUCUUGAUCUAUACAACCACAUUCCAUUGUUCAAGCAUAGCGCCGGUACGCCGACGCGGCUUUGCGUAAAUGUCCUACGUAGGUCUAGCAUUUUUGGAGUGAUUAGUCAGUGAGCAGGAAGAUACGUAGCAACAAACCAUAAGUAUGUUCACGUGAGUCUACCAUUUUUGAUCUAUGUAACCUCAUUCCAGUGUUCAAGCAUAACGCCCGUAAGCCCACGCUUAAAAGUAAUACUCCUCCCAAGUUAAAAACCAACAAUUCUUGUGUUAAUUACCAGUGUUGUAGUUGUAUUGACUUGAAUACGAGUCUUUAUUUUGAAAUCAGAACGAAAGACUCUUGAUUAACUGAUUCAACCACACGAACAUAAACUCACAGCAAAUGGGAUAAAUUCUCGCAUAGUCGCACGUACUCCACUAUGUAGUGCCCACCCCACGAGCGAUCACAUUCACAUCUCCGCAACCUUGCUCGCCGGCCAGGUGACGGCGAUGGGGCUCGUCACCGAGUGCUCGCCGUCGCUCCACUCGAUCGACCCGAACGUGUACUUCGCGGUGGCGCUACCGGGGCUUCCUUGCGCAAAUGCGAGCACGUACUCCUGCGUUUUCUGCGUCGCGCCGAACCGCAGCGUCUCCGGGCUCACCCUGACGCGCACGCCGUCCGGGGCGGUGACCUUGGCCGUGUACGUCGCCUCGGCGUCGCUGCCGACGUUGCGCACGACGCGGCGCUGCGUGACGACCGCCGACUUGUUCGAGGUGAACACCACCGAGAAGGCCGGAUAGUUGUGGUCGCCCACGGCGGAGCCCGCACGCGUCGAACAGCUGAUGGACGAGCCGAAGACGGCGACCUGCCUGGCGGUGUAGCCCAGCGCGCACAGGAAGGUGAUGUAGUCCUCCGUGCCGGCGUCGUACACGAGCCCCGGGUCCACGGCGCUGUUGGGGUCGAUGUGCCCGGCCCCUCGCGCGAACGGCGUGGACGCGUCGCCGCUGGACAUGUCGCCGAUGACGCCGCCGGUGUUGUCCACGUUGUACGCGGUGGUCAUCAGCGCGGACUUGAUCGCCGCAGGGCUCCACUCUGGCCUCGCCUGCCGGAGCAGCGCGGCGAUGCCGCUCACGUGCGGGCAUGACAUGGACGUGCCCGAUAUGAUGUUGUACUUCACCCGCCUCGUGUCGCUGUCCAGCUCCGUGGGCGAGUUGGCGCCUGUCCAAGCCGCGAGGAUGUCCACGCCCGGCGCGGUUACGUCCGGCUUGAAGAUCUCCGGCGCACGCAAGUUUGGCCCGCGGCUCGAGAAGGCCGCCAUUCUUGGGGAAGGAGGCGUCGAGCCGACCACGGUGCCACGGAAGAUGAUCGUCGCGGUAGGGGAAGCUUGCGCGCGUAUGUACUUGAAGAUCUUGGCGCCGUCCACAAAUGCCACGGCCGUGGCGGGGUGGACAUGGGGGGUGGUGAGGGCCUGCUCGCCGAAUGGCUGUGUGCUCGCGAGGAUCGCUCCGGCGCCGCCGGCGAGCUUCACGGCAAGUGGUUUCGCUGCUCGGGCAUUUACACCCGGUUCACACAAAACAAUCUUCCCGGCGACCUUGGUGGCGUUCAGCUUCCCCUCUUCGCACGCUUUGGAGCCCACGUCUCCUCCGUAGACCAGUGGUAUCUUGGUCGGGCCGAGCGGCUCGCCGGCGUAGAGAGUAGUGCCCGUGAAGGUCUCGCCGUUGCCGAGAACGACAUCGCCCGGGAAUUGGCGAUUGAGGGUGGACGCACCGACCGUCAAGAACCAUGGCGCUAUGUUGCAUGCGGUGGAAUCUCCGGGGCCGGAGUUUCCGGCGGAGGCGGAGACGACGAUGCCCCUUCUGACUGCGCGGAACGCACCCACAGCGGUCGUGUCGCCAUAAAAGUCCGGGGCACUGCCGACGGCGCCGAGCGAGACAGAGAUGACGUCGACGCCGUCCGCGAUGGCCUCGUCAAACGCGGCGAGGAUGUCAGAGCUCGCGCACCCUUCCCAGCACGCCUUGUAGACGGCAAUGCGCGCGCCCGGGGCCAUGCCGACGGCUUUUCCUCUCGCGUAGUCGAAGAAGCCGGCGUCCGCGACAGCAGAGCCGCCGGCUGUGGAGGAGGUGUGGGUGC
Molecule: long non-coding RNA, 346819 nt
Filed under: Hordeum vulgare
Lineage: Eukaryota; Viridiplantae; Streptophyta; Magnoliopsida; Poales; Poaceae
Description: long non-coding RNA (HVUL_LNC016881)
Source: RNAcentral